RNAcentral lists this long non-coding RNA (254778 nucleotides) under Eucalyptus grandis. RNAcentral's name for it is "long non-coding RNA (EGRA_LNC000620)". The record is from RNAcentral. Lineage: Eukaryota; Viridiplantae; Streptophyta; Magnoliopsida; Myrtales; Myrtaceae.
AGACCGCAAGUGUUCCCAAGCGUUUACUGCUCUCGGCUAUGACCAAGGCUCGCUCGCUCUUGGUCGUCAUGGUGACUACUGGCGCGCUCUCCGGCGUCUCUGCUCCGCGGAGCUCCUCGUGAACAAGCGCGUCAACGAUACGGCCCACCUCAGGCAAAAGUGUGUCGACAGCAUGAUCAUGUAUAUAGAAGAAGAAAUGGCAGUCAAACAAGCAACAAAAGGUUAUUUCUUAAGUACUUGGUGUCAUUGCUGACUCUGUGUCCUAUGUGUCGCCUCGAAUGGUUGAAGUUAUAGCUUUUAGAAAAGUAAAAAAGCAACAGGGAGAGAUAGAUGAACUUAUCUUAAAUUCCAUAUAAAUAAGAUCAAGGUCCUAUACCCUACCCAAUAUUUUUACUAGGGUCACAACCCUUAAUUAUUUAUUAAUAUGAAGAAAAAGCUAAGAAGACGGUCCGAUCACUAUUUAGGAAACCACGAGGACACGCUGACCACAAAUCUCCGUUGUGGGAUAUUAGCAACAAGAAUAUAACAUUUUCAAAAUUCAAUUGCCAAAAAAUGACUUUCAUAGAGUAAAAUCAGAAAAAGUUAGACCAUAUAAACAUAAUAUACAUUGAGCCCAUGACUACACACCUGUAGGAAACCAAAGCUUGUUUAAGAUUUGUCAAAUUAGAAUUUCUAAGGUUUGUGUUUCAUUAUUAUUACUAAAUUAUUGUAAUAGGUAAAAUAUAGCAUCUUCAUAUCCCUUCUCUAAUAUGUCACUAGCACGAAAUUAUCUACUCUCUCAUGAUGAUCGAUGUCUACACAAAUUUAAACUAUGUGCUACUAGUUUCUGGUUUAGGUGUGACUAGGGCUACCGAAGCAAUAACUCGAACGUGAGCAACAUGAAAGCAGAGAAAUGAUGGGGAAUCAAAACAUUCGUAGUUUUUAUUUAAGAAAACAUUCUAUCUUGCCUUUUAGGCGAUGGUUCUUCAUUUGCCAUCUUGAAGUGUACUACCCCUAUAUAUUUGAAGUCGUUUUCUAGAUAGCAUUGGAUUCAUAUAAUUUUUUACUUCUAAAUUUCGAUUAAAAUUUUUAUUUUCCUUUUAGAGUCAUUCAUGACAUUCUACAAAUUAAUUUUGGUACAAGCACAUAAUCUAAAAUUGAUAAGAAAAGUUGGUGUUGCGUUAACUUUGGUUUCUUAUUAUGCUAAAUGAUUAUACUNNNNNNNNNNNNNNNNNNNNNNNNNNNNNNNNNNNNNNNNNNNNNNNNNNNNNNNNNNNNNNNNNNNNNNNNNNNNNNNNNNNNNNNNNNNNNNNNNNNNNNNNNNNNNNCACACUGACAUAUGUGAUCAGUAUAUCUGUCAGCUGACAACGCUGUCUUCUUAGCAUGGCCUAUUCAUAUAGGUAAAGAAAGCAACCUACAACUAGAUUUAACUUCUGGCACUUCCGCAAAAUGUUCAGUUAUAUAUUUUUUAGUUCAAGUGGGCCCUCGUCUUACAUAUGUAGAUUGAAUAUCUACGAGGAAUGUCGCGCCAGCGUUAUACGUUGGCACUAACUAAGCUAAUUUAUUUGGUGAAUUUUUUUUUUUUUCUAAACAUAGUUCUGAUAUGGGUAAGAAAAAUAAAUAAAAUAUUUAAAAAAAAUCUAACUAUAGUUCUGAUAUGGCUAGCUGGCUAGGGUAGACCGCAGUUUCGAGGCACGACGUGGAUCGUUGGGUGCUCGCCGUUCGCGAACGCCACCUCCCGUGCAAGCACACCCUUGCCACCUUAGCGACGAGUCGCCUCUAUCCUUAAUUCAGCAUAGCCUCCAUUCACGAACGUCUCCCCCUAGUUCACUCGCGACACUUCUGUUUUUCAUUUCUUCUUUUGCAAAUUUCCUUAUUUUUGAUUUGUUGAUAUUUAUGUUAUUUUUUAAUUUCCUUAUUUGUGAAUUUUUUGUUAUUCUAUUUUAAGUUUUUCCAAAAGAGAAAUAAUUGCGUGACAGUCUUUAAUAUACUAUAAGAAUAACAGUCAAUUCUAAAUCACAAAAAUCAAAUCAUAAAUAAUUAUAAAUUAUUAUAAAACUCAUUUUUUAAAGAAUUUAUGAUUCGCAGUAUAUUGUUAUUCUCAUAAUCCUUUCAAAAACUUAUGUAGGUUUACCGUGUUGACAUUCAACGAGACCUAAUUGCCAUUUCAACAUUUAUGUUUCCUUUUAAAUGGAAAGACCAAACCAAAUAAGAACGUAUAUGAUUUAGGGAUCUAAUUCCACCGAAAAAAAAGGGACCUAAUUAAACCCUUUGUAAAAGUUUAGGGAUUACCUAUACUUCUAUCUUUUUUUUUUCUUUUUUUGUGUACUGUAAUUGACAAAGUCAACAAAUUAAAUACUAGUGUAAAUAACUCAAUUUACCAAAGAGCUACUGGAAUUUAAUUUGUUUUUCAGUCGAACUCGCUUUCUUUUUUUGGGGUUCGAGUCGAACUAGAGUGGCUAAACUGUUGAAUUAUGUAAAGCUCGAGUGGCUUUAUCAUCGAAUUGCGUAGGUAAACUUUCGUGUUGGACAUUGAAGCAUACACAGUAAGUCAAGGAGCUUACGAGCAGUUUAGAGAUUGGUUCCUCUUGAUUUGACUGCAUCUUUCCUUUAACUAGUUGCACGACUUGGUACAAUCUAUUUUUCUCAUGUCUAAUUUUGUUAAGUGUGGUUAUACAUCAUCUGAUUAGAAUUAAUCAUAAAGAAAUUUUAUUUUUAUGAAGGACAAGGAAUCGACUUAUCUCACUUCCUCUUUCUCCUGGCAUUUAAUGUGGUGGGCAACAUGGUGCUCUCACGGGAUCUAUUGGACCCAAAAUCGAAGGAUGGGCCCGAGUUCUACGACGCCAUGAACCGGUUCAUGGAGUGGGCUGGCAAGCCCAACGUAGCCGACUUCAUGCCAUGGUUGAAAUGGUUGGAUCCGCAGGGGAUCAAGGCAGGCAUGGCGAAGGACAUGGGUCGAGCCAUGAGGAUUGCCGAAGGCUUUGUGAAAGAGAGGUUGGAGGAGCGAAAGCUAAGGGGAGAGAUGAGAACAACGAAUGAUUUCUUGGACGCAGUAUUGGAUUAUGAGGGCGAUGGAAAAGAAGGCCCUCACAAAAUCUCUUCCCAGAACAUAAAUAUAAUCAUUCUGGUGAGUUUGCUCCUCUCUUCCACGUUUAACAUGACCACACUUUGAGACAUUAGGUCGAAUUCGGUUGAUUAAGUGGCGCGACAAACUUAAGUGACCUUUAUUUCUUCGUAGAUUAACAACUAGGGUCACAUCACGCAUUACGGAGAAGUUUUAGUAGCUUACUUAAUAAAUCAAUCAUGGUGCUGUCUAAGCACUGAUUUUUCUUUUCAUUAAAAUAAACUAAAAUCAAUCUUAUGUCUUCGUCAAGCAAUUUAACUAGUUAUUAUAAAAUUACCAGGUUAGUCAAGUCAAUGUCAAUCAAGUCGAGAAAUUUUGACAUUGGCUUACAAAAUUUGGCUGAAAUCAAAUUGAUUGCAAGGAUAAAAACCAGUGCAAAUAAUUAUUGCAAUCAAACUCUUAGGCAGGAAUAAUUUUCAAAGCCGUUGACGGACAAUUGCAGUAAAGCAAUUAUUGUAGCUGAGACUAUAAGAAGCGCACAUCUUAAUGGAACGCGCAGACAUAAGAAGAACAAGCUUUACUUAUGUUAAUCCAUUUUGCUCUCUUGCAAAUCUUUUUCAGUUAUUUCCCAGCAACCUAUUUCUUGCCAUUCCAGUUGUUUAUUUCCUUUUGUCAAUCAAGCACUUGCCCCAUCUCUUUCAUAAAUACUUCUGUUGUCACUGGUGGAUUCAUUUCGUCAACUUCAAGUUCUUGUUCCUUUCUUUGUGUGCCAAUCAUCUGCCAAUUCGAAGAAUAGGAACUGCUGUGUUUGAUCAGGAUUGUUGAUCAGGUGAAGCAUGAUAAUUUUUACUAUUGAGCUGACGAUUCGAGGGUGACCUUUUCCAGCCAAAGAGAAUCUCUUAAUUAUAGGACGAAACUCGGACACUUGUGGUAUCCAAGACCUAAUCUUUGUACUAAAUGGGUCUACUUGAUGGUGCAGGAAAUGUUUUUCGCCGGAUCGGAGAGUACAAGUAGCACCAUCGAGUGGGCGAUGGCGGAGCUACUCCGCCAACCCGAGUCGAUGAAAAAGGCCAAAGAUGAGAUUGACCAGGUUGUGGGGUUGAACAGAAAGCUCGAAGAAAAUGACACGGAAAAGAUGCCAUUUUUGCAAGCCGUGGUGAAGGAAACCCUAAGAUUGCAUCCCCCAUUACCUUUACUUAUCCCACGAAAUGCUCUAAAGGAAACCAAAUUCAUGGGUUUUGAUAUACCCAAAGAUACCCAGGUUUUCGUGAAUGCAUGGAGCAUUGGAAGAGACCCCGAUGCUUGGGAGGACCCAUUGGCAUUCAAACCAGAGAGGUUCGUGGGAUCUAAAAUUGACUACAAGGGUCAAAACUUUGAGCUAAUUCCAUUUGGAUCAGGCAGAAGAAUAUGCGUCGGACUUUCAUUGGCGGAUAGGGUGCUUCAUCUUGGUCUUGCAACACUGCUUUACCAUUUCGAUUGGGAACUAGGCGAUGGUUCAACUCCAAAGACCCUCGACAUGAAAGAGCGGGUGGGAAUAACACUUAGAAAGCUCCAUCCUUUGAAAGUGAUACCUAAGAAAUGUAGCGUGUGAGGUAUAAUUACCCUAAGGUUAUUAUAAUGUUAUCGUGUCAAGGAUUAAAAAAGCUGUCCAAGAAAGACUUCUUAAGAACGAUGUCAUCCCUGCACAAAUAUCUUAGGGAAACUACAAGUUCUUAUGUUAGCAUUUGGGUCCCGUUUGAAUUGUAUGACUUGAGCAUGUAGCAGGGUAGCUCCCCUGCCCUUUAUACCAUCAAUAAAACCUCACUUGUCGAAAAAGAAAAUUACUCUACAUUUGGCUCCACACUUAGAGUCCACAAAAUGGACAUUUGCGAUGAACCGGAUUCACUAGACGCAAGACUGUACAAUAGAUUCCCGAAUCAUAUACUAUAAGCGGUUUCUAGUGGGUGAUGGUGGAGCGAUCAAAGAGAGCAAUAUAAAAGAAAAGUAACAGGAAGAUACUGUAUGAUCUUGUCGGAUCUUGUCAAAUCCAUAUGGACAAUUGAUCACGUGGACUCUGCAGUAGGACCCAGUCGGUGUUGGUUCACAUGUUUUGUCACUAUUGCAAAUUAUUCUAAAAUAAACACAAGAUUGCAAAUUUGCUGAAGAAGGCUGUAGAUACGUCUUGAUUCAUUAUCAUGAUCCAUCCGUAUAUAAUCCAAAAGCAUAUAUAUUUGGGCACCCCUCGAAUACCCCUUUGAACUUCUGACCAAUUAAUUUACUUUAGUAAGUUCACCUUUUACUUUUCCGUGGCGGCUACUUAAUUAAAUUCUUGCUAGGACCGAUCGACUACAUGUAAAAUGAAUGCAUCAACAAAAUAUACUUGACCAAAACAAAGAAAAUCAGUUAAAAAUCACGGUUCCAUUUAUGUCCAUCAUCUUAAAUCAUUUGCAAGCUUAGACUUAGCUCAAUAAUAAACGCCAUUUGGAAUGAUUCACUAAAAACAUUUCCUCAACAAAGAUGUUCAAAAUCAUUUGCACUUCAUGGACCUAGUUCAUGAUAGAUUUAGAAUCCACUAUCUUGAGUUCAAGAAUUUGGCUACCACAAAUUUCUCAGUUUUGUAUUUCUUUUCUAAGGAUUCCCAUAAUUGUCUAAUAGUUUCAAUGUUACAAUAAACAUGAUACAAGGAAUUUGCUAGAUAGUUAAGGAUAUAGUUUCAGCAUAGGAAAUCCUUGUGCUUCCAAGGCUCCAGCUCCCCAAGCGUCGUGACAUCUUUUGCUCAUCUGGACUAAUUAUUGAGCACACCUCUAAUGAGUACUUGACUAAAUUCAGUGUGGUCAAUAAAAGAACAUCUUCUAUUACCGUUGCUUAAAGCCCACACUAGUUAACUCACACGGUUUCUCAUUCGGUGUUAUUGGAGAAGGUAUCAUCAUAUUAGGCAAAGCUUGUUAAACCAUCUCUCCAGAAAUUGAACCAUACACCAUUAGAUAUGUACUUUUUUGAAAAAUAGUCCCUAGUGUAUCGGUCAAGCGACUUCUACUGGUACCACCAUAGAUGGUUUCGGCCUGAAAGUUUGCAGCAUUUGUUGUCACAACACUAGACCAUGAGGUUUGAACCUCCCUCAUUGAAACACCAUAUGAACGUCUCACAAACAUUCCAACAUUAUUGGGUACUUGAUUGUUAUUAGUCAUCUCGAUUUUUUGAUAAACCCAACAAAAACAGUAAAAGAUAAUCGCCUUAAGAUUGUGGGAAAUAUUAAUACGUAUUGGAGAAAAUAAUAAUAAUUUUAAGAAAGCAAUAUCAAAAUAAACAAGAGGUGAGGCACGGCUAAUCAAAUCUCCUUAAGGCGAUUAGUUCAUGUCAACCAAUUAGUUUCGCGAACUAUGCCUAUCAAAAUACAACACCUCAAACCCGUUUGUAUAAGCACUAUAUGAACAAGAUUUUAUCGAACACUUCUUUAAAUCAGCACACUUAAAGAAACUACCAAGAAACUAGAGGAAUACUUUGAGGAUUUUUUGUUGUUAUUUUGAAUUAAGAAGACGUGUCUAUUUAUAGACAAGGGAACUAGCUGUAGAAAACUGAAAGGACAUGAACUCAAGAGUCACACUGAUUAUGCUCACAUUAGUUGAGCCAUUAACCCUUAAUAACAACAUUAUUAGAUCAGAAACUACAGGAGAACAAAGAGUCAUGAACCCAUAAUUGCAACAAUUAGGGCAUGAUCCAAAGAGACAAACUGGUUGCAUGUGAAUUGAAAAAGGCGUGAAUUGAAGAGACGUUUCAUUAACGUUGAGCCAUUAAAACCUAUGAUUACAAUAAUAAUUACAACACACUGUGCCUCCCUUAGUUCUUGUCCCAAGAGCUUCUAAUUUGAAUUCAUCAAGUACGCUAUGUGCAUCAUAAAAGCAUCUUUCAGUUUCUCAAGCCAAAAUUAGGUCACAUAAACUUGUUAUACAUGUGUCCCUGAGCACCCCGAUCUCAUGCUUGAUGCCCUCUAAAUUUCCAACUUUUUCUAGUGCUUGUGGAGCCAUAGCUCUAGCAAUGCUAACGAUGACAGAUGCCAUCUCUCUCUCAUAAUAUAUUAGUCGAGUCAUUCCAAGGCCAGAGACUGCAGGUAAGUAUAAUAAGUUUAUGUGACCUGAUUUUUAACUUCUUCGAUGGAGUCGAGUUGUUGAAGGUAGGAUUCUCAUCAUCCACGCAAGCCUAUAUCAAUAAUGCAUAUAGGACGCACCGAUUUGGUUUGUCUAAGAUAUUUUGUGCUUCAAGAGUUUACUCGUUUAACGUGCUUGCAAGUCGUAAAGGCAAUGAAAAGGCUGGCGUUGAAUUGAAAUCCAUGUUUAUUUUGAAUAUUAAAUUAACAAUAAAAAAAUUAACAGUAAUAAAUUAGAAGGAUAGAACUAAGUUCCCUAUGUUCACUUUUUUUCCAUAAAAAUAGCCGCCUCCUUGGAAAGUCCUAACCACGUGAUAUAUGCAAUACCAAUCAAAUGUAAAAAAUCAUAAUUGAAUCUAUUUAAAAUGGGUAUAAUUAUUGGUGCAUCAUUUUCUAAUUAAAUCACUGUCCCCACAUAUCAAUCUUUUAAGAAGAAUAUGGCCAUUUUCAUCUAUUCUUUUCUUCAGGCUUAUUUGGAAACUGUUUCGAAAACUAUUCUCCAAAAUUUUCAAACAUUGCGCUGAUUCUCAACUUUUAUUCUUGACACAAGUGGAGAGCGAUCUGAAGAGGGUUAAUGCGUUUCUAGUUUUUGGUUACUUCAUGAUACAAUGGAUGUUGUUAUAAUUAUCAUUCAAUGAAAUAAUUUGCUUAGUCAAUAUAUAUGCUUACUGCUGUUCGUGGAAGGCUUCGUUCUUUAUUUUUAUUUUUUUCCAAAUAAUGGGGAAUCAUUAUCUAAAUUCUUGGGAUGAAUUUUGGGUAUGACAAGUUUGGAAUCAUAACUUAGGUUAUAAAACCAGUUUAGCUAGCAUUAAUUCGGGCACCGUGAUGUGCGAUGAGUUAGUAACUAGAUGUGUGUGCGUGCGCACGUCACACACAAUAUGCACUCAUGCAUUACAUGUAGCUACUCUUUCAAUGGAUAUAGAAAGUUCUAUAUGCAUAGGUAGCAUGAUCGAUUUGUUAGCAUUCUGAUGCAAAUGUCAUUGCUCUUGGCUUGAAACUAUUCUUCAUAUUGUCAUGAGACAUUAGUACUAUUAUUUUACUAAAACAUUACAAUUUGGAUAGGGAAGUUCACUCUCCUUGCUAAUCUCUCAGAUUUAUUUGCUUCCUAUGAGUAAAAUGCUUCUAUAUAGUUUAUUUCUUUCUUUAGCUUUCCUAUUCUCUAAGUAAAUGAAUAAUCUCUUCCCAUACUAGGCAAUAACAAAACUUGCACAUUUUGCAAACUCCUAACAUUUAGACAUUUUAUGCAUGUCACUCCUUUUCAUGAAAGGGAUGUCUACUUUUUUUUUUUUUUUUUUGAGAAGAAAGAGAAGCCUUUUUUGCCGCAAAUUGCAGGUAUUCCGAUUUGAGAUAUUUACUCGCGGGAAACAUGCAAACGAAGAACAAGUCUUAUGGGGGAAUCUACUCCGAGCACUGAAAGUCCAAUCAUUGAAUUUAAUGGACAAUCCGGGGAGGACACAAGUCAACCGCAUUCCAAGCACAGCCCCUAACAUGACUGUGACACAUCUCAUUUGACAAAUCACCUGCGAAGAGUACAUAUAUCGCAAUAACGGGGGGCAUUCUAGUUCAUUUACCCUGAACGCUACAGAUAUUCUUUUUAACUUACUUAAGAUAAAAGAAAGUGAAUUUGAAACUAUCCCGUCAAGAACCACACCACAAAGGGAGAAAAAUGAAGGUCAGAAUGAAACAAUUAUGAAGAUGUGGAGAAACAAAACUACCUUGUUUCGCUUACAUCAUUCUCUGAAUAAGCAAACUGGAGAAUGGGUUUUUGUAUUGAGUUGGAAGUCCUUGAAAGUUCCUCAAAUUCUUGAUCUGGGGGCACAAUUGGAGAAAUUUCUAUAUUCAUUCCCAGCCGGUAACGAAAAAUAUGAAGUUCUGCAUGCUCUGAAUCGGGUUUCAAGAGUGCAAAAAGGUGAUUAACGUUAAAGAGAAAACGAACAAGAAAAAACAAAAAAGAAGAGAUCAUUCCCAUCAAGGUUUUUCUGUCUGCUCAAGCAAUUUAUUUAUCAAUUUGAUAGUGUUACUUUCUUGCUUCCAUAACUGUAUGAUCAUUCAUCGCAUGUUAGUGGUUUAAGACCAAUCAAUCAAGGCUACUUGCAAAACAUUUUGUGAAAUAAAGUGAAGAUGCCAAAGGGAGAUAGAUUUAUCUAGCAUAAUCAAGUUCCUUAUUCAUGAAAUCUCUAGUUCAUAAAGUAAAGUGUUCUCUCACAUUUUACUUGGGUUUUUAAUCAACCAAAGUAGACUAAUGCCAAUUCUUAAAUGAAUUGAAUUGGAUGUCUAAAUAAUGUAAUUAAAACCCCAAAGUUGUGAUUGUCGGGGGUUUGAGAGAACCCACAUUAGACAAUGGUACCAUCUUUUUAAUGAGUAACCAUUCGCACUUGCAUAAUAAUCCAUUAGCUUUCUCUUAGUGGUCCACCUCUAAGAAGGUCAUGACAGUUGGCAAUUAGAGAGUGGCAACUAAAUUAAAGAAGGAAAAGUGAGCUUGUUGGAUUAGACACGAGUUGACCGAGCAAUCGCAUGGAAACGAUGAAUACACACUCCUCAUUUAUCCGAUUGCACUAAAAUGUCGAGGGGAGUUAGUCAACAAGCCGACGAAGCUUGUGUAAAAGUUUUAGACCAAACGGAUAUUGAAAAGUUUAGUUUUGAAGGCUUGACAUCAUUUUUUUUCCAGGCAUCCUUGUGUAAGAUCAUCCAGCAUUCCUUGAAAAAAUGCAAAUUUAGGAACUAUUCUUGGAACUAGCAUGUGAGCCAUAUAUUGUUUGAAAAUAGACGUAAAGACACUCGUCGUGAUACGUUUUUUUUUGUCAAAAUUGUUGUGAUACUUAUCUUGCAAUCGUUUUGAGCUUGUUUGGGUCUACAAUUAAUCAAGAGAAGUUGGGUAUAAAUUACUAGGAAGAAAAUUGAGUCCAAGUGUGAAUUGGUGCUGUUAAAGCUCUUUGGAGUGAUCAUAAUUUUAGCCGUGGGGCUUGAGGUUCUCAUACUACAUUGUCCCUAGUUGAAGAGUGUAGGAGAUUCCUAAUAUUCAUCAUAUGCACAGAUGACCUAUGUGAACUGAAACCUAACUAUUAAUGAACGAUCAUGCCUUUGGUUUAUAUGUGCAAAAGGAAUGCUGCGAGAAAAAUGAAUGCAAUGUUGUAUAAACUGAUUGUUUUGUUUUUAUCGUGGGUCAAAUUUAUGAGAUGCAAAUGUAUGAUAAAUUCAUCAGUGAAAUUCACGUGUUAGCAUCAAAAAGUCCUUUAAAUAGUGAAGAUUGGAAAUUUCGAUCAAAUUAAUGAUUGGACUUAAAUAUAUGAUGUUUUCGAAAAAGACAAGCCAUCUUACUAAGGCAAAAGUUGUUGGAGUUAUCCCACAUCAAUUAUGGAAUUGUUUGGUGGUUAGUUUAUAAAUAUGAAGGAAAGUUUCACCCUUUGAAUAAACGUUUGAGGUGAGAGAAGCCCAAGACUACCAAACAUUGGUGUUAGAGCCAAUGGUAGAUUGGUGGCCCCAAUCUGUUCUAGAUAUCUCAAUAAAAGGAAUCUAGUGACCAACCCAAUUUAUGGGCAAUGUGUGUUGUGGUAUAAUGCAAUCCCAAUGGUAGUCUUCAUGGUUCAAUUCAAAGAAAAAAAACAUGGAUAAAGGUGGGUGUUGGAGAUUCAAGUUAAGAUUAGUUAAUAUAGAAAGAUACCUAAAUUCAGGGGAGCAAACCUAACAUUGAGCUCAAAUGUGAUGGGGAGAUUGUUGAGAUAUACAUGUGAAUUAUCUUAAGGAAAGGAAUCUAGUGACCAACACAGUUUCUGGGCAGUGUGUGUGGUGCUGUUGCAACACAAUCCCAUGGUAUUUUUCAUGGUUCAAUCCAAUGAAAAAGAACAUGGACAAAGGAUGGAUGAAGGUGAAUGUUGAAGAUUCAAGUUGAGAUAAGUUAAUGUAGAAAGAUACUUGAAUUAAGGGGGAACAUACCUAACAUUAAGCUUACACGUGAUGAGGAGAUUGUUGAGAUACAUAUAUAAGUUGUGUUUGGGAAGUCCCACAGUGGAGAAUUGGUGUAGUGUGAAGUAAUUAAUUUAUCUAGUUGGUCAAUAACUCAUUACUUUAAGCUUUUGAGUGAAGAUGGGUUCAAUUAGAUAUGUUGAUAGACUUAGACUUCGGCUCCCUCUUAGCAAUCUCCUAGGGUAAAGAUAUUGAACAUCUGUUAUACACUCCCAACAAAAGUAAAUACAUAACUAUCCUAUUUUGAUAGGACAAAUUAGUUGAUAAAUCAAUCCAUGAAACCCAAGAAAGAACAAGGCAUCAUAAUUUUGUGGAAACCAGAGGAUUAUAUUGAGUACUAGAGUAAAGUUGUAAGAAUUAAAUGCACAAAUUAAGAGUUAUGGAUUUGAUUGCAUAAUUCAUGUAAGUUGUUUGACCAAAAAUGAAAUUAUUCCAAUGAAAUAAGAAUCGAAUUUAACCUAAUUCGAUGAAAUGGAUGAAUCACCAGACUCCACGUGACCAGCAUGUUACUCCUAUUCAUAGCCGAAAGAUAUAUUAAUGUUUUCUCCUUUUUAUUUUGUGGAUGGCAAAUAAUAGCAUCUCCUGUUUUUUCUUUAUUGUUUUGGGUUGCUUUCUUGUGAACAGGAUAUAUUAUAUCAUUUUUUCCACGCAAUAAUCGCAUAAGUGCAAGGUGAGCAAUAGCUCAAAGCUUAGCCAAUGGAGUACUGCCCUACUUUGCUCUUUUGGCUCGGCCUCCUCCUCCCGGCACUUCUAUUUUUCCUUCUCAACCGGAAGCGCACCAAGCUUCCCCCUCAGCCCCCCGCAUGGCCCGUGAUCGGCAAUAUCCUCGACCUCGGGACCACGCCGCACCAGAACCUCCACAACUUCCGAGCCAAGCAUGGGCCUGUGACGUGGUUGAAGCUCGGUUCCGUGAACACCAUGGUGAUCCAAUCAGCUCAGGCCGCCGCAGAGUUCUUCAAGGGCCAUGACUUCGCGUUCGCAGACCGCAAGUGUCCCCAUGCAUUGACAGCUCUCAAUUAUGACCAAGGCUCGCUCGCUGUGGGUCGUUACGGUGGCUACUGGCGCGUUCUAAGGCGUCUCUGCUCUGUUGAGUUCCUCGUGACGAAGCGCGUCAACGAGACGGUCCAUCUCAGGCAGAAGUGCGUCGACAACGUGAUCGUGUAUUUAGAGGAAGAAAUGGCGGUUAAACAAGUAACGACAGGUUAUUUCUUACGUGCUUCGUGUUACUUUGGACGUUUGCGUUGCAUGUGUAACCUUGAAUGACCGAAAUAAUAGUUUUCUUCUUCAAAGGGAAAAAAAAAAAGCAACAUAGAGAGAGAGAAAGGAACGUUUAAACUCCUUACAAAAUAUCGAAUAUUCCCACUAGUGUCACAAGUUCUUCUCACUAAUAUAUGUAAAAUCAACGGUUAAGAUAUGUUGGGACUUUUGCACCAUUAGGAGUUAAUGAUGCACGCUGUCAAAAGAAUAGUAUUUCAGUAAAGAACGCAACCUGCAACUAGAUCUACCUAAGAAAACAUUGGGCCUGCUUUUUACGGAUAAAGGAACCAGCAGUCUUUCUUUUUUGCAAAAUGUACAAUUAAGUUCCAGAAUCUUUUUUUUAUUUUUAUUUUUUCUACUAUUGAGUUCUUAAAUUAUACAUCUUUUAAUUUGAGUUGGCCCUCCUCUUAAAUAUGCGAAUGCAUUGGUUACGAUGAAUAUUGCAUCCCCACCAUAUGUUAGCACUAACUAGACUAACUAAUUAGGGAGACACGAAAGAAUUACUUAGUGCUAAGAUGGGUAAGAAAGGUUAUAAAAAUAAAGAAAUCUAAAUCCAAGUAAACAUUCACCAACCCAAGCGUUGCCUCAAUUUAUUGCAUGACCCAACUCACCUCCAUCCUAGUUAUUCAAAUUUUCUAUGUCAUUCUAUUUUUAGGUUUUUUAAGAAUUCACUUAAGACACCAUGUUGGUUUUCAAUGAGGACGUAACCACCAUGUCAACAUUUAUAUAUACUUCUUUAAUGGAAGGACUAAUUCAAAGAAGAAGUUAUACGGCUCGAGGAUCUAAUUGCACAACAAAUUUAGGAACCUAAUUAAAACUUUUUAUAAAAGUUUAGGGACUGCUGGUACUUUUAUCCCUUUGUUUUGUUACUGUAAUUGACAAAUUCAAUAAAAUAGAUACCAGUGUAAAUAAUUCAAGUUGUCCAAGAGCUACUGGUGUUUAAAGUGCUAUUUAGUCAAACUUGCUUUCAUUCUUCUCGAGUUUGAGUCGAACUAGAGUGGCUCUACUGUUGAAUUAUGCCAAGCUCGAGUAGCUUUACCAUUGAAUUGGGUCAAACUCGAGCAUGAUCAAGUAGUUGGGUUUUAUAUAUCUUCUGAUGCAUUGAUCAAGUAUAUCCCCAUUAUUAUGCAAGAGAAUGCAAAAGUAAAUUUUCCACUUUAUUUUAUUUGUAGAAGCCAAGUUGGAGUUUUUAAGAGUUCAGAUGCUAAUUUAGUUUUGUUAGUGGAAAAUAUCCGAAAACAAGCUUAUCAAGAACUUUAUUAAGUUCGACUUGAGCUUGAAAAAUCCAACUUUUGUCUUGAACAUUGCAGCUUGGAGGUUGAUUCCUCCAUCCCUCCUUAAACUAGUUGCAAAACUUGGUGCAAUAAUUUUUUUUUUCAUGUCUAAUUCAUUACGUUCUUCUAUACAUUCUCUAAUUAUAAUUAAUCGUUAAAAAUUUCUAAUUUUUAUGAAGAGCAAGGAAUCGACUUAUCCCACUUCCUCUUUCUCAUGGCAUUUAAUGUGGUGGGUAAUAUGGUGCUCUCGCGGGAUCUGUUGGACCCAAAAUCAAAGGACGGGCCCGAGUUCUUCGAUGCCAUGAACCGGUUCAUGGAAUGGGCUGGCAAGCCCAACGUAGCCGACUUCCUGCCGUGGUUGAAAUGGUUGGACCCGCAGGGGAUCAAGGCAAGCAUGGCGAAGGACAUGGGUCGAGCCAUGAAGAUUGCUGAGGGUUUUGUAAAAGAGAGGUUGGAGGAGCGAAAGCUAAGGGGAGAGAUGAGAACGACAAAUGACUUCUUGGAUGCGGUAUUGGAUUAUGAGGGCGAUGGAAAGGAAGGUCCUCGCAAAAUCUCUUCCCAGAACGUCAUCAUAAUAAUUCUGGUAUCCUCUCUUCCACUCUUGGCAAACAAGAAAUGAUUAACAUCUUAAGGAUAUUAGGUCCAGUUCGGUUUGUAAAGUGGGGUGGUAAACUUAAUUGACAAUUAACAAGCAGGUCAUAUCACGCGUCGUUCUCUACAGACUUGUGUUUUCGUAGAACAUUCUAGCACUAGAUUUUAUAAUAACUAGCCUUUUCCAAUCGACUAUCUAUGAAAACAUUUUACACUUUAAGUUUGUAGAGAACGUUGCAAAACAAAAAGCUACUACCAUUAUAAAGAUGUUACCAUUCUUUCCUGAUUUAGCCAAUCUGUGCUCAUUUUGUAAUAACUAGCUAAGAAUGUUCUCCAAAAACACAAGAUUGAUUUAUGGUUUUUUUAUUUAUUUUAAAUCCAGUGCUAGAAAGACACAUUGAAUGAUUUAUUAAAUUAAGUUGAUGUCAAUUUGACUGAUUAAUAGAACAUGUAGGGUAUCCACAAUGGAUGAGUGAAUAGUAUGUUGAUCAGAUGUGUGAUCUGAUAUUGACUAAAUAUAAUCGAUGCUCAAACACCAGCAUUGAUUAUAAGAAGCCAAUAAGAUUAAGUUGACGAGGCAUGAAAAGUUUUUGUCCAUGGACUUAUAAAUUAAAGUCAAGUUAAUGUCGGUCGAGUCAAGAAGUAUUGACAUUGGCUCACAAAAUUUGGUCGAAUCAAACCGACUGCAAGGAUAAAACUAACGCGAACAGUUAUUGUAGUCAAACUUCUAGGACGGACCAAUUUUUAAAGUUGUUGACCGGCAGUUGCAGUGAAGCAAUCGUUGUAGCCGAGACUACAAAAAGAGCACAUCUUAAGGGAAAAAAGACGCAUAAACAUGAAAAGAACACACUUCACUUUCUUGCCAUUCAUUUUCAGUUAUUUCUCAGCAACUUAAUUCUUGCCAUUCCAGUUGUUUAUUUCAUUUUUCCAAACAAACACCUGCUCUUGCCCUUUUAUAAAUAUUCCUGUUGUCAUUAGUGGAUUCAUUUCGUCAAUUUUAGGAUCCAAUCAUCAAAUUCUUGUUCCUUUCUUUAUGCGCAAUUGUCUGUCAAUUCGAAGCAUAGGAGCUGCUAUGUUUGAUAAGGAUUGUAUUAGGUGAAGCAUGAUGAUUUUUACUGUUAAGCCCACGAUUUGAGCGAGUGAUUUUCGAGCGAAAAUGAAUAUCUUAAUUAUAGCAAAAGUAUCAACAUUGGUGGUAACCCUAGCAAGACAUGAUCUUGUACUAAAUGGGUCUAAUUGAUGGUGCAGGAAAUGUUUUUCGCUGGAUCAGAGACUACAAGCAGCACCAUCGAGUGGGCGAUGGCGGAGCUACUCCGCCAACCCGUGUCAAUGAAAAAGGCCAAAGAUGAGAUUAACCAGAUUGUGGGGUUGAACAGAAAACUCGAAGAAAGUGACACGGAAAAAAUGCGGUUUUUGCAAGCUGUGGUGAAGGAAACCCUGAGAUUGCAUCCACCAUUACCUUUGCUUAUCCCACGAAAUGCUAUAAAAGAAACCAAUUUCAUGGGAUUUGAUAUACCCAAAGAUACCCAGGUUUUCGUGAAUGUAUGGGGCAUUGGAAGAGACCCAGAUGCUUGGGAGGACCCGCUAGCAUUCAAACCAGAGAGGUUUCUAGGAUCUAAAAUUGACUACAAAGGUCAAAACUUUGAGCUAAUUCCAUUCGGAUCAGGCAGAAGAAUGUGCGUCGGACUUUCGCUGGCGGAUAGGGUGCUUCAUCUCGGUCUUGCGAAGUUGCUCUACCAUUUCGAUUGGGAACUCAGUGAUGGUUUGACUUCAGAGACCCUCGACAUGAGAGAGCGGGUGGGAAUAGCACUAAGGAAGCUUCAUUCUUUAAAGGUGAUACCUAAAAAACGUAGUGUGUGAGGUUUUUAGAAUAUUAUGGUAACUAGUUAUAUUCCUGACUGGUUAUUUAGGAAAUGACAAGAUGUGAUGUAAUGUAUCCAAGGAAGACUUCUUAAGAAUGGUGUUUUUACUCCACAAAUACCUUAGGAAAAUUACCCAAAAGUUCUUAAACCUAUUAUAUUUUUACAAAUUCAGUUAUAAAUAUUUUUAUUAUAAAAAUUAGUCCCAAACGUUUUCACGUUUUGCCAAUUGAGCUUAUAUGAUCAAUUUUGAUUGGAAAUCACUAACACGAAUGUCAGACAUCCUACAUGGUGCAAUUGGUGUAGACCUGGAAAAUUUUUAAUAUAUAUAUUUUUAAAUUUUUAAAUACUUUUUCUUUUCUUUUCUUUUCUUUUCUUUCUCUGCUAGUUGUUGAGCCUUGAGGAUGACUACUAAUCAACCAUAGGCUACAACCAAUGAUGGUCGUUGCCAAGAUCUAGCAAGGGAGGACUUUGCUACCUUGCCAAAUUCGACAAGUCACAACUUCAUGCGAGGCUCGACUUUGCCCAAUCUAUCGAGGGCAAGGCGCAACCUCGUUAGUCUUCACAAGGGCUGGUCUCAGGUGAGACUUGCCCAAAGAUGGCGAGGCCGACCUUCCCUAAAGGCCAGCAAGGGCCAACCUUGGCAACUUCAAGCAACGCUCAACCUCGUCAAAUCUAGUUAGGACAAGCUUUACUCAAGGCUAACAAGGGUGACCUCACCUAAGGCUAGUAAGGGCAAUCCUCAUCAAUCAUAACCUGUGGCCGAUCACCGGCCAUCACCAAGGCUUGGCAAAGGAAGAAAACAAAAAAAUAAAUGAAAAGAAAAGAAAAUUAACAAUAAUAAAAUAUUAAAAAUUCAAAAAUAUUAAAAUACUAUUUUUUUAAAAGGUCUACUGGCAUUCACUUUUCGUUUUCUAGUCAAAAUAGGCUAGAUGGACUCAAUUAAUAAAAAUUGAAAAAAUUGGGACUCAAUUGAUACAAUUAAAAAGUUUAUGACUGAAUUAAAAUAAGUACAAUAUAUUAUGAUUUUUUUGAUAAUUUUCUCCAAAUAUCUUUGGGCAAUUACAAGUUUUUAUGUCAACAUUUGGGUCUUGUUUAAAUUGUAUGACUUAAGCAUGUAGCAGGUAGCUCACUUGCCUUUUAAGCCAACAAUAAAACUUUACUUGUCAAAAAAAAAAAAAAAAAACAAAUCGCCCUAAAGUUGGUUCUACACAAGAGUCCACAAAAUGGAUGAUUGUGAUGAACUCAGUCCACUAGACACCAAUCCAUAUAAUAUAAGCUUGAAUCAAAGACCAUGAACAAUGCUAGUUCCUUGAAUGGGUCGAAGCUUGACAUAGAUUGAUUUUGAUCCAUCCAAAUUGGAAUCCUGUUAAUGGAUUCAAACACAACGUUGAACCCAAUACCCCGAUUGCUAGUGCAUCGCCGGCUUCCAGUAGCACAUCAGUGGAAUCUGUGAAAGAUAGUGAAACUCAUUUGACUCUUAAGUACAUAAGUGAGAUGCUCAAGGAGGGGAAGUUGGAGGAGAAAAACUAAAUGUUUGCCGGAUUGACUGGCCACCCUCUGGGCCAAAGAAAAAAAAAUCAGCGUGAUGUCCUCUAUUAGAAGGGGACCCUUCCGACCACCAAAAAAAAAAAGUACUUGCCAACCAGCAAUAAUUUGGCCAACCAGUGAGAUCAAGUCUUCAUUUGAGAUUAAUUUAGCCACUUUAGACCCUUAUUUAAAAUAAUGUCCAUCUUAGGCAAUCUUUUGAAAAAAUAACCCACUUUAGAUGCUCAUUCAAAAAAAUUUCUUACUUUGCCAAAAAUUAGUCAUAUGAAGUGCAUGAUGGUAAAUGUAUACAAAUUGCUGAAUCUUUUUGUAUGUUACCAAGGUAAGAUUUUGCUAUAGUGCCAAACAUCCAAAUAGGUUGAUAAUUUACUAUUUAUAUUUUCAUCGUUAAAUUCCUUCAAUAGAUGGCAAUUCUUCGCCCACUUGUAAAUUUACCAAUUUAAUAAAAUCUUGCUAUGUAAUGUACGAGUAUUUUUCACUGAACCAUCCGACUUCGUUGGGCUUGAAUAUGACUCAUUUGAUUUCAUUUGUGUAAUGCUUGCAGAUAUUACUUUCGUUGGUGUUUUUUUUUAUUGCUCUACUUUCUAACACAUGAUAGUAAGGCCGAGUACCGGUCUAGGGUCAACCCUAGACUAAUCUUGGACUAGCCCAAUCCGGCCAACACUGGGUCUGUGUCCUUAGUCCCAGAACCCAAAUUUCUUGAAAAAAUUUCAAAUAAGGGUCCAGGGUUCUAUCAAUUUCUUAAAAAAAGAUUUAAAGUGUAUUUUUUUUUUCCCAAAAAAAGACCUAAAGUUGCCAUAGGAGUUUCAGAUAAAGGUCUACCUCACCGACUGGUUAAAUAUUCUGGCCAAAAUUUUUUUGUCCAAAGACAAUUUUAAACCAAAUUUUAAUUAAAUUAGUUUAAAAAUUAAUCUAAAAGCUUUUCAAAAAAAAAUAUAGAUGCAAUGUGGGGCCCUCACCAUUGGUCGGCAAGGGUUGUGGCCCUCAUCGAGGUACUUGCAACCUCGACGCCCUAUCGGCUAGGGGUGAAAGAUUUUAGGUUCAGUACAUAUUCCACUUAAGACUUGAAACUUACACAUUGGAACACAUUCCUUAUUUUUUGGAACUUGAAACUUAACUUGCAUAUCCUAAAACCUAAAACUUACCAUGUCACAAGUUCUAAGGUCGAUCCUAUGGUCUAUCUAGGUUCCAUCUAUAUUAUCAAUUGACCGAUUGCAAUGAAUUAAACCUUUAAUAAUCACCACUUGUUGCUACAAUUUACUUCAUAACUUAUAUUCAAACACACGAAAAAUAUGGACAUUAAUAUAAAAUGGAAGCUCAGACUAGUGCUUUUAGAUUAUACAUUCAUCAUCGAAUGACAUGGAAUAUCACAAAAUCGCAUGAAGAUAUGGACUAAGAAAAAUAUUAAAACUUGUUCUAGAUUAUAGGUUCCAAUUUCAAGUUCCAAGUUCCUCUAAUCAAGAGCCUAAAACCUACUCGUCGAAAUAGAUUCCUCAUUUUUGGGAGACUAGAAUCUAUCUUGCAUAUAUUGGAACUUGGAAUCUACAAGUUCUCAUCGAUCUAAUUCUCAAGUUACAAGUUCUACUUUAAAACCAUGCUCACCUCCACUACCAACAAUGGGUCAGCAAUCACAACCUUGGGUUUUUAUUUUUUUGUGUAAGUUUCUUUAUUUUUUUUUAUUUCUUUUUAUGUUUUUACCUCUUUUUUUUUCUUUUUUGAUUUUGUCUUUUUAUGGAAUUUUUUUUGGAGUUUUUAAGCCUAAUUUAAUUAAGAUUUUGUGUGAAAAUUAGGAUUCGGAUUAAAACGAUAUCGUUUUAUCACUUUAGUUAACCUUAAAGUACGUAGAACGCUACGUGGAAGAGAUAAGAUAUUUAAAAAGUUAGGUCAACAUUUUUCGUUAGUUAAGUUAAAUGGAGUUAGUGGAAAAACUCAAUUUUUAAACAAAAUUGAGUCUGCCUGUGGCUUUCAAGGGUAGCCUUGCUCGAGUAAGGUGAGGGCGACCCUCACCUGGCCCUCUCCACGUAUGGUUGGUGGCCUUCAAACCAGCCACUGAUGAAAAAGAAAAAAUAAGAAUAAGGAAAAAAGAAAAAAGGAAAGAAAACAAAAAAGAAAAUAAAGAGGGAAAUGCCAUUGACUAGCCAAUAAGGUCGUGCCCUUUUUUGGGGCACAUAUUUGCAAUAACAUUCACUUAAUUCCUUUAUUUAGAACCUUUCCUAAUUUCUUUUUUCACCAACUCUUAAAAAAAGAAAAAGGAAAUUCCCUUUUGAAGGCCACACGUGAUCGAUGCCCGUCCUUAAGAUUGCCGUCUCUAAUAGUUUUGCGUUCAUUAUCCUCUUUUCUUUUCUCUCUUUCUUCCAGCACGUUCAGCUCUGUCAUUUCAGACAAUUCAGCGGAGCCUUUUCCUAGGGUUGUUGAGAAAAAUAUCAAAUACAAUGUCAAGUCAUUGAGCCCUCUUUUGUCGAGAAUAGCAGCUGUCAAAUGGCCUCAUACGCAUCUCACUUCAGACCCAACAGGCUGCCUACGGUGGGCCCAUUCCAGUUUGAUCCCCGCAAAUUUUCAGCAAAAACCGGUCCUCUUCCUUUGCUGAAACCAGUCCCACUUCUAGCUCUGACAGCCCUUUUCUAGUUUUGUUUACAUUAAAAUAAGGCCUUGAGUUUGAACCAGUUAAUUAACACGGUCCAAAGCAAGUCCGAUCGAAUUGAUGAAAUUCGACCGCCUCUUCGAUUUGGUUCGAACCUGCAAUAGAUUCCUUACAUGUGUGUUCAACCGCUACACAUGAAGUUUGUCGUCUACUUUCGUUGAAUUCUCUUCACAAGCAGCAGCAACAUCUAAUGAAGAGCCUUCUUCUAGUAGUAUAAUUUUAUAGAGGAGGAGCUAAUGAUUGAGUAGAAAUAGGGGAGCUUGUUGGAAAAUCUUGUCAACACGAGAAGCAAAUACAAAACAAAAGAAAGAGUAAUCAUUGGUUCUGGUGGCCCCUCGGUCUUUUUAUUUUUUUAUUUUUUUUUUAUUUUGUCUUUUCUUUUUCUUCCGUUUAUCUGACCGGAAGGGAUUCUCUCUCUUUGGUGUAUAUUAUGAAAUUUGUUCCAUAAACACCGUGGGUAUUUGGUGUAAUUAUGGGACUGGAAAUUACUUAAAAGUGUGUCAUCAAUUGUAAUCGUGUGUUCUCCAAUUUACUAGUAGGUCAUUAACAGCUUACUCUUUUUACUAAUACAAGUUUCAACAUUUGUAUCGUAUGACAAUAAUUUCUUGUGUCAUUUAUUAUUUCUCAUUUUAUUUUCUCUGAAAAUUUUCAUGUGUCCAUAUAAUUGUGAAGGUUAUGCAUAUUCAAUGACCCUCCAAGAAUAACCUAAUAUGGGGAUGAAUUGAAGUAAAGAGUUGCCAAUGUUCAGUUCUUCUUUAAAGUAAAAAUCAUUGAUAUUCCCUAUAUGGAGGAAAGAAAAAUAUACACAUGCAAUUAGAGAAUGCAGGACGUGUAGGCACUGGCAUGUCAAAAUAAGGAAUGCAGCCCUACUAAGUACCACACAAGAUGGGACCAUCGUUUAUCAUUCCUCAUUAUAUUUUCUUUGAAAAUUUUCGUGUGUCCAUAUAAUUGCGAAGGCCCGGUCCCUUCUCUGACGGUUUACUGCAACCUCCAGCUGUAUUCACGCCAUUCUAGGUGGACAUUGAUAUAGCUAGUAUAAGCACCUGGAGGGGGGUGAAUAGGUGUAAAAAUAAUUUCUUGAGAUAUGAAAACAAUACUAGACAAAUCAGAAAGGAAGCUCUCCUUUAGUUAACAAAUCGAACUAUGAUUAAAGUAAAGUAGAGAGUAGGGAAGAGAAAAUUGAACACAAAGUUUAUAGUGGUUCGGUUUAUUCCAAGCCUACGUCCACUCUUCUGCACUGACAGCCCACUGGCUGGAUUUCACUAUGAACAAAAGAGAUGUUACAGCACUGCUUUCCCUUGAUUCCACAGUGUAGAUAUUCUAUCACACUUCCUCAAGGUAUCUCAAAAUAUAGACUCUCUUUUGUGUACAAGAUUUCGCUCAGUAAAUAAAUUGACUAAAAAUCAAAAAGCUUCAGACUUUGGAAUUCUUCUAUCGUGCACACCUCGAACAACUGGAAUGACUUCCUUUUAUACUCCUUUGUGCCAUCAUAUCCGUUGGCACUUACCAAAGGAAUUCUUUCAAUCCUCCCGUUGGACAGAAUCAAUUAGGAAGAUUAUUCGAGCUAUUAAAGGAACAUGUCGAUAGCCUAUCAAUCCUGCUCGCCUAUACAAUCAGGAUCUUGGUUUCCAUAAGUAGAACCUUCCAAGAAUACUUCGUCAAUCAUUGGAUCUUUAAUCAUUCUUGAUUUGAAUAAAGGAAUCCGUUAUGUCAUAUCCAGCCAAGAGAUCUUCUCCAGUUGAUAAGGCCAAAUCCUUAAUGAAGCAGUUUUGGAUAGCCUUUCUUCAACGGAUUAGAAACUGUCAAUAAGAAUAGACUUUGAGUCUUGAGUCAGGUAGUCUGGAGGUCUUCAGACUUUAAUAGAAGAGUCUGGAAAACUUCAGACUAGACUGAUAGAAACGUUUUGUCAGCUUCAAAAUAUUCCAGAAAGAUUUCUCCAACAAUCUCCCCCUUUUUGAUGGUGACAAAACUUUCCUGCAGAUUUUAAUAACUUUGACCUGCAAAACAUUACUCAAGCAAAUAUGGAUAUCUCAUAAAGAUUAAUAACUUAAUGAUAACACUAGAAUCUGCAACCACAGAAAAUAGGUUAGUCUUGCAUGAGAGUAAAUCCAUUUAUAAGAUAUCAAUAGUACUUAAUAUAAACAACAGUCAAAUCCAAAUCCACGUUCAGUCAAUCCUCAUCCAGACACAGACACACAAGUCAAACAUCAAAACAAACUAAAAAUUCAACAAGUUUAAGUUCAAAGAUUUCAAAUUUCACAUCUCUCCCCCUUUUUGUCAUCAUAAAAAAGAAGUUGAGAUGGGAAUAGAAUGAAGUCAAGUUUGCUUGGGAAUGCGAACAAGAUGGAAAUCUCCCAUGGACUGGAUGAUGCCUUCCAGCUUUUUCAAUUCUUCCUUCAGUUGAUCCACCUCUUCACCUUUAGCAUUGGCUUGAAUCUGAAGAGUAAGGGCUUGGAUCUGCUCAGACAAUGAAACGGAAGAAGCUUGACCAGCAUUCUUCAAGUUCUGAACUUCGCUUUCCAAAGCAUAUAUCUGACCCCGCAAUUCCAAAAGAACAUUAAUGAUUCUGCAAAAAUCUGCUGAGUUAUCAGUCUACGUAUUGGCUUCGGCAUGAUUUGAUGGAGUAAAGGCAGACGAUGGUAUAUCAGCAUAAUCACGUAGAUUUGGCGAUGAAGCACCAUGUCCCUCCUCAGGAAAUUGAGAGGCAUGAAUGUCUUCUGGAUCUGCUGGAGAGCGACUGACUCCUUCACUGGUAACAGGAUAUGAGGACAUUCCUCUAUUUUCACCAUCUCCCCCUGUUUCCAUGGCUUCAAGUGGAGAAGAGUUUUCCUCAUGCUCUCCUUCCUCUUGAUUUUCUCUUUCUUCUUCUUCUUCAAACCUUUCCUCGUCUGUUUCUUUUUCUUCAGCUUCUUUCUCCUUUUCUUCCUUCUCCUCUGCUUCUCUCUCCUUUGCUUCUGUUUCUUCUUCUUUCUCCAGUUCUUCUCUCUCCUCUGCUUCUUUCUCCUGUCGUUCCAUUGAUUCAGGAACAGAAUGACUCAGCUUCUUUAAUGCUAUAGCAAAAAUUGUGAGGUCAUCCUCAUCAUCUUCAUCAAUAAUGAGAGCUUUUCUUUUCUUAGAUGGAGCAACCAUGGGUUCCUUCCCUUUCCUUUUCGUUGCUGAAGAGACUUGAUGAGAUUUGACAGGGGUUUUCUCCUUAAAUUUCUCCAACGCCUUGUCAAGCUCUUUCAGACGCAUUUUGGACACCAUUUUUAGUCCUACCACCAUUUUGUUAUAAGGUCGAACACAGAGAAUUUGUGGAUGCUGAAUAUUCAAAUGUCUGAAUAUCUUUGACACAAGACCUGGAUAAGGAAGUUGGCCCUUGUCCUUUACCACUGCUCUAUACAUGUGAAACAGAAUAGUGUGAGGAAGAGAACUUUUUCCCAGCAUUGAUGACAUACAUCAGCUUUGCCUCUAAGUUAGAAACAUUAGUCUUGGAAGUUGAUUUCGGUUUGAGGCAAUUGAUCACAAUCUUGUGAAGCAGAAUGUUGAACGCAUGCAUCCUUGAGUAGGAACUUCCCUUUGUCAUUCUGUCUUUAACAAGUUCCAAUGUGGCACGAGCUAUAGAGACACUGAUGGGUUGAUAUCUCCCUCUCUCAACCCCAAUAACAUAUGCCAACAUAUCCACAUCCACUACAAAGUCCUGAUCUCGGACACUGAAAGAGAUUCUAUUUGCAUUAAAGAAAAUUGAACUUUUCCCACAAAUUGACAUUCAUAGCAUCAAGGAAAUCAAAAUCUACACACAGAACUGUUCAAGUUGAAGAAAACUAAACUUUUCCCGCAAAUUGACAUUCACAGCAUCAAGGAAAUCAAAAUCUACACUCCUAGGGUUUAUCACCCCACGCUUCAACAAUUUGGAGUAUAGAUUUUUUGUUCCCUCGAUCUAAACAACUUUGUUCUUUUUCCUCAAAUUUUCGCCGCAACACCCAUUUUCGGUUGAAAUUGGAUGUACAAUAUGUCAUCAUCAUUUCCAUCUAUCGGAUUAAAUCCCCUAACACACAGAUCACUUGGGAUAUUUGCAAGGGUUUUUUCUGCCAACCCCUUAGGAGCAAUUUCCAAACUCUCUAUUUUUCGCAAAAAUAUGUACUCAUUCCCAUAUCCCUUGUCCUUAAGAAACUCAUCGAUGUAGUUCAAUGGAGUACCAAUACUCUUUAAAGCACGGUAAAUCUUAUAAAUAAAAGAGGGCUUUUGAACUCUUAUAGGAUCUGCGUCUUCGACGAUUUCUUCCUCUUGUUGAUGAACAGCAUUCUGUGGACUAGAUGGUGGAGAAUGACGCUGCUGAGAAUGUUGUGGGCUCUGCUGCUGACUUGGUGACUCCUCUUCCUCGGUGAGAUCAAAGUGAGUAGGCCCCUUACUCAUUCGCCGUGGUCCCCUGCUUGCGAUCCUCGAAGACUUUCUUGAAGAUGACAUCUUUCUUAGUCUUUGAGAGAUUCCUUGCUUGACUUUCCCAAGAAAGAUGUCAACUUUUUCGAAGAUUAAACAAGAGAGAAAGACAGGAAUGGAAGAUCGAUGCUUUUUAGGGUUUUCGAGUUAAGUGAAGAGGAAUCGUCUGUAUAUAGUUUAGUCGAAGAGAGGCAUACCAAACGUUGUAAACGAAAGUAAAAGAUGCCCCUUUUAAAAAUAACUGCAUUUAAAAAAAAUAGAUAACUGCCAACUUUGAAAUAUUAACUCCUUUUUGAAAAAGAAAAAUUGCACUUUUCACAGAAAUUGAAGAUAGCAUAGAUCAAUUAUAAAUAGAUAAAUGAUCGUACCUUUCCGAGAUAAGAGAAAAUAAAAUAACUUACAGUCAAGAACCAUGAUUGUCUGAGACUGUGAGUCUCUAGACUUUAACUUCUUCAAGCUUCAAGAUGUUGAGUUUGGAACAGAUGAUUUCAAAUUGAUUUUUCUCCAAAGGCUUCGUAAAUAUAUUCGCCAGUUGAUUCUUUGAGUCAACAAACUGAAUCGAAACUUCUCCAUUUUGAACAUGAUCUCUAAUGAAGUGAUGUCGAAUUUCUAUAUGCUUUGCUCUUGAGUGAAGAAUUGGAUUUUUGGUAAGAUUGAUUGCACUGGUGUUGUCACAGUUAAUCUCCGUGCAUGAAUCUUCAAUUCCAAAGUCUCUUAAUUGUUAUUUUAUCCACAAAAUUUGUGAACAACAACUUUCGAGAACUACAUAUUCUGCUUCUACAGUAGAAAGAGCUACUGUAUUUUGCUUUCUUGAAAACCAAGACACUGUCCUGCUUCCAAGUAAUUGACAAGUACCCGAAGUGCUCUUUCUAUCAAUUAUGCAACCAGCUAGAUCUGCGUCUGAAUAUCCAAGGAGAGUAAAGUCUCCCUUUUUAGGAUACCAAAGGCCGAUACUUGAAGUUGAAGCAAUGUAUUUGAUAAUACGCUUUGCAGCACUUAGAUGAGAUUCUUUAGGGUCUGCUUGAAAUUUGUCACAAAUGCAAAUACUAAACAAAAUGUCAGGUCUAGAAGCAAUAAGAUAAAGAAGUGAACCGAUGAUACUCCUGUAUAGCUUAUGGUCAACUUUCUUUCCUCCUUCAUCUUUGUCUAUCUUCAAGGAACUUGACAUUGGUAUAUCAAUCUUUUUGUAAUUUUUCAGUCCAAACUUUUUGACAAGAUCAUUAGGAUAUUUUUCUUGAUGAAUAAAAGUCCCUUCCUUCAAUUGUUUCACUUGAAGUCCAAGAAAGUAGGUUAGUUUACCCAUCAUGCUCAUUUCAAAUUCAUCCUGCAUAGACUUAGAGAAUUUCUUGCACAAACUUUCAUUAGAGGAUCCAAAAAUGAUAUCAUCAUAAUAUAUUUGAACAAGCAGAAAAAUUUUGCUUUAUCUUUUGAUAAACAGAGUAGUGUCUACUUUAUCUUUUUCAAAGCCAUUUUGAAUUAAAAACUUACUCAGCCUGUCGUACCAAGGUCGAGGUGCUUGCUUUAAUCCAUACAAGGCUUUUUUCAGUCUGAAUACUGGGUCUGGCUUCCUUGGGUCUUCAAACCUAGGUGGUUGUUCCACAUAGACUUCCUCAUGGAUAAAUCCAUUUAGGAAAGCACUUUUGAUGUCCAUUUGGAAUAACCUGAAAUUCUUAUAACAAGCAAAAGCAAGUAAUAAUCGAAUUGCUUCUAAUCUUGCUACUGAUGCGUAAGUCUUGUCAUAGUCUAUCCCUUCUUCUUGCGUAUAUCCCUUGGCCACGAGUCUUGCUUUGUUUCUUACGACUUUACCUUUCUCGUUCAUCUUGUUCCUGAAAACCCAUUUAGCUCCAAUAAUAUAUUUACCUUUCGGUUUAGGAGUCAACUCCCAGACAUUAUUAAUACUGAAUUGUCUAAGUUCUUCUUGCAUAGCUUCAAUCUAGCUUUCAUCAGAUAAAGCUUCUUCUAUGCUUUUUGGUUCAAUUUCAAAAAUAAGAGCCACAGCACUAGACUCUUCGCGCCUUUUGGAUCUUGUGCGAAUUCUUUCAUUAAUGUCGCCAAUAAUGAGGUCUUUGGGAUGACUGGACUUAUGCUUCCAGUUACUGGUUGAUUUGUCAGGUUGAUGAUCACUUCCUUCAUUUGAAUCUUCAAUAACCAUUUGUUGCUCGUCUUUCAGAGUCUGAGUUGCUUCUUGAGAUUUAGACUUUGUAGAGUCUGGAGCAGCUUCAAAUUUUUCAAGAUAAGUCUGAGCAGAUUCAUUUUGCAUAGAAUCUUGGAAUUUGACAUUUAUUGAUUCCUCCACAGAUUGACUCUUCUUGUUAUAGACUCUGUAGGCUUUGCUUGAGGUAGAAUAUCCAAGGAAGAUUCAUUCAUCUGAUUUUUCUUCAAACUUACCAACUCUAUCAUUUGCAUUUUUCAAUAUAAAGCAUUUGCAUCCGAACACAUGAAAAUAUGAAACAAUAGGCUUCUUUCCUUUGAAUAACUCAUAGGGGUUUUUUUUUUUUCCAGAAUAGGCCUUAGAAAAACUCUAUUGAUAAUGUAACAUGCUGUUGAAACUGCUUCAGCCCAAAAACGUGAAGAUAUGUUACUUUCAAUUAAAAGAAUUCUAGCCAUUUCUUGAAGCGAUAUGUUCUUUCUUUCCGCAACUCCAUUUUGCUCUGGAGUAUAUGGAGAAGAGAACACAUGCUGAAAACCAGAUUCAUUACAGAAUUUUAUAAAAUCAUGAUUUUCAAAUUCACCUCCAUGAUCUGUUCUUAUACUCGAGAUAACAUACCCUUUUUCAUUUUGAAUCUUUUUUGCAAACUUUUCAAAGUAAGAGAAAGUUUCAGACUUACUUGCUAAGAAAUAUACCCAAGUAAACUGUGAGUAAUCAUCCACAAUUACUAGGCAAUAUUUCUUACCUCCAAUGCUCUGAAUUCUGGUUGGUCCGAAAAGGUCCAUAUGCAGAAGCUGUAAUACACGAUUAGUGGAAACUUGAUUUAUUGGUUUAAAGGAAUUUCUUACCUGCUUUCCCAAUACGCACGGUGUACAUAGAUCAGACUUUUGGUAUGACAAUUUGGGUAGACCAUGAACAAGCUUCUUUGCUGAAAUUUUGGCUAUUUGCUUCAUAUUGAUGUGCCCAAGCUUUCUGUGCCAUAAGCUCGCUUCAUCUUGAAUUGAGAUUAGACAUUACGAUUCAUCUGGUUUCACAUCCAAGAGGUAGAUAUUUCCAUGUCUUCGGCUCAUGAAUGACUGAGUAGAAUCUUUAUUGGUUCCUGAACAUAUUCCCUCUUGAAAGUUGAUUUUGAAACCAGUAUCACAUAGCUGACUGAUACUGAGUAAAUUGUAGUUGAGUCAUUCCACUAGGGAAACAUUGCUUAUAAUGAGAUUUCCAAUCUUUACAGUUCCAAAUCCCACAAUUUUUCUUUUGCUGUUUCCUCCAAAUGAGACUUUUCCACCAUUUACUUGAAUGAGUUUUAUGAAGCAAUUUGAGUCUCCUGUCAUAUGUCUUGAGCAUCCACUAUCCAGAUGUCAUUUUACCUUUUUCUUGAUAGUAACCUGUAUUUAAAAGAGAGACUCAAGCUUUCUUUGGUACCCAUAUUUUCUUAGGUCCAUUGGUGUUAGUAUGGUAUGCGGUUUUUGCCCAUACUUUCUUAACAGGUUUCCAAACCAUAGGACACUCUUUUUCAAAAUGAUUUGCACUAUUGCACUUUGAACAUCUGAGAGCAUUUUGACCCACUGGUUUUACAAACACUUUUUGAAAAUGAUUUUUGUAAAAUGUCUUUGAAUGUCUUUGCUUAAUUCUUUCCUUCACUUUAGGAAAAUCAAUUAAAGUGAUGGUUUCUACUGUCAUUCCUAAACCAGAUUUAUUGAAAUAAGGUCUUUGUGCUGAAAGAAUUUUUUCAAGUUUCUCAGAUCCUAUUGAAAAUCUUUUUGAAAUAUUUGAUAAGUCAUUUUUUAAAAAUGCAUUUUCUUUCAAGAGAUUAUCUUCGCUUUCUUUAAGAGUAGAAACAUUCGUGUCUAAAUGUUUCAACUUUUCUUUCAAAACAUUUUCCUGUUGUUUUAGUGCAGAGUUUUCCUUUUUAAGUUCGGAAAUCCUUUUAAGAGAAGUCUUAACACUAAAACAUAGCUCAUCAAUGUAUUUGGAAACUUUAACAGGGAUUUUAAAGUUACUUACCUCAAAUUCACUGUCUGAAUUUGAGUCUGUCUCGGACUUUGAUUCAGAAUCCGAUUGUGCCAUCAGACAUAUAUUGGCAUAAUCAUCAUCACUUUCUUCACACUCUGUAUCACUCCAGGUUUCUGCUUAAGAGCCUUUCGAUACUUUUCAGCUUUUCCUUUCUUCUUUUUUAGAAGAGGACAGUUGGGUCUAAUGCGUCCCUUUUUCUUACAUUCAAAGUAGACUACAUCUUUGUUUGAUUCAUCAUCAUCAACAGACUUGGUCUAUUGCUUUUGAAAACUCUGUUUCUUUGGAUUGAAUCUUCUUCCUUUUCUGUUAAGCUUUCUGAAUCUUCUUAUCAUGAGAGCAAGCUCCUCAUCAUCCAUAUCGUCUUCAUAAUCUGUGACAUCAGAAUCAUCAUUGGAUUUUAAUGUAAUGGAUUUCUUACCUUUAUGAUCUUCGUCUUCAUUAAUUCGUUCCACUUCAUAAGACUGAAGACUUAAUGUAAUGGAUUUCUUUGUGUCUCUCUUAUUGAGGUCUUUAUGUGAUUCCAAUCCUUGGAGAGUCCACGUAGUAACUUGUUUACAUUCAUGGGAUUAGAAAUUGGUUGACCUUGAUUUUGAAGACCAUUCACGAUUUCUGUAAAACGACUAAACAUAUCAGUUAUAGAUUCUCCCGAUUUCAUUUUGAAGGCUUCAUAUUGACCGGGGAGAAUGUUGAUUCUGGUCUCUUUCACUCGAUCAAUUCCUUCAUAGGUGAUAUGUAAUCUAUCCUAGACUUCUUGCUGUAACACAAGAAGAUAUUCUGUUAUAUUCAUAAGAUGAUAAAGCACAAUAUAAAGAAUAAAUUGCUUUUGCAUCAAGAGCUUGUCUCUUGAUUAUCUCUUCCUGAUUCAUUUCACUUGACUCAACAGUUUCUUUUCCUCUAUUUGUGACAGAUGCAGCUUUAGGAGUGAUUCCUUUUUCUACAACGUCCCAUUCCAGAGGAUCUUUUGAUCGUAGAAACGCUUUCAUCUUGUUUUUUCAGAUGUUGUAAUCCUUUCCAUCAAAAGUAAGGUGGUCUGGUAUUGCUCUGCCCUUCCACCAGCCUUGGAGCUAGCAUACUAGCCAUGAAUCUUUAACUCUGAAGUAAAACACUUCAACCAAAGUGAGUACACAGGCUUUGAUACCAAUUGAUAUAACUAGUAUAAGCACCUAGAGGGGGUGAAUAGGUGUAAAAAUAAUUUCUCGAGAUAUGAAACAAUACUAGACAAAUCAGGAAGCUCUUCUUUAGUUAACAAAUCGAACUAUAAUUAAAGUAAAGCAGAGAGUAGGGAAGAGAAAAUUGAACACAAAGUUUAUAGUGGUUCGGCUUAUUCCAAGCCUACGUCCACUCUUCUGCACUGACAGCCCACUGGCUGGAUUUCACUAUGAACAAAAGAGAUGUUACAGCACUGCUUUCCCUUGAUUCCACAGUGUAGAUAUUCUAUCACACUUCCUCAAGGUAUCUCAAAAUAUAGACUCUCUUUUGUGUACAAGAUUUCGCUCAGUAAAUGAAUUGACUAAGAAUCAAAGAGCUUCAGACUUUGGAAUUCUUCUAUCGUGCACACCUCGAACAACUGGAACGACUUCCUUUUAUACUCCUUUGUGCCAUCAUACCCGUUGGCACUUACCAAAGGAAUUCUUCCAAUCCUCCCGUUGGACAGAAUCAAUUAGGAAGAUUAUUUGAGCUAUUAAAGGAACAUGUCGAUAGCCCAUCAAUCCUGCUCGCCCAUACAAUCAGAAUCUUGGUUUGCAUAAGUAGAACCUUCCAAGAAUACUUCGUCAAUCAUCGGAUCUUUAAUCAUUCUUGAUUUGAAUAAAUGAAUCCAUUAUGUCAUAUCCAGCCAAGAGUUCUUCUCCAGUCGAUAAAGCCAAAUCCUUAAUGAAGCAGUUCUGGAUAGCCUUUCUUCAAUGGAUUAGAAACUGUCAAUGAGAAUAGACUUUGAGUCUUGAGUUUGGUAGUCCGGAGGUCUUCAGACUUUAAUAGAAGAGUCUGCAAAACUUCAGACUAGACUGAUAGAAACGUUUUGUCAAUUUCAAAAUAUUCCAGAAAGAUUUCUCCAACAGACAUCACUAGGGAUGGUGCUAGUUUGGAAGCUAGUUUGGUUCUUUAAUUCUCUAGUUCAAUUCUUGUUUGCUUCUAGUCCAGUUGGGAUUAGAUGGUGGCUGGCUUAGGGGCUUAACUAUGGGCAAUUAGAAGAUGGCAAUGGGAAUUAAAAAUAAAAAAAAGGAAAAGUGAGUUUCUCGGAUCAGACUUGAGCUGACCGCGCAAUCGCGCGGAAACGGAAAAUACAUGCUCAUCGUUUAUUCAAUUGAGCUGAAAUGUGAGUUAGUCAACAGGCUGACGUAAACUUGCGUAAAAUUUUUAGGCCGAACAACUAUUAUGAAAUCCACUUUUGAAAGUCUGACAUCACCCCGACAUCACCAUUUUUCAUUUAGGCGGCCAGUACAGGAUCAGCUGAUGUUUCUUAGAAAAAUACAAAUUUAGGAAACUAUAGUUAGAAUUAGUCCAUGAACUAUAUCAUUAGAAAAGAGACUCGAAAACGCUGACCUUGAUACUUAGCUUGCAAUCUUUUGAGCUUGUUUGGGUCUUUAAUUGAUUAGGAGAAGCCAAUUCAAAAUUAUUGAGAAGAAAAUUGAGUCCAAGUAAGAAUCAUAGACUCACUGUCAAUCAAAAUAAUAGCCAUCGGCCGGUGGUUCUCAUGAGACAUUGUCCCUAGUUGAAGAGCGUAGGAGAUCCCUAAUCUUCAUAAGAUAAAUGGAUGACUUAGUCAUAUUGAAACCUAACUAUUAAUGAACUAUCAUGCCUCUAGCUUAAAUGUGCAUAAGGGACGUUGCAAGAAAAAUGAAUGUAAGGUCAUAUAAAAUGAUUGUUUUUAUAUCAAGGAUCAAACUCCGUUCUCAUUGGUGAAUUUGAUUGCUGAAAUAAUUUUCUUUGAAAAUACAUGAUGAUUUCAUCGGUGAAAAUCAUGUUUUAACAUGAUCGUGAGGAAUGUGUGGGCUUGAGAAGUAAGUGGGCCACACGAAUUGGACUUAAGAAAUUGAAUGAGAGAUUAUGGGUUUGGACUUGGCUUGAAGCGGGCCAAGGUUCAGAAUUAUUAGAUUUGUAGAUUUAGUUUAGUGGGCCGGGAUUGUUAUAGAUUAAGCCUAUUGGGCCAAGAAUGAAUAUUUAGGCCCGAAUGAUUUUAUUUUAUAGAUUAUAGUUAUGAUGACUUAAUUAUUGUUUACAAUGCUAAUAUAAAUUUCUAACUUUAGCAUUUUGUGAUGAAUUCUUUAUAGACUAACGUUGACUAGUCGAUUUGUUAUAUAUAUGUUAUGACUUUGUAUAAUUGGGAUUAAGUAGAAACAAAAGGCAAUUAGAUGAAAAUAUUAGAAGCUAAUGAACUAACGAAUGAUAUCGAUAAAUUGUUAAUUAGCGACGAUCGACAGAUGGCGAAAAUCUUCAUGCAUGAAAGCCAUGACACUUUACUCUCUCUCGAUUCUCUCAUCAACACCCACGGUUUUUCUCAAUCCAUAGAACCGAAGAUGGCAACUCCAAGGAAGCAUAAUCAUUAGCCAAACUAAUCAUUACACUAGCCUAGGGAUUAGUUUGUAGACCUAUUUACCCCGGGAUAAGUACACUAAUGAUGCCAUAAGUUGUGUACGGCGCUCACUUUGGUGCCAAAAGUUUCCGUCGGAUCACUUAAGUGCCAAAAAAUUUGAAAAAUGCUCACUUUGGUGCCAACUCCGAUCCGGUUGGCCGGAAAUCCGACGUGGCACUUUUUUAUUAAUUUUUUAAGCUAAUGUGGCUCACCGGGGGAUAAGUACACUAAUGGUGUCAUAAGUUGUGUACGGCGCUCACUUUGGUGCCAAAAGUUUCUGCCGGAUCACUUAAGUGCCAAAUCGGCGGAAAAACGCUCACUCUGGUGCCACCGACGAAAGAUUCCGGCCACCGGCGAAAGAUUCCAGCCAAAAUGAUUUUAAAAAAAAAUCGAUAGGCCUUUAAAUGACGUCGUUUUCGGUCCUCCUUAAGAAAACGACGUCGUUUUGCCCUCCUACAUGGAUGGCUUCAUGGAAACGAUGCCGUUUAGCUCACAUAAGGAUUGAAAUUAGGGUUUCCGCCGCUCGGCCACCGUCGCUCGGCCACCGUCGCUACUCGGCCACCAUCGCUCAGCCACCAUUGUAGUUGCUCGACCAGGUGAGUGAGGAGAGACUGAGAUUGUUGCAGGAAAAAUCGAAGGCGAGGGGGGAGGAGGAGGAGGAAGAAGAUGGGUCGAAGGGCUGUUGGUGCACUGCUGCUGCUGGUGCGUUGCUGGUGUCGUUGCUGGUGUGCUGCCGUUGCUAGUGUAGGUCUUCGAGGAAGAAGAAGACACAAAGACAAGCCUUCCCUCUCUCUCAAUUUGGGGAUUAGGGUUUCAAAGUUGGGGGAAAGAUGCCAAACGGCGUCGUUUUGGUGUUUGGAUGCUGACUCAACUCUCCAACGAGCCACGUCAGCUUCAAAAAUUAAUAAAAAAAGGCCACGUCGGAUUUCCGACCAAUUUCGUCGGUGUUGGCACCAAAGUGAGUGUUUUUCAAAUUUUUUGGCACUUAAGUGAUUCGACGGAAACUUUUGGCACCAAAGUGAGCGCUGUACACAACUUAUGGCACCAUUAGUGUACUUAUCCCACUCACCAGAGAAUGCACCAUUAGUGUACUUAUCCCGCUCACCGGAGAAUACAGUCAGCAUCCUAACACCAAAACAACACCGUUUGGUGUCUCCCCCAAUUCAAAACCCUAAUAUCCGGCCGUCGCCGUCCUCGACGGUCCUUGCGCUCGGCGGCCAUGGCUUCGACCCCGACCUCGACCUCGACCCCAACCUUGACAAUGGCCACUCAAUGGCAGCGGCUCUGACCUCGACCCUGACCCCAACCCCGACCCCAACCCCGACAAUGGCCACUCAAUGGCAGCGGCUCCUACCUCGACCCCGACCCCGACCCCGACCCCGACGAUAGCCACUCGGCGGCCGUAACUCCAACCCCGACGGCGACGAUGGCCACUCGACGGCCGCGGCUUAGACCCUGACCUCGACACCGACCAUGGCCACUCGACGGCCACAGCUUCGACCCCGACCCCGACCUCGAUGAUGGCCACUCGGCGGUCGCAGCUUCGACCCCGACCCCGACCCCAACCCCGACGACGCCACUCGAAAGCCAAGUUGAAACCCUAAUUUCAUCCCCAAUGAGUUAAACGGCGUCGUUUUUGUGAGGCCUUCCAUGUUGGACGGCAAAACGACGUCGUUUAAAGUCUUGUCGAUUGUAAAAAAAAAAGCCACGUAAAGUAUAUUUGGCCGGGAUCUUUCGCCGGUGGUCGGGAAUCUUUUGCCGGGUGGCACCAAAGUGAGCGUUUUCCCUCCGAUUUGGCACUUAAGUGAUCCGGCGGAAACUUUGGGCACCAAAGGUGAGCGCCGUCCACAACUGAUGGCACAGGAGUGGUACUUAUCCCUAUUUUCCCCUCUCUCUCUCUCUCUCUCUCUCUCCAUAUAAAACCGAGAAACCCUCAUCUUCAUCUUCUUCUUUCUUUUUCUCUCGGCUGAGCAGCAAAAAACCAGAAGCAAACCAGCGAUGUCUCCUUCUUGCAUGCUGAUUUUGAGUGUUGAUCUUUAAGCAUCUCUGUGUUGUUUAGUAGCUGAAGCAAGGUAAGGAAAGAUCAAAUCUAAAUUGAAAGUUAUCCAUUGUUUCAUCAAGGGAGCUUGAGGAUCUAACCAAACAGUGAUGGAUAUAGUUUGUAGUUGUUGUUUUGUGAUUGAUCUAAGCUUAGUGAGUGUUAGAUUGAAGGUAGGAGCUAUUGCAUGUCACUCUUGAGUCUUGCAUGUCUCGAAAUCCAAGUGUGAGUAUGCUUUUUUGUUGAGCGAAGUGAUGAAAUGGAUGCCGAGUGUGUUGUUUUGGUAGAAAUCAUGAUAAGUGGCUUACGGAUGCAACGACACUUCGAGCCGAGUUGUGAAAUUGAUCAUUUGUUAGAGAAAGAUAUGCUGAAGUUGCUUUGAGUUGCUGUGAGUAAGCAUUGGAGUACUGUAGAAGAUAUUUGUGGAUAGACAAGUUGUUUUGUUGAGUUAGAAGUGAGAAAAUUUGUGUAUCUAUUCUGUUCUAAGUGAAAACAGUUAUGGAGUCUUCUGCUUGUGUUUAAUUUUCUUUAUGUAUGCUAAUAGAAAUAAGAAAGAAACCAUUCUACAUGAUAGAACGUCUAUAAUAUCAAGUUAUACACGUAGCUAUAAUCAUAUGACUAUAAAAACAUAGAGACAGAAGUGUACUUAGGAAAACCAGUAAACUGUUCUUGUGAGAAACGGUUUGACCUUUACUGAUUAUGCGAAUUUUCUGUAUUCACCUAGUUAGAUUUGGACUUCGAAUCCUUAAUGAAAAUUGUAUAAAACAUCUUAAGGAAUGACGUGUCAAAAUUUGAGACUAAAUCGAUAAGAAUUGGCUAGUGAAACAAUUUUCUUUGUAAAUACGAAAUUUGGACGUCGAUACAGGGUGCUAGUAAAGAUUAUGGCAAUUGUUACUCUUAAUACAGUGAGAAUCAGACUUAAGUUUCUUCACGGGAAUUGUUAGUCUAUGUCUUAAAUAUAACAUACUAAAAUUUGGUAGUAUUUAGACAAGAAUUGAUAUACCUUUUGUAUCCGAAACCGAAACUGUACAUUUAGUUAGGAAACUGUCUAGACCCGAGAACAUAUAUUAGAGGUUGUGUCUUUUAUAUUAGGCUUUUGUGAUGCACGUAGAGUCUAAUAAACCUCAUAAUAGCAGUUAUUCAUAUAAGAGUAAGUCUCAUAUAUCGUGUGAGAUAUAAGUGCAUAUAGUAUCAUGUGUGUGCAAUGAGUGCGGUGCAUAGUGCUUGAUUAUGGGAUAAAUAUCUGUUCGCCAUGGAAUGGGAAAUGACGUAAUGGGUUUAAUCUUAUAAUUUGGACAUGCACGUGUGCUAGUUUCAUGAGAGUUAGUUAUAUACUUUGGAGUCUUUUCUUUUGCAUAAGAUAAAUGCAUUAAUCAAAGGUGUGGUGGUGUGAAACGUGUGCUUAAGAUGAAUGAACCCACCGGUACCGAGAUACCGGUGAUGCCCCUGGAAGUUUGGGAUGCCCCUGCUGCGUGGUCUUGGAUGCCUCGGUAGAGAGAUAUUGAGAUGCCUCAGAGUGAGAUGCCCUUGUUUGUGAUCAAGGAUGCCUCGGUUGUGUGAUACCGGGAUGCCUCGGAGUGAGAUGCCCCUUGCUGUGUGGUCUUGGGAGGACCUCAGUUGUAUGAUGCCGGGAUGCCUCGGAGUGAGAUGCCCAUAAUUAGAGAUAUUGUGGAAGUCCGGAUAACGUACUUUCCGGAAGUGACUCGAUCGGCUAGUUGAAUUCCGGUUAGUGAUUGAUCGAGGGUGGAUUUUAUGCACACUAAAUAUAAUUCUAUUUGGUGAGUGAGUUCAUUUAUUAUUAUUGUUGCAUUACAUCUUGAUAUGAGAUUGAGUUUGAGAAAGGUAAGCAUAUAAAUGGAUGCUCAUAAGGUGAUUAUGUACAUAUUGUGUUAUUAUCCAAUUGUUUAUGCUGGUGAUAUACUUCCUUUAGCAUCCUAAAUUGUUUGAUGAUUCACUUGUAACUUUGAUGGCUAUGGAUUGUUUAAGUUAGAGUUUUAUCAUUCUUUACUGGGCAAUGUUGUUUGCUCAUACCUUACAUUUUCAAAUUGAUAGCAUGGAUGUACCGCCAAUAGCUCGAUACAAGGUGGUAGUGCAUCUUGAUGUUUCUCUUCAUGACGUGUAUGAUCCUGACAUUGACAUGGUUUUCUCCAAAUAUGAGGCGACUUUAUGGCUGGAUGACGGUAGAGCUGAGUUAUUACCGAUGACGUUCGUUGCAUGGUUUAUCAACCAUGAAGGGGAGAUGUUCGGACCUUUACCCUUUGGAGCUGGAGGACCUGGAGCGGGGAUGGAUGGCGCCUAGACGCCUUUGAUCUUGUUGUAGCUGACUGACUUUUGUUUUUUGUUAGACGUGGGCUUGUGUGGGAAGCUCAUGGAGUAGAUAACGUCACCCAUAUCCCUGGCUUUUGUUAUGCCUUACUUUUGUUUUGUAUAUGAUGUAAAUAUAUAGGUGAAGAACAUGGAAUGAGUCCAGGUUGAUAAUUUUGUAUGUACUGAUGAUGAUAAAAUGAAAGGAAGCCUUUUAUGAUCUUGUCUAUGUGCAUUGCAGGAUAACCUUAUAAUAUAAAUUUAGGAUUUUAAAUAAUCCAUGUUAUACAUGCUAACCUUCAAUGGUAAAUACUAUGGGUUAUUUAAAGGAGAUUACUAGUUAGGAAGAUAAUAAUAAUAAUAACUAUAAUUCCGCUUGCGCUUUGUACGUGACACCCUGGGACGUCACAGCUGCUCGUUACAUCUUGUUUACAAAAACACUGUAACAAGCAGCUGUGAUGUCCUAGAGCGUCACGUACUAAGCACAAGCGGAAUUAUAAUUAUCAUUAACAUCUUACCUAACUUAUAAACUCCUUUAUAUAACCUAUAGUGUUUACCAUUGAAGGUUAGCAUGUAUAACAUGGAUUAUUUAUAUCUCAAGUUUAUAUUAUGAGGUUAUCCUGCAAUUCACUCUACCUUCAAUUCAAGUAUUGGCCAAAUCAUUCAUGCACAUAAAAAAGAACACAAGAAACUUCAUUACUUCUUUUCAUCAUCGGGGCUUACAAAAUUUAUCAACCUGGACUCUUUCCACGUUCAUCGCCUAUAUAUACAACAUAUACAUUACAAAAGUGAGGCGUAACACAAGCCAUGUAUAAAGGGGUGAGGGAAUCUACUCCAUGAGUUCCCAUACCAGCCCGCAUCUAACAAAAAACAAAAGUUAGUCAGCCUCUACACGAUCCAAGGCGUCUAGGUGCCGUCCAUCCCCGCUCCAGGUCCUCUUGCUCCGAAAGGUAAAGGUCCGACCAUUUCCCCUUCAUGGUUGAUAAACCAUGCAACGAAUGUCAUCCGUAUCAACUCAGCCCUACCGUCAUCCAUCCAUAAAGUCGCCUCAUACUUGGAGAAAAUCAUGUCAAUGUCGGGAUCAUACACAUCAUGAAGAGAAACAUCAAGACGCACUACCGCCCCGUAUCGAGCUACUGGCGGUACGUCCAUGCUAUCAAUCUAAAAAUGUAAGGUAUGAGCAAACAACCUUGCCCAGUAAAGAAUGAUAAAACUAUAACUUAAACAAUCCACAGUCAUCAAUAUUGCAAGAGAAUCAUCAAACAAUUUAGGAUGCUAAAGAAAAUAUAUCACAAGCAUAAACAAUUGGAUAUUAACACACUAUGUACAUAAUCACCUUAUGAGCAUCCAUUUCUAUGCUUACCUUUCUCAAACUCAAUCUCAUAUCAAGGUGCAAUGCAACAAUAAUAAAUGGACUCACUCGCCAAAUAGAAUUAUAUUUAGUGUGCACAUGAUCCACCCUCGAUCAAUCACUAACCGGAAUUCAACCGGCCCGAUCGAGUCACUUCUGGAAGUUACCUUAUCCGGACUUCCAUAAUAUGGGGUAUCAUGGGCAUCUCACUCCGAGGCAUCCCGGUAUCACACAACCGAGGUCCUCCCAAGACCACAUAGCAAGGGGCAUCUCACUCCGAGGCAUCUCAGUAUCACACAACUGAGGCAUCCUUGAUCACACACAAGGGCAUCUCACUCCGAGGCAUCUCAGUAUCUCUCUAACGAGGCAUCCAAGACCACGCAGCAAGGGCAUCCCAAACUUUCGGGGGCAUCACCGGUAUCUCUCUACCGAUGGGUUCAUUCAUCUUAAGCACACGUUUCACACCACCACACCUUUGAUUAAUGCAUUUAUUGCAUUUAUUGUAUGCAAAAGAAAAAGACUCUAAAGUAUCUAUCUACUCUCAUGAACCUAGCACACGUGUGUGUCCAAAUUAUAAGAUAAAACCCAUUACGUCAUGUCCCAUUCCAUGGCGAACAGAUAUUUAUCCCAUAAUCAAGCACUAUGCACCGCACUCAUUGCACACACAUGAUUCUAUAUGCACUUAUAUCUCAAAUGAUAUAUGAGACUUACUCUUAUAUGAAUAACUUCUAUUAUGAGGUUUAUUAGGCUCUAUGUACAUCACGAAGACCUAAUAUAAAAGACACAACAUCUAGUAUAUGUUCUCAGGUCCAGACAGUUUACUAACUAAAUGUACAGUUUCGGUUUCAGAUACAAAAGGUAUAUCAAUUCUUGUCGAAAUAUUACCAAAUUUUAGUAUGUUAUAUUUAAGAUAUAGAAUAACAAUUCCCAUGAAGAAACUUAAGUCUAAUUCUCACUGUAUUAAGAGUAACAAUUGCCAUAAUCUUUACUAGUACCCUGUACCGACGUCCAGAUUCUUUAUCUACAAAGAAAAUUGUUUCACUAGCCAAAUAUUAUCGAUUUAAUCUCAAAUUUUGACACGUCAUUCCUUAAGAUGUUCUCUACAAUUUUAAUUAAGGAUUAGAAGUCCAAAUCUAACUAGGUAAAUAUAGAAAAUUCGUAUAUUCAGUUAAGGUCAUACUGUUUCUCACAAAACAGUUUACUGGUUUUACUAAGUUCACUUCUAUCUCUACAUUUUCUAUAGUCAUAUGGUUAUAGCUACGUGUAUGACUCAAUCUUAUAGAUGUUCUAUCAUGUAGAAUAGUUUCUUUCUUAUUUCUAUUAACAUACAUAAAGAAAAUUAAACACAAACAGAAGACUCCAUAACUGUUUUCACUUAGAACAGAAUAGAUACACAAAUUUUCUCACUUCUAACUCAACGAAACAACUUGUCUAUCCACAAAUCUCUUCUAAAAUACUCCAAUGCGUACUCACAGCAACUCAAAGCAACUUUAGCAUAUCUUUCUCUAACAAAUGAUCGAUUCCACAGCUUGGCUCGAAGUGUCGUUGCAUCCGUAAGCCACGUAUCACGACUUCUACCAAAACAACACACUCGGCAUCCAUUUCAUCACUUCGCUUAACAAAACAUCAUACUCACAAGGAUUUCGAAACAUGCAGUCCUCAAAAACAACAUGCAAUGGCUUCUAACUCUAAUCUAACACUUACUCAGCUUAGAUUAACCACAAAACAACAACUACAAACUAAAUCUUUCAUCGUUUGGAUUGAUCCGCAAGCUUUCUUGACAAAACAAUGGAUAACUUUCAAUUUAGAGUUAUAUCUUUCCUUACCUUGUUCAGCUGUUAGACAACACAAAGAUGCUUCAAGAUCAACACCAAAAUCUCGCAUGCAAGAAGAAGAAAUCACUGGUUUGCUUCUGUUUUGUUUCUGGUUCUACCGCUCAGCUGAGAGAAAAGAAAGAAGAAGAUGAAGAUGGGUUGCUGGGUUUUAUAUGGAGAGAGAGAGAGAGGUACAAAACUUAAGGGGGAAAAUAGGUCUACAAACUAAUCCCUAGGCUAGAGUAAUGAUGAAAUUUGCUAAUGAUUUUUUUCCUUGAAGUUUACAUGUCUCGGUUCGUGGGUAUCAAAACCGUGGGUGAAGAAAAACAAAGAGAGAAGAGAGGUGUCGAGAAUCGAGAGAGAGAAAAGUGUCAUGGCUUUCAUGCAUGAAGAUUUUCGCCAUCUGUCGAUCGUCGCCAAUUAACAAUUUAUUGAUAUCAUUCGUUAGUUCAUUAGCUUCUAAUAUUUUCAUCUAAUUGCCUGUUGUUUCUACUUAAUCCCAAUUAUACAUAUCGAAUGACAUAACAUAUUGACUAGUCAAUGUUAGUCUAUAAAGAAUUCAUCACAAAAUGCUAAAGUUAGAAAUUGAUAUUAGCAUUAUAAACAUUAAUCAAGUUAUCAUAACUAUAAUCUAUAAAAUAAAGUCAUUCGGGCCUAAAUAUUCAUUCCCGGCCCAACAAGCUCAAUCUAUAACAAUCUAGGCCCACUUAACCAAAUCUACAAAUCUAAUAAUUUCGAACCUUGGCCCGCUUCAAGCCAAGUCCAAGCCCAUAAUCACUCAUUUGAUUUCUUAAGUCCAAUUCGUGUGGCCCACUCACUUCUCAAGCCCACACGUUUCUCACGAUCCAUCGGGUUCACUUUCUGGCCCAAUCUAAUUAAUCUAAGUUCCUAAUGAUCUAAUUACACUAAUGAAAGUCAAUGAAAUUUGGGAUGUCACAACUCUCCCCUACUUAGAAAAUUUCGUCCUCGAAAUUGAAGUCUUACCUUAUUCACUUGAAAAGCUGAGGAUACUUUUGUAUGAUCUCUUCCUCAUUUUCCCAAGUUGCUUCCUCUGAAUCAUGGCAUCGCCACAAAAUUUUGACUAAAGGUAUAGUCUUAUUCCUCAAUACUUGCUCUCUUCGAUCCAAAAUUUGCACAUGCUCUUCUACAUAUCUAGUUCUUUCAUCUAUUUCUAGUACCUCAAAAUCUAACACAUGAGUUGGAUCCGGCUCAUAUUUCCUAAGCAUAGAUACAUGAAAAACAUCAUGAAUACUGGAUAGCUUUGGUGGUAAUGCUAUUCUAUAUGCUAACUCUCCAAUCCUUUCUAAUACUUCAAAAGGUCCUAUAAAUCUUGGGCUCAACUUUCCUUUCUUCCCAAAUCUUGACACAUUCUUCAUAGGUGAUACUUUCAAAAAUACAUGAUCUCCUACAUUGAAUUCUAAAGGUCUACGACAUUUGUCUGCAUAACUCUUUUGUCUACUCUGAGCUGUCCUGAGUUGUUCAUGUAUAGUCUUCACUGCUUCCAAUGUGAUUUGAACUAUUUCUGGUCCUGUCAACUUUUGCUCUCCAACUUCAUUCCAGCAAAUAGGGGUUCUACAAUUUCUACCAUAUAGAGUUUCAAAUGGAGCCAUACCAAUACUUUGCUGAAAACUAUUGUUAUAAGAAAAUUCCACUAAAUGUAAUUUCUCAUCCCAAUUUCCUUUGAAAUCAAUGACAUAAGCUCUUAGCAUAUCUUCCAAUGUUUGUAUAGUCUUCUUUGAUUGCCCGUCUGUCUGUGGAUGAAAGGCAGUACUAUAUUGGAGUUUAGUUCCUAAGGCAAGUUGAAGACUCUUCCAAAAAUUUGACGUAAAUCGCGGAUCUCUAUAUGAUGUUAUGGUUACAGGAACACAAUGUAGUCAUACUAUUCGUCUAACAUACAAUGUGGCAUACUUCUCUAGUGAAUAGUCUAUCCUGAUAGCUAAAAAGUGUGCUGACUUUGUUAAUCGGUCUACUAUUUCCCAGAUUGAGUCAUGACCGCUUGAAGUCCUUGGCAAUCCUUCUACAAAGUCCAUGGUUAUAUGUUCCCACUUCCAUUCUGGAAUUUCCAAUGGUUUUAGCAAUCCUGCAAGCUUUCGAUGUUCAGCUUUCACCUGUUGACAUGUCAGACAUCUUGCAACAUACUUAGCAAUAUCAGUCUUCAUUCCGUUCCACCAAAAAUAUUGACGAAGGUUCCUAUUCAUCUUUGUACUUCCUAGGUGAAUACUAUAACUACUAUGAUGAGCUUCAGUCAGAAUUUCUCUCUUCAAUUCGUCACUACUAGGCACACAAAAACGUCCAUGAAAUUUAACUAUCCCAGAAAAUUCAAAUUUGAUUGGUCAGAGGAAUGUGAGCAAAGUUUCCAAGAACUCAAGAGGAGAUUGACGACGGCACCAGUGUUAACAAUACCCAUAGGAUCUGGAGGUUUUGUGGUGUAUAGUAAUGCUUCUCAUAAAGGAUUAGGAUGUGUUCUUAUGCAACACGAGAAAGUUAUAACAUAUGCAUUGAGACAAUUGAAACCACAUGAAUUGAAUUACCCUACCCAUGACUUAGAGCUAGCUGCCAUUGUUUUUGCUUUAAAGAUUUGGAGACAUUAUCUUUAUGGAGAAAGAUUUGAAAUUUUUACGGAUCACAAGAGUUUAAAGUAACUAUUCUCUCAAAAGGAAUUGAACAUGAGGCAAAGGAGAUGGAUAGAUGAGAUGGAAAAGAUAUUUGCAUUACUGAAUUGUACUGAUGUAGAGAAGGUAUCAUUAGUAGAAUAUCAACUUCAAGGAAAUGCUGAUUAUUGGUGGAAAGCGACAAAAGGAACAGUAUUCACUGAAGGUGUAGAUGUGACUUGGACUGGAUUUGUAGGAGUCUUCUAUAGUAAGUAUUUUUCAGACUGUGCAAGGGAUAAAAAGGCAAUGUAAUUUAUGCAGUUGACCCAAAAUAACUUGACUAUAGAUCAGUAUGAGGCGAGAUUUGCUGAGCUCUCUAGAUUUUCCUCUAGAUUAAUAGAAUAUCCAGAGGAUAAGGCUAAGAGAUUCUUGAAUGGGUUAAGGUCUAAUAUAAGAGGAUGAUUGGUGCCUUUGAAUUUGAAGGAUUAUAGUGAAUUGUAUGAAAGGGCACAGCUAAUGGAAAGAGAUUUGAUGUCAAGAAACCAGACAUCGGCAUAUCAGGUAAGACCACAAUCUCGAGGAGACUCAUCAUCGGCAUAUCAGGUAAGACCACAAUCUCGAGGAGACUCAUCGAAUUUUCGUUAUAAUAAGAGAUCUCAUUAGGUUGGAAAGUGUGGAAUAAUCAACCAAUGGAACGACCACAGUAUGGUAACAAUGAGUGUCGUCGGUGUGGUAGAUCACAUGGGUUUGGACCAUGUUAUAGAACAAAUGUUUGUUUUAAUUGCGGACAGUUAGGGCAUUAUAUGAGAGAUUGUCCUCAGAAAAGAAUGCAGCAGCCACAACCACAACAGAAUUCAGGUAGACCAUUACCACCAAGAGAUAACCAACAACCCCCAGCUCAAUGAAGAAUUUAUGCGAUUACUCAGGAUGAGGCUGAAGGGUCUCAAACAGUUAUUACAGGUAUCAUUUCCUUGCCCAAUCAGAAUGCUUAUGCUUUGUUCGACACUGGAGCAACUCUCUAUUCCUUUGUAUCUGCUCAAUUUGUGCGACUGAAUAGGAUGGAACCUGAAUUGUUAGAAGUGCCUCUUAGUGUCUCUACUCCAUUAAAGGAUGUCAUUUUAUCUAAUUCAGUGUGUAGGGAUUCCACUAUCCAUAUAGGUGGACAACACUUGUUAGCUGAUUUGAUGGUGUUAGUUAUGUAUGACUUUGAUGUAAUUCUAGGAAUGGAUUGGUUGCAUAGACACCGAGCUAGUGUGGAUUGUUAUAGGAAGAUGAUUCGAUUUGACCCACCAGAUAGGCCAAGUUUUGAAUUUUAUGAUGGAAAGACAACUCCCUCUAUACCUCUUAUUAAUGCAUUAGAAGCCCACAUAUUUCUUAGAAAUGGUUGUUAAGGGUAUUUGGCAUAUGCAAGUGAACAAACCAAGAAGGAAGUACAACUUGAGGAUAUCCGUGUAGUACUAGAAUUUUCUAAUGUAUUUCUCGGGGAAUUGAUAGGAUUACCCCUAGAGCAAGAGAUUGAGUUUACUAUUGAAUUGGCACCUGGUACAAAACCCAUAUCGAAAGCUUCUUAUAGGAUGACGUUGACAGAAUUAAAGGAAUUGAAGGUACAAUUACAAGAAUUACUUGACCAAGUAUUUAUUAGACCAAGUGUUUCCCCAUGGGGUGCACCAGUGUUAUUUGUUAGAAAGAAGGAUGGAUCAUUAUGCCUUUGUAUUGAUUAUAGGCAAUUGAAUCAAGUGACAAUUAAAAAUAAGUACCCAUUACCAAGGAUUGAUGACCUAUUUGAUCAAUUACAAGGAGCGUCAGUUUUCUCAAAGAUUGACUUAAGAUCAGGAUAUCAUCAAUUACGGAUAAGGAAAGAAGAUAUUCCUAAAACAACUUUUCAAACUAGAUAUGGACACUAUGAAUUUUUGGUUAUGCCAUUUGGAUUGACGAAUGCCCCAGCAUCUUUUAUGGACCUUAUGAAUAGAGUAUUUAAGUCUUUUAUGGACCAAUGUGUGAUAGUCUUUAUAGAUGAUAUUUUGGUGUAUUCAAAGAGACAAGAUGAACAUGAAGAACAUUUAAGGAUUGUGCUCCAAACUCUUAGAGAACACAAACUGUAUGCUAAAUUUAGUAAAUGUGAAUUUUGGUUGGACCAAGUGACAUUUUUAGGACAUGUGGUGAUCGGUGAAGGAAUAUCGGUGGACCCAGUUAAAGUUGAGGCUAUGAUUGAUUGGCCUAGACCAUCGACAGUGACAGAAAUACGAAGUUUUCUAGGUUUAGCUAGAUAUUACCAAAGAUUUGUAGAAGGAUUUUCUUGAAUUGCAGGACCUUUACCCUUUGGAGCAGGAGGACCUGGACCAGGGAUGGACGGCGCCUAGACGCCUUGGAUCGUGUAGAGGCUGACUGACUUUUGUUUUUUGUUAGAUGCGAGCUGUGUGGAAACUCUGGAGUAGAUACCCUCACCCUUUAUCCCUGGCUUGUGUUACGCCUUACUUUUGUUAUGUACAUGUUGUAUAUAUAUAGGCGAUGAACAUGGAAAGAGUCUAGGUUGAUAAAUUUUGUAAGCCCUGAUGAUGAAAAGAAGUAAUGAAGUUUCUUGUGUUCUUGUUUAUGUGCAUGAAUGAUUUGGCCAAUACUUGAAUUGAAGGUAGAGUGAAUUGCAGGAUAACCUCAUAAUAUAAACUUGAGAUUUUAAAUAAUCCAUGUUAUACAUGCUAACCUUCAAUGGUAAACAUUAUAGGUUAUCUAAAGGAGUUUAUAAGUUAGGUAAGAUGUUAAUGAUAAUUAUAAUUCCGCUUGCGCUUAGUACGUGACGAUUUGGGACGUCACAACUGCUCGUUACAGUGUUUUUGGUAUCAAAGCAUAAGAUUUAUCUGGAGUGAUAAGGUGCGGUAGUGACUAUGCGUUAGGAUAAUGAUAUUUUCUUUGUAAGGAACAAGUAACUUAUGUUACUCAUAGGAUAUCAAUAACAAUUGUUGCAGUUGUUACUUAUUUGUUUUGUAAGGAGACUCGGUAGCCUAAUGAGUAGUGACCGAUGUGCAGAAACCAGGAAUUGUCAGGAUGAGUAGAAAUGGACGAGGAAUGACCAUGGAUCCCUGUGUGGAAGGAAUCUUGGAAGCACUUGCUAAUGUAGGAACCUUAUUGGAAAGGCAAGCCCAACAACAGGUAGGAGGUGACCGUAGAAUGCAAAGCUUAGUAGAACAAUUUCUGAAACUAAAACCCUCUAGAUUUGCUAGAUUAGGAGAUCCCGUAGAGGUAGAAUUAUGGAUAGAUGAAGAUGGAUAGUGUUGCUGUUAGUCCUUUGGAUAGUGAAGAUCAGAAAUUUCAAUCAAAUUGAUGAUUGAAUUAUUUUUUAUUUUUACUUUUUUGGCAAAAUGUAAGAAUAUAUUGAGGAAAUGUCAAAUGUACAAAAGAUCUCGUCACCAGAAACUUACACUCCAGAUACAGGAACAAAGGAAGUGGAAGGGUGACAAGAUGUAAAAGUCGCAAAGCGCGGCACACACACUACAACACCAAAACCAAAAGAAGCACGGCAUGGACAACUAGCUACCAAACACGCCACAGGCGAGGAAGAGGUCAUCGUUGAAUUGAACUACCUAUGAGUCCCCAGUGAAAAUAAUCAGUAUCUAGGCCCCAACUUCUCUGCAACCUUCUAUUUCUGAAAUUAUCUUCGAUGUUCUUGAAGGUAAUAGCCUUGUCUCGGACCACUUUGAAGAGGUGGUUCUUCAUGGCCAGAAUUGUCAGGGGCUGGUCUCUAAAGAUGAUACUAUUCCUGUUUUUCCAAAUGAUAUGACAAAGUGCGCCAAAGGAAAAAGGGGCAAAUCUUUACCCACUAAAUAGGUAGCGGCUCAGCAGAGGUUCUCCCUCCAAGUUCUGUUGCGCUAAGGCAAAUUGCAUCUAGAAACCCAAAAGAAAGCAAUGCCAGUUAUGACACGGCAAUAAAAAAAUAGGCGAUCAACAAAGUCGGGCAUACUCUUGCAAAAUGCACAGGCAGCUCUUUCAAUUCUACCAUAAGACAGAAGGAGAGCCUAGGUUAGAAGUUUGCGCUUGGCAAUGAGCCAAAGAUUAAGCUGAUAGCAAGGCACUAUGACGUUGUCCCACACGAAGGAGUACCAAUGGACUCUCGUUCUCUUCUUCAUGAUAGAGUUCCACACCAUUGCUACCAUGAACCGACCCGAAGAGCUUUCUCGCUAGCAACAACGAUCCAGGUCACUCGACAGGAUCGGGAGAGGAUAACCCCAUGAUUCAAGCACUAUCCUAAGAGCUUAGCCAACAUCUGAGAAAAGGUCAGCAACACAGGCCUGCCAAGAGAACCCUGAGCUGUAGAUAAGUGAAUCCGAGAAAAGCAGGUUUAGGGGCCCCUUAGGGUGCCAAUUAUCAAACCGAAUAGAGAUUGUUUGGCCAUCGCCAUUUUUCCAGUAGAAAGCCAUCCAGAAAUCACUCAUUAGGUUCAACAAGCUCUUCCAAGCCUAAGAGCCAAAGGUUGGCUUCCUAACAACCCAAAAGUUCUUGUUCUUUAAGAAAGUGGAAUGGACCCACCUACACCACAACGCUUCCUUGUUAGAGAACAAGAACCAGGUAUGCUUCAAUAUGACGGCUUUAUUGCAAUCUCGAAGCCUCCUGAUACCUUGCCCUCCUUCAUCCUUUGGAAGGCAAACUUCAUCUCAAGCUACCUUAGCACCACCCACCCCUGCCCAGGUCCGGACCUUUCCAUAGGAAUUGUCUAAGGAUUUUCUCUAUCUGGUCCACUACAACUAUAUAUAAAACAAAUACACUAGCCUAAUAGGCUUGUAUAGUGUGAAGAAUUAACCUUAUAAGCUAAAGCCGUCCAGCAAGAGAGAGGAAUCUGUGAGUCCAAAACUGAACCCUAGCAGCGAUACGGUUGACAAGGGCACAAGAGAGAGGAAUUGGUGAGUCCAAGAUUGAUGAUUGAAUUAUUUAUAUAGUAAUUUUGGAAAAUUGACAUGCUAUCUUACUAAAGCAAAAGUGAGUGCAUAAUAAUUAUGCAAAAGUGAGUGCAAAAAUUAACAUGAAGUAGUCCACUUUGGGUGCUUUUGCCGCUGUUUUGGCUUUGCCCUCGUUCUUUUACCUUGGCACCCUUCCACUCGCUCUGACUUUUGUGUUCAUGAGUAUAAGUUUUUGGUGCCGAAUUCUUGCUGUAUAGCUUUAUAUAACUCUUUGGUUUAAAGUCAAUAUAAUCUUACCUUUUACCCCCCAAAAAAAAAGUUGAUAAUACAAUCUGUGAAAUUCAAGAUAGAACAAGACAUCAUAAUUUUGACAGGAAUUUUCGAUCUUUGGUAGCUGUAGAUUACAUUGAAUACUAAACUUAAGUAAUAAGAUUCAAUUGCAUAAAUUAAGUACAAGAUUUAAUUGCAUAAUUCGCGUAAGUUGUUGGACCAAUAUUGAAAUUAUUAAAACGAAGAAUCUAAUUUUACCUAAUUCGAUGAAAUGGAUGUGCGAGAAUCAACAUGACCAGCACGUUUACUCCAUUUCGUAGCCAAAAGAUAUAUAUAUAUAUAUAUAUAUAUAUAUUUCCUUUAUUAUAAUGUGGACGGCAUAUAUUUCGGCAUAUAUUUCUUUUUCUUUAUUGUUUUGGGUUGGUUUCUCGUGAAGUGAAGAGGAUAAGAGUGUAUAUUUAUAUCCUGUUUUCCACGCAAUAAUCGCAGAAGUGCAAGGUGAGCAAUAGCUGAAAGCUUGGCCAAUGGAGUACUGCCCUACUUCGCCCUUUUGGCUCGGCCUCCUCCUCCCGGCGCUUCUAUUUUUCCUUCUCAACCGUUGGAAGCGCACCAAGCUUCCCCCUCAGCCCCCAGCAUGGCCCAUGAUCGGCAACAUCCUCGACCUCGGGAUCAUGCCGUACCAGAACCUCCACAGCUUCCGAGCCGAGCACGGGCCUGUCACGUGGUUGAAGCUCGGUUCUGUGAACACCAUGGUGAUCCAAUCAGCUCAGGCCGCCGCAGAGUUCUUCAAGGGCCAUGACAUGGCAUUCGUGGUUGACGGCUCUCGGCUAUGACCAAGGUUCGCUCACCGUGGGUCGUUACGGCUGCUACUGGCACGUUCUCCGGCAUCUCUGCUCUGCAGAGCUCCUCGUGACCAAGCGCAUCAACGAGACGGCCCAUCUCAGGCAGAAGUGCGUCGACAGCAUGAUCGGUUAUUUAGAGAAAGAAAUGGCAGCUAAACAAGUAACAACAGGUUAUUUCUCAUGUGCUUGGUGUUCCUUUUGACUUUUUUUUUUUGAAGAGAGAGUAGGGAGGGGGACGUCUCUUUAGCUCCUUAUAAAAUAUCAAAGCAGAAUCAAGAUCAUAUACACUACAAGAUAUUUCCACUAGUGUCACAACCACUUCUCGAUUAUUAAUAUAGGUAAAAUCAAUGAUUAAGACAUGUUAAGACUUCUACAAAAGUGCGGCUAAGAGGAAUGAUCCCUUGCGUCAAAAUAAUGCAUUUCAGUGAAGAAUACAACUUGCAACUAGAUUUAACUCAAAAAAAUAAAAUAAUGGGACCUGUUUUUUAGGGAUAAAGGAACGACGGUUUUUGAACUUUUGUAAAGUGUUCAAUCAGGUUCCAGAAUCUUUUUUGUGUGUGAAUUUGGUCCUCAAAAUUAUACAUCAGCUGACCCUCCUUAUAGAUGUGUAGAUGGAAUGAUAAUGAGGAAUGUCGCCCCAGCACUAUAAGUUAGCACUGACUGUACCAACUUAUUUGGUGACAUUUAUUUAUUUUUAAACAUAGUGCUGAUAUGGACAAGGAAAAAAAAAUCUAACUAAUAAUUACGCACAAGGGAAUAGAGGGCUGGCUGGCCAGUGUGGGCGGCAGCCUCGCGGCACGACAUGGGUCGUUGAGUGCAUGCCGUCCGCGACUCCCACCUCCCAUCCAAGCACGUCCCCCCUACUUUAGUAACGAUACUUCUUUUUAUCGUUUUUUUUUUCAAAUUUCCUUACUUUUCAUUUUUUAAUAAUUAUUUUUUAAAAUUUCCAUAUUUAUGAAUUCUGUGUUAUUCCAUUUUAAAAAUUUUAAAUGCCACACAGAAUAUCAUAUUUGCAUUCUGUAAGACUUAAAAGUGUCACGUCAUUACUUCUAUUUCCUUUUUUAAUGAAAUGACCAUGUCGGAUAUGAAAGUAUAUGAUUUAAGGAUGUAAUUGUACAAAAAAAAAUUUAGGGACCUAAUUAAACCUUUUGUAAAGGUUUAGGGACUGCUCAUACUUUUGUCCCUUGGUUUUGUGUACUGUAAUUGACAAAGUCAACAAAUUAACUAGUGUAAAUAACUCAACUUACCCAAGAGCUACUGUGAUUAAAUAUGUUAUUUAGUCCAACUCACGUUCAUUCUUUUCGAGUUCGAGUCUAACUAGAGUGACUCUACCGUUAAAUUACUGCAAGCUCGUGCAGCUUCAUCAUUGAAUUGAGCCAAACUCGAGCGUGAUCAAGAAGUUGGGUUUCAUAUAUCUUCCGUUGCAUUUAUCAAGUGCAUCUCUAUAAAAUUAAAAAGCAUGCAUAAGUAAACUUUCCACUCAAUUUUAUUUGUAGAAGUCAACUUGAAGUUUUCAGAGUUUAGAUGCUGUAGGAAAUGGAUUCCUAAAAAUCGAACCGAUACUCGAAUGAUCAAAUAGCAAAAAAUGAAUAUGGAAACGAGUCCAGGAAACAUGUAACACUGAUCAAAGGUAUAUUACGGAAAUAGACAUACCUUACUUGCCACAUAUUAAGUACCAUUGCAGUCUCAGAUGAAUCAGUUAAAGCCCUAGAGUUCCAUUCUUUAAGAGGGAGUAUACUAUUUUAAGAGGAAGAAAAAUGGAAAAGCGUAUUUUCUCUCUGAAACGCUAUAGGUAAUGUUAUCCCAUUUUAUUUUUUAUAUUAUAUAUUGCAAUUAUUUUCAGUUAGAAAAUAACUACCCUUUCCUCUUAUGAGCCAUUCACUUAUGGGUCUAGUUUUAGCCCAACAUGAGCAAAUGGACUUAACUUGGCCAAUCAAAUAAAAAACCAUAAUCUCUCACUUGCACAUGGUGGGUCAAACAUAACAUUUUCUUCAUCUUUCUGUAACAUUCAUAUCAGUAAAUAAUCCGUGCAACCAGUAUAUUUUAAGAGCUCGUUGCCAUACAUCUGUUGAUAAUAUAUAAUAGCUCAUAAUAGGUAUCACAUUUUUUGAGUAAAUAUAGUAUACAACAUCAUAAAUCAAUUAAUCACAUUUAUAUCUCUCUUGAUUUCUUUUUAAUAAUGAUAAAUUGUAUUCACAAUUAUGAUUAUCUCAAAACAAUCAUAAUUUGUCAACUAGUGAAUAUAAAAUUAGAAUGUAAUUUUCCAAACUUGAUAUUCUUCUUUCCUUGAAACUCUCAAUUUUAAUUCAACUUGCUUUUCUAGAAAUAUCCCAUUAGAUUGAAUCAAUUCAUGAUAAUUGAAAACAUUCUAAAAUAACAAACACUAAAUAGAAAUAUUGAGAAUAAGAAAGAAUCAUGAGGGUACUUAAUUGAGGAACUCUUUUCCUUAAGAGUCUCACAUGGCAUAAAAGUUAAGAUAAAAACUUUUACUACUCUUGUUGAUCAUCUCAUGCAUACGUAGUAUGAAAUAUGUAUUAUAGUAUUAACUCCUUUCCACAGAGUAUAUAUUUAUACUUUCAAUAUCGUACAAAUGAUAGUUCAAACAAACCUAAUGUCUAAUUUGAGUUCACGUAUCUAUUCUUUCACAAAAUUCAUUAGAACUCACAUUUGGCAUUAAAGACAGAUAUAGUAAAAUAUGUGGAUUAUUUUACUUUCGGACAUAGUAAAUAUUAUGUCAUUAUCUUAAUACUCAGUUAAGGUGACAUUUAUAUUUUAAGUUUGAACUCUCGAUUAUCACAUAGAUAAUAAGCUUAAAAAAUUGUUUCAUUUCUAUUUAUCACAUAGUAAAUAAAUGUGAUUACUUGUGUGAGUGGGCUACUCUCUUAUCUGACCAACAUACUUUCUCAAUUUUAUAUGAUGCACUAAGCAUUAAGAUGCAUAAACAUCAAAUAAGACUCAUAAGCAUUAAUAAUAAAAAUACAAAUUCAUUAAAUGUGAACAUUUAAGGGAUAUUACAAUAUUCAAUACAUCAGCAUCUAUGUAGUCCUAGAAAUUUUACAUAGCCACAGAACACAUCCCUAGGUACUAGCUUCAUCAUAAGAUCUACUAUCACUCUAUAGGUAGAUAUGUACUGUAAGUUUACAUCUUUUUGUGCAACUAUAUCUUUUACAAAAUUAUAUUUGGUAUAUACAUGUUUGAUUCUGUCAUGAUAUUUUGGUGUAUGCUAUUGUUGUUUGGUUAUCACAGUUAAAUAAUGAGUUUGCAACAUUCUUAAUAACACCUAAAUGAUCCAAAAAUUUCUUAAAUCAAACCCUUUCUUGUAUUGAUAUUAAUAAUGCCACGAACUCAACCUCCAUCGUGGACAAUAUUAUAUAUGUUUGUUUCUUACUACUCCAAAAUAUGAUACCAUCAUUUAAUAAGAAAACAAAUCUAGAGGUAAAUUUCAUUUCAUUUAAAUCUCCUCCUUAGUUAGUAUCUGAAUAGCUUUCAAGUCGCAAAUUCUUUCCUUAAUAACUCAACGUAUAAUUAACAUAUCCUUUCAGAUACCUCAGUAUCCUUUUGACGGCUUUCCAAUGUGCUUGACUUGAAUUGGAUAUCUAUUUAUCAUUCAAAUUACAAAACAUAUGUUAGGUCUUGUGCACAUCAUAGAGUACAUUAAAUUUCCAGCAACACUACCAUAAGGAAUAUGUUGCAUUUGUUCAUUCUCUCGUUGAGCCUUUGGAUAUAUUCUAUAGCUUAAUCAUUCACCUUUUACAAUGGGAAUAUGUAUGAGUUUACAAAAUUGCAUACGAAAUCGUUCAAGAACCUUAUUAUGUAUUUUUCUUGUGAAAGAGACAAUGAUAUUCUCGAACAAUCUCUUGAAAUUUUAACUUCGAGAAUAUAUGUAGCCUCACCCAUGUCUUUCAUAUCAAAGUUGGAAGAUAACCAACUCUUGACAUUAUUAACAAACUCCAUAUUGCUUCCGGCAAUCGGUAUAUCAUCAACAUAUAAUGAUAUAAUCACAAAUUGAUCUUUGGAUAUUUUGAUAUAUACACAAUGAUCCACAUCAAUCAUUGUAAAAUCAUAUGUCAUUAUGGUAUUAUGAAAACAUAUAUAUUAAUGUCUCGACGACCGCUUAAGGACAUAUAUAGAUCCCAAAAGUCAACAAAUCUUUUGUUUUUGGCAUUUCAAAAUGAAACUAACAGGUUGUUUCAUAUAUAUUUUUUCUUCUACUUCUUCAUUGAGAAAAGCAGUAUUUAUAUCCAUUUGAUGUAACUUAAGAUUCAUACUAACUACUAUUGCCAGAAUAAUGCAAAUCGAAGUAAAUCUAAUUACAAGAGAAAAUGUUUCGUUAUAAUCAAUUCAUUUCUAUUGGUUAUACUCAUUUGGCACAAAAUGAGCCUUAUAUCUUUCUAUUAAACCAUCGGUUUUAUGCUUUUUAUUUUUUUAUUUUAUUUUUAUAAUCCACUUGUUUCCAAUGGCUUUGUGUCCUUUUGGAAGGUUAAUCAAUUCCUAAAUACGGUUUAACUUCUUUGACUCCAUUUCCUUUUUCAUUGUAUGCAUCCAUUUUUUCUUACUAGGGAAAUUUAAAGCCUUAUUUACAUUUAUUGACUCAUAUUCAUCUUAUGGAGCAACCAUAAAAACGUCGACGUGGAAUAUUUUUGUGACUUAUUUUCCGUACGAGAGAUAGUACACUUUGCACAUUAUUCUCUAUUAUGCUCAUACUCAAAUUAGAUAAUGACGAUAUCGUCUCAUCAUAUAACUAUAAUUGAGAGUAAGUCAAAUUUAAUUCCUCACUUCUCAUGUUACUCCUACUUUGACAAACUCUACCAAGUCCAUUAUCUUGAUUCAAGGUUUCAAAUAGUGAGUAAUCCUCACAUAUUUGCUUUUCUUAAGAAAUUCAUUCUUUAAAAAUGUGACAUCCCGUGAUUUAAAUUCAGUUAUAUUCUCACUUUUCUGCUCACUUAUAAAUACAUACCCUUUCGAAUGUUCUGAGUAUUUUAUAAAAAUACUCUUCUUGCCUCUAAGACCCAAUUUCUCAUACUUGUGAGAAGGCUCAUGAGUAUAGGCAGUACAAUCCUACGGUUUAAGAAAACUUAAGUUCGGUUUUCUACCUGUCUAUAACUUAUAUGAAGUGAAAGUAACUGGUUUGAAAAACACACGGUUAAGUAUAUAGACAGCAGUUUAUAAAGCAUCACCCCAAAAGGUGAGAGGUAAGUUAGCAUGCGUUAUCAUAGAUACAACAAUUCUCAGUAGAGUUCUAUUUCUUCUUUUCAUAACACUAUUUUGUUGAGGAGUAUAGGGAAUAGAAAAUUGUAUUUCUAUUCAUUUUUCGUCACAUAAAUUUAUGAAUUCAUCAGAAAAAUAUUUUCGACCUUGAUCGAAUCUCAAUACUUUUAUUUUCUUAUUAUAUUGAUUUUCUACCAAGCUCAUAAACUUUUUAAAACAACUAAAUACUUCAGAUUUAUGAGAAAUCAAAUGACAUAUAUGAAUCGAGUAUAAUUAUCUAUAAAUGUGAUAAAAUAAAUAGCAUCAUGCCUUCCUCUCACAUUUAUUAGACCACAAAAAUUAAAAUGGAUUAAUUGCAAAGGAAAUUCAGCUUUCACAUUUUCCAAAUUGUUUCGUUGUCGUUUUCCCUACUAGGCAAUGCUUAGAUAUAGGCAAAUAAACUUUUCUAAUGUUGCCUAACAAGCCUUCUUUGACUAGCCUAUUCAUAUGUUGUUGGUCAAUAUGACUAAGUUUAGCAUGCCACAUAUUCACAUCAUUAUCAUAUGAAUUAAAAGACGCGAAGAGGGAAUAAUAAACAUUAAUAUUACUAUAGAUUGCAUUGAAUACAAUAAAACCAGCUAAAAAAUAACUACAACCAUAAUAGUUUGUAUUCAAAUACAAAUCCACACCAUUAUUAUGGAAGUUUAAAUUAAAAGAAAUUUUUACCAAUACUAAAACAGACACUAAAUUCUAAUAAAUCUCCAUAACAUAUAAUACAUCAUGUAGAAAUACGGUGCGUUCACUACACAUGUUUAAUUGGCAAGUGCCAAUCUCUUUUACUUUAGCAUUAAAGUUGUUUCCUACAUAGAUCCAUUUAGUUCCAGUUGGUACUCGUCGGAAUUCUACGAAGAAUUCUCUAUCAUUUGCUACAUGGUUCGUUGCUCCUGAAUCUAUAGUUCACAAAGGAUUAUAUUCAGUUAAGAAUACAAAAUUUGAUGCAUAAGCAAAGUUCUUAAGAAUACAAUGGGUGUUUUUCUUCUUUGGCUAGUGAUAGUUGCAAGCAUAGUGACUAUUCUUGUCACAACUAUAACACUUCACCAUUGACAACUUAUUCAUUCGAGAACAUUUUCUUCUUUCAUGUUGGUCAACUUUUGGUUUCUUUCUCGAAGAACUUGCUUCCUUACCUUUCCACAUUUUGAACGAAUCAAGACGUUUGUGCUUGGAGCUCGAAAUCCCUUGUGAGCUAGGACCAUCAUAAUAAAUAUCAGUUUACAAUUUAGUUGCCAGGAGGCAGUCCUCUUCUAACUCAAGAUGGCGCACUACAUCCUCAAAGUUUUUAAUAUUCUCGUUGUGUGUCAAAUGCACCUUCAUAUGCUCACAACUUGGAGGCAAGGAACGAAUCACUACUUGCACUUGUUGCUUGUCAGUCAGGACAUGGCCAACAUCUUUAAGCUCAUUAAUCAUAUUUAACAUCUUUCUCGCGUAUUGUUUUAUGAUCUGACUAUGAGGCUUAUUAUAAGAGUCAAAUCUCAUAAUGAGCUGCCUUGGUUUUGUCAUUGAUGUAUGACCAAAUCUUGUUGCUAAUACUUCCUACAUUUCUUUGGCAUUCUCAAAACGCAUGAACUCUCACAUGACAUCAUUUUCCAUGCUACUCAGCAAUGUAAUUCGAGUAAAGGAGUUCUUUCUUUACCAUGUAGCAAAUGCAUCAUUAUCUAUUUUAUGUUGUGUAGUGUUCACAUCUUCAGGUUUUUCCAUAAUCAGGUUAAGAGCUUCUAAUGCCUUUUGCUCUUCAAGCACAUAUUGGAUUUUCAGAUGCCAUAAUUCAUAAUUAUUGUCGUUCAGCUUCUCACCUUUGUUCAAUUCAGCGUCUAUGCUCUUAGUUGUCGAAGUCAUUGGAUCUAAACAUAUCAGACACAUAUGCAUGAAUUAUUAACGCCUCUCAUUUAUGCAUUCAUUUUGCAUAAAGUCAUCAUAUUAAUGAAUAAUUUUAAAUAAGGUUUUAGAAUCAAAAUGUCACUAUGUUUCCAAUCAUCAUCUAAAAAUUCUAAUUCAAAAUUAUCAUUAAUGUAGUCUUCUAUGCAAAAUAAGUUCUUUGAAGCUACAAAAUUUUCUAUGAACUACCCACAACGCUUAAUGAUAACAGAAGCAAUUGACAUUGAAUAUCCAUUAAUGAUAGAAUAAAAAUAAUUUCAUAUAAUAUAACAAAUACAUCAAUUGCUACAACGACAUCAAUAUGGUAGAAAUUAUCUAUAUAAGAUAUUCAUAAAACAUACUAAAUAAAUGCUACUAGAAACAACUAAGGCUAAGUCAACCUAUGAACAGGGAAAGAUUCUUUUAAUUUCUUGGAAAUUUCCUUUGUAAAUUCUCUAGGCACAUUUGGCAACCACAGAAAAAUAGACGGAAAUCCUUUAGGAUUUCUCCUUCACACUUUCAUCACCCCAUGGAUUGAACUCAUUCAUUGGGUCAAAGUCUUUGUGGCUUCAAUCCUAUAAUAUUCCUUCAAAAAAGCCACUAUAAAUUUCUUAUAAUCAAGAAUCAAAUUGACAUCCCAUAGGCGAUUCAACAUUCCUUGCCAUUCAUAUAGAAGAAUGCUAAUGAAGAAUCGCACCAUCUCAAAAGCUGACAUGGGGUAACCCUUCCAAAUGACUUCUUGUAUCUUUUUAUUGACCUUGUAAACAUGAUCAAAUAAAUUACCAUUUUCGCAUUGAUAAUUAGCCAACUCAGUUAUCAUCCUUGCAAGCCUUGUCCUUUGUCUUUCCGAAUGUGCGCGAAUAGGUGUACGUAUACGAAGGGGAGACGUUGUUCUUAUAACAAAUGCAAAACGAAAAAGGAUUACUUAUAAUCCAUAGGGACAUACUUGAAAAAGAAACGAUCAAUGGUCAAAGAGUCAACUGUCAAUGUGGUCAACAAAGUAAAUGGUCAACGGAGAUUAGGUCAGGUCAAACAGGUCCAACAUGGGUCAGGUCAAACUGAUUGACCCGACUAGGUGAUGUCAUAGUGACAUCACCAACAAGUGCCACAUGUGUGCAUGGGCAACCUCGGCUGACGUCACCAUGACGUCAGCUAGCGAGUGUGGCGCCGCAAGCACCCUAAAAAUUGUUGUUGCAUGCGCCAACGAGGCCUUUUCUCCUAGCUGUGCGUGGCAACAUGUCUGACAACCCACAGUGGCGAGCCACUACUUAUUUUUAUCAUCUCAAUGAAAACUACAACCCCGCACUAUCAAAAAUGAGUUUUGAUUCACCAAAAAUCAAAAAGGGAGGCGAACAAUACGAGCAUGUUAGGAUUUCCAUCCUUGAGCAUCAGACGGCAACCUUUUUCAAAAUUUCAUCCAAAAACAAUUUAUCAACAUCAACAUUGAUUGGGAAACAUGAACAACAUUACUUUGAUACCAAUGUAGGAAACAAAUUCCUAAAAAUUGAACCGAUACUCGAACGAUUAAAAACCCUAAAACGAAUGUGGAAAUGAGUCUGGGAAACAUGUGUGACAUCCUGAAAUUCGAUCCCGUUUCGAUAAAAUGAAAUGCGCAUAUUGUCAGCGUGCCUAUCCUCAUUUUUCUUUGAGCUGAUCACUCACGGGUUAACUAAUCUAUUGGGUGAAGCCGUUAAGGGAUAUAUCCGCGGUAAAAUCCCUAAAAGCUACCUAAUUUGUUAGAUUGGACUAAAAUCACGUUCGAUCGAUUUUAAUCAUGAAAUUUAAUUCGGUUUUGGGAAUCGAAUAUCCGAGCGUGUCACAAUUCAUUUUUAGGACCUCGUCUCAUUGUCCGUCAAAUUAUCGACGAGUCCGAAAUUUCAUGAAAGAAAUUAUUGGAGGAAAAAAUCGAAAACUGGAAGAAAUUAGAAAGGGAAAUGGAAAGAGAAAAGAAAAUAUAGAAUAGUAUUAUUCUUUUUCUUUUUCUCUCUCUCUCCCUUUUCUCUCUUUCUUUUCUCUCUCUUCUCUCUCCUCUCCCCUCCCCCUCGUACGAAAACCCUCCCCACCGACCGCCCCUUGCUGUCUUCCACUUUGCUUUCUUUUAUUUUAUUUUAUUUUUUUGACCAAUCAAAUCUCUCUCUCAUCUCUCAUCCCUCUCUCUCUCGUCACUCUUUCUUCUUCCUUCUUCUCCGUGCAAACGAACGGAACCAGAAGCUGAAGAAGAUCGAAAGCAGCAGCAGCCACCAUUGUCGCUUGUCCCGCCGCCGCACCGCACGCCCGCGCACACCGCACCUCCACCGAUCGCCGCCCGUGCGCCGCCUGUGCUUGCCGUCCCUGCCGCACGAUCCAACCUCUGUUCGGCCUCUGUUCAACCGCCGAGAGCGGCUGAGCAGGCCGCUGGAGCCACCGUCCGGCCUCACCGGAGCUCCGCCCGCUCUCCUGACCUCUUGCCGCCCCCAACCCUCUCUGUUUCUCUCUGUUUUGCAGCUGAACCAGCAAACCCACAAGUGGGUUUCCAGCCGGUUCGUGGUUGGUUUUGGGCCGUUUCCGGGCCUCGAACCCGAGCUGUGCUUUGGGAAGAAUCGUUCCUCGCGUCGCCCCCGUCGGAUUGAUUCGAUUUGCGCGCGAUUUGGUGAGUAAUCUCACUAAUCCCGGAUUAGUUGGCUAAUUAUGCUUAAGGUUGGUUUAGUUUUAAUUAAUUAUGUUAGGUUGUUAGAUUAAAAUAAAUUAGCAAUUAUUAGUCAAUUGUGAUGCGAUUUAGAUAAAUUGAUUGUGUAAUUAGCAAGUAGACGUGGUCUACUAAUUAUUGGAAGUGUCUCGGGAUUUUUCCCGACCCUUAGUGGGCUCCAAUUAGGCUUUUCGGGCCUAAGGGGAAUUUUUAGUAUUUAAAUAUUAAUUUUCGGAAUUAAAUUAAAUAAUUAUUUAUUUUCCGAAAAUUCAACUGGGAUGGCCCGAAACCGGAAUAUUAUACUGAUGACUGUGGUGAAGUCUGUUUAUUUAAUCGGGCUUUAUUUUGAGCAGAAUCGAAUUUUUAAUAUUAAUUAUUUAAUUUUCGAAUUUAAUUAAUUAAUUAUUUAUUUCCGAAAAUUCAAUUGAGAUGGUAAAUGACCAGAAUAUUAUGCUGAUGACUGUGGUGAAGUCCGUUUAUUUAAUUGGGCUUUAUUUUGUGUUAAAUUGAAUUUUUAAUUGUUAUUAAUUAAUUAUUUUUCGGAAAUUAAGAUUUUGAUGGCCGACGAUCGAAAUCUCGUGCUGAUUGUCGUGGCGCAGUUUGUUUAUUUAAUUGAGCUCUACAUUGCAUGAAAUUAAAUAAAUUGCGAUAUUUUAGGGAUUUACCCUAAAUUGGUUGAAAUUGAAUUAUUGAUUGGUAGUUGGAUGAGUAUGGCUAUUUAGCAUUUUGAAUGCCUUGUUGAGCUGUAAGUGGAGAGAGUGGUGAGAACUAACUGAGAAUUCUAUUGGCUGAGACCGAUCAAGUACGAAGUAUAGACAAGCAUGGUUCGGUGAUAAAGUACAUCACUGUGCGAAAACGACGCCUUAAAGAACGCACGUAGACUGUCUAUGACUUAUGGCAGGCAUGGUUCGGUGAUUAGGGAGAUCACUGUGCGAAAACGGCGCCUUAAAGAACGCACGUAGACUGCCUAUGAAUAGUGACAGGCGUGGUUCGGUGAUGAAGGACAUCACUGUGCGAAAACGGCGCCUUAAAGAACGCACGUAGGUUGUCAGUGAUUUGUGACCUAUGACGGGCGUGGUUCGAUGAUGAGGAAUAUCACUGUGCGAAAACGACGCCUUAAAGAAUGCACGUAGACCAUUUGUUACUUAUGUCACCUUGGCGAAAAGAACAUUGAUGGAGCUCUAUGACUAAGUGUACUAUUGGAGGUUAUGUGGGACGGAGUGAAUGACCUAGAAAUGAUUCGACUGACUUGUAAUCGACUAGGUCGAUUAAUCGAUGAUUUAAUCUGAGUGUGAUUCAAUGUGAUUGAUCAUUGCCUUGAUUUGAUGUUGCGAAUUGAUUGAUUGAAUGGAAAUGACCGUGAGUGGUCUUGUUGGCAUAUAAUCGACUAGGUCGAUUUGAUCGAUGUUUCGAUCGAUGAUAUGAUUGCUUGAGUGCCUAUUGUAUAUUAUGCUGACUUGCAGGUGGGAUUUGAGGCCAAGGUAAGUCAUUUGCCCUGUGCGUGGUUAGGCAGCCUGUAGUAUAAUAGUUUACUAAUCUGGCCUUAAUGGGGUAGAACUCGCUGAGACAUAGUCUCAUCCCGGUUUGGGGAAAUCAUUUCAGGACCCCACUGAGGAGCUGAGGAGGAGGAAUCUGAGAAGGAUUUUUGGAAGAAGAAGAUAAUCCCGAGAGGGGCCUUGAGUACGGCCCGGGUGAACUGAGAUUCUAUUUUCUUUUGAGGUCUCCAUUUUGAUGUGAAUAGAGUUUAGAGUAAAAAGUUAUGAAGUGCUCUGGUUUGUGUUUUGUAUAAAAGUUUGGUUAUAAGUUUCAAUAUGAAAAAUAUGGCUUUGCUUUUCUAUCCCAUCGUUUUAUUGUCUGGGGAUUGUAACUGCUUCCGCAUGUGCUUAAUAAAAGAAAGGGUCGGCGAUACAUAGUCUUGGGAUAUCGCAUUAUAAAAUUGACCAAGUGAGAAGGAUGUGUCCGUGCCCGAGGAUCGGGGCGUGACAACAUGUAAUAUCGAUUGAAGGCGACGGACAUACCUUGCUUGCUAUAGAUUAAGUACCAUCGCAGUCUCAGAGGAAUCCUUUGAAGCCCUAGAAUUCCAUUCUUUAAGAGGAAGUAUACUGUUUCAAGAGGAAGAAAAAUGGAGAAGUGUAUUUUCUCUCUGAAACACUAUAGGUAACAUUAUCCUAUUUUAUUUUUAUUUUUUAUAUUGCAGUUAUUUUCACUUAGAAAAUAACUACCCUUUCCUCUUAUGAGCCCUUCACUUACGGGUCGGGUUUUGGCCCAACAUAAGCGAAUGGGCUUAAUUUGACCCAUCAAAUAAAAAACCAUCAGAUGCUAGUUUAGCUUUGUUAGUGAAGUAGAGUCGAAAACAAGCUUAUCAAGCACUUUAUUAAGUUCGAGUUGAGCUAAAAAAAAGGACCUUUCAUAUUGAACAUUGCAGCAUACAUAGUAAGACAAGUAGAACUCACGAGUAGUUUAGAAGACAAUCCCUCUCGAUUCGACUAUAUCCCUCUUUUAACUAGUUGCACAACUUGAUGCAAUAAAUUUUUUCACGUCUAAUUCGUUACAUGCAGAUAUAAAUUCUCUGAUUAUAAUUAAUUGUAAAAAAAAAAUCAUUAUAUGAAGAGUAAGGAAUCGACUUAUCACAUUUCCUUUUUCUCUUGGGGUUUAAUGUGGUUGGCAACAUGGUGCUCUCGCGAGAUCUGUUGGACCCAAAAUCGAAGGAUGCGCUCGAGUUCUACGAUGCCAUGAACCGGGUCACGGUGUGGGCCAGCAAGCCUAAUGUAGCCGACUUCAUGCCGUGGUUGAAAUGGUGGGAUCCACAGGGGAUCAAAACAAGCAUGGCAGAGGACAUGGGUCGAGCCAUGAAGAUUGCCGAAGGCUUCAUGAAAGAGAGAUUGGAGGAGCGAAAGCUAAGGGGAGAGAUGAGGACGACGAAUAACUUCUUGGACGCGGUAUUGGAUUAUGAGGGCGAUGGAAAAGAAGGCCCUCACAAGAUCUCUUCCCAGAACGUCAACAUAAUCAUUCUGGUAAGUUUGCUCCUCCCUUCCACGUUUAACACAGUCUCACAGAAGUAAUUAUCGAUUACCAUCUUAUAGAUAUUAGGUUAAAUUCAGUUUAUUAAGUGGUACAGUGAACUUAAUUGACAUUUAAACAAGAUCACAUCACACGUCAAGGACAAGUUUUAGUAGUUAAUAUUAAAAUAUGGGUGGCGCUAUUUUCACCCCUCAUGAUUUCACUCACUCUACCAAAAAGACAAAAUUGCUCUUAAUCAUUCGAUUGUAAUUUUGAUGGCUCAAACUUAUUUACUUUCCUUCUUUUUCUUGUUUUUCUUCUUUUAUGUAGGAUCUAUUUAUCAUAAUCUAUAUUUAACAUGUUUCAUUUUGGUUUAUUGUGGGUAGCCCAUGUAUAUGAAAGGCACUAUGUUUUCACUUUAUUAUUACAAUUUACUUAUGUAGACAUUAAUUUACUCAUGGAGAAAAUUUUCCAAUAAAUCAAAUUAUUUUCAACGUUGUCUAACAAAUUUGUUGAUUAAUUGACUAGAAAAUUUUUAACACAUAUACUUUCUUAACGCGAUAACUUAUUUAUAAACUUCAACAUUUGUUGUGCAUGUCACCAUUAAAUCAUUUCUUAUCAGUUUGCACACAUAUACAUAAAAUGGGAUGAUCGAUGAAAAAAAGAAGAAGAAAAAAUCCCUGUAAAUUUUUUUUUGAAAUAAAUUCUUGAUCGCAUUCUCCAAUGUGAAACUUUAAAAGAUAAAAUUUCUUUUUAAAAAUUCAAGUGAAGUCUCAUCAUAUUGGAAUAACAAAAAUUAAUAUCAUCCAUGAAGUGUUUUUGGAAAAAAAAAAAUCUGAUUAGAAAGGAUUUGAUGGUGAUAUACACAACAAAAGUAAAAGUUUAUAAAGAUGAGAUUGUUUUGAAAAAUUGUCUAUGUUAAUCUCUAGGUUAUAUGUGACAAUUAAUCCAUAAAUUUGCUCAAUAAUGUAAAAAAGAAUUAAGCUUCUCAGAAAAUUUAUUUUUGAUGUAACUUAUUCUGUGGAAGUAAAAUCUACAAAUUAAAAGAAAAAAAAAUGCCUUCAAUAUACACAUUAUAGGCAUACUAAAUAACUCGUCAAAAGUUUAAUUAUGGCAACUAGAUUCUAAACAAAAACAGAAUAAGAAUGAAAAAGAAGGAAAGUGAAUAAAUGAGGGUCUACCACUUUAAAUUGCAGUUAAAUGAUUAAGGGCGAUUUUGCUUUUUUUAGUGAAAAAUAAGGUGGAAUUAGUCAUAUGAGAGGUGGAAAUAGCUUGACCUUAAAAAUAAACCAUAAAUCAAUCUUGCAUUUUUGUGGAGCAUUCAAGCUAGUUAUUAUAAAAUGGGGAGAAGUACACUAUCAAUGUUAUAAAUUGUGUACGGAGCUCAUUUUAAUGCCAAAAAUUUCCAUAGGAUCACUUAAGUGCCAAAAUUUUUGAAAAACGAUCAUUUCAGUGCCAACAUCGAUCAGGCUGACCGGAAAUUCGACGUGGCAGUUUUUUAUUCAUUUUUGAUGCUGAUGUGGCUCGCCAGAGAAUACAGUUAGCAUGUAAACCACAAAACGACAUCAUUUGGUGUUUUCCCCAAGUCGAAACCCUAAAUCCCCAAAUCGAGAGAGAGAGAGAGAGAGAGAGAGAGAGAGAGAGAGGCAUGAUGGCGUCGUCUUCUUCCCCGAAGAACAACACUAGCACCGGCCACUCUCUGAGCGGAACUUGAUCCACCAUCUCCAUCUGUGCCCUCCUUGUUUCCCUCACACUCUGUCUUCUUUCUCUCUCUGCACCUUCGAGCCCCCUUCUUCCUCCUCCUCCUCCGCCCUCACCUCCUAUUUUCCCAUCACUUCUUGCCCAAGAAACAACCUCAGCCUCUCCUUGCUCACCUAGUCGAGCAACUACGAUGGAGGCCGAGCGACGGUGGUCGAGCACGGUGGCUGAGCAAGCUAGGUCGGCGAGGAUUGAACAAAAAAACCCUAAUUUCAAUCCCAAAUGAGCUGUGCGGCAUCGUUUUUGCGAGGCCAUCCACAUAUGAUGGCAAAACGACGUCUUUUUCUUAAGGUGGACGGAAAACGACGUCGUUUAAAAGGCUCCUCGAUUUUAAUUUUAAAUAGAAAAGCCACGUAAUCAUUUUGGCCGGAAUAUCUCGCCAGUAGCACCAAAAUGAUCGUUUUUUCUCCGAUUUGGCACUUAAGCGAUCCGACAGAAACUUUUGGCAUCAAAGUAAGCGCCGUACACAACUUAUGGCACUGGUAGUAUACUUCUCCCUUAUAAAAUGAGUGGGGAUUGGCCAAAUCAAAAUAGAAUGAUAAAAUCUAUAUACUAGUAGUAACUUUUUGUUAUGCACCAUUUUCUAAAAACUCAAGUGUUAAAUGUUUUCAUAAAUAGUAAGUAGUUGUGAAAAAGGCUAUUUCAAUUGUGGAAGGUAUCAUUGGACCUUAGUAAACAAGUCUUAAGCCUAGAGAAGAGGUUCGAUUAAGAUCGACAAUCUUAUUCAAAUUGGAACCCAAAAUGAGUAAUUCUUUUGUGAAUUCGUCGGCACCCUAAACAUUUGUUUGCCAAUUUGAAGUAUAAGAAUUGCUAUGUUUGAUCAGGAUUUUUUAUCAAGUGAAGCACGAUAACUUUUACUAUUAACCUGACGAUUCAAGAGAGUUAAUCUUCAAGUGAGAUAGAAUUUUUUAAUGAUGGCACACGUGUUAAGAAAACUCCUAUUAGAUUUUCAAGUUGACAAAACUUUUCUUUUUUCUAUUCUUAUUCUCAUUCUGAGGAAUACAAGACUUCUGUGGAAUUUUUUCAAAGUCUAUCUUACAUAAGAAGUCUGCUCCACUCUGACGAAGACCUAGAUUGAACUCAAGUGAAGAACAAAGACAUAAUUAGACUCAUGAUUAUUUUUCUUCCUUCAAAGAUUCAGUACAAAAAAGAUAUAUCUGUCUUUCUAGUUGAAAAUCUCACUUACCUUUUUGGAUAUUAUUGAUAAAAUCAAUCACGGAAUAGUAAAAUCAUUUUGGAAGGCAAGUUUAUUUGGAAAGAAUCUACUUAUGGAAAGCAAGAUUAUAAUUGUAUGGGCAACCAGGAUCAUCAGACCUUCAUCUCAAUCUUCAAACGACUCAAGAUCUCCUUGAUUGAUUCUAUCCAACAGGUUGAUUGGAAGAAUUUAUCUGGAAAGUACCAACGGUCACAAAGGCAUGGAGGAGUAUUUAAUGAGGUUUUUUGAGUCAUUUGAUAGAGAGCGUGAAAGCUAGAAUUCCAAAGUCUGAAACUUCUCAAAUCACUUGUUCUUCCUCAAUAGUGCUCAAACGUCUAUUCGAAAGACAAAGAAACACUAAAAAGUGAUUUAGUGAGAGAAAUAGAAAAUCUUUACUGAGUAGUCAGUAAUAUAUUGUUGUAAUUAUCUUUUGAUUUAUAGUGAAAACCAGCCAGAAGGCUAUCAGCGUAUGAGAGUAGACGUAAGCUUAAUCUAAGACAAAUCACUAUAAAUCUUGUGUUCAUUUUCUCUUCCCUAAACUCUUUUAAUUUAUUUGUUGUGAUAAUUUUAUGAAAUUUGAAUCUUUAUUCAAAGUCUAUUGUUUAACAGACUCAAUUUAAAAGAAAAAUAUUUUUACUGUUUCUGUAGAAAAUCGACUUUUACACCUAUUCACCCCCUCUAGGCGUUUAUACUAACUCUUUCAAGUGUGAGUAUAGUUUCCAAGAGCUUAAGCAGAAGCUGACUACUACACCCGUGUUGACAACUCCGUCUGGUCUUGGAGGAUACAAGAUCUAUAGUGAUGUGUCGUUUAGGAGACUGGGUUGUGUGUUCAUGCAGCAUGGCAAAGUUGUUGCAUACAUGUCCUGUCAGUUGAGACCUCAUGAGCUAAAUUACCUGAUGCAUGACUUGGAACUCGCAGUGAUUAUUUUUGCUUUGAAGAUUUAGAGACAUUACUUGUACGGAGAAAUAUUUCAAAUCUUCACAGACCAUCAAAGUCUCAAGUACCUAUUCUCUCAAAAGAAGUUGAAUAUGAGACAGCAUCGCUGGAUGGAACUUUUGAAGGACUAUGAUUGAGACAUCCUGUAUCAUCUUGGAAAGGCUAAUAAGGUCACAUAUGCGCUAAGUCGGAAGUCUUCAGUUGCGUAAAUGGUGAUCAAGGAUUGGAUUUUACUUGAGAGAGCUUGAGAUUCAGUUUUCAAAUUUGAAGUUGGCCACCUUUCAAAUCUUAUGGCCACCCUCAAACUUGAACCGAAAGUACAAAUAAGGAUCAAGAUGCUUCAAUUGAUAAACCUAGAGAUUCAGAAGAUCCUACAAGAGGUACCGAAAAGAGAAAUGCUAACUUUCAGAUUUCUGAAUACGGAACACUGAGGUUCUAAGGACGAUUAUAUGUGCCUGACGAUGUAGAGCUUAAGGAAGAGAUUUUGUCAAAAGCUCAUCGUAGCAGUUACAACAUUCAUCCAAGCAGUACAAAGAUGUAUCGAAAUCUGUGUCAAUACUAUUGGUGGUCUGGUAUGAAGGCGGAUAUUACCAAGCAUAUCGCUAAGUGUUUGACAUAUUAGCAAGUGAAGGCAAAACAUUAUAAGAAGGAGGACUUAUGCAACCUCUCAAGAUUCCUGAGUGGAAAUGGGAACACAUCACAAUGGAUUUUGUGACAGGCUUACCAAGGAGUCAGAUGGGCAAUGAUUCUAUUUGGGUAGUGGUCAACAGACUAACAAAGUUGGCUCACUUUAUCGCCAUACGAAAGGACAUUGCAUUGGAUAGAUAUGUAGAAUUGUACAUGCGUCAGAUUGUUGAUCUGCAUGGAGUGCCGAUGACGAUUACAUCAGACUGGGACCCGAGGUUCACAGCCGCCUUUUGAAAGAGUUUACAGACUGCCUUAGGAAUGAAGCUGCAGUACAAUACGGCCUAUCAUCCUUAAAUGGAUGGCCAAUUUGAAAGGACGAUUCAAACCCUUGAAGACAUGCUGUGAGCUUGCGUGUUAGACUUCAAGGGAAGCUGGGAGGAAUAACUUCAUCUUGUCAAGUUUGCCUACAAUAACAGCUACCAACAGAGCAUUCAGAUGGCUCCUUUUGAAGUGUUGUAUGGCAGGGCGUGCAGAACGCCAGUUUGUUGGGAUGAGGUCGGAGAACGAAAGAUUACAGGCCUAGAGUUGGUUCAGUAGUCAGUGAAUGCAGUUGUCGUUAUCUAAGACAGAUCAAAUACCGCUCAAAGCAGCUAGAAAAGCUACGCAGAUAAGUGUUGAAGACCAUUAGAAUUCUAAUUUGGUAAACACGUCUUUCUAAAGGUGUCACCAAUGAGGGGUACUUCGCACUUCGGAAAAAAUGGAAACUGAAUCCAAGAUACGUAUGUCCUUUUGAGAUUUUGGAAAUGAUAGGGACUGUAGCGUAUUGUCUUGCAUUGCCAUUGAGGUUGGCGCAAGUGCAUGACGUCUUUCACAUGUCAAUGUUAAGGAAGAAUAAGCCUAACCCAACCCACUUGCUAAAUAGAGUGUUGUAUGUGGAAAGACCGAUUCAAAUUGUGGAUCAGAAGGAGUAGGUUUUGCACACGAAGAUGAUUCCAUUGGUUAAAGUGGUCUGGCAACACCACGGUAUAGAAGGAGCAAUAUGGGAAAGUGAAGAUUUGAUGAGACGACAAUACCACCACCUUUUUGUUUAAAGAUUUGUAAUGGUUUAAAUUUCAAAGACAAAAUUUUUAUAAGAGGGGAAGAGUUGUGACAUUCUGAUUUUCAGGUUUUGUUUUCAAUUGAAUAAGUUGGGCUUUUCAUCGACGCGCCUAUAGUUCUUUUUCCUGAACUGAUCACUCACGAGAUAACUAGUCUAUCAAGUAAAGCUAUUAAGGAAUUUAAAUGCAAUAGACUUGAGAAUUCAACUAGAAAAUGACUGCUCGACCAUGCUAAUAUACAAGGAUCAUUACGGCACUAUCAAAAUUGAUCAGAGAUCAGAGUUAGAUCGAUUCGAUAGAGGUAUGUGAUUAAUGUGUUGGUGAUCCCACUUGAUUGCAAAAUUUCUAUCGAACGACACUAGACCAAUUUUUCUAUCAUUUAUGUACCUUGUACCCAUAUUUCAAACCUUUAGAUUUUCACAACAACCGAGAGUCGCCAAUGUGUCGAAGAUGUACAAUGUGACUCGAAAAUAAUCGACCAUGGGUCAAAAGCACUAAAAAUUACUAAAAGCUACUUGGUAAGUUAGGUCACAUUAAAAUCGCAUCUAGUUGAAAUUAACCAUGAAAUUGAACCCGAUUUAAAUUAUGUCAUGUCACAAUUCAUUUUAGGAACGUUGACUCAUACUCUGAAGAUUUUUCGGCAAAUCGGGAUUUUCGACGAAAAUUCAAAGUAAGUCUAUUUUAGACCGGGAAAAUUAAAGGGCCGUUUUUUAGCACACCACUGGCCAUCAAGUUGGUUCAAUUGGUAAGGAAAAAUAUGAAUUUGAUGUAGGCACCUUGGUUGAUUUUAUGGGGGUUAAUUUGAGCUCAAUUGGAGAAUUUUUGGUGAGGAAUUGAAUGAAAUUUGAGGCUAAAGGUCCAAAAUUCGUAGCUAGGGGGUGCUACAAUAUUUUGGACCUUUUGGGAGACUUCUUGAGCAAGCCAUGGUGCAGCAAAUGGCGGAGGAUGAUAGCCAUGCAUGGUGGGGCAUAGAACUCAAGCACUUGGGAUAUUUAGUUUGACUUUGAAGGUUUGUGCCCCCCCUCUUGCAACAGCCCUUCUUCUUCCUUUACUUCCCUCCUUUCUCCAUUGUUGUGCAAUUGAAAGCUCGAGAAAAAUUAGAGAGAGUCCCCCCUUGCCCAUUGACACCCCUUUAUCGUUGCCUGAGCAUCACCGUGCAUGCCUGCACGCCGCACCAUCGCGCACCAGCCUGCACAUCCGCAUGCCCAUUCUAGCCUUCUAGCUGUUGUUUUGAUGCCCUCCAGCCCCCGUCACAGCUCCCCUGGUUGCCGUUCAGCCACCAUAUGCUGCUAGAGCCAUCCGCCUAGUCCACCACUGCCACCAUCAUUUCGCCAUGCCCCUUUCUCAAGCCGAGUAGGCCUUUCGACCAGUUCCUCCAGCCCAAAGCAAAAGCCGAACUCUCAGCUUAGAGCUGAGAGCUUGUGGCCCGUUUUAAGGCCCGUGCGGACCCCGUUGGUGUUGUCGUAAGUUUGGUUGUCGCUCGCCUCCGCGUCUCCAUCACCGUGAACUCAUCAUAUUGCAAAACUAGUGAGUUUACUUGCUAAUCUCUACUUAGGGAGUUAAUUAUGCUUAAUGGUUUUAUUAAUUUAGGCUAAUUAUGGAUUAGGUGGUUAGUUAGUUUAGAUUAGUGAUUUAAUCAUUUAAUUAUGCAUGUUAGAUGGUUAGAUUAGAUUAAUUAUGGGCUAAUUAGAUUGUACUAUUUAUCUAGAUAGAUGCAUUAAUUUUCUAGACUCGUUUAGGUGGUUAGAUUAGCAUUUCCAGCUUAGGUUAGUAUUUAUUGGAUUUAAUUUGCAUUAUUUAAUUAUUUUGUAAUUUAUUUGAUUAUUUAAUAUUUUCCCGAAAUUAUACCGAGAUAGACGAUAGCCAGAAUUUCGUGCUGAUUGCAAUGGUAUGCUUAGUUUAUGCAAUUGAGUGUUAAUUUGUGCAAAUUGAGUGGUGAUUGUAAUUUCGAGUUAUUAUUUCAAAAUUAUAAAAUUUUGGUAUUUAAUCAGAAAAAAUUGGGCAUCGGUUUUUGAUGCCAAAACGGUUUUUAUGUACUAUAUUAAAUAGUGGGAUUUUUGAAGAGGAAGAUAUAGCAUUUUUGGCUCAAACUAACCGUGUACCACACACGAUUAUUUUUAUCGGGUGUUUUUAAUACGAAGAAAAUAUUCCAAGUUCAUUAUUUUAAUUGAGGCAUUUUAGUGCAAAGCACAAUGUUCUUGACCAGGAUUGAUUGAUCGUGUGAUGGCUAAGUGAACCCAUCCUCGAUGUGCGUCGAUAGGACGUUGCCCCUAUAUGGGAUGCCCCUGAACAAUGGAAGCCAGUCGCAGUAGAUUCUGGAUCGAUGCUCCUUCGGGAAUGCUGUCCCUGAUGUCUGUUGGUGGAUGUUGUCAUGCUUAAAGGAGUGAGACGAAGCCUGGCUACGCCAGAAGACCGAUGUGCGUCGAUAUAUUGUGCCUGUGCGGGCAGUAAUCGAAUUGGAACGUGUGAUUGAUUGAAAUUGAUGUGCCAAAUUAUGAAACAAAAUUGUGUCAUGAUAUGGGACGUGUCAUAAUUAUCUGGUCUUAUAAUCAGGACCCUUGGAUCGAUUGCAGUGAUUGUAUUAAUUGAAUCAAUCGAUUAAUGAUUGAUUGAUUGAUGGAUUGAUUGAUUGAGUAUAUGAAUCAUACUGACGUGGAUGAGGGAACUGAGGCGAGGUAAGUUAUUUGUAUUGUGUUUAUAGACUAUAUUUCCUUCCUAAUUGGAGUUUAAGGGGUGAACUUGCUGAGACAUUGUCUCACCCCGUCGUAGGCUCAAUUCUUUUCAGGUCCUUAGAUAGAGCAACGUCAUGUAUGCUAUGGGGUUCCAAGGGAGGUAGACUUCCAAUAUUUCUAUUUCCCAGUUCCUGGGACCGGCUUAACCCGUGAGCUUGUUGAGUCCACUGUCUGGGUCGAUGAGAGUCUAUCCCACCUGGUACCUCAUCAUUUCAAGGCGUGGUAUCUUCACAAGCCUGAUAGGAGUUAGGAGGGUCCUGUAGGUGGUUUUGACGGGCCUCUCGUUGGGAUAGGGGAGUGGAAAAUAGGGCACCCUCUGGACAUCAACACCCUUGAUGGUGCCAUGGAGGAACCGGAGCCAAGAACUUAAGAGCCUGGAGUUUAGAAUCUUCGUAGCCCCUUUUUGAUCUAGACUUCUAUACAUAGAUCAUUUUGUAGACUUUUGUAUAUAACUCAGUGUGUAUAUAAAAGUGUGCUGUGUUUAUGAGAUUAUUGUCCUGCUUUUCUAUCCUAUGUUAUUUGCUGUCAGGGGUUAUUGUUUCGCUUCCGUAUGUGCAUUAAAAUGAAUGGGUUCGCGACGCGUCUUGAGACGUCGCAAUUUCACCAACCACCGAGGGAUUGUGCGCGCUCGAGGUUUGAGGCAUGACAUAAGGCGUAUGCAUAAGCGGGAUGAUAUCAUACCCGAUUGGGUAGGACGAUGCCUGAUUAUGCUAGAUAAUCGCUAACCUUCGAGUUAGCCGUGGCCCUGAGUGGUUGUAAUAAUCUAGACAUAUAUGUGUGUGAAACGUGCAUAAGAUUGAUAUGUGAUUAUGUCUAGAUUAUGAUAUGGCAUUAACGCAUGAUUAUGAGAUGUUGCACAUUCUUAUUCCUACGUCAUGUGUAAUUUCUUGUGGGAAUUGCUUAUGUGUGUAUGUCCUGAUGGCCUUAGGAAAGUGAGGUAAUUGUUCAUGUUAAUAGUAAAGGUAAAGCUAGGGCAUUGCUAUUAAUGUGCCAUCAAUAGAUAACUUACACGUUUACGGCGAUCUCAAGGUGAAUAACUUCCCUACUUGAGGUCUAGAAAGUUUACUAAUUGAGUUUAUCUCAUUAUUGUUUGUUAAAUGUUUACAAGCCCUACGAAUGUUUGAGCCUUUCCGUCAGAUCAGAUUUAGGCUCCCCACUAAACAUAGCCAAGAAGUGACUGAUUAUUCAAUUGAGGGGACUAAUGCAUGUUACACGCACUAUGUCACGACCAUUAGGGUUGAUGAGGGACUCUCUAACUUAGUGAUUUGACACUUUGUAACAUGGUACUUUUGGAUAUCAGACAAUGUCCACAAGACCAUCUGCAGUUUUGAUUAAUCUCCGGAUGUAGGAGGAUCGGGGGGAGACAUUAGCUAGGAUGCAAUGAAUGUGGAUGUACGUGAUGAGGAUUUGUCCAAUCCAAAGAUCGACCUCGGAAUGAUCGUCGAGCCGAAGCCCUAAGUUAUGGAGCCCUUAGCGAGUUAGGUGAUAGUAGGGAUAUACAACACUUUUUGGAGCUGCCCUCGUAGUACUAGAGUGUUAGGUUACCCCGAGACCUUUUUUGGAGAAGGUUGUGGCCGCGCUUUUGGGCUGAUCUAACAUGGUGAAGCUAGUUGUGUUUAGGCUUGUUUAUUUAAGCCUUGUGUAUAUGGUUUGUACGGUUUAGGCUUGGUUAGGUGAUUUGUUAUGCUUCCGUUACAUAUAUAGUUGAUAAUGUGAAUGGGUCGGCAACGCCUCCUGGGACGUCAUAAUCAAAUGACUACAAGGUAAUUAUGUUGAGCAUGAGGUGGCGCGCCUCGAGCAAGUCAAGGUGUGAUAGUUAUAUAUCACAUUUUGGUGCCCUUGUGAUCACUGCUUGAUUGUCACAAUGAAUGCAUAUCAGUGGCACAAGUUUUGGCCACAAUAAACGACCAUUUAAAAUUGCCAAAGUCGCUUUGCUUGUUCAGCAGCUUUAUCCAAAGCAACAAACUCAAACUCCAUUGUGAAUCACGCUAUUAGAGUUUGUUUCGAGGAUCUUGACAAUAGUGUGGCACUUCAUAGUGUGAAAACAUAUUAGCUAGUCAAUUUCAAUUAAUUGAAAUCCAAAAUCCAGUUGGCAUCAUAAUAGCCUUCCAAAAACAGCUAUAUAUUUGCCAUGCUAUAAAACAUAACCUUUGGUUCUUUGCAAAUAAUCCAAUACUCUCAAAAGAGCAUUCUAAUUCUCAUAAGUAGGAUUACUUGUAUACCAUUUGAGUUUUCCUACUGAGUGCGCAAUAUUUGGUUUAUGCAGUUCACGAUGUACAUGAUGUUGCCAAUCAAAGUAUUCCAACUGCCUAAUAUUGUUUAUAGUAUUCUUUCUCAAAGUUAAGUGUAGAAGAAAAAGAUUGUUUGCAUCUUUAAUAUUGAACCCUUUAAACCUCUUAAUUACAUUUUCAAUACAAUGAGAUUGUGUUAAACCUAAACCAUUGGAAUUCUUUAGAAUUGUGAUGCCAAGUAUAACAUCCGCAAUACCUAACUCUUCAAUCUCAAAGUUUUUCUUGAAAACAUUCUUGGUGAUUUCGAUAACCUUAGUGCUAUCUCAAAAAAUCAAUGAGUCAUCAACAUAUAGACAAAUAAUUAACAUCAAACAGUUGUGGAUUUAGUAUAUACACAUUUGUCACACUUAUUAAUUUUAUAUCCAUUUUGGAUCAUCACACAGUCAAAUUUUUCAUAUCAUUGUUAAAGAGUUUUGUUUAAGUCCAUAUAAUAAUUUGACAAGUCUCCACACUUUGUGUUCUUAUGCUUUGACCUUGAAUACUUUAAGUUGUUCCAUAUAAAUCUCCCCAUCAAGAUAAUUAUUUAAGAAUGCAGUUUUCACAUCCAUUUGGUGUACUUGCAAAUUCUACAGCCAAGCUAUAGAAAUCAACAUCCUAAUUGAUGUUAUUCUUGUAACAGGUGAAUAAAUUUUUAAGUAGUCUAUGUCACGCCCCGAUCAUCAAGCACAUGCCCAUCCCUCGGUGGUCGAUUAAAUUGCAACGUCUCAGGACGCGUCGCCGACCCAUUGAUUUUAAUGCGCAUACGGAAGCGAAACAAUUACCCCUAACAACAACCAACACGGGAUAGAAAAGCGUGAAACAUAUUCACAACCAAAACACUUUUUAUAUAUACAAGACUAGUCUAAAGACAAAAGUCUAGCCAAGCAGAAAAGCCUACAAGUCCUCUAGGCACUCGAAUCCCCAACUAAAAACUCCGAGGUCUCCUGGGGAUUUAGGUCCACCACUGCACCACCAGGAGGGUCAGCUGUGCCCGUGCCAAAAGCAACUUCUAACACUGAUACUAGGACCUCAAAAUCCUGAAGGGGAUCCACUUUGUGUCCAUUGAGCCCACAAUGAUACCAUGCUUUGAAUUGAUGGGGUACCCUUUAAGGUAGAUCCUCAUCGACCCAGACGAUGGUCUUUACGAGUUCAUAGACCCAAACUCCGUGGCCCUCGAGGACAGGGAUAUCGAUGACUUGCUUGGUAAUCCUCUUAGGUUGGCCAAAACAUUCCGGAGGAACUGCCAUUUGAGGACCUGAAUGGCCUGAAAAGGUUGAGUGAGACAAUGUCUUAACAAGUUUACCCCCAAACUUCGACUAGGAAGGAAAUACGCCUAGAGGUAGCUAUACACACAAGUCAGAAGACUUACCUUGCCUUAGUUCCCUCCUGCAUGUUAGUACAAUUUAUAAUCUCAACCAAUCAAUUAAGUCCAAUUGAUCAUUCGAUCCAAUCAAUACCAUCUAUCAAUUCAAUCAAUUCGAUCACUACUCACACAAGCUGAAGUAUAUUUAUGCUCGCACAAGCUAAUAUAGAUGGUUGCUCAUACCAGCUGAUAUAGAUUAUUGCUCACCCAAACUGAUAUAGUAUACUGCUCUCAUAAGCUGACAUAUCAAUGCUCACAUCGGCUGAUAUAGUAUACUGCUCUCACAAGCUGACAUAUCAAUGCUUACACAAGCUGAAGUAUAUUUAUGCUCGCACAAGCUAAUAUAGAUGGUUACUCGUACCAACUGAUAUAGAUUAUAGCUCACCCAAGCUUAUACAUAAUAUAGCUCACCCAAGUUGAUAUAGUAUACUGUUCUCACAAGCUGAUAUAUCAAUGCUCACAUAGGCUAAUAUAGUAUACUGCUCUCACAAGUUGAUAUAUCAAUGCUCAUGUAGGCUGAUAUAGUAUACUGCGUUCACAAGCUGACAUAUUAAUGCUCACACAAGUUGACGAUUUAAUGCUCACACAAGCUGACACACGAUAAAUCAAUCUCGGCCAAGGACCUUGUGCUUUGCACACCAAUUUCUCAAUUAAAAUAAUGAACUUGGCCUAAUAUCAUUGUGUUAAAAAUAUCAGAUGAAAAUAAUCGUGUGUGGGUACAUGGUCAGUUUGAGCCAUAAUGCUAUAUCUUUCUUUUCAAAAAUCUCACUAUUUAAUAUAGUGCCUAAAAAAAAUUUGGUGUUAAAAAUCGACACCUCGUUAUUUUCUAAUUAAUUACUGAAAUUACAAAAUUUUGGGAUAAAUACCCAAACUUACAAUCACCACUCAAUUUGCACAAAAUAGCAUUCAAUUGCAAAAACUAAGCAUACCAAUGCAAUCAGCACAAAAUCUCAAUCACCAGCUAUCGGGGUAUAAUUUCCAUAAAAUAAUAAAUAAUUAAAUAAAUACAAAAAAUAAUUAAAUAAUUACAAUUAAUGACCAAAAAUGCAAACUUAGGUCGGAAAUGCUUAAUUAACCGCCCAAGCGAGCCAGAAAAAUUUUCGAACCUAUCUAGAUAAAUAGUACAACUUAUUUAGUCUCUAAUCUAUUCGUUCUAACUACCUAACAUGCACAAACGGAUAAUUAAAUCGAUAAUCCAUUCUAACUAACCACUUAAUCCAUGCUUAACUUAAACUAAUCACCCCUUAAUUGUCAUUAACUCCCUAGGUAGAGUUUAGCAAGUAAACUCACCGGUUUAGCGAUUCGGUGAGUCCACGACAAUGGCAACAUGGAGAUGGGUAACAAACAACCCUGCGGCGAAAGCAAGCGGAGACCGAACGGGCAUGAAAAUGUGCCACGAAGCCUUAAAGCCCUUGUUGGCUUUUUGGUUUUGACCUUGGGCCGAGCAAGCUGGAACAGCAGCCGGUUGGAGCUGAAACAACGAGGUGGAUCGGUGGCUGCAGCGAGCAACUAUGGGCAACGACGAUUGCUAGACGGCGGCCAAGGGGCUUUGAUGGUGGCUUGGGCAGCACGGGGGAUGGCGGGGUGGCUCGGGAUAGGUGGGAAGAUGAGCAAGAGGUGCAGACUGGCGGGGCGACGCGCGACGAGCUGGGGCGGCGCAAGUGGUGGCUUCGAUGGCUCGGUAGGUGUGCGACGGGCUAGGGGAGGGGCUGCUCAAUUUCUCUGCAAUUUUGAGCUUCUCAAAUGCUCUAUAAUGGAUAAAGCAAGCUACUGAAGANNNNNNNNNNNNNNNNNNNNNNNNNNNNNNNNNNNNNNNNNNNNNNNNNNNNNNNNNNNNNNNNNNNNNNNNNNNNNNNNNNNNNNNNNNNNNNNNNNNNNNNNNNNNNNNNNNNNNNNNNNNNNNNNNNNNNNNNNNNNNNNNNNNNNNNNNNNNNNNNNNNNNNNNNNNNNNNNNNNNNNNNNNNNNNNNNNNNNNNNNNNNNNNNNNNNNNNNNNNNNNNNNNNNNNNNNNNNNNNNNNNNNNNNNNNNNNNNNNNNNNNNNNNNNNNNNNNNNNNNNNNNCCAUUUGAACUAACUUGAAUUCCAAAGAUGCGAUAAAAAACGGUCAUCUGAUUUUCUCGGACAAAAACGACCCUACUUUGAAAUUUGCCAAAAAUCUCAAUUUGCAGAAAAAUCUUUGAAGGAUAAAUUGACGAUCCUAAAAUAAACCAUGACAUGAUAGAACUUUCAAUUUCUGAAAUCGGGUUUAAAUUCGCGAUUAAUUUCAAUUUGGCACAAUUUUAGCGUGACCUAACCUACCGGGUAGCUUUUAGGAAUUUUUAAUCCAAUUGACCCAUGUUUGAUUAUUUUCGAGCCACAUUAUACAUUUUUGACACAUUGACGACUCUCGGUUGUCAUGAAAAUCUCGAGAUUUCAAAUGCGGAAAUAGGUACCAAAAUGACAGAAAAAUCAAUAUAGUGCCAAUCGACGAGAAUUUUGCAAUUAGGUGGAAUCACCAACACUCAAUCACAUGACUUAGUCGAGUCAACCCAUCUCUGAUCUCUAAUUAAUUUUUAACUGUGCCGUAAUGACCCUUGCAAACUAGCACAGUUGAGUAGUCAAUUCUUAGUCGAAUUAUCAAAUUUAUUGAAUUAAAAUCCCUUAACAGCUACACCUAAUAGAUUAGUUAUCUCGUAAGUGAUCAAUUCAGGUAAAAGAACUAUAAGCGCAUCGAUGAAAAGCUCGACUCAUUCAAUUGAAAACAGAACUGGAAAUUCAGGAUGUCACAAUCUAGACACUCUCUUUCUUUAAACCUAUUGACAACAAGCCAUGGUUUGUACUUAUAUAUGGAAACAUCAACUUUAUGUUUCUUUUUGAAAAUCCAUUUAAUUCCUAUUGAAUUAUUUCCUGAUAGAUUAUCAGCGAAUUCACGAGUGUGAUUACUUAGGAAAUAAUUAAUCUCAUUGUCAACCACUUCUUUUCAGUCAGGUGUAUCUGGAGUUGACAUUGUCUCUUGAAAUGUUUGAGGCCCACCUUAUAAUAUGUAUAUUGGAAAAUCAAGUACGGAAUUUUUUUCAAUCCAUGACUUCUUGCCCCUUGAAAGUUCAACUUCUUGUUCCUCAACUUCAUCAUUCUCAAUACCCCUAUACUUUCAAAUAAUUGUAAGAUGAUAACCUUUCAUUCCAUAACUCAUAUGGAGUCUUACCUAUCUUCUUGCGGGGCACUUUAAUUAAAUUAUAGUUUGCAAUUAAAAAUGCAUCCCUUCACAAGUUCUAAGAUAAACUUGAACUUAAGAGCAUGGCGGUAGCCGUCUCCUUUGGAGUUUUGUUCUUCCAUUCAGUACCUCCACUUUACUGUGAAGUGCAUGAUGUAGUUGUUUGGAGAAUUAGUUUGGGGACACAACUCCAUCAAAUUUGAAGAAUUAUAUUCUUCUCCCCCAUCAAACCUAAGAUGUAACAUCCCGAUUUUUGACAUAUGAGAAAUUGUUGUGAAUCAGGUGUCUCAAUGGCAAGGAUAGGUCAUGGAUCAUUUCAAGAAUCGGCCAUGUACUAAUCAUGGAUCAAUCAAGGAAACGGUCGUGGACCAAUCCAAUGACCAUGUUAGUGGACUUGAGUAGUUCGGUUGACAGACGACUGCUCGACCGUAAGGGCUGAUCAAGGGAUGGUCACAUCUACCAUGGAUCAAUCAAUGAUCAUGAAUCGAUCCAAAUGGCCAUGUACUGAUCGUGAGUUAUUCCGCUAGGUCAUGUGCUGGUCAUGGAUGACCAUGGUUUGACUCGGUACAACCGUGUGAUGGGUAUGAAUUUGACUGAUCUCAAAAGGCCAUAUGACAAUCAGGAGUCGGUCUGGAUGAGGCCUAUGGCUAAUCUCAGAUCCGAUCUGCUUGGCCAGAACUGAUUUAAAAGCCGAUCAUUGGAUUUGCACCCUAAGCCACCAAUCUAGCUAAGAAGGUAAACAUUGCCUACAACAACCACACCGAGGGUGGCUUGGUCAUGAACCUCGGGUGUGUCGGAAUGGUCGUUAGGGAUGCACAAAAAAAAAAAAAUUCCUUGCUUAGUCCCAGUUGCACUUCCGAUGGCUUAUUUCCUAUGGUUGUCAUAUUACUUGAAUAUGGACAAAUUAGAACUCUCUACAACACACUAGCUUCUUCAAGAAGAAGAAUGAUUUACCAUUUCACCUAGAUUUUUCUAGAUUUGGCCAUGAUUACUAAUGAUUCGCCUUAGAGAUUGAGCAAAGAAUCUAGGCCAAAUAUCCCAAUAAAAAAGAGACAUCUUGGGGCACAUUAUGACUGGUCUAUGGGCAAGAUGCAACUCAUCUUUUUAGGGUGCCACCUAUCCAUGAUGAAUUUUCCCUUGAUAAUGAGUUAAGUGCUCAUGCGACCCAAUAAAAAGGAGACAAACAAACCUUCAAAUGAUUAUGUUAGGCCAUUAGAUCUAUACCUCAUAAGCCUAGGUGUCCACUCAAAGAUUUACUAAUGAUGGCUUGAGAUUUGCCUUUCAGAAGAAGUUGGUAAUUCAUGCUUAGGUGUCCUCUAGAAUCUUAGGCUAUGAUGACCCUAAAAUACAGCGUUGGUGAACAAAGCAAGAGCCAACCAAUUAGAAGAGGACAUUAGGCAUCAAAAGGGCUUAUGUGUCCCUUAGGACCAUAGGCACAUCAUAAGCCUAAAUUGAGCCUUAGAAAGCAAGCCAAUAGGUGAUCCAGUAAGAAGAUGACAAGUAUUCUCUUAGAACCCUAGGUGUACCACCUUGAUGGCAUAGCUGUGCCAUUUAAAGAAAUGUGAUUGGGUUGCUUGAAUGAGUAAUGGUGAGCUUGAUGCUUAUAAAUAAGAAGGGCUCCCAUUCAUUUCCAUCAAUUUAAGCCCUCUUGCCAUUCACGCCUAUUCUCCCCUUCCAUUCCUUUCUUUUGACCUCGUACCAUCGCUUCUUAUCAAGUCAUUCAAGCUAAUUCUCAAGGUUCAUCCAGGUAAGUAAGAUCCCUAUGUCUCUUCUAGGGCGAUCGUCUCCAUUGUCGAGUCUAGUUAGGUGCUCAUCCGUUAAGCCAUGGGUAGGAUGUUGAAUCUUUUGCAUGGCUUUGCUCAUGAUUAUGUUUAAACGUGUUUUUGAGCUGUUCAUGCCCGAAAUGAAGCUGAGGUUCGCUUAGGUUGAGUUCAACACAAGGCAAGGUCACUUAAGGCUAAAUGGCAUUGGAUCGGCAUUCAAGCAUGCCAAUUCUAAGUCUUGUUCGGUGUGAGUAUCCUAAGGCUGCAAGCUCUUGAAUUGACAUUGAGGUGUGCCAGUUCUAAGUCUUGAUUAGUAUGAGGAUCACUCAAGCUCGCGAGGUCUUGAUAAGGCACUAUAGCAUGCCGAUUUUAUGCCUUUGUUGGUGUGAGGACUUUGUGCUUGACAUUUGAAUCAAGACAUGACCUAAGGGUCAUUCAUGGCAUGAAGUAUGUUCAUGUCGGGUUGAAGAUGAGGUCCAUUGAGCUUAAUCUUCACGAAAGUGAGGUGUACCCAAGCCUCAAGGUCUUGGAUCGGCAUUGAGGCAUGUAGUUUCUGAACCUUGUCUAGUUCAGGGAUCGAAGCUUAGCAAUUGGUUCAAAUCAUAGAUCACGGGUCAUUCUCAACAUGUUUACUUGUGCAGUAUAAGAAUUCAUGACACACAAGUAUGGAUGAGCAAACCUUCAGGCCAUGCAUGUGUCAGCUAAGAGAAAAGAUAAGAACCAACUUGUAUGAUGUAUAUACGUCUGUACUUAAAGAGAAAAAAAAAAAAAAAAGCCCACUGCCACACAGCAUUGGUGGCAAUGCCUUGAUUGAGCCAGGAUGUCUGGGUCUUAAACCCAUAAGCCUAAAGAAGCUAGCCCAAAGAAGACUUGGUCGAGCUGAGAUGCCCUGAUCAAGACAAGAAGUUAGAAGCUCCAGUCAAGCUAGGAUGAAGAUAAAUAGAUUUGCAUGAAUGCCGAUUAUUGAUAAGUAUGAAUUAUUGUUAAGCCGAUGGUAGUUUUGACAUGGAUGGCAUGAGUUUAAAUAAAGCAUGACAUAUGAUUUGUGAUUGAUCUGCCAUCGACACUGUUUGCGAGUGUUAUACUUGUUAAGCUUUGAUGACAAGAUGUUUUCCUAGUAGAGAACUAAGAAUUUUACCUACUGAGUUCCCACGACUUACUUUCUCAUCUUUCAGUCUUGUAGGUAUGGAAGUCUCACGUCAGUUUUGGGAGCUGCAGUCACGUUCAAGGAGAUAGUAAUUUCUUUUGCCUUUAUGGAAACUUGUAGUAUGAUGUAAAAAGGAAAGAGAACCCCAUAGCAAAGAGGCUUGUAAAAGUACUGUUAUAAUAUAAACUAGUGUGUUUUAUGUAACAUUUAUCCCAAUUUUCUAGCAGUUGUUUGUCCGAGAGUGUUUAUUCACAUUUCUGUGUGUGCAUGAAAACAAAAUUAAAAGAAUCAAGACGGUGAUGAGCCUAAGACGUUGUGAAAUAACCCAUGUCACUCAAGACCCUAGGAAUGAAGUCGAGAUCGUGACAUGAGCACUUUAAUUCAUUUAUCAAGUUGGUUCUCGGUCUCAUUUUUAUACUUAACAAACGUGUUCAUAACCUUAUCUUUGCUAGUUAAUAGAUAAAUAUAGCAAAAUUGAGUAAAGUCAUCUACAAAAGUGAAGAAAUACUUUUUUUUCACCUCUACUUUCUACAAAUUUUAAAUCACAUAAAUCACUAUGGAUUGCUAUAGAGGUUCAUUCGAUCUUUCUACCAAUUUGAAUGGUUUUUUUAACAAACUUAGCCUCAACACAAGUCUCAUACUUGUGAUGGACAUCCAACUCAAACAUUGGAAUUAGCCCCAAUUUUGUUAUCUUUUUUGUUGUAGCAUAGCUUAUAUGUCGCAAUCUACCAUGCCAUAGAUAAGGAGACACAAUAGUGUAAACCAAAGACUUCUCAUUAUCAAUAGUCUUUGGGUACAAGAAUUUCGAGUUUACAUCAAUGACAACCACAUUUACUUUGAACGGGUCAUUACAUAAGUACCAUUUCCCCACAUACACCAUAUUUGGAAAGUACACAAUUAUCCAAUUCCAAUAUAAUGUUGAAACUCUUCUAGACAGGUAUGGGUUGAUUUACUUGCUAAGGGUGAAUUUCAAGAUCACUUUUCUUCUUCUAGCAAUAUUUGCUAAUGUGGAGUUAGUCAUAUAAAACUUAUAUUCUUCCUCAUGCUUCUUGUAAGAUGAAAACAGGUGUUUAUCCACGUGAUAUGUGGUACUUGUUUCCAACCACCAAUUAGUAUUAUUUAAUACCAAGGAUACCUCAUACACAACCACGACAAUCAGUCUCUCAUCCUCUGUUUAAUCUGUCAGAUUCAGCUACUUGACUACACUAUCGCCCUUGCCUUUGUUCAAGCGCUUUUUACAAUCCCUGGCCCAAUGGUCAAGCUUGUUACAAACAAAACAUGUCCCUUGGAAUUUCAAGAUUGUUCAUUCUGCUGGCAUUUUCCUUAAAAGAACUUUUUCCUCUUUGUAUCUUGCUUGGAAUUGGAAAACUCAAUAGUGUUGGCCUUUGGUUCAAUAAAGAGAUAUGCAUUCCACCUAUUGUCUUCCUUGAUUAUGAGGCACGGAAUAAGAUCUUCAAGGCUCAUCUCUUUCCGAUUAUCAUUCAUAUAUUUUUGAAAUCUAACCAGCCCAAAGGUAGCUUCUCAAUAAUAAAUGCCACUUGGAAUGAUUCACUAAGAACAUUUCCUCAACAAAGAUGUUCAAAAUCAUUUGCACUUCAUGGACCUAGUUCAUGGCAGAUUUAGAAUCCACCAUCUUGAGUCCAAGAAUUUGGCUACCACAAAUUUCUCAGUUUUGUAUUUCUUUUCUAAGGACUCCCAUAAUUAUCUAGUAGUUUCAAUGUUACAAUAAACAUGAUACAAGGAAUUUGCUAGGCAAUUAAGGAUAUAGUUUCGGAAUAGGAAAUCCUUGUGCUUCCAAGGCUCUAGCUCCCCAUGCAUUAUGACAUCUUGUUCAUCUAGACUAAUUAUUGAGCACACCUCUAAUUAUUGACUCCCAUAAUUAUCUGUUACCACUGCUUAAAGCCCACACUAGUUAACUCAUACAGUUUCUCAUUCGAUGUUAUUGGAGAAGGUAUCAUCAGAUUAGGCAAAGCUUGUUAAACCAUCUCUCCAAAAAUUGAACCAUGUACUUUUUUGAAAAACAGUCCCUAGUGUAUCGGUCAAGCGACUUCUACCGGUACCACCAUAGAUGCUUUCAGCCCGAAAGCUUGCAGCAUUUGUUGCCGUAACACUAGGCCAUGAGGUUUGAACCCACUCAUUGAAACGACCAUAUGAACGUCCUCGCAAACAUUCCGGACAUCAUUGGGUACUUGAUUAUUAUUAGUCAUCUCAAUUUUUUGAUAAGCCCAACAAACAGUAAAAGAUAAUCACCUUAAGAUUGUGGGAAAUAUUAAGACGUAUUGGGGAAAAUAGUAAAAAUUCCAAGAAAGCAAUAGCAAAAUAAACAAGGGUGAGGUUCGGCUAAUCAAAUCUCCUUAAGGCGAUUAGUUCAUGUCAAUGGUGCCAAUUAGUUUCAUGAACUAUGACUCUCAAAAUACAACACCUCAAACCCAAUUGUAUAAGCACUAUAUGAACAAGAUUCUAUCGAACACUUCUUUAAAUCAGCACGCUUAAAGAAACUACCAAGAAACUAGAGGAAUACUUUGAGGAGUUUUUGUUGUUAUUUUGAAUUAAGAAGACACAUCUAUUUAUAGACCAGGGAACUAGUUGUAGAAAACUGAAAGGACAUGAACUCAAGAGCCACACCGAUUAUGCACACAUUAGUUGAGCCAUUAACCCUUAAUAACAACAUUAUUAAAUCAGAAACUACAAGAGAACAAAGAGCCAUUAACCCAUAAUUGCAACAAUUAGGGCAUGAUCCAAAGAGACAUAACGGUUGCAUGUGAAUUGAAAAAGGCGUGAAUUGAAGAGACGUGUCAUUAACAUUGAGCCAUUAAAACCUAUGAUUACAAUAAUAAUUACAACACACUGUGCCCCCCUCAGUUCUUGUCACAAGAGCUUCUAAUUUGAAUUCAUCAAGUACGCCAUGUGCAUCAUAGAAUGCAUCCUUCAAUUGCUCAAGCCAAAAUUAGGUCACAUAAACUUGUUAUACAUGUGUCCCUGAGCACCCCGAUCUCAUGCUUGAUGCCCUAUAAAUUUCCAACUUUUUCUAGUGCUUGUCGAGCCAAAUCUCCAGCAAUGCUGACGAUGACAGAUGCCAUCUCUCUCUCAUAUAAUAUAUUAGUCGAGUCAUUCCAAGGCCAGAGAUUUCAGGUAUGUAUAACAAGUUUAUGUGACCUAAUUUUUAACUUCUUUGACGGAGUUGAGUUGUUGAAGGUAGGAUUCUCAUCAUCCACGCAAGCCUAUGUCAAUAAUGCAGAUAGGACCCACUGAUUUGGUUUGUCUAAGAUAUUUCGUGCUUCUAGAGUUUACUAGCUUAACACGCUUGCAAGUUGCAAAGGCAAUGAAAAGGCUGGCGUUGAAUUGAAAUCCAUGUUUAUUUAGAAGAUUAAAUUAACAAUAAUAACAAUAAAUUAAGAGUAAUAAAUUAGAAGGAUUGGACUAAGUUGCCUACGUUCACUCUUUUUCCAUAAAAAUAGCCGCCUCCUUGGAAUGUCCUAACCACGUGCUAUAUGCAAUACCAAUCAAUUGUAAAAAAUCAUAAUUGAAACUAUUUAAAAUGGGUAUAAUUAUCGGUGCAUCAUUUUCUAAUUAAAUCACUUUCCCCACAUAUCAAUCUUUUAGGAAGAAUAUGGCCAUUUUCAUCUAUUCUUUUCUUCAGGUUUAUUUGGAAACUGUUUCGAAAACUAUUCUCCAAAAUUUUUAAACAUUGCGUCAAUUCUCAACUUUUACUCUUGAUACACGUGGAGAGCGAUCUGAAGAGGGUUAAUGCGUCUCUAGUUUUUGGUUUCUUCAUGAUACAAUGGAUGUUGUUAUAAUUAUCAUUCAAUGAAAUAAUUUGCUUAGUCAAUAUAUAUAUGCUUACUGAUGUUCGUGGAAGGAUUCGUUCUUUAUUUUUAUUUUUCCCAAAUAAUAGGGAAUCAUUAUCUAAAUUAUUGGGAUGAAUUUUGGGUAUGACAAGUUUGGAAUCACAACUUAGGUUAUAAAACUAGUGAAUAUUAGCUAGCAUUAAUUCGGGCACUGUGACGUGCGAUUAGUUAGUAACUAGACGUGCGCACGUGCGUCACACACAAUACGUGCUCAUACAUUACGCAUAGCUACUCUUUCAGUGAAUAUAGAAAGUUCUAUAUGCGUAGGUAAUAUUAUCGACCUCUCAGUUUGAAACUAUUCUUCAUAUUAUCACAAGACAUUAGUACUAUUAUUUUACUAAAACAUUGCAAUUUGAUUAGGGAAGUUCACUCUCCUUGUUAAUCUCUCAUAUUUAUUUGCUUCCUAUGAGUAAAAUGCUUCUAUAUAGUUUAUUUCUUUCUUUAACUUUUCCUAUUCUCUAAGUAAAUGAAUAAUCUCUUCCCAUACAUUUUGUGAAUAAUCUCUUCCCAAACAUUGCAAUAACAAAACUUGCACAUUUUGUAAACUCCUAGUAUUUAGACAUUUUAUGCAUGUCACUCCUUUUCAUGAAAGGGAUAUCUUUUUUUGAGAAGAAAGAGAAGCCUUUUUUGCUGCAAAUUGCAGGUAUUCCCACUUGAGAUAUUUACUCGCGGGAAACAUGUAAACGAAGAACAAGUCUCGCUGGGGGAAUCUACUCCGAGCACUGAAAGUCCAAUCAUUGGACCUAAUGGACAUCCUGGGUGGACACAGGCAACCGCAAUCCAAGCACAGCCCCUACGCGACUGUGGCACAUCUCAUUUGACAAAUCACNNNNNNNNNNNNNNNNNNNNNNNNNNNNNNNNNNNNNNNNNNNNNNNNNNNNNNNNNNNNNNNNNNNNNNNNNNNNNNNNNNNNNNNNNNNNNNNNNNNNNNNNNNNNAACUAUCCCGUCAGAACCCACCACAAGGGAGAAAAAAUGAAGGUCAAGUGAACAAUAAUGAAGAUGCUAAGAAACAAAACUAUCUGUCUCGCUUACAUCAUUCUCUGAAAAAGCAAACUGGAGAAUGGGUUUUUACAUUGACUUGGAAGUCCUUGAAGGUUUCCUCAAAUUCUUGAUCAUGCCCAAGUAGGGGGCGCAAUUGGAGAAAUUUCUAUAUUCAUUCCCAGCCGGUAACAAAAAAAAUAUGAAGUUCUGCAAGCUCUAAAUUGGAUUUCAAGAGUGCAAAAAGGUAAUUAACGUUAAAGAGAAAACGAACAAGAAAAAACAAAACAAGAAGAGAUCAUUCCUAGCAAGGUUUUUCUGUCUGCUCAAGCAUUUGGCUAAAGUACACUUCAAGUGCCAAAAGUUGGUAUAAAGGGACACUUAAGUGCAAAAAAUUACAAAAGUGACACUUAAGUGCCAAAAUUGGAAAGAAAUGGAUCACUUAAGUGCCAAUCUAGCCAAAAUCCGGCCAAAAUGCUGAUGUGCGCAAUUUUCGGCAAAGUAAGUGCAAAACGGCGUCAUUUUGCAUGCUGACGUGGCCAGAUAAUGAAAAAAUGACGUCAUUUUGGUGCUAACAUGGUAAAAAUUAAUAUAAAAAUUAAUUAAAUUUAAUUGAAAACUAAAUUUAUUUAAAAAUUUUAAAAAUACAAAUACAAAUAUAUAUAUAUAUAUAUAUUUUUAAAAGGUGGGAGGGAGGCGGUGGCAGCUAGGGCUCAACCCUCAGCUGCCUCCCUUUUUAAAUAUUUUAAAUAUUUUUAUUUUAUUUUACAAAAUUUUAAAAAAUUUAAUUUAAUUUUUAUAUUAAUUUUUUCCCACAUUAGCACUAAAACAACGCCGUUUGUACUCGCUCGCCGGAAAAUUGACAUAUAAGCAUUUUGGCCGGAUUUUGGCCAAAUUAAUACUUAAGUGAUCCAUUUUGCUCCGAUUUUGGCACUUAAGUGUCCCUUUGUACCAACUUUUAGCACUCCAAGGGUCUUGGUGUCUAAGCAUUUUAUUUAUCAUUUUGAUAGUGUUACUUUCUUGUUUCCAUACUUGUAUGAUCAUCCAUCGCAUGUAAGUGGUUUAAGACCAAAUCAAUCAAGGCUACUUGCAAAACAUUUUGUGAAAUAAAGUGAAGGUGCCAAAGGGAGAUAGAUUUAUCUAGCAUAAUCAAGUCCCUUAUCCAUGAAAUCUCUAGUUCACAAAAAUAAAGUGUUCUCUCACAUUUUACUCGGGUUUUUAAUCAACCAUAGUAGACUAAUGGCAAUUCUUAAAUGAAUUGAAUUGGAUGUCUAAAUAAUUUAAUUAAAACCCCAAAGUUGUGAUUGUUGGGGGUUUGAGAGAACCCGCAUUAGACAAUGGUACCGUCUUUUUAAUGAGUUACCAUUUGUACUUGCAUGAUAAUCCAUUAACUUUCUCUUAGUGGUCCACCUCUAAGAAGGUCAUGACAAUUGGCAAUUAGAGAGUGGCAACUAAAUUAAAGAAGGAAAAGUGAGCUUGUUGAAUUAGAGACGAGUUGACCGAGCAACCGCAUGGAAACAAUGAAUACACACUCCUCAUUCAUCCGAUUGCACUAAAAUGUUGAGGGGAGUUAGUCAACAAGCGGACGAAGCUUGUGUAAAAUUUUUAGACCAAACGGAUAUUGAAAAUUUCAGUUUUGAAGGCUUGACAACAUUGUCUUUUUGUCCAGGCAUCUUGGUGCAGAUCAUCCAACAUUCCUUGAAAAAUGCAAUUUAGGAACUAUUCUUGGAAACUAGCACNNNNNNNNNNNNNNNNNNNNNNNNNNNNNNNNNNNNNNNNNNNNNNNNNNNNNNNNNNNNNNNNNNNNNNNNNNNNNNNNNNNNNNNNNNNNNNNNNNNNNNNNNNNNNNNNNNNNNNNNNNNNNNNNNNNNNNNNNNNNNNNNNNNNNNNNNNNNNNNNNNNNNNNNNNNNNNNNNNNNNNNNNNNNNNNNNNNNNNNNNNNNNUUUUCCCGUAGAGCCGAGGUUCUUGCACUACAUUGUCCCUAGUCGAAGAGUAUAGGAGAUUCCUAAUAUUCAUCAUAUGCACGGAUGACCUAUGUGAACUGAAACCUAACUAUAAAUGAAAUAUCAUGCCUCUAGUUUAUAUGUGCAAAACGAAUGCCACGAGAAAAAUGAAUGCAAUGUUGUAUAAACUGAUUGUUUUGUUUUUAUCAUGGUCAAAUUUAUGAGAUGCAAAUUUAUGAUAAAUUCAUCAGUGAAAUUCAAGUGUCAACAUCAAAAAGUCCUUUAAAUAGUGAAGAUUGGAAAAUUCGAUCAAAUUGAUGAUUGGACUUAUAUAUAUGAUGUUUUUGAAAAAGACAAGCCAUCUUACUAAGGCAAAAAUUGUUGGAGUUAUCCCACAUCGAUUAUGGAAUUGUCUAGUGGUUAGUUUAUAAAUAUGAGAGAAAGUCUCGCCCUUUGAGUAAACUUUUGAGGUGAGAGAAGUGCAAGACUACCAAACAUUGGUGUUAGAGCCAAUAGUAGAUUGGCGGCCCCCAAUUUGUUCAAGAUAUCUCAAGAAAAGGAAUCUAGUUACCAACAUAGUUUCUAGGCAGUGUGUGUUGUGGUAUAACACAAUCCCAAUGGUAGUCUUCAUGGUUCGAUUCCAAGAAAAAAAAAACAUGGAUAAAGGUGAGUGUUGGAGAUUCAAGUUAAGAUAAAAAGAUACCUAAGUUAAGGGGAACAAACCUAACAAUGAGCUCAUAUGUGAUGGGGAGAUUGUUGAGAUAUACAUGUGAGUUAUCUCAAAGAAAGGAAUCUAGUGACCAACAUAGUUUCUGAGCAGUGUGUGUUGUGGUGUUGCAAUGCGCAAUCCAAUGGUAGUUUUCAUGGUUCGAUCUAAUGAAAAAGAACAUGGAUGAAGGUGAAUGUUAGAGAUUCAAAUUGAGAUAAGUUAAUAUAGAAAGAUACCUGAAUUAAGGGGAAACGGACCUAACAUUGAGCUCACACGUGAUGGAGAGAUUAUUGAGAUACAUAUGUAAGUAGGAAUCUAGUGACUAACACAGUUUCUAGGCAGCGUGUGUUGAGGUGUUGCAACGCAAUCCAAUGGUAGUUUUCAUGGUUCGGUCCAUUGAAAAAGAACAUGGAUGUUGGUGAAUGUUGGAGAUUCAAGUUGAGAUAAGUUAACGUAGAAAGAUACUUGAAUUAAGGAGGAACAAACCUAACAUUGAGCUCACACGUGAUGGGGAGAUUGUUGACAUACAUAUGUAAGUAGGAAUCUAGUGACUAACACAGUUUCCGGGUAAUGUGUGUUGUGGUGUUGCAACGCAAUCCAAUGGCAGUUUUUAUGGUAUGGUCCGAUGAAAAAGAACAUGGAUGAAGGUGAUUGUUGGAGAUUCAAGUUGAGAUAAGUUAAUAUAGAAAUGUACAUGAAUUAAGGGGGAACAGACUUAACAUUGAGCUCAUACAUGAUGGGGAGAUUGUUGAGAUUCAUAUGUAAGUUGUGUUAGGGAAGUCCCAUAGCGGAGAAUUGAUGCAAUGUAAAGUAAUUAAUAUAUCUAGUUGGCCAAUAACUCAUUGCUUUAAGCUUUUGAGUGAAGAUAUGUCCAAUUAGAUAUGUUAAUAGGCUUAGACUUGUGCUCCUUCUUAGCAAUCUCCUAGGGUAAAGAUAUUGGACAUCUAUUAUACACUUUCAACAAAAAUAAAUACAUAACUAUCCGAUUUUGAUAGGACAAAUUAGUUGAUAAACCAAUCCGUGAAACCCAAGAAAGAACAAGACAUCAUAAUAUUUGUGGUACUGAAGUAAAGUUGUAGGCCUUAAAUGCACAAAUUAAGAGUUACGGAUUUGAUUGCAUAAUUCGUGUAAGUUGUUUGACCAAAAAUGAAAUUCCAAUGAAAUAAGAAUCAAAUUUAACCUAAUACGAUGAAAUGGAUGGAUCACCAGACUCUACGCGACCAGCAUGUUUACUCCUAUUCAUAGCCAAAAGAUAUAUCAAUGUUUUCUCCUUUUUAUAUUGUGGACAGCAAAUAAUAGCAUCUCCUGCUUUUUCUUUAUUGUUUUGGGUUGCUUUCUUGUGAACAGGAUAAGAGUGUAUAUUAAUAUCAUGNNNNNNNNNNNNNNNNNNNNNNNNNNNNNNNNNNNNNNNNNNNNNNNNNNNNNNNNNNNNNNNNNNNNNNNNNNNNNNNNNNNNNNNNNNNNNNNNNNNNNNNNNNNNNNNNNNNNNNNNNNNNNNNNNNNNNNNNNNNNNNNNNNNNNNNNNNNNNNNNNNNNNNNNNNNNNNNNNNNNNNNNNNNNNNNNNNNNNNNNNNNNNNNNCCAGAACCUCCACAACUUCCGAGCCAAGCACGGGCCUGUGACGUGGUUGAAGCUCGGUUCCGUGAACACCAUGGUGAUUCAAUCAGCUCAGGCCGCGGCAGAGUUCUUCAAGGGCCAUGAUUCCGCGUUCGCAGACCGCAAGUGUCCCCAUGCAUUGACAGCUCUCGGUUAUGACCAAGGCUCGCUCGCUAUAGGUCGUUACGGUAGCUACUGGCGCGUUCUCAGGCGUCUCUGCUCUGCUGAGCUCCUCGUGACCAAGCGCGUCAACGAGACAGCCCAUCUCAGGCAGAAGUGCGUCGACAACAUGGUCAUGUAUUUAGAGGAAGAAAUGGCGGUUAAACAAGUAACAACAGGUUAUUUCUUACGUGCUUCGUGUUACUUUGGACGUUUGCGUUUCAUAUGUAACCUUGAAUGACCGAAAUAACAGUUUUCUUCUUCAAAGGGAAAAAAAAAAAGCAACAGAGAGAGAGAAAGGAACGUUUAAACUCCCUAUAAAAUAUCAAAAGAGGAUGAAGGCCUAUACCCUACACAAUAUUCCCACUAGUGUCACAAGUUCUUCUCAAUUAUUAAUAUAGGUAAAAUCAACGGUUAAGAUAUGUUGGGACGUCUGCACCAUUAGGAGUUAACGAUCCACGCUGUCAAAAGAAUCGUACUUCAGUAAAGAACGCAACCUGCAACUAGAUCUACCUAAGAAAACAUUGGGCCUGCUUUUUACGGAUAAAGGAACCGGCAGUGUUUAUUUUUUGUAAAAUGUACGAUUAAGUUCUAAAAUCUUUUUUAUUUUCUUUUUUCUUUUUUCUACUAUUGAGUUCUUAAAUUAUACAUCUUUUAAUUUGAGUUGGCCCUCCUCUUAAAUUUGCUAAUGCAUUGGUUACGAUGAAUAUUGCAUCCCCACCAUAUGUUAGCACUGACUAGACUAACUAAUUAGGGAGACAUGAAUUCUUUUUUACGUGCCAAGAUGGGUAAGAAAGAUUAUAAAAAUAAAGAAAUCUAAAUCCAAGUAAACAUUCACCAACCCAAGCGUUGCCUCAAUUUAUUGCAUGACCCAACUCACCUCCAUCCUAGUUAUUCAAUUUUUCUAUGUCAUUCUAUUUUUAGGUUUUUUAAGAAUUCACUUAAGACACCAUGUUGGUUUUCAAUGAGGACGUAACCACCAUGUCAACAUUUAUAUCUACUUCUUUAAUGGAAGGACUAAAUCAAAGAAGAACUUAUACGGCUCGAGGAUCUAAUUGCACAACAAAUUUAGGAACCUAAUUAGAACUUUUUAUAAAAGUUUAGGGACUGCUGGUACUUUUAUCCCUUUGUUUUGUUGCUGUAAUUGACAAAUUCAAUAAAUAGAUACCAGUGUAAAUAAUUCAAGUUGCCCAAGAGCUACUGGUGUUUAAAGUGCUAUUUAGUCAAACUUGCUUUCAUUCUUCUCGAGUUUGAGUCGAACUAGAGUGGCUCUACAGUUGAAUUAUGCCAAGCUCGAGUAGCUUUACCAUUGAAUUGGGUCAAACUCGAGCAUGAUCAAGUAGUUGGGUUUUAUAUAUCUUCUGAUGCAUUGAUCAAGUAUAUCCCCAUUAUUAUGCAAGAGAAUGCAAAAGUAAACUUUACACUAUAUUUUAUUUGUAGAAGCCAAGUUGGAGUUUUUAAGAGUUCAGAUGCUAAUUUAGUUUUGUUAGUGAAAAAUAUCCGAAAACAAGCUUAUCAAGAACUUUGUUAAGUUCGACUUGAGCUUGAAAAAUCCAACUUUUGUCUUGAACAUUGCAGCUUGGAGGUUGAUUCCUCCAUCCCUCCUUAAACUAGUUGCAAAACUUGGUGCAAUAAUUUUUUUCUUCAUGUCUAAUUCAUUACGUUCUGCUAUGCAUUCUCUAAUUAUAAUUAAUCGUUAAAAAUUUCUAAAUUUUAUGAAGAGCAAGGAAUCGACUUAUCCCACUUCCUCUUUCUCAUGGCAUUUAAUGUGGUGGGUAAUAUGGUGCUCUCGCGGGAUCUGUUGGACCCAAAAUCGAAGGACGGGCCCGAGUUCUUUGAUGCCAUGAACCGGUUCAUGGAAUGGGCUGGCAAGCCCAACGUAGCCGACUUCCUGCCGUGGUUGAAAUGGCUGGACCCGCAGGGGAUCAAGGCAAGCAUGGCGAAGGACAUGGGUCGAGCCAUGAAGUUUGCUGAAGGUUUUGUAAAAGAGAGGUUGGAGGAGCGAAAGCUGAGGGGAGAGAUGAGAACGACAAAUGACUUCUUGGAUGCGGUAUUGGAUUAUGAGGGCGAUGGAAAAGAAGGCCCUCGCAAAAUCUCUUCCCCGAACGUCAUCAUAAUAAUUCUGGUAUCCUCUCUUCCACUCUUGGCAAACAAGAAAUGAUUAACAUCUUAAGGAUAUUUGGUCCAGUUCAGUUUGUAAAGUGGGGUGGUAAACUUAAUUGACAAUUAACAAGCAGGUCAUAUUACGCGUCAUUCUCUACAAAUGCAUGUUUUCGUAGAACAUUCUAGCACUAGAUUUUAUAAUAACUAGCCUUUUCCAAUCAACUAUCUAUGAAAACAUUUUACACUUUAAGUUUGUAGAGAACGUUGCAUAACAAAAAGCUACUACUAUUAUAAAGAUGUUUCCAUUCUUUCCUGAUUUAGCCAAUCUGUCUCAUUUUGUAAUAACUAGCUAAGAAUGUUCUACGAAAACACAAGAUUGAUUAAUGGUUAUUUUUUAUAAAAAGAAAAUCUAGUGCUAGAAAGACACAUUGAAUUAUUUAUUAAAUUAAGUCGAUGUCAAUUUGGUGAUUAAUAGAACAUGUUGGGUAUCCUCAAUGAAUGAGUGAAUAGUAUGUUGAUUAGAUGUGUGAUUUAAUAUUGACUAUAAAUAUAAUCGAUAAUCAAACACCAGCAUUGGUUAUAAGAAGCCAAUAAAAUUAAGUUGACAAGGCAUGAACAGUUUUUGUCCAUGGACUUAUAAAUGAAAGUCAAGUUAAUGUCGGUCGAGUCGAGAAGUACUGACAUUGGCUCACAAAAUUUGGUCGAAUCAAACCGACUGCAAGGAUAAAACUAGCGCGAACAAUUAUUGUAGUCAAACUUCUAGGACGGAACAAUUUUUAAGGUUGUUGACCGGCGGUUGCAGUGAAGCAAUCGUUGUAGGCGAGACUACAAAAAGAGCACAUCUUAAGGGAAAAAGACGCACAAACAUAAAAAGAACACACUUCACUUUCUUGCCAUUCAUUUUCAGUUAUUUCUCAGCAACUUAAUUCUUGCCAUUCCAGUUGUUUAUUUCAUUUUUCCCAAUCAAACACCUGCUCUUGCCCUUUUAUAAAUAUUUCUGUUGUCAUUAGUGUAUUCAUUUCGUCAAUUUUAGGAUCCAAUCAUCAAAUUCUUGUUCCUUUCUUUAUGCGCAAUUGUCUGUCAAUUCGAAGCAUAGGAGCUGCUAUGUUUGACAAGGAUUUUAUCAGGUGAAGCAUGAUGAUUUUUACUAUUAAGCCCACGAUUUGAGGGAGUGAUUUUCGAGCGAACUGAAUAUCUUAAUUAUAGCAAAAGAAUCAACAUUGGUGGUAACCCUAGCAAGACAUGAUCUUGUACUAAAUGGGUCUAAUUGAUGGUGCAGGAAAUGUUUUUCGCUGGAUCAGAGACUACAAGCAGCACCAUCGAGUGGGCGAUGGCGGAGCUACUCCGCCAACCCGUGUCAAUGAGAAAGGCCAAAGAUGAGAUUAACCAGAUUGUGGGGUUGAACAGAAAACUCGAAGAAAGUGACACGGAAAAAAUGCCGUUUUUGCAAGCUGUGGUGAAGGAAACCCUAAGAUUGCAUUGCAUCCACCAGUACCUUUGCUUCUCCCACGAAAUGCUAUAAAAGAAACCAAUUUCAUGGGCUUUGAUAUACCCAAAGAUACCCAGGUUUUCGUGAAUGCAUGGGGCAUUGGAAGAGACCCAGAUGCUUGGGAAGACCCAUCAGCAUUCAAACCAGAGAGGUUUCUAGGAUCUAAAAUUGACUACAAAGGUCAAAACUUUGAGCUAAUUCCAUUCGGAUCAGGCAGAAGAAUGUGCGUCGGACUUUCGUUGGCGGAUAGGGUGCUUCAUCUCGGUCUUGCGAAGUUGCUCUACCAUUUCGAUUGGGAACUCAGUGAUGGUUUGACUUCAGAGACCCUCGACAUGAGAGAGCGGGUGGGAAUAACACUACGGAAGCUCCAUCCUUUAAAAGUGAUACCUAAAAAAUGUAGUGUGUGAGGUCUUUAGAAUAUCAUUAAUGGUAACUAGUUAUAUUCCUUACUAGUUAAUAAGGAAAUGACAAGAUGUGAUGUCAUGUAUUCAAAACAAGCAGAAGAUGUUAAGUUUCAUGAACAUAAUUUCAACAUAUUAUUACCCUAAGGUUGUUGGUGCUGAUGUUAUUGUGUCGAGGAUUAAUGAACCUACCCAAGGAAGACUUCUUAAGAAUGGUGUUUUUACUCCACAAACACCUCAGGAAAAUUACCAAAAAGUUCUUAAACCUAUUAUACUUUUAUCAAUUUAGGAUGUGUUUGUUUCACGAAAAACGUAAUAUUUUUGGAAAAUGUUUUCCGAGAAACCAUUUUCCUUUGUUUGGUGAUACGUGACUGAAAGUAUUUUCUGUGUUUGGAUCGUAUUUGAAAAAUGAUUGAAUGCUAUUUGAUCUAACAAUUGACAACAGUGCCUCUUACUUCCAAAUUAAUUUAUUGAAUCCAUGUUACUUUAUAAACGGAUUUUCUAAAAUAAUACAUAAUAUUUGUGUUGACCAGAAAAAUGAUUGGAUGACAUUUGACCUAACAAUUGGGCAUGUUGAUAUCCUGGCCUUGAGCUUGAUUUAUCGAGCUUGAGCAUGGUUGACUUCACAAAGCUCAAAAUCAACCUCAAAUUCUUCAAAUUGCAAGACUAAGUACUACAUCAUGUAGCUAUUUGCAGCAUCGAUACAUGUAUUCAUACAAUCUUUGAUUACUUGAUUCGGCUUGUGAGUUAUUCGAGAGUAAUCUAAAAGCUGGAGAUCAAGUCAAGUAAACCAUUUUCAACGGACGUACUUGCAUGAUUUCGGCAAUUCAUGUGGCUCCAGCGGGCUUGGGGCCAUCUCACAGACCAACGUGUCCCUCCAAUCCGCUGCCACCACCUUGAACAAAUUGAAAUUCGAGAAGUAGAGCACCUUCCUCCCCUUCUCACGCAAGUAUCACUCCCUCCUUCCCUCACUCUCAUGGAACCUCCGCACCCCUUGUGACAUUCUGAUUUUCUGAUUCUGUUUUCGAUUGAAUGAGUUGGUCUUUUCAUCGACUCACCUAUAGUUCUUUUUCCUGAGUUGAUCACUCAUGAGAUAACUAGUCUAUCAGGUGAAGUUGUUAAGGAAUCUAAAUGCAAUAAACUGGAGAAUUUGACCAGAAAUCAACUGCUCGACUGUGCUAAUCUACAAGGGUCAAUACGACACCGUCAAAAUUAAUCAGAGACCGAAGAUAGGUCGAUUCGAUAGAGGUAUGUGAUUAGUGUGCGGGUGAUUCCAUCUAAUUUCAAAAUUUUAAACCGAUUUUUCUGUCAUUUCUAUACCCUGUGCCCGUAUUUGAAACCUCAAGAUUUUCUUGAUAACCGAGAGUCACCAAUGUGUUGAAGAUGUACAGUAUGGCUUGAAAAUAAUCGAUCUAGGGUCAAAUGUGCUAAAAAUUCCUAAAAGCUACCAAAUAGGUUAGGUCACGCUAAAAUUGUGCAUGGUUGAAAUUAACUGCGAAAUUGAACUUGAUUAAAUUAUGUCAUGUCACAAUUUAUUUUAGGAACGUCAAUUUAUCCUCCGAAAUUUUUUCGACUAAUCGGGAAUUUUGGCGAAAAAAUCGAAGUUGGGCCGUUUUGGACCGGAAAAAUUAGAGGGUUGUUUUUUGUUGCACUUUUGGCAUUCAAGUUGGACUAAUUGGCAAGGAAAAAUGUGAAAGAUGAUGUGGGCACAUUGGCUGAAUUUAUGGGCACCAAUUUGAGUCCAAUUGAAAAGAAAUUGAAGUAAAAUUGAAGAGGCAAAUGUCCAAAUUCGUAGCCACCCGGGAGGGGGGAGCAACUUUUGGACCCUUUGGAUGGCUUCUAUGAGAAGCUUUGGUGUAGAAAUUGCUGUUGUGGAUAGGGCUGAUCAAGUGGGGGCCAAGCAAUGAGUGAAUGGGAUAUUUGUGAAGACUUUGUGGCCAUUUGGUAGCCCCCCCCCCCCUUCAAGCUACAGCCUUCUUCUUCUUCCUUAGCCUUGCUUUCUCCAUUAGUGUUGUGUUUUGAGCUCAAGAAAACCAGAGAACCAGCUAGCCAGCCCCUCACACCGUCAACCGCCCCUCCUAGCCGUCCGAGCACCAUCAAGCCCUGCCCGAGCUCCAGCACCUGCUGUCCCGCUCGUGCGCCUAUCCGCACAUCCCCACGGCCUGCGUUCGUCACCCGUGCCCUGCUCGUCGAUUAUCGGAGCUAAUCCAGCCACCUAGUGUCGCCGUCAAGCCCCUCCACCGCUCGUCCAAGCCACCUAGUCCACCUCCUCACCAUUCCAGCCCAUUUCAGCUGUGAAGCCCUUCGGUCCAACCCUUAGAUAGAACCGAAGGCCCAACUUUGGCAGUGAGCUGUUGGGCUGUUUUCUGGGCCCUUUCGGACCUUCGUUGGUGUCGCUAUAGGCUUGGUUUUUGCUCGCCUUGGCAUCACCAUCACCGUGAACUCAAUGGCCCUCAAAACUGAUGAGUUUACUUGCUAAACUUUGCUUAUCGAGUUAAUUAUACUUAAGUGUUGAUUAGCUUAAGUUAAGUAUGGCUUAGGUGGCUAGUUUAGAUAAAUUAGUGAUUUAAUUGCUUAAUUGUGAUAAUUAUGUGGUUAGAUUAGAUUAGUUAAUGGUUAAUUGAAUUGUAUUAUUUAUUGAGCAUGGUGCAUUAUUUUCUAGGCCCGUUUAGGUAGUUAGAUUAGCAUUAUUAGGCCUAAGUUGGUAUUUAUCUAUUUAAUUUGUAUUUAUUAAUUAAUUUUGCUAUUUAUUUAAUAAUUUAAUAUUUUUCGAAAAUUAUACCGGAAUAGCCGGUGACUGGAAUUUCGUGCCGAUUGCAGUGAUGCUUAGUUUAUGCAAUUGAUGGUUAAAUUGUCCAAUCGAGUGGUGAUUGUGAAUUUUGAGUAUUUAUUUCAAAAUUGUGAAAAUUUGGUUUUUAAUCAGAAAUUAUUGAGUGUCCGUUUUUAACGUCAAAAAUGUUUUUAGGUACUAUAUUAAAUAGUGAGAUUUUUAAAAAGGAAGAUAUCGCAUUUUUUGCCCAAACUAACCAUGUACCCAAACACAAUUAUUUUACUAGGUGUUUUUAAUAUGAAAAAAAAUAGGCCAAGUUCAUUAUUUUAAUUGAGGCAUUUGAGUGCAAAGCACAAUGUCUUUGGCCGGGAUUGAUUAAUCGUGUGAUGGUUAAGUGAACCCGUCCCCGAUGUGCGUUGGUAGGACGUUGCCCAUAUAUAAGAUGCCCCUGGACAACGGAUACCAGUCGCAGUAGAUUCUAAACCAAUGCUCCUUCAAGAAUGUUGUCCCGAUGUGCGUCGGUGGAUGUUGCUAUGCUCAAGGGGGGAGACAAAGCCUGCCUACGCUAGAAGACCGAUGUGUGUCAGUAGAUUGUGUAUAUGCGGGCAAUAAUCAAUUGGAACAUGUGAUUAAUUGAAAUUGACGUGCCGGAUUUUGAGAUAAAAUUGUGUGGCAUGGUAUGGGACGUGCCAUAACGAUUUGGCCUUAUAAUCGGGACUCCUAUGAUCGAUUGAUUAGUUGAUUGAUUGAUUGAUUGAUUGAAAUGUGAAUUGAGACAUUCUAAAUGAUCGAGUGGUAUUACUAUACAUAUAUAAUAUAUGAAUUGUACUGACAUGCAAAAGGGAACUAAGGCGAGGUAAGUCAUCUGUAUUGUGUAUAGUGUCACGCCCCCAUCCUCAAGCGCGUGCCCAUCCCUUGGUGGUCAAUUAAAUUGCAACGUCCUAGAACACGUAGCCGACUCAUUCAUUGUAAUGUGCAUGCAGAAGCGAAUAAAUAAAUCCCCAGACAACACAAAGAUGGGAUAGAAAAGUAGGGCCAAAAUUUUGAAAACCACGGCACACUUUUAUACACAGCAAACUAAGUCAUAUACAAUUCUAGUCUAUAUUUAAAUAUAAAUCAUGCUUCCACAAGCUAAUAAAACAAUCUUAGCUCACACAAGCUAAUAUAUAUAUCUAUAUAUCGUGCCCCCACAAGCUGAUAAAAUGAUCUCAACUCACACAAGCUGAUAAUGUAUACUGCUCUCACAAGCUGACAUAUUGAGCUUAUAAGCUGAUAUAGUAUACUGCUCUCACAAGUUGACAUGCAAAAGGGACUCUCACAAGCUAACGAUAAAUAUGCUUGCACAAGCUGAUACUAAAUGGUCUCAUAAGCUAAUAAAACACCGAGUUGAAAAUACCCGAUAAAGAUAAUCGUGUGUGGGUACACAGUCGGCCUGAGCCAAAAUUUCAAUAUCUUUCUUAUCAAAAAUCCCACUAUUUAUAAUAGUUCAUAAACACAUUUUUGGCGUUAUAAACCGAUGUCCGAUAUUUUCUAAUUAAAUACCAAAAUUACUCAAAUUUGAGAUACCACUCAAUUUGCACAAAUUAGCACUCAAUUAAAUAAACCAAACAUACCAUUGUAAUCAGUACGAAAUUCUGGUCAUCGGCUAUCUCAGUAUAAUUUCUGGAAAAUAAUAAAUAAUUAAAUAAAUACUAAAAUUAAUUAAAUAAAUACAAUUAAAUACAAUAAAUAGGAACUUAGAUUGGAAAAGCCUAAUUAAACACUGAGACAGGCCCGGAAAAUUUCCGAACCAAUCUACAUAAAUAAUACGAUCUAUCUAGUCUCUAAUUAAGCCGUUCUAACAACCUAACAUGCAUAAACGAAUAUUUAAAUCACUAAUCUAUUCUAACUAACCACCUAAACCAUACUUAGCCUAAACUAAUCAACUAUUAAGAUCAUUAAAUCCCUAAAUAGAGUUUAGCGGGUAAACUCACUGGUUUUGUGAUCCAGUGAGUCCACGAUGACGGCAAUGUGGAGACGGGCGAUAAACUCCAAAGCGGCGACACCCGACAAGGCUUGAAAGUGUCCUAAAAUGGGCCUUGUAGUCCACGGAAGCUUGUUGGCCUUCGGUUCUAGUUGAUGGGCCUAGAGGCUGCUUGAGCAACCAAAAGCCACAAGGAGAGACGGUGAUGGUCCAGUGGGGCUAAGUGGACAACAGUGGGGCUUCACGGCAGUGGAGGUGAGCUUGAGUGGCAGCCAAGGCUUCGAUGGCAACCAGGGAUGGCUCGGGACGGGUGAAAUGGCAACGGAACAGGUGGGAUGGACGACGGACUAGCGUGGGCUCACACGAGGGCGCGACAAGUGCGAAAGGUGAGCGGCGGUGACAGACGGUCCAAUGGUGGCUUGCAAUGGCAGGGGGUGGCUGGCUCGGUUUUCUAGUUCUUUGGAGCUUCAAGGUGGACUAAAAAUGGAGAAAGCGAGCUGUGCUAAAAAAGAAAGGGGACAUCAGCCACUCAGAGGGUCCAUCAAGCCUCCAUUCUAUCCUCUUGUCCCUUUAAGAGGCCCCACCAGCCCUUGGCUAUCUUCCACAGCCUCUUGGCAGCCCACAAACUUCCCUUGCAAGCCAAUGAAGUGGUCCAAAGGUGGUGGAGGCCAUAACAUACGAAUUUGGUGCCAAAUUGAACCAAAUUUAUCCUCUAUUGGAUCCAAUUCGGUCCCCAUAAAUUCCAUGAAGGUGCUCUUGACCAAAUUGACAUUUUUCCUUGCCAAUAAAACCAACUUGCAUUCCAAAAACAUGAUAAAAAAGGUCCCCUUGAAUUUUCUGAUAAAAACGGCCAUAUUUUGAAUUUUUGCCAAAAAUCUCGAUUUGCAGAAAAAUCUUUGGAGGAUGAGUUGACGUUCCCAAAAUGAAUUAUGACAUGAUAGAACUUUCAAUUUCUGAAAUUAGGUUCAAAUUUGUGGUUAAUUUCAAUCUAGCGCGAUUUUAGCAUAACAUAACCUACCGAGUAACUUUUAUAAAUUUUUAGUGCAAUUGACCCGUGGUCAAUUAUUUUUUAGCCACAUUGCACAUCUUUGACACAUUGGCAACUCUCGGUAGUCGUGAAAAUCUCGAGAUUUCAAAUGCGGACAUAGGAUACCAAAGCGACAAAAAAUUGGUCUAAUGUCGAUGGACAAGAAUUUUGCAAUAUGGUGGAAUCACCCACACUUUGAUCAUAUAUCUUAGUCGAAUUGACCUAUCUUUGAUCUCUAAUCGAUUUUUGAUUGUGUUGUAAUGAUCCUUGCAAACUAGCAUGGUCGAGCAAUCGAUUCCUAGUAGAAUUCUCAAGUUUAUUGCGUUAAAAUCCCUUAACGGCUUCACUUUUUAGACUAGUUAUCUCAUGAGUGAUCAGCUCAGAGAAUAGAACUAUAGACGUGUCAAUGAAAAACCCAAUUCAUUCAAUUGAAAAUAAAACCUGAAAUUCAAGAUAUCACGUAUAGACUGUCUUUAAGUGUAUUUCCUUCCUAAUAGGGGUUUAGAGGGUGAACUUGCUGAAACAUUGUCUCACCCCGUCGUGGGCUUAACCUUUUCAGGUUCUUAGAUGGCAAUCCCUUCGAAACGUUUUGGUCGGCCUUAGGGAGUAACUGAGUGGAGCAUAGACAUCCCGAUCCUCGGGAGUCACUGGGUCUUUAAACUCAUGGUGACCACUGUCUGGGUUGAUGAGGGCCUACCUUAAAGGGUACCUCAUCGAUUUAGGGUGUGGUAUUGCCAUGGGCUCAAUUGGUAUAAGGAAUGUCCUAUUUGGGGUUUUGAUGUCCCCGUUGCUGUGGUUGACACCGCUCUAGGCAAGGGUGAAGCUGACCCUCCUGAUGGGGUUGUGGAGGACCCGAAGCUCUCGAAGUUUUCAGAGAUGGAGUCUGAAGGAUCGACGAAUGUGUUCAACUAGUAGGUCGUAGAACAGCUUCUUUUUUAGAGCCAAUCUUUUGUAGAUAGACUAGCUUUGUAUAUAAACCUAAUGUGUUUAUGAAUGCAUGUUUGUUUGUGAAUUUGUUAUCCUGCUUUUCUAUCUCAUGUUUUGCUAUCAAAGGUUUUUAUUUUGCUUCCGCAUGUACAAUAAAAUAAAUGGAUUGGUGAUGCGUCUUGGGAUGUUGCAAUUUGAUCAACCAUUGAGGGAUGUGCGCACGCUCGAGGUUCAAGGUGUGACACCCCUCCGAACAUCUCCUCCAGCAUGCCCUCCAAAAUCUCGUGGUUCACUGCAUGGAACAACCCCCAGCCCUUGCACGCACUUCGGACUUCCUCCACGACCCUUCGCCAGAGAUCCCCGUUGCCACCGCCGCCGUCGACAAUGACCGCGAGGUCGAUGGUGGGGAUCGCGAGGUCGACAGCAUCGACUGUGGCCUCCUGAGGGGCGUGGACGAAGAAUGAUAGGAUCUGGGAGAUGUCGGAGUCGACGAGGCCCUUAACGCUGACCCUCACAUCAUCGAAAAGCUUCAGCUCCUCAUCUCGCCGAAGCACGACGAUGCUCACCACCGACAUCUCCACACUCUAGCUUUCGCUUUAGCGAGCUGAUUGGCGAAGUCUGUACCUUAGAAAAAUCUAGAGAGGAAAAGUGAAAGGUAAGAGAGAAAAAGAUGAAAAGGGACAGUGUUUUCACCUUCUGAGGCGGAGGAAUUCAUUUUCCUAAAAUAAUACAUAAUAUUUUUGUUGACCAAAAAGUAUUUUCCAUUGACCAAAUCUUUUUAGAGAACCAAACAACUGAAAAUCCAAAAAACACUUUCUGGUAAAAUACUUUCAAUGAAACAAACACACCCUUAGUAAUAAACCUUUUUAUUAUAUAAGUUAGUCCCAAAUGUUUUCAUGUUUUGCCAAUUGAGCUCAUAUGAUCAAUUUUGGUAAAAAAAUCACUAACAUAAAUGUCAGGCAUCCUAUAUGGUGCAACUAGCGCAAACGUGGAAUAUUUUUAAUAUUUUUAUUUUAUUUUUGAAUACUUUUUCUUUUCUUUUCUUUCUCUGAUGGUUGUUGAGCCUUGGGAAUGACUACUGACCAACCAUAGGCUACAACCAAUGAUGGUUACCCUCACCAAGACCUAGCAAGGGAGGAUCUUGCCGCCUCGCCAAAUUCGGCAAGUCAUAGCUUCACACGAGGCUCAACUUUGCCUAAUCUAGCGAGGGUAAGGCGAAACCUCGUUAACCUUCACAAGGGUUGGUCUCGGGCGAGGCUUGCCCAAAGAUGGCGAGGCCAACCAUCCCUAAAGGCUAGCAAGGGCCAACCUAGCCAGCUUCAGGCAAAGCUCAACCCUAUCAAAUCUAGUUUGGACAAGCCUUACUCAAGGGCAACAAGGGUGACCUCACCUAAGGCUAGCAAGGGCAACCAUUGUCAGUCAUAACCUGUGGUCGAUCACCGGCCAUCACCAAGGCUUGGCAAAGGAAGAAAACAGCAAAAAAAAAAAAAAGGAUGAAAAAGAGAAACUUAAAAAUAUUUAAUAUUAAAAAUUCAAAAAUAUUAAAAUACUAAAAAAAUGUUUGAUGUCAUUUACUUUGAUAAUUUUCGGUCAAAAUUGGUUAGAUUGACUCAAUUAGUGAAACUUGAAAAACUUUAGGACUCAAUUGACACAAUUAAAAGGUUUAUGACUGAAUUAGCAAAAGUAUAAUAUAUUAUGAUUUUUUUGGUAAUUUUCCCCAAAUAUCUUUGGGCAAUUGCAAGUUUUUAUGUAAGCAUUUGGGUCUUGUUUAAAUUGUAUGACUUAAGCAUGUAGCAGGUAGUUAACUUGCCUUUUAAGCCAACGAUAAAACUUUACUUGUCGAAAAAAAAAAUUGCCCUAAAGUUAGUUCUACACAAGUCCAAUAAAUGGAUGAUUGUGAUUAACUCGGUCCAUAUACGCCAAUCCAUAAUAGAGUCUUGAAUCACAGACCAUGAACAAUACCAGUUCCUUGAAUGGAUCGAAGGUUGACAUGGAUUGACUUUGAUCCCCAUCCAAAUUAGAAUCCUGUUAAUGGAUUCAAACACAAUGCUGAACCCAAUAAUGCGAUUGCUAGUGCAUCACCGACUUCCAGUAGCAUAGCAGUGGAAUCUAAAGAAGAUGGUGAAACUCCAAUUCGACUCUUAAGUACAAAAGUGAGAUGCUCAUGGAGGGGGAUUUGGAGGACAAAAACUGCAUGUGUUGCCAAAUUGACUAGCCACCCUCUGGGCCAAAGGAAAAAAAUCAACGUGAUUUCCUCUACUAGAAGGGUACCCUUCUGACCACCAAAAAAAAAAAAAAUCAAGUACUUGCCAACUAGCGAAAAUUUGGCCAACAAGCAAGCUCAAGUCUUCAUUUGAGACUAAUUUGGCAACUUCAGACAUUUAUUUGAAAUAAUGUCCACCUUAGGCCAUCUUUUGGAAAAAUAACCUCACUUUAGACGUUCAUUUAAAAAUUUUUGCCAAACAUUAGUCAUCUGAAGUGCAUGACGGUAAUUGUAUGCAAAUUGCUUAAUCUCUUUGUAUGUUACAAAGGUAAGAUUUUGCUAUAAUGCCAAACAUCCAAACAAGUUGAUAAUUUACUAUUUAUUUUUUCAUCGUUAAAUUCCUUCAAUAGUUGGCAAUUCUUCGCCCACUUGUAAAUUUACCAAUUUAAUAAAAUCUUACUGUGUAAUGUACGAGUAUUUUGCACUAAAUCAUCCAACUUCGUUGGGCUUGAAUAUGACUCAUUUGAUUUCCUUUGUGUAAUGCUUGCGGAUAUUACUUUUAUUUGAUUGUUCUACUUUCUAACACGUGAUAGUAAGGCCAAGCAUUGGUCUAGGGUUGACCCUAGACUGACCUUGGACUAGCCCAACCUGGCCUAUUCUAGUCCAAUUUUGGAGGAACUAGGUCUGUCCUUGGUCCCAUAACCCAAAUUUCUUGGAAAAUUUUCAAAUAAGGAUCCAAGGUUCUAACAAUUUCUCAAAAAUGAUUCAAAGUGGAUCUUUUUUUCAAAAAAAAAAAAAAAGACCUGAAAUUGCCAUAGGAGUUUCAAAUAAAAGUUUAAACUCGCCAUCUGGCUGAUAUUCUAACUAGAAAGGGACAUUUUUGUCCAAAGACAAUUUUAACCCAAAUUUUAAUUAAAUUAGAUUAAAAAUUAAUCUAAAAGCUUUUAAAAAAAUACAUGCAGUGUGGGCCCUCACCUUUGGUUGGCAAGGGUUGCGACCCUCAUCGAGGUGCCUGCAACCUCAACGCCCUAUCGGCUAGGGGUAAGCGAUUUCGGGUUUCAUACAUGUUCCACUUGAGACUUAAAACUUACCCGUUGGAACACAUUCUUUAUUUUUGGAACAUGAAACUUAUCCUGCAUAUCUUAGAACUUGGAACUUACCCUAUCAUAAGUUCUAAGGCCGGUUCCAGGGUCUACCCAGGUUCCACCUAUAUUAUCAAUUGAUUGAUUGCAAUAAAUUAAACAUUUAAUGAUCACCACUUACUACUAUAAUUUACUUCAUAACUUAUAUUCAAACACACGAAAAAUAUAGAUGUUAAUAAAGUAAAAGUUUUAGUCAUAAAUGAAAGCUUAGAUUAGGGCAAAAGAAUAUACAUUCAUCAUCGAAUGACAUGGAUUAUCACAGAAUCACAUGAAAAUAUUGUUAGGGAAAUCCCUUAUGAUAUUUUGAAAAUGAAAAAAUAAAUUAAAGGCUAUUAACGUGUUUAAUGGUUGAGUAAUAGAUUAUGCAAAUGAUAGAACAUGUAAAUGAUAUUGUCGAAGUUUAUACUUGAAAGAACCAGAAGACAAAUUCAAUGCUUCGGCUGAACUUAUUCAGACUGUAUCCAGACCUUAAGGCUAAAUAUGUUUAAAAGCAUAAUAUGUUCAAACUUACGUCUAGAUUGUAAAGUUUACUUCAGACGGAAGAUACACAGACUCUACUUCAGACGAAAGACACUCGGACUUUACUUCCGACAGAACACUCUUAGACUUUACAUAUAGAAUGAGACACUAGUUCAGGACCUAACAAAUUCAUAACGAAGCAUGUCCAGAAUGAGACAACUUGACAAAAUGUAACACAAGCCCCAAACAUAUAACGGCUAGUGAUCUAGUUUGGAUUCUAUAUCAAGAUAGAUUUGAUUGAUUCAAUCUAAUUUAUUGACAAUUGGAUAUUAAAGACAAGAACUUUCUAAAAUGGAGAAGCUCUACUUAUGGAAACCAAGAUUCUAUUUGUAUAGGCCAUCAUAAUCAAAUUGGGAUUAUACUUUUGUCACUCAACGGCUACCAAAUCUUCUAGACAGAUCAAAUGGGUAGAUUGAAAAACGAUCUUUUGGAUACCGUGCAAUGGCUAAUUUGGAAGGUGGGGAGUAUUUAAGGAGAUUAAGGAUAUGAGCAAGAAAGAAAUGGAGUGUAGAAUUUAUAAUUCCAAAAUCUAAGCGAACUUCGAUCAUACACUUAUCUUUGGUGAGCUUAAACGUUUAUGAUCGUGAGAGAAAUACCAAAAGAGUGACUUAAUGAGAUAGUGUAAUCUACCACUAAGUGUUUGCACUCAAAGUUGUAAUCUCUUGUUGAUUGCAUAGUGAAAUCCAGCCAGAAGGCUGUUAGCAUGAGAGAGUGGAUGUAGACUUGAUUUAAGCUGAACCACUAUAAAUUUUGUGUACAACAUUCUCUUUCCUUAACUCUUCUUAUUUAAAUAUGUUGCAUACUUACAGGUUAUUUUAGAAGUCUGUUACAUCGCAUAACAGAUUCUGAACAUCUACUAGAAGUCUUGUGGCUCGUUUAGUCAAACUGUAAUCCUUAUUCAGACUUUACCCGCGACUGAUUUUAUUUUGCAUUUAUUUGUCAAGAUUUCUUUUGAACACCUAUUCACCCCCCUCUAGAUGUUCGUACUAGCACUUUUAGAUAUGGACUAAGAAAAAAAUUAUAACUCAUUCUAGAUUCUAGGUUUUAGGUUUUAGGUUCUAGGUUCCUCUAAUCAAGAACCUAAAACCUUCUCGUCAAAACAAGUUCCUCAUUUUUGAAAGCCUAUAACCUAUCUUGCAUACAUUCAACCUUGGAAUCUAUAAGUUCUUAUCAGUCUGAUUUUCAAGUUCCAGAUUCUACCUUGAAACAAUGCUCACCUAGGUCGAUGAUCAUGGGUUUUUUUUUUUGUAUGUUUCUUUAUUUUAUAUGUUUUUGCGUUUUUUUUCUUUUUUGAGUUUGUCUUUUUAUGGAAAAAUUUUUGGAUUUUUUUAACUUAAUUUAAUUAAGAUUUUGUGUAAAAAUUAGGAUUCAGUUAAAACGAUAUCGUUUUAGCGGUUUAGUUAAUCUUAAUGUACGUAGGAUACUAAGUGUAGGAGAUAAAAUAUCUAAAAAGUUAGGUCUUUUUGUUAGUUAAAUUAAAUGGAGUUAGUGGAAAAACUCAAUUUUUACACAAAAUCGAGUCUUAGCCUGUGGUUUUCGAGGGUGGCCUUGCCUGAGUAAGGUGAGGGCGACCCUCACCUGGUCCUCUCCACAUAUCAUCGGUGGCCUUAAGACUAGUCACUGAUGAAAAGGAAAAAAUAAGAAAAAGGAAAAAAAAAACAAAUUAAUAAUAAUAAUAGAGGGGGAAAUGCCAUUGACUAGCAACGAUGUCAUGUCUUUUUUUUAGGCACAUAUUUGCAAUAAGAUUCAUUUGAUACCUUUAUUUGACUAGCAACGAUGUCAUGUUUUUUUUUUAGGCACAUAUUUGCAAUAAGAUUCAUUUGAUACCUUUAUUGAGGCACAUAUUUGCAAUAAGAUUCUUUUGAUACCUUUAUUUAGAAUCUUUCCUAAUUUCUUUUUCCACAAACUCUUAAAGAAAGAAAAAGAAAAUUCCCUUUUGAAGGUCACACGUGAUCGAUGCCCGUCCUUUCAAUAAUGUUUUACUGUGAAGAAGGAAAAAUAUUACAGUCUCUUAAUAGUUUUGCGUUCAUUAUCCUCUGUUCUUUUCUCUCUUUUUUCCAGCACGUUCAGCUCUGCCAUUUCCAGACAAUUCAGCGGAGCCUAUUCCUAGGGUUGUUGAGAAAAUAUCAAAUACAAUGUCAAGUCAUUAUUGAGUCCUUUGUGGUCACGAAUAGCAGCUGUCAAAUGGCCUCAUACGCAGCUCAUUUCAGACCCAACAGGCUGCCUACAGUGGGCCCAUUCCAGCUUUGAUCCCAGCAAAUUUUCAGCAAAAACCGGUCCUCUUCCUUUGCUGAAACCAGUCCCACUUCCUGCUCUGACCGCCCUUUUCUAGUUCUGUUUACAUUAAAAUAAGGCCUUGAGUUUGAACCAGUUAAUUAACACAGUCCAAAGCAAGUCCGAUCGAAUUAAUGAAAUUCAACUACUUCUUCGAUUUGGUUCGAACCUGCAAUAGAUUCCUUACGUGCGUGUUCAACCGCUACACAUGAAGUUUGUUGUCUUCUUUCGUUGAAUUCUCUUCACAAGCAGCAGCAACAUCUAAUGAAGAGCCUUCUUCUAGUAGUAUAAUUUUAUAGAAGAGGAGCUCAUGAUUUAGUAGAAAUAGGGGAGCUUGUUGGAAAAUCUUGUCAACACGAGAAGCAAAUACAAAACAAAAGAAAGUGUAAUCAUUGGUUCUGGUGGCCCCUUGGUCGCUUUUUUUUUUUUUUUUUGUCUUUUCUUUUUCUUCCAUUUAUCUGACCGAAAGGGAUUCUCUCUCUUUGGUGUAUAUUACGAAAUUUGUUCCAUAAACACCGUGGGUAUUUGGUGUAAUUAUGGGACUCGAAAUUAAAGUGUGUCAUCGAUUGUAACAGUGUGCUCUCCAAUUAACUAGUAGGUCAUUAACAGCUUACUCUUUUUACUAAUACAAGUUUCAACAUUUGUAUCGAACGACGUCCAUUUCUUGUGUCAUUUACUAUUUCUCAUUUCUCAUUUCUCAUUUUAUUUUCUAUGAAAAUUUUUGUGUCCAUAUAAUUGCGAAGGUUACACAUAUUCAAUGACCCUCCAGGAAUAAUCUGGUGUGGGGAUGAAUUAAAGUGAAGAGUUGCCAACAUACAACUCUUUUUUAGUGUAAAAAUCAUUGAUAUUCUCUGUAUUGUGGGGAAGAAAAAUGUACACGUACAAUUAGAGAAUACGGGAUAUAUGAGCACUGACACGUUAAAAUAAUGAACACAAUCCUACUGAACACCACACAAGAUGGGGACUGUCGUCUAUCAUUCCUGAUUUUAUUUUCCCUGCAAAUUUUCAUGUGUCCAUAUAAUUGCGAAGGUCCGGUCCCUUCUCUGAUGGUUUACUGCAACCUCAAGCUGUAUUCACGCCAUUCUAGGUGGAAAUCACCAGGGAUGGUGCUGGUUUGGAAGCUAGUUUGGUUCUUUAAUUCUCUAGUUCAAUUCUUGUUUGCUUCUAGUCCAGUUGGGAUUAGAUGGUGGCUGGCUUAGGGGCUUAAUUAUGGGCAAUUAGAAGAUGGCAACGGGAAUUAAAAAAAAUAAAAAAUAAAAAAGGGAAAGUGAUUUUCUCGGAUCAGACACGGGCAGACCGCGCAAUCGUGCGGAAACGGUACACGCUCCUUGUUUAUUCAAUUGAGCUGAAAUGUUAAAGAGAGUUAGUCAACAGGCCGACGUAACUUGCGUAAAAAUUUUAGGCCGAACAGCUAUUGUGAAAUCCACUUUAACAUUUAGGCGGCCCAGUACAGGAUCAGCCGAUGUUUCUUAGAAAAAUACAAAUUAAGGAAACUACACUUAGAAUUAGUCCAUGAACUAUAUCAUUAGAAAAGAGACUCGAAAACGCUCAUCUCGAUGCUUGCAAUCUUUUGAGCUUGUUUGGGUCUUUAAUUGAUCAGGAGAAGCCAGUUCAAAAUUAUCGAGAAGAAAAUUGAGUCCAAGUAAGAACCAUAGAGUCGCUGUCAAUCAAAAUAAUAGCCAUCGGCCUGAGGUUCUCAUGAGACAUUGUCCCUAGUUGAAGAUUGUCGGAGAUCCCUAAUCUUCAUAAGAUAAAUGGAUGACUUACUCAUUUUGAAACCUAACUAUUAAUGAACUAUCAUGCCUCUAGCUUAAACAUGCAUAAGGGACGUGGCAAGAAAAAUGAAUGCAAGAUCAUAUAAAAUGAUUAUUUUUAUAUCAACAAUCAAACGCCACCCUCAUUGGUGAAUUUGAUUGCUGAAAUAAUUUUCUUUGAAAAUACAUGAUUAUUUCAUCGGUGAAAAUCAUGUUUCAACAUGAAGUAGUCCCUUGGAUAGGGAAGAUCAGAAAUUUCAACCAAAUUGAUGAUCGAAUUAGUUAUAUAGUAAUUUUGAAAAAAUGACAUGCCAUCUUACUAAGGCAAAAGUAAGUGCAUAAUUAUUUGAUUUUUUAGGACAAAUAAGUUGAUAAAGCAGUCCAUGAAAUUCAAGAUAGAACAAGACAUCAUAAUUUUGACAGGAAUUUUCGAUCUUUGGUAGCCAGAGAUUACAUUGAAUACCAAACUUAAGUUAUAAGACUCAGUUGCAUAACUUAGUACAAGAUUUGAUUGGAUAAUUCACAUAAGUUGUUGGACCAAUAUUGAAAUUAUCAAAACGAAGAAUCUAAUUUUACCUAAUUCGAUGAAAUGGAUGUACGAGAAUCAACAUGACCAGCACGUUUACUCCAUUUCAUAGCCAAAAGAUAUCUUCUUCUUUUUUCCUUUUUAUAAUGUGGACGGCAUAUAUUUCUUUUUCUUUAUUGUUUUGGGUUGGUUUCUCGUGAAGUGAAGAGGAUAAGAGUGUAUAUUUAUAUCCUGUUUUCCACGCAAUAAUCGCAUAGGUGCAGGGUGAGCAAUAGCUGAAAGCUUGGCCAAUGGAGUACUGCCCUACUUCACCCUUUCGGCUCGGCCUCCUCCUCCCGGCACUUCUAUUUUUCCUUCUCAAUCGUUGGAAGCGCACCAAGCUUCCCCCUCAGCCCCCAGCGUGGCCCAUGAUCGGCGACAUCCUCGACCUCGGGAUCAUGCCGUACCAGAACCUCCACAGCUUCCGAGCCGAGCAUGGGCCUGUCACGUGGUUGAAGCUCGGUUCUGUGAACACCAUGGCGAUCCAAUCAGCUCAGGCCGCCGCAGAGUUCUUCAAGGGCCACGACAUGGCAUUCGUGGUUGACGGCUCUCGGCUACGACCAAGGUUAUAUAUCUUCCGUUGCAUGUAUCAUGUACAUCUCUAUAAAUUUCAAAAAGCAUGCAUAAGUAAACUUUCCACUUAAUUUUAUUUGUAGAAGUCAGCUUGAAGUUUUAAGAGUUUAGAUGCUAAUUUAGUUUUGUUAGUGAAGCAGAGUCGAAACCAAGCUUAGCAAGCACUUUAUUAAGUUUGACUUGAGCUUAAAAAAUUCGACCUUUCGUGUUGAACAUUGGUAGUUAAUAGGCCACUUUCCACAUCCGAUGCAUCGAGAUUUCAUCUUGGAUUUCUAAACUCAAGCCCUAUCAAGCAAGGGGUUCUUCGUCGGAUUCUUUCAAGCCAUUGCGAAAUAAACAAUUGGUAGAACUCUGCAUGUUAGGAGUAGGGGCUUUCUUGUACGCUUCUCUCCCCACUAUCCUUUAAUUUAAAGUGAAGUGGAACCUUUGGAAAAAGCUUUGGGUCUAAUCCGCGGGUAAAAAUUUCUCCCGAAACCUCAAUCGCGUCAUUCAUAGUAAGUCAAGUAGAGCUCAUGAAUUACUUAGAGGUCGAUUUGACUAUAUCCCUAUUUUUAACUAUUUGCACAACUUGGAGCUAUAAUUUUUUUUCAUGUCUAAUAUGUUACGCGCUGCUAUACAGUCUCUUAUUAUAAUUAAUCGUAAAAAAGUUUCAUUUUAUGGAGUGCAAGGAAUCGACUUAUCCCAAUUCCUCUUUCUCCUGACAUUUAAUGUGGUGGGCAACAUGGUUCUCUCGCAAGAUCUAUUGGACCCAGAAUCAAAGGAAGGGCCCGAGUUCUACGAUGCCAUGAACCGGGUCAUGGAGUGGGGCGGCAAGCCUAACGUAGCCGACUUCAUGCCAUGGUUGAUAUGGUUGGACCCGCAGGGGAUCAAGGCAAGCAUGGCGAAGGAAAUGGGUCGAGCCAUGAAGAUUGCUGAAGGUUUUGUAAAAGAGAGGUUGGAGGAGCGAAAGCUAAGGGGAGAGAUGAGAACGACAAAUGACUUCUUGGAUGCGGUAUUGGAUUCUGAGGGCGAUGGAAAAGAAGGCCCUCGGAAAAUUUCUUCCCAGAACGUAAACAUAAUCAUUCCGGUGAGUUUGCUCCUCCCUUCCACGUCUAACACGGCCAAAAAGGCAUGAUCAUAUAUUACCAUCUUAGAGAUAUUAGGUCAAAUUCGGUUUAUUAAGUUGUGCAGUAAACUUAAUUGACAUUUAAACAAGUAGGAUCAAGGACAAGUUUUACUAGUUAAUAUUAAAAUAAGGGAGACAAUAUUUCCACCCCUUAUUUGACUAAAUCCAACCACUUUUCACCAAAAAGGCGAAAUUUAUCUAAGUCAUUCAAUUGCUAUUUAAAGUGGUGGCUCAAACUUAUUUACUUUCUUUCUUUUUCUAGUUUUUUCUUCUCCUAUGUAGGAACCAUUUAUCAUAAUCAAGAUUUAACAUUUUUCAUUUUGGUUUGUUGUGGAUAUCCCAUGUAUAUUAAAGGCACUAUGUUUUCACUUCAUCAUUAUCAAUAUUUAAUAUGUUUCGUUUUGGUUUAUUAAGCGGCGUGGUAAAAUUAAUUGACAUUUAAACAAAAGAUCACAUCAUGCGUCAAAGACAAAUUUUAGUAGUUAAUAUUAAAAUGAGGAUGGCACUAUUUUCGCCCCUUAUAUGACUACAUCCAUCCUCUUCUCCAAAAAGAUAAAAUGGUUCUUAAUCAUUUGAUUGCAAUUUAAAGUGGUGGCUCAAACUUAUUCACUUUCCUUCCUUUUCAAGUUUUUCUUCUUCUAUUAGGAUCUAUUUAUCAUAAUAUUGUGGAUAUCCCAUGUGUGUUAAAGGCACUAUGUUUUUGCUUUAAUAGUACAAUUUACUUAUGUAGAAACUAAUAAAGAAAAUUUUCAUUAAAUCAAAUUCAUUUCAAUGUUGUCUAAAAAAUUUGUUGUGCGUGUCACCAUUAAAUCAUUUCUUAUCAAUUUGUUCACAUAUACAUAUAAUGGGAUGAUCAACGAAAAAAAAAACCUACAAAUAAUUUUUGAAGUAAAAUCAUAAUUACGUUCUCCAAUGUAAAAAUUUUAAAAGGUAAAAUGUAAUUAAAUCACAAUUCUUAUUAAAUGAGAAAUGUCUUUUUAAAAAUUCAAGUGAAAUCUCAUCAAAUGGGAAUAACGAAAAUUAAUAUCAUCCAUGAAGUGUUUCUGAAAAAAGAAGAAGACCUAAUAAGAAAAGGUUUGACGGUGAUAUACAUAACAAAAAUAAAAGUUUAUGAAGAUGAGAUUGUUAGAAAAGUUGUCUAUACUAAUCUCUAGAUUCUAUAUGACAAUUAAUCCAUUACUUUGCUCAACAAUGUAAAAAAGAAUCAGGUUUCUUGGAAAUUUUUCUUUUCAACAUAACUUAUUCUGCAAAAGUAAAAUUUAAAAAUAAAAAGAAAACAAAAUGCCUCCAAUAUACACAUUCUAGCCAUAUUAAAUAAACACAAAACAUGUGAAAGUUUAAUUAUGGUGUAGAUUCUAAAUAAUAAUAGAAUAAGAAGGAAAAAGAAGGAAAGUGGAUAAAUUUGGGUCUACCACUUUAAAUUGCAAUUUAAUGAUUGAGGGCAAUUUUGCUUUUUUAAUGAAAAAUAGGGUGGAGUUAGUUAUAUGAGGGGUGGAAAUAGCGCAACCCUUAAAUAAACCAUAAAUCAAUCUGGUGUUUUCCUAGAGCAUUCGAGCUAGUUAUUAUAAAAUGAGUGGGAAUUGGCCAAACCAGGAUAGAAUAAAAAAAAUCUAUAUACCAGUAUCAACUUUUUGUUAUGCAAUGUUCUCUAAAAACUCAAAGUGUUAAAGGUUUUCAUAAAUAGUAAGUAGUUGUUGAAAAUGCUAUUUCAAUUGUGGAAGGUAUCAUUGGACCUUAGUAAACAAGUCUUAAGCCUAUAGAAGAGGUUGGAUUGAGAUCAACAAUCUUAUUCAAAUUGGAACACAAAAUGAGUAAUUCUUUUGUGAAUCUGUCGGCGCUCUUAACAUUUGUUUGUCAAUUCGAAGCAUAUAAAUUGCUAUGUUUGAUUGGGAUUUUUUAUCAGGUGAAGCACGAGAACUUUUACUAUUAACCCGACGAUUCAAGAGAGUGAUUUUCAAGCGAGAUAUAAUUUUUUAAUGAUGGCACAAGAAUCAAUAUUAGUGAUAUUCUAGCUAGACAUUAUAGUAUAUUAAAUGGGUGUUUUUUUUUUUUUUGAAUGGAAACCUUCAUUCAAUUUAUAGAAACAUUGCAUCCCGCUUCCCUAGCAUCUGAUAUAAGUAGAUCUAACAAAAUAGGUGGGGGGAAAGUAGGCCAAGAAGAAGGUAAAGACCCGCGCAACUCAGCCCUGGCAGCCCAAUCUGCGAUAGAGUUGGCUAAACGACGACAAAACCUAAUUUGGAGUCGAGAGAAACAGGGGUGGAGAGUAGUCGCUUCAGCAAACAUCGACCGAACCUCCCAUGGCGUCGUCUGAGGAUCUGUAAUUGCUUCGACCAUUGUAAGGCAAUCCGAUUCAACAAUCAGCGGAUCACUAGAUUUGCCGAGCCGCAAAAGAUGGUGCAGCGAUGACUUGAGUGCGAAGAGUUCAACCUGCAAAGCUGAGGUAGCAGUAACUCGACAACUAUAUCCUUCCACCAUUUUGUUAGGGAAAUCCCUUAUGAUGUUUUGAAGAUGACAAAAUAAAUCAAAGGCUACUAACAUGUUUAAUGGUUAAGUAAUAGACCAUGCAGAUGAUAGAACAUGUAAAGGAUAUUGUCAAAGUGUGAAGACGACCAGAAGACUGAACGUAACACAUGUCCAAAGUAUAUUCUGAAGAUUUCCAGACCUCUGUGUCAAAGUCUGAAGACUGCCAGACUUUAGUGUCAAAGUCUGUUCUACAUCAGAAGUCUGCUCAUUCUGACAUAUUCCAGACUGAACGUGAAUGAUGAACCAGAAGAUAGACUCUAUGUUGGAGCUGAACUUAUUCAGACGGUGUUCAGACCAUAAAGCUAAAUCUGUUCAGAAGCAGAUAUGUUCAGACCCAGAUUGUAAAGUCUACAGACUCAGAUUGUAAAGUCUAUUGCUUUCAGACUUUACAUCCAGAUUCGAUGAAACAUAACUCAAGCCCAAUCAUAUAACGGCUAGUGAACUGGUUUGGAUUCUACAUCAAGAUUGAUUUGAUUGAUUCAAUCUAAUUGAUUGACGAUUGGAUCUUGAAGACAAGAACUUUCUAUACGAAGAAGCUUUACUUAUGGAAACCAAGAUUCCGUUUGUAUGGGCAAUCGGAAUCAAUUUGGGAUUCUACCUUUGUCACUCAACGGCUACCAAAUCUUCUAGAUACAGAGCUGUCCAAUGGGUAUAUUGGAAGACGAUUCUCCGGGAUAUUGUCCAACGGGUAGUUUGGAAGUGGAGGAGUAUUUAAGGAGAUGAAGGACCGAUGAGCAAGUAAGAGACGGAGCGUAGAAUUUAUAAUUCCAAAGUCUGAGCGACUUUCGAUCAUAUACUUGUCUCUUGAGAGCUUAAACGUUUGUAAUCGUGAGAGAAAUACCAAAAGAGUGACUUAGUGAGAUAGUGUGAUCUACUACUAAGUGUUUGCACUCGAAGUUGUAAUCUCUUGUUGAUUGCAUAUUGGAAUCCAGCCAAGAAGGCUGUUAUCGUGGGAGAGUGGACGUAGGCUUGGAUUAAGCCGAACCACUAUAAAUCUUGUGUUCUUAUUCUCUUCCCUAACUCCUUUAUUUUGUUCAUACUAGUACUCUCACAUUUUACCUAUAUGAUUUCUACAAAUGUAAGCUAUGGAUCCUGUGGUAUCUGCAAUCUGAAAAGCCCCAUCAAUAUUGAUCUUCAGCACCCCUGGAUUAGGGGGUUGCCACAGAGAGCAUGGAUCGGAAAGAUUGAUUCCUGAGGUUGUCGCGAUAGAGGAGGUAUGCCGGUUUAAUCGGGCUAAUCGAAACUGAGCGAAAGCAGCUUCAACCACAAAAGAAGGAUCGGGCUUCUGACCACUAAAGAUAAACCUAUUUUGCGCCUUCCAUAUUUGCCAGAGGAGUGCAGCGACAACAUCCAUACCAAGUAAGAGCUGUUUAUGUUAGAAUUUGUCUACAAUCCAAUCUACAAUGCAUUGUGAAUUUGUUUGUAGCAUAAUGAUAUCAAUCUUAGGGUGAGACCAGACCGAGUUAAUCCACGGGCAUAGUAGAAAAAGAUGCUCGAUCAAUUCAGGGACUUCCUAUGUACAUAAUAUGCAUUUGGGGGGUUAUGAACUGAUAUGUUUGUUAUAAAGAUUGGCUUUGGUAGGCAGAGCAUUCUGACAAAUAGACCAAAAGAAAAGUCUAAUUUUGGGGACAGUUUUAAGAUUUCAAAUACUCUUCCAAAUUGGCUGAGAUGGCUGAAUGGAAGAUGAUACACUAUGAUCUAUUGUGAGAAGGGCUGAGUAUUUGAUUGAAUGAUAUGCACUCUUCACAGAAUACUGACCAAGAGGAGUAGCUAUCCAAAUUAGCUGAUCUUUUGUACAAUUAGAUCUGACUGGAAUGUUAAGAACUUCUUUGGUAACCUCAACAUCAAAUAACUAUUGAAGUAGAGGAACAUUCCACCGAUUGUGAUCCGGCAACAUCAAAUCAGCUACCCUUCGUAGCUCAUUACUAUUUGCAGGUCCACCGAGAGUUCCCCUAGGUAGCCAUCGAUCUUCACGAAUUCAAAUCUUUGUUCCAUCCCCCACCGACCACUGUAGCUUUGGUAAAAUUGAGUCCCUCCCUAUUAGUAAGCUCUGCCAACCCUAGGAAGGGCGGUUACCUUUGGCUGCACAACUAAAAUCUUGUGAGUGGAAAUAAAGACCUUUGAAUAGCUUACUCCAUAGGGAUAAAGGAUACUUGAUUAGUCUCCAGGCCUGUUUACCAAGUAUUGCUUUAUUGAAAGCAAUUAGAUCUCGGAAUCCAAAACCACCCUACUCCUUUAUGUACUUUAGUGACUCCCAAUUUCUCCAAUGAAUACCCUUCUUUGUACCAUCAGAUUGCCACCAAAAUCUCGCUAUCUUUUGCUCAAUAGACCGACAAAGAGACACAGGAAUCUUAAAGAUGGACAUGGUGUAUUGAGGGAUAGCUUGAACGACACUCUUGAUAAGGACCUCUUUUCCACCUUUCGAUACCAAUUUUUCUUUCCAUCCAUCUGAUUUUGAGUUCACUCUUCCCAAAAUCCAUGCAAACAUAUCUCGCUUAGAACAACCCCAAUUUGACGGGAUACCUAGGUAUUUUCCAGUCUUAUGAAGCACAGGAAUUCGAAAUUGGUGUGCUAGAUUGUCCUUAAGUGUAGUAGGACAGAAUUUACUGAAGAAGAUGUUUGUUUUAUUCCCGAUUGACUGCCUAACCAGUAGCUAAGCAAUAUUGGGUUCAAAAUGUUAGCUAGAUUUUGACAUUUCCAUAACUUUUCCCGUCUAAGAAAAGAUUGCAUCAUUUGCGAAAAAUAAAUGAGAUAAGGUAGGACACCAUCUAUUCAAUUGGAUUCCCUUAAGAUGACCCAUAUCAAUGGCUUGAUGUAUUAAAGUUGACAAAAGAUUCGCCAUUAGUAUGAACAGGUAAGGGGAAAGAGGAUCACCUUGUUGAAGGCAGCGCAUAGGAUGGAAGUAGUUAAGUUGAUCUCCAUUAAACUUGAUAGAUAUAGAUAUUGUCGUUAUACAAUGCAUCACCCACUGCACCCAAAUGGGAUGGAAACCUAGUCUGAGAAAAUAGUCUUUCAAGAAGUCCCAUUCCACUCUGUCAUAAGCUUUUUGCAUGUCCAUUUUUAAAAUUGCCUGAAAAUUCUACUUCCUAUUCCGAGUCUUCAGUUGGUGUAGCACUUCCUGAACUAUUAAUAUGUUGUCCUAGAUUUGGCAACCACUCACAAAAGCACUUUGUUCGGUAGAAAUCAAGUCAGGUAGGAGGGAUUUGAGUCUAUUAGCAAGGACUUUGGAUUUAUUUUGUAAGAAUAGUUACACAGGCUUAUGGGCCUAUAUUGGUCCAGGCUUUACGAGUUAGGGACUUUUGGGAUCAAAGAGAUAAUGGUCUUGUUUAGAUCAACGGGCAUAACUCCUGUUUGAAAAAACUUCUAGACGGAAAGAAUAAGCUCUUCCUUUAGGAUAUCCCAAUGAGUUUGGUAGAAGAGACCGUUUAAUCCAUCAGGGCCUAGUGCUUGAGUUUUACCCAACUAAAAAGUAGCUUUUCUAAUCUCUUCUGAUGUGAUCGCAGCAACUAAUUUGACAUUCAUUUCAAGUGUAACAACACUCGAACAUUGAUCCAGGAUGGGGCCAUAGUCUCGGUGUCCUGCUGACCUAUAAAGUUUUGAAUAUAAAGCCAUAGUCAUAUCCUUGAGAGUGUGAUCAUCUCUAACCCAUUCUUGGUUGUGAUCUAGUAACAUACUAAUCUUGUUCCUUUGUCGUCGCUGAAUAGUAGUUGCAUGAAAGAAUUUGGUAUUUUUGUCGCCCCACUUUAGCCAUUUUAUUCUAGAACGCAUUGCCCAAUACUGCUCAUCUUGCUACCAUGCCGCUUGUAGCUCUUGCUUUAAAUUUGCGGCUAAAUCUCUAUCAUAUGGACCGCUUGUCUGAUUAGUUAGAAAUUGUAAUUACUGUUGCAAAUCUGAGAUCUGUGAUUUGGCAUUAGAAAACUUACAUCGACUCCAUUUAUUUAGAGCUAAGCUGACCAGCCGAAGUUUGUGUGGCAGAUUGCGCCCAAUUGUCAUAGCCAAGGCCCAUGAAGUGGCUAUUGUGCUGCUACAAUCCUAGUGCUCUAUCCAAUAGGCCUCAAACAGAAAAGGUUUACAUCUUUUGCUUUGUUUGGCUUCUGUAUUUAAUAGCAGAGGGCUAUUGUCGGAGCCCACAGCAGGUAAUGCAAAAACCUCAGCUUCAGGGAAAGUUAGUCGCCAAUUUAGAUCACAUAGCACCCUAUCUAACCAUUAUUUUACCAAGUCAUCACCCUGACAAUUAUUCAUCCAGGUAAAAGCACAACAUUUACUAUCAAGAUCCAUGAGUGAACAAUCAUGUAAUACUUCUCUAAAUGAAUGUAUUUGAUGUGAGUCUGUUAUUCGUUUACCCACUUUCUCCUAUUGAGAGAUAAUCUCAUUAAAGUCUCCAGCACAAACCCAAGGUAAAGAGUUGAUGGAUGCAAUUUGGCAAAGAGUUUUCUAGAACAGUUGGCGAGAUUGAAACAACACCGGUGCAUGUAAGCAAGUUAACUUCAUCGUUAUACCUUUCCUUGAAUUCGUACAUAUAGUAUCAAAAAAGUGCUGAGUUGAGUCUUCCACUUGUAGGGAAAUAUGAGACUGCCAAAACAUAGCCAGUCCGCCAGCGAGUCCUAUAGGAUUAAUCAAGUGUGAGUUUAGGAAGUUAAGUCUAUGCUGAAGUCUAGUUAGUAUAGCCUUUGUGUUCUUCGUCUCCAUCAAAAAAACCCAGGUUAGGCUUCUCUUUGACCACAAGGACCUUAAGGGCUUGAACUGUGAGGGGGAAGGCCCAGUCCCUAACAAUUCCAACUGAGUAGCUUCAUUUUGCAAUCGGUGGCAUUUUAGGCAAAGCCACCUCAACCCACUUACCGUCAUCUUCAGCCGAAAUAACAUGAGUUUCCAUAAGUAAAUUUUCAUCAAGACCUUCAAAUAAGGGAAUAUGCGAGUCAUGGGGAAUUUGCCUUUUUAGUUUCUUUGCAAUCCUUUCCUUGGUCGAUAAUCGAGUAUACUUUUGUUUCUUUUUUUAUACAUCCUCCAUAAUCUAAUUCUGAUUGCCUUGCUGUUGUAUAGGUGAAGGAGGUAGUGCUGCGUUUAUGGAAGUCACCGGCAAAGUACUUGCUUGAAGGAGUGGCUGAAGCAGAGCAGCCGCAUUAGAUUGAAUUACCGAGCUGUGAUAAUGCUGAUAAUCUGUGUCCCUGUCCUUAAUAGUUAGUGGGACUUCUUUUACUCAUUUCAUCUUUUGUGCAGUAGGUAUAAUAGCGCUAGUUGAGGGAAUCGCAGACUUUUGGCCUUCAGGACAAAGGCACAGGUUAUGCUGUUGAUGCACUGAUGAGUGAGAGUAUAACAUGUCGGUCUUGAUUGAUGUUCCACUAUUGUAACUUCUAUGGGAGGUAACGCCGGUAGUUUUGUGUUCACUGAAGGAGGAGUUUCAGGUAUCACUUCUUUAGUGUCUUCAGAAUUAGCAUUCAUCCCAUAAAAGAUAAGCCAAUAGGGACUAUGUUCCUUGACCUCUGCUCUUAACCAUUGUCCAAAUGACAUUUUCUCUUUGCCUGUCAAUUUCGAUUCAUUGAAUGGGAUUUCUUGAUAAUAAGUAGCAUAGUGUCCUAGUCAACCACAGGAGUAGCAAAAAUGAGAAAGUCGCUUAUAACAAAAAUCAAGCUAGAUAGCCUUACCAGCUAUUCGAAUUAACUAUCCUAUUUUCAAUGGUUGACCUAGAUAAGGUUCUAUCCGAACAUAGCCAGCUCUGAUAGUAGUUCCCUCCUUUUUAUCAAUUUUCACCUCCAAUACUUUGUUUACACUCUUUACCGCUUUACAAAGCAUUUGGUCUGAACACCACUCAAGGGGUAGUCCAAAAACUUGUACUCAGAAUGCACAAGUAGUAAAAUCAUAGCAAUGUAAAUGUGUAUUUGGUCUCCAAGCCUUAAGUAUUACCAAAUGACCAGCAAAGUUCCAUGGACCACCCUCUAAUACUCUCUGUUUAUCAAUUUCUAAUUUGAAAGUUGCUACAUAAAGCCCAGCUUCACGUUGGGUAAUUUCAACUUGUUCUAUCCGCCAAACUCGCCUCAGAGUAUUUUGAAGAGCUUGAAGAUUGAUAGAAAGAUUUGAAAGAAUUGUACCUACAAACACAUUUCGGCACUCUUGUAGCUGUUCCAUCGGAGGUGAUUCGUCCCAGACCUCAAUAUCGUAGUCAGACCACAAACGACCCAUUCUGUGACUGAGGGCAGCCAGUCACGAUUCCUCUUCCUGAUGAUGGGAAUCCAUAAGUAAAUCCCCAAGGUAACGGCUGAAUUAGGUCAGAAAGGAUUCGGACAUGCUGGGGCGAUGGCGAAAAAACUGUAUAAGGAGAGGAAAAUGGGGAAGAUUUAGGGAGGAGAACAGAAGAUGGUGGAUAAUUCAAGGAAAAUUGGCAUCGUUGGUGUAAUUGAGUCUAAAAUUGAGAAUCAGACUGAACGAGGGUUGGAACCAGAAAUGCGAAGGAGAUGAAGAAAAGGACUGAAAGAGCAGUCAAUUGCUGGGUCAGAGCCAUCGGUAGCUGGGUUCAAUCCAUCUACAGCAGGGGGAUUACCAGUGGGGUUUGAGAUGAGAACUACCAUUAAUGGUAGAUAUGAACUCUGCAUGUCGAGAGAGAGCUUUAGAGAACUUGGGAUCGUCUAUAUUAAAUGGGUGUCUUUGAUGGUGUAGGAAAUGUUUUUCGCUGGAUCAAAGACUACAAGCAGCACCAUCGAGUGGGCGAUGGCGGAGCUACUCCGCCAACCCGAGUCCAUGAAAAAGGCCAAAGAUGAGAUUGCCAGGUUGUGGGGUUGACCAGAAAGCUCAAAGAAAAUAACACGGAAAAAAAACCCUUUUUGCAAGCUUUGGUGAAAUAAACCCGGAUGCUUUAAGGGAAACCAGAUUCAUGGGAUUUGAUAUACCCAAAGAUACACAGGUUUUGGUGAAUGCGUGGGGAAUUGGAAGAGACCCGGAUGCCAAGGAGGACGCAUUGGCGUUCAAACCAGAGAGGUUCCUAGGAUCUAACACUGACUUCAAGGGUCAAAACAUCGAGCUAAUUCCAUUUCGAUCAGGCAGAAGAAUGUGCGUCGGACUUUCAUUGGCGCAUAGGGUGCUUCAUCUGGGUCUUGCAACGUUGCUUUACCAUUUCAAUUAGGAACUGGGUGGUGGUUUGACUCCGAAGACCCUAGACAUGAGAGAGUGGGUCGGAAUAACACUAAGGAAGCUCCAUCCUUUGAAAGUGGUACCUAAGAAAUGUAGAGUGUGAUGUCUUUGGUAUAUUAUCCAUAGUAACUAGUUAUUGACUGGUAGUAAAAGAAAUGACAAGACAUGAUGCCAUGUACCAAAAACCAGCACAAGAAGUGAGAUUUUCAUGAAUAUAAUUUCAACAUAUAAUUACCCUAAGUAUAUAAGCACUGAUGUCUUCGGGAAACUACUGUUGGAGAAAACUUCCUUGAGUGUUUUGAAGUUGAGAAAACGUUUCCAUCAGUCUAGUCUGAAGAGUUGCAGACUCUUCCAUCAAAGUCUAAAGACCUCUGGACUACCAGACUCAAGACCCAAAGUCUAUCCUCAUUGACAGUUUCUAGAUUGUCGAAGAAGGCUUAUCCAGAACUGAGUAUUUCGUUGAAGAUUUGAUUCUAUCGACUGAAGAAGAUCUCUUGGUUGGAUACAGGAUGUCGGAAUCCAUUAUUCAAAUUGAGAUUGAUUCAGAGAUUUUGGAUCCGUUGAUUAGCAAAGUAUACUUAGAAGGUUCUACUUAUGGAAACCUAGAUCCUGAUUGUAUAGGCGAGUAGGAUUGGUGGGCUAUCGUCCUUAAAUAACUCGAAAUCUCCCUAAUUGAUUAUGUCCAACGGGUAGAUUGGAAGAACUCCUUUGGUAAGUGCCAAUGGGUGUGAUGGCAUGAAGGAGUAUAUAAGGAAGACGUUCCAGUUGUUCAAGUGUGUGCGCAAUAGAAGAAUUCCAAAGUCUAAAGCUCCUUGUUCUUAGUCAAUUCAAUUGUUGAGCAAAAUCUUGUACUCAAAACAGAGUUUAUAUCUUUGUGAGACCUUGAGAAAGUGUAGUAGAGCCUCUACACUGUGGAAUCAAGGAAGAGCUUUACUAUAACAACUCUUUUAAUUCAUAGUGAAAUCCAACUAGUGGGCUAUCAGUGCAGAAGAGUGGACGUAGGCUUGGAUUAAGCCAAACCACUAUAACCAUGUGUUCUUAUUCUCUUCCCUACGCUAUUUUACUUUGAUCGUAACUCAAUUUGUUUACAAGAGUCUAAUUUCCUUUUCAUAAUUUAUUAUUGAUUAGAGUUACACACUUCUCUCGGGGAAAUUUGUUUUUACACAUAUUCACCCCCCUCUAGGUGCUCGUACUAGCUUUCACAAUUUGUAUCAGAGCUUGUGUACUCACUUAAGUUGAAGUGUUUUACUUCAAAGUUAAAGAUCUAUGGCUAGUAUGUUGACUUAAGGUCUGGUUGAAGGGCAAAGCAAUGUCAAACCACCUUGUUUUGAUGGAAAGGAAUACAACAUAUGGAAAAACAAGAUGAAAGCAUUCCUAAGAUCAAAGGAUCCUCUGGAAUAGGAUGUGGUAGACAAAGGAAUCAUUCCUAAAACUGCACCAGUCUCAAAAAAAGGAAAAGAAGCUGUUGAGUCUAGUGAAAUUACUCAAGAAGAGAUAACCAAGAGACAAGCUCUUAAUGCAAAAGCAAUUUAUUCUUUAUAUUGUGCAUUAUCUCCUACUGAAUAUAACAAAAUAUCUUCUUAUGAAACAGCUAAAGAAGUCUGGGAUAGAUUACAUAUCACCUAUGAAGGAACUAAUCGAGUAAAAAAAACCAUAAUCAACAUUCUGCUCGGUCAAUAUGAAGCAUUCAAGAUGAAACCAAGAGAAUCUAUCAAUGACAUGUUUAGUCAUUUUACAGAAAUCGUGAAUGGUCUUGAAUAUCAAGGUCAACCAAUUUCUGGACCCAUGAAGGUAAACAAGCUACUGUGUGGACUGUCCAAGGAUUAGAAUCACAUAAGACCUCAAUAAGGGAUACACAAAGAAUCAUGCCACUCUCUAUUGACGAAUUGGUUGGGACUCUUCAGUCUUAUGAAGUGGAGCAAAUCAAUGAAGAUGAAGAUCCUAAAGGUAAGAAAUCUAUUGCAUUAAAAUCUAAUAAUGAUUCUAAUGUCACAGAUUCUGAAGACGGUAUGGAUGAUGAAGAGCUUGCUCUCAUAAUAAGAAGAUUCAAAAAACUAAAUAGAAAUGGGAGAAAAUUCAAUCCAAAUAAACAAUUUUUUCAAAAGCAACAGAUUAAGUCAGUUGAGGAUGAUGAAUCCAAUAAAGACGUAGUCUGCUUUGAAUGCAAGAAAAAGGGACACAUCAGACCCAACUGUCACAUUCUAAAGAAAAAGAAAGGAAAAGUUGAGAAAUAUCGAAAGGCAUUAAAGCAGAAACUUGGAGUGAUACAAAAUGUGAGGAAAGUGAUGAUGAUUAUGCCAAUAUUUGUCUCAUGGCACAAUUAGACUCAAAUUCAGAUUCAGACUCAGACUCAGAAAGUGAAAUCGAGGUAAGUAAUUUAAAAAUCCCUACUAAAGUUUCUAGAUACAUUGAUGAAUUGUGUCUUAGUCUCAAAACCUCUCUCAAAAGGAUUUCUGAACUUAAAAAGAAAAAUUCUGCACUUAAACAAUAGGAAAAUGUUCGGAAAUAAAAGGUCAAAAGUUUAGACAAAAGUGUUACUACUUUGAAAGAAAAUGCAAACAACAUUUCAAAAGAAAAUGCAUUCUUGAAAAAUGAUAUCUCAAGUAUUUCUAAAAGAUUUUCUACAAGAUCUGAGAAAUUUGAAAAAAUUCUUUCAAUACAAAGACCUUACUUCAACAAAUCAGGUUUAGGAAUGAUUGUUGAAACCAUUCCUCUAAUUGAUUUUCCUAAAGUAAAUGAAAGAAUUAAGCAAAGACCUACAAGAGAUUCUUACACAAAUCAUUUCCAAAAAGUUUUUGUAAAACCUGUAGGUCGCAGUGCUCUUAAAUGAUCUAAGUGCAAUAGCUCAUAUCAUUUUGAGAAAUAAUGUCUUAUGGUUUAGAAGCCUAUUAAGAAGGUAUGGACAAAGACUGUAUAUUACACUAAUACUGAUGGACCCAAGAAAAUAUGGGUACCAAAGAAAGCUUGAGUCUCUUUUUUAAAUGCAGGUCACUAUCAAGAAAAAUGUUAAAUGGUACUUGGAUAGUGGAUGCUCAAGACAUAUGACAGGAGAUUCAAAUUGCUUCAUAAAACUUAUACAAGUUAAUGGUGGAAAAGUUUCUUUUGGAGGAAAUAGCAAAUGAAGAAUUGUGGGAUAUGAAACUUUAAAGAUUGGAAGCUCACGAUCAGUAAUGUUUCCUUAGUAGAAUGACUCAACUACAACUUGCUGAGUAUCAGUUAGCUAUGCGACACUAGUUUCAAAAUCAACUUUCAAGAAGGAAUAUGUUCAGGAACUAGUAAAGACUCCUCUCAGUCUUUCAUGAGGCGAAGACAUGGGAUAUCUAUCUUUUGGAUAUCAAACCAGAUGAAACCCAAUGUCUAAUCUCAAUUCAAGAGGAAGCAAAUUUAUGGCACAAAAAACUUGGGCACAUCAACAUGAAGCAAAUAGCCAAAAUCUCAGUAAAUAAGCUUGUUCAUGGACUACCCAAACUAACAUACCAAAAGUCUGAUCUAUGCACACCAUGUGUGUUGGGAAAACAUGUAAGAAACUCAUUCAAACCAAAAAAAUCAAGUAUCCACUAAUUGUGUACUGUAGCUCUUGCAUAUGGAUCUCUUUGGACCAACCAGAACUAAGAGCAUUGGAGGUAAGAAAUACUACCUAGUAAUUGUGGAUGACUAUUUAUGAUUCACUUGGGUAUAUUUCCUGGCAAGUAAGUCUAAAACAUUUUCUUAUUUUAUAAAGUUUGCUAAAAAUGUCCAAAAUGAGAAAUUAUAUGUUAUUUCAAGUAUACAGACAGACCAUGGAGGUGAAUUUGAAAAUCAAGACUUUGCAAAAUUCUGCGAUGAAUCUGGUUUUCAGCAUGUGUUCUCUUCACCAUAUACUCCAGAGCAAAAUGGAGUCGUGGAAAGAAAGAAUAGAUUGCUGUAGAAAAUGGCUAGAACUCUUUUAAUUAAAAGCAACAUCUCUUCUCGUUUUUGGGCUGAAGUAGUUUCUACAAUGUGCUAUAUUAUUAAUAGUCUUUUUAAGGCAUAUUCUGAGAAAACUCCCUAUGAGUUAUUCAAAGGAAAUAAGCCAAUUGUUUUGUAUUUUCAUGUGUUUGGAUGUAAACGUUUUAUAUUGAAAAAUGCAAAUGAUCGAGUUGGUAAGUUUGAAGAAAAAUCAGAUGAAUGUAUCUUCCUUGGAUAUUCUAUUACAAGCAAAGCUUAUAGAGUAUACAACAAAAAGACUCGAUUUGUGGAGGAAUCGAUGAAUGUCAAAUUUCAAGACUUUAUGAAAAAUCAAUUGAUUCAAACUCAAUUUGAAGAAUCUGAACCUGCUCCAGACUCUACAAAGUCUAAAUCUCCAGAAGUAGCUCAGACUUCAUAAGACUAGCAACAAAUGAUCGUCGAAGAUUCAAAUGAGAAAAAUGAUCAACAAUCUGACAAAUCAACCAACAAAUGGAAGCAUAAGUCCAGUCAUCACAAAAAUCUCAUUAUUGGUGAUAUUAAUGAAGGAAUUCGCACAAAAUCCAAAAGGCGUGAAGAGUCUAGUGCUGUGGCUCUUAUUUCUGAAAUAGAACCCAAAAGUAUAGAAUAAGCUUUAACUAAUGAAAGCUGGAUUGAAGCUAUGCAAGAAGAACUCAAGCAAUUCACUAUCAAUGAUGUAUGGGAAUUGACUUCUAAACCGAAAGGUAAAUCUAUCAUUGAAGCUAAAUGAGUUUUCUGGAACAAGAUGAACGAGAAAGGAAAAGUCAUAAGAAACAAAGCAAGACUCAUGGCCAAUGGAUAUACGCAAAAAGAAGGGAUAGACUAUGAUGAGACUUACGUGCCAAUAGCAAGGUUAGAAGCAAUUAGAUUAUUACUUGUUUUUGCUUGUCAUAAGAAUUUCAAGUUAUUCCAAAUGGAUGUCAAAAGUGCUUUCCUAAAUGGAUUUAUCCAAGAGGAAGUCUAUGUGGAACAACCACCCGCUUUUGAAAACCCAAGGAAACCAUACUCUGUAUUCAGACUGAAAAAGGCUUUAUAUGGUUUAAAGCAAACACCUCGAGCUUGGUACAACAAACUAAGUAAGUUUUUAAUUCAAAAUAGUUUUGUCAAAGGUAAAGUAGAUACUACAUUGUUUAUCAAAAUAGAAAGUAAAAGUUUUUUUCUUGUUCAAAUUUAUGUUGAUAUUAUUUUUGGAUCUUCUAAUGAAAAUCUGUGCAAGAAAUUCUCUAAGUCUAUGCAGGAUGAAUUUGAAAUGAGUAUCAUGGGUGAACUAACCUUCUUUCUUGGGCUUCAAGUGAAACAACUAAAGGAGGGAACCUUUAUUCAUCAAGAAAAAUAUGCUAAAGGACUGGAGAAUUGCAAAAAGACUGAUAUACCAAUAUCAAGUUCUUUGAAGCUAGACAAAGAUGAAGGAGGAAAGAAAGUUUACUAGAAGCUAUAUAGGAGUAUUAUUGGUUCACUUCUUUAUCUUACUACUUCUAGACCUGACGUUUUGUUUAGUGUUUGUAUUUGUGCCAGAUUUCAAUCAGAUCCUAAAGAAUCUCAUUUAAGUGUUGCAAAGCGUAUAAUCAAAUACAUUGCCUCAACUUCAAAUUUAGGUCUCUUAUAUCCUAAAGAAUGAGACUUCACUCUUCUUGGAUACUCAGACGCAGAUCUAGCAGGAUGCAGAGUUGAUAGAAAGAGCAUCUCGGGCACCUAUCAACUACUUAGAAACAAGAUAGUGUCUUGGUUUUCAAGGAAGCAAAGUAUCGUAACUCUUUCUACGGUAGAAGCAGAAUAUGUAACUCUAAGAAGUUGUUGUCCACAAAUUAUGUGGAUAAAACAACAGCUAAGAGACUUUGAAAUUGAAGAUUCAUGCACAAAGGUCAAAUGCGACAACACCAGCACAAUCAAUCUUACCAAGAAUCCGAUUCUUCACUCAAGAGCAAAACAUAUAGAGAUUUGACAUCAUUUCAUUAGAGAUCAUGUUCAAAAUGGAGAAGUUUCGAUUCAGUUUAUUGAUUCAAAGAAUCGACUAUCGGAUAUAUUUACAAAGCCUUUGGAGAAAAAUCAAUUUGAAGUUAUUCGUUCCAGACUCAAUAUCUUAAAGUCUGAGGAAGUUCAGACUCAAGACUGAAAGUCUAAACACACUCAGACUCAAACAAUCAAGAUUUAUGACUGUAAGUUACUUCUAUUUUAUAAACUUAUCUCUCAGAUCAAAUCUCGAAAAUGUACGAUCAUCUAUCCGUAAUUGAUUGAUGUUAUUUCCCAGUCUUCGUGAUUAUUGCAAUCUUUCCUUUUUGGAAAAAAAAAGAAGUUAUUUUUUAAAUGACAGUUAUCUAAUUUUUGAAAAGGCGGUUAUUUUUUUUAAAUGCAUUUUUAUAUUUCCUUUUACGACGUUCCGUAUACCACGCUUCGACUGCCUUAUAUACUGUUGGUUCUUCUUCGUUUUACUCACAAAAGCCCUAAGAGAGCACAAAUCUUCCACUUAUGUCUUCUUAUCUUGUUUAAUGCUCAAAAAGUUUUCAUCUUUCUUAUGAAACAAGCUUGGAAUCUCUCAAAGACUGUGAAAAUGUCAUCUCAAAGAAAGUCUUCGAGGAUCACAAAUAGGGGACCACAGCAAAUGCGUGAGGGACCUACACAUUUUGAUCUCACUGAGGAAGAAGAAUCUCCUAGAGAGCGGCAGAGCCCACAAUAUUCUUAGCAGCGUCCAUCUCCUCCAUCUAGACCUCAGAAUAUUGAACAUCGAGAAGAAGAAGAAAUCAUCGAAGAUGCAGAACCGGUAAGAACUCAAAAGCUCUCUUUUACUUUUAAGCUUUACCAUGCUUUGAAGAGGAGUGGUACUCCUUUGAACUAUAUUGAUGAAUUUUUGAAAGACAAAGGGUAUCGAAAUGAAACCUAUCUUUUACGCACAAUGGAACGAUUGGGAAUUGCCCCUGCGAGGCCAGCAGAAGAAACAUUUGCAAAUAUCCCAAGCGAUCCACGUGUUAGAGGAUUGAGUCAACCUGAUGGGAAUGAUGGUGAAAGGAUGUACACUCAAUUUAAACCUAGAAUGGGUGUUGCGGCGAAAAUCCAAAGCAAAAUGACAGAUUUGUUUCGUUCGAAAGAACACAAGCAACUGUACUCUAAGUUGCUAAAGCGUGGUGUGAUUAACCCUAGAAGUAUGGACUUUGAUUUUCUUGAUUCUCUAAAUGUCAAGCUGAGAGAGAAAUUCAAUCUUCUUCAACUAGAACGGUUUUGUACUAAAUUUGACAGAGGCUCAUGCUGAACUCACUGCUUANNNNNNNNNNNNNNNNNNNNNNNNNNNNNNNNNNNNNNNNNNNNNNNNNNNNNNNNNNNNNNNNNNNNNNNNNNNNNNNNNNNNNNNNNNNNNNNNNNNNUAUUGCAUCAUAGGAAUGUGACACGAUGUGCAUGCUAGAGUUUCCAAAAUGUGUUGUUUUUGAACCUAGUCUAUGGGAUCUCUAAUCACUAGGUUAGGUUUCCUCCUCAUAAUAAAAACUUUUAACCCCAUUCCUUUUGAUGUGCAGUUUACUUACCCUCCCGACAAAUCUUUUGUCAAUGGAUCCACAAUGUUUUCCAUUGACUUCAUAAAGUCCAAAGAAAUUAUUAUGUUCAAGUGCAAUUGUCUCACAAUAUUAUAUCUAUGAUGACUGUGUCUAGACUUACCAUUCUAUAUCACAUUUUGUGCCCUUGUAAUCACUUCUUAAUUGUCAUAGUGAAUGCAUAUCAGAGGCACGGGUUUUGGCCACAAUAGAACAUAUUCUUAAAAUUGCCAAAGCCACUCUACUUCUUCUGUCACAACCCGAACCCCAUCUCCAGGGUUGCAAGCGACAAGGGUUAUUUUUCCAAGCCCACGAAUACCAAUAAUCGGAAGGAUGGGAACGUGCUCUUUCAUGUUCGCAUCUAGUAAGAAUUCCAUAAUUGUCUUCUUAUCAUCAUCUCUCCCUAUAAUAUCUCCCUCUCAUGUAUAAAGGGAUGCGUCUCUUCUCUCUUCCUCCACUCUCUAUUGGGGCGCUCAUCCAAGUGGAAUCCCCUAUUAGCCUUAAUGGCUUCUAUUCUCUUCACAAUGCUCUUACUUUUUUACUCCACUUCAGUUUAAAAGCAAGUUGGUUUGAACUUUGAGAAAAAUAUCUUUACCUUCUUGAUCAUUUCAUUAUAGCCCCUUAAUUUACGUCACAUGACUUCUAUGUUGAAUUCUUCAAGCACAUCGCAUCAUAAAAAGCGUCUUUCAGUUUCUCGAGCCAAACUUGGAUUUGGCGAAUCUGGUGGUAUUGCUCUUCUGCAUCGUCCAGAAUAGCGUGAAUUGUGGAGAUUGUGUCUUUGAGCUUCGCAAGUUCGUGCUUGACGCCCCAAUAACUCUACCACUUUUUCUAUUGCUUGAGGAACCAGCUUUGCAAUGAUAUCUCCAGCAAUGUUCCCAAUGACAGCUUCCGUCAUUUUGUUCUCUCUAUCUCUCUGUGUCAAUCUCUCUGGCUCUAUCAGUGGAGCAGAAGAUAUUAUUACAGUCGUUUAUAAGGCUAGAGACUUCCAAGACAUGUACAACAAGUUCAUGUUAAAGAUGGGAAUUCUCCUCAGCCACGCGUAAUAGAAAGAUGACGCUGUCAAUAAUACAUAUGGGACCCACCUAGGUUGGGUCCAAGGUUUUGGCCUGUCUAAAGACUUUGUAUCCAACCACUGGGAUUCGCCCCAGUGGCCACCCUUCCAACAUGAAAGGGUGAGGUGAGGGGUUCAAAUCCCCACCUUCUUAAGGGGGAUGGGGUGGGGACGAGUAAGUUUCAGAAGUGGGUUUCGACUCCCACGCCCUGCAAGAGGCAGGGCAAAAGUCUGACAGUGAAUGUAGAGUAGGCAUAGAGUAGGACUGACAAAAAAAAAAAGACUUUGCGUCCAUCUAGUAUUUAGUAGUCUAGCAUGCUUGCGUGGGCAAUGACAAUGCUGGCAUUGAAGAGACAGAGAUAUUUAUUGAUUAGUUUGUUUUUAUCUAACAGUUUCCGUGGCCCAGAAGCAAAUGGAAAAGAGAGGAAUAUUUAAAUGUCAAUAAUGAGAAAUUCUUAUCAGAAUAUUGACAUAGCAUUUUUCGACAAUAUUUUUUAUUGAAAUGGCAAUUAUUUCAAAAAAAAAUAUUCAUGUAAAGUUGACGUGACUAUUCUAUUCUAAAACGACGUCAUUUUACCUCAAAAUUUGAUUUUUAAUAUAAAUAUUAAUUAAGUUAAAUUUUAAAAAAAUUGUUAUGGCAAUGCAAUGAGGGCUCGCUACUACUGCCACCCCCACCAUCACUAGAAAGGUCCGAUGACAAUGGAGCAAAGGUCGGUCGAGGUUCUCAAGCCUCAACCAAUGGCCGAUGACACUGGCCAACUAGUGGCAAGAGUCGCCGACCAUCGGCCAAAGGUGCCAAGGACCGUCACUAACUGUGGCAUGGCUAGAUGACCCUUCCCCAGCCAGCAGCGACCUUGGCUAAAAUGGGUGAGGGCCGACAACUCUCAUUGGAUUUGGGGGAGGGUUGCGAGCCAUUGCCAACAUUAGGCUAGGGCCAGGGCUCGGCACCAGUCAAUCCUCACCCCACAAUCAUCGACCCUUUCGAUGGUGGCAGAGGCAGCGGCGACAACAGCUGCAACAACAGUGGCGAGGCACUUACUACUUUGCUAAAACCUUUUUUUUAAUAAAUUUAGUUUUUUAAUUUAACUUGUUUAAUUUUUAUAUUAAAAAUCAAUUUUGGGGCAAAACCACGUCAUUUUGCACUUUUAUUGCUGAGUAGGGAACUCCGAUGAGCCACUUAGACCACAUUUAUUCUUAAAAAUAAAAUAAAAUGUAACAUCGGAUUUCUAGCUAUCAUCAUCCAAGUUGGCACUUAAUUGUCCCAAUUUCAAAAAAAAAAAGUGAUACUUAAGUAUUUUUUUGGAAGUUUUGACAUUUAAGUGUCUAUCUGUGCCAGGUUUCAAUACUUACAGUAUACUUUUGUCCAUUUUCCAAGGUAUUGUCAUCCUCUAUUCACCAUCCUAAAAAGUCGUAACCAAAUUGUAAAUGCAAUAUCAAUCAAUCCUCCAAAGUUUUUUUUGUCGUUACUCAAGAAUUAAACCUAUUUAAUAGGUAUAGUUAUUGGUGCAUAAUUUCCUAAUUAAAUUAAAUUUCCCUGCAUGUCUCUUUUUCUAAGAAGAAUGUGGCCUUAUUCAUCUUGCUAUGUUUCUUUAAGCUUAUUCGGAAGCAGUUUCAAAAAUUAUUCCACCACUCAGAUCAAUUUGAUAGCGACUCUCCCAAAUUUUUAAAUAUCGCAUUAAUUUUCAUCUUUUGGUUUUAAUACACGUGGAGAGCGAUUUUGAGGGGAUUAAUUACUUUCUAAUUUUUUAUUAAUUCAUGGCUCACUGGAUAUUGUUAUAACUAUUAUUUAAUGAAAGGUUUUGCGUAGUCAAUACAUUUAUUUAAAAUUAUUGUUUUUGGUUAAAGGCUCCGUCCUUUAUAUUUUCCAAAGGAUAGCUAGUCAUUUUCUAAAUCUUGGGAUGCAUUUGCGAUAUGACAAAGCUGAUAUUAGAACUUAAGUUAUGAACUUAGGGAAUAUUAGUUAGCUUUUAUGGGGAUCUAUGAGGUGUGAGCUGCAAUUUAUCAGUUACUCAUAUAUAUGUAUGUAUAUUUACACAUAUGCAGCCCAUGUUGGGAUGGAGAUUCUUUUCGUGAAAAUAGAAAUUUCUAUAUGCUUAGAUAACAUGGUUGAUUUAUUAAAAUUCAGAUGAGAUCUCUAUAUCUCUCAAUUCAUAUUCAAAACACUUCUUCUUAUUAUCACAUAACAUUCUCACUAUCAUUUUACUAGAAAAUUGCAGCUUGAUUAGCUAACUUUGCUCUCCUUACUAAUCUCUCAAAUUUAUUUGCUUCCUAUGAGUAAUGCUUCUACGUUAUUGCUUUAUUUAUUUAUUUUUAUUCUCUAAUUAAAUAAAAAAAAUUCAUUAAGAUCUCUUCCUAUAUUGGGCAAUACCAAAAGCUGCGCAUUUAUGCCAUGUAAAAUCCUAUAAUUAGACAUUUCAUCAUUUUCAUGCAUGUCACUCACCUUUCUAGCACACACACUUUGUGCAUAAUCUCUUACUAGUUCAACUUCCGGUGGCAAUUAUCGAUUAGUGAUGCCUGAAUUUUUUGUCGACUGGUAAAGUAUGCAUUUUUGCAAAAAUAAAAAAUGAAUAAAACAAAAAAAGAGAAAAACAAAUAAAUAAAUGGAUGAGAGAGAGUCCAAUUGGGAUAUUAUAGCUUGCAAGGAACCAAAGCCGGCCCAUCAUAUCAGCCCAUCCGGCCAUUUGAUUUCGACCCGGUCCAUCAGCGUUACCUCACAAGUCAAGCUGACCAACUCACCUUCCUAGCAAUAGACCCGUUAAACGGGUGGGUUGGGUCGAGUUUGGGUCGGAUCAUAAAUGGUCCAACUCAAAUCGACCCAUUUAAUCCAUCUAUGACCCAUUUAUUACAAUGCAAAAUUUUUUACCAUACCCAACCCUUACCCGACCCAUUUAACUAAAAUGGUAUUGCUAAAAUAUUUUUAUAAAACACAAAUUAAUGGAAAAAUUUUAUAAUUUUUAAAAUAAUUAUUUCAAAAAAAUAGAAUUUUAAUUAUUUUUAUUUUUAUUUAUAAAAUAUAUUUUUCUUUUUUCUUUUUUCUUUUCUUAUUCUUCUUCUUCUUUGGCCAGCUGCCGGCCACGACGACGGCCGACCACAGGCGCCUGGCUUGUUAACGCCGGCAAGCUCGAGGCUCGCCGACACUGACGAGGCCUCCGCCUUGCCAGAUUCGACAAGCUAGAGGCUCACCAGGGUCAGGCAAGCUUGAGCUCGCCCCACACCAGAUUUGGCUAGGCUCGAGCAUCACCGGACGUCAGCGAGGCUCAAGCCUCACCGAACGUAGGCAAGGCCUCCGCCUCACCAGCCCCUCACCAAAUUUGGCGAGGCUCGAGCCUUGCCAGACACCAGUGAGUUCGAGUCUCGCAAGAUCGACGAGGCUCAAGCCUAGUCGGGUGUUGGCGAGGCCUCCGCCUCGCCCGACACCGACGAGCUAGAGGCUCACCUGGCCGGUCGUUAACCAUUGCCGUGCCGGCGACCGGAGGAAGAAGAAAGAAAAAAAAAGAAAAUUAAAUAAAAAAAAUAAUUAUAAUUUUGGUUUUUAUAAAAAAAAAUAAUAAUUUUGUAAAGUUAAAGAGAGAAUAGAGAGAUUGUGAGGUUUUGGGUGAAAAUGGAUUCUAAAUCCAACCCAUUUAAGACCCACUUAAAACCCACCUAUCAAAGUCUUUAAUUAUUGAACCCAUUUAACUACUUUUUUCUCAAAAAACAAGUGACCCAUUAUGACCCAUUUAUGAUUUAAAUUGGUCAUAUAUGGGUCUAAGACCAAUUUUGCCACCUCUACCUGGCAGCCCAUUUCACACUCAGCUUCAAGUAGGCUCAUAUCCAUGUCCGAUUCGCUUGAGGAAAAUCUGACCAGUAGAGCUGGCUUCGUAAGCCCAUCGGAGAGAAAGGCCUUUGACUUCAAAAUAUCUCUCUCUCAUUUUAACUAAACUAGAUCAUCUGUGGAUUCUAAAAUAUAUCUAAUAAAAAUAAAAGACAAGCAUUACGCGAUCCUUGAAGAACAAUGCAAAAGUUGAUAAAAGGGAUAAUUAGAAUUUACUAAAAUGAUACAUAUUCUAUUAACAUUUAUGGAGCCAGUGAGAGAAGCAUGAGUAAAAUGACCCAGCUACUUUUACCAGGGCUUUUUGGGAUAGAAAUACCAAGGCUCGUGAUCAUGCCUUGAUCCCUAACAGCUGGGCUCGAAUUCCUUGGUGGGGCCCUUGAUGUCGAGUCUGGUGUUCAUGAUUUCAGAAAUGCUUCGAAAGGUGCUUGACCCUCAUGGGCUUGGCAAAGCAUACUAAUAGGAAAGGAUUCAAUUGAGGAACACAUGCAAUGAUCUGCGGGGGAUGGAACUCUUAUUAACAUUCGACGGGAUAGAUGGUUGGCUUUUGGAAUCAUAGGGGGACCAGCUCCUAGAGGAGAACCAGAAAAGCUUGCAGAUUUAAUGGUCCCAAACAGCAAUGAGUGGAAUAUUUCCCUUCUAAGACAGAAUUUUGAUUGUCAUAUAGUAGCAGAGAUUAUGCCUAUCCCAAUUCGGCCACAACAUACAAAGGAUAGACUUAUCUGGAGAGGCAAACUAAAUGGAUCUUUCACAGUAAAGAGCUGUUAUAAUAUCCUAAGGAAGCAACAAGUCAAUCACAACCCAAAUCAAGCGUCCUCCUCUUUUCAUAUACCUCGCAGACUGUGGAAUGCAUUAUGGAACAUGAACUCAUCACCAAAAAUACGUUCUUUCCUAUGGUCAGUAUGUCAUAAUGCUUUGCCUACUCAAGAAAACCUUCAUCAUCGACACAUUAUACAAGAUCCCAUAUGCAGUUUAUGCGAAGAUCAGGCUAUUGAAUCACCAGAACAUUUGUUCUUAUUCUGCCCUUGGACACAACAAAUAUGGGAACAUCCAGAAAUUAACAUCCAGCAGCAUAUCAGAGGAGUAAAUCGAAUAGAAGCAUGGCUGAUCAGCUUAACAGAACACAAAGGUGACCUUCCUGACUUGGAAAUGAUCGCAUCCAUCCUCUGGCACAUUUGGAAGGCCCACAAUAACUGCAUAUUUCGCUAGUAGCAACCCCAACCGCACCACAUAGUGCAGACAGCCUUAGACAGUGCCAUCGCAAAUCAGAAUCCAUCUCAACAGAAACAGAGAGAAGGAACGCAUCAAACAAAUCAACAUUCGUUUUGGCGUCCGCCAGAUCAAGGAGAAAUGAAACUCAAUAUUGAUGCAGUUUACUAGCCUCAUAGCGGAGAAGCAUUGAUCACCUGUGUUUGCCGAAGCUCAUUAGGCCUUAUCGGUGGCCGUUUCCUCGGCCCUGCAAGCAGAGGCAACGGCAUUAAACCACACGCUCCACUUCUUGUUGAACACGGGCAAAAACUCAGAUCGGAUGACCUUGGAAACUAAUUGCUCAGUUCUUGUUGAGGCAAUGUGUAACCAUGAACUACCGCCUCGGGAGAUCAGAUCUUUGCUCGAAGACUGCAUGGUGCUGCUUCAAUGUUGCCCUAAUCUUCGGAUCGUCCAUUGCAGGAGGGAAAUGAACAAGGUUGCUGACCGGGCCGCAAAGGCCCAUCAGGCCGGUUCGCUACCUGCGGAUUGGGUCUUUAAUCCUCCUUUGUUUUUGCGUGAAAUGUUGUCCUUCGAUAUUAUGCAAAAUGCUCCUUCUACUUUUCGGUAGUAAUAAUAUUAUUACCUUUCUGACCCAAAAAAAAAAAAAAGAGGACUUUGUGCUUAAAUAUUUUCUUUUAUUUUGAAAUUCAUGAUUUUGCUAUGGCAAACAUUGAAAAAUCACUUCCAUGUAGAGUAGAAGUCUUGUUGCAUCGCAACUCAAUUAGGACGUGAAAGCAUUAGUUGGCAUCGGUACACAGCACGAUUUUCUCAAGUGUAUCAUGAGAGCGUAAAAUGAAGAGGGUUGUACUUUGCGGGGGAUUUCUAUUGUCCUUAGUUUACCCAAAACGAUUACAGUCCUCUGUCUCAAUCCGAUGCGAGUACCUGCUAGAAUUUAUGGUUUUUGGUCAUGGGUCGACGUUCCUUAACUACUACUAUUCUUCGUAUGCGUCACUGACGAUUUAUUUUUUAUAGAACAAUGACAUAGUAUGGAGUUUUUCUUCAAAAGUUGUCUGCUGAGAAUCCAAUAUUGGAUUGAAGGAGACAUCUGAAGAAUGAUAACUCACUGUUAAUGGAAGAGAGACUCUUGAGUGAUUCAUAAGCAAACCGUAUUCCUUAAAUAUGUCUUGUGUGGUUAGGGGGAUACUCUUUUUGAACACGUGAACCUCAUGGAACACGUCGAAUUGCUACAUUGAGUAUCGGAGCAGGACCCCCUUCAAUAGAUGGGUGAUUCUUAGAUGGACUAAGCCAUACCAAGUGAGAGAGCUCAGACAACAUAUGAGUCUUAAUAGACUUGUAAGAUGGCAAAGAUAAUAGGAAUGAACUAGACCACACAUAUAUAUGGGCAAUAUCACGAUACGAGCCAACAUUAAAAAGGACUCCAGAUCAUUAAACUGAAGGGAAUUUGUAAUGUUUUAGAGUCUCACAUCAAUGAGAGAUGCUCUACAUUGUGUGGUUACUCAAAAUACUCCUUUGGAUAACUUGGCUUAUGUGAAAUAGAGCAAGUGGUUAUAAAUCACAAAAUAUAUAUUCAAACAUACCUAUAGAGUAUUCCUUCCAGAAGACUUGUAACUAUGUAUGUAAAUGACUCUAAUUAGCUUAUGUUUUAGAAAUCAAGGGUCUCCUUGAAUGAUGGCCAUAAUUAACUCUUUCGUGAUAUCACUCGGAUAAUUUAGGUUGUAAUUACAAAUAGUUUGCAGACAACAACAUGAAUUGUCAUUCCUACUUCCAGACAUCGCAGCACUCCGGCGCAUAAUCACGUCAUUUUCCCAUCACUGUAGAAGAAGAAGAACGACGACGACAACAACAAAAAGCUUUUGUUUAUCAAACAUUUUCCGAAGGACCGCUAAAGUCAACUCACGGCCACACAUUCGCAUGCUUUCUUCAUGUUUUGGUGACUUCAUUUCGGUUCAACCUACGCUUUUAACACCAAUAAAAGAUCCCUAAAAGAAAACAUGACUUCUUAACACACUGCACACCACCGUCCAAGACAAGCAAUCCUACACAUAAGUCAACCUUUUUCCGGACCACAAUCAUCGUUGGCUCGACCUUUCUGUUCUUCAGACGUUCGUUUACUUGUUAUUUCCUCAUAGGUUGUGUUUUCCUUAGAAGGAUCAUAAACUGAGGGACGGCUCAGACAUUCGUUUACUUGUUUUCUCAAGUCUAUUGCGUUUAGAUUCCUCAACGAAUUCACCUGAUAGGCUAAUUAUUCCGUGAGUGAUCAGCUCAGGGAAAAGAACUAUAGGCGUGUUAAUGAAAAGUCCAACUUAUUAAAUUGAAAAUAGAACCUGAAAUUCAAGAUGUCACAACUCUUCCCCUUUUAUAAAAAUUUCAUCCUCAAAAUUUAGAGUAUACAAAUCUUUAAACAAAAAGGUGAGGGUACAGUCGUCUCAUCGAAUCUUCACUUUCUUAGGUUGCUCCCUAUGUGCCAUGGUGUUACCAGAUCACUUUAACCAAUGGGAUCAUCUUUGUGCACAGAAUCUGCUCUUUUCAAUCCACGAUCUAAACCGAGAUUUCCAUGUACGACACUCUGUCGUCCAUGUCUAAUUCCUCAAAAUUCAGCAUGUGAAUCGGGUCAGGCUCAUACUUCCUCAAUAUUGACACGUGAAAGACGUCAUGCACUUACGCCAACCUCAGAGGUAAUGCAAGACAAUACGCUAAAGUCCCUAUUCUUUCUAAAAUCUCAAAGGGACCUACGUACCUCGGACUCGGCUUCCCUUUCUUGCCAAAGCACGAAGUACCUCUCAUUGGUGACACUUUCAAAAAGACGUGCUCACCAACUUGGAAUUCCAACGGUCUCCGACGCUUAUCAGCAUAGCUUUUCUGGUAGCUCUGAGCGGUCUAUAAUCUGUCCUUGAUGACAACAACUGCAUCCACUAACUGCUGAACCAACUCUGGGCCUGUGAUCUUUCAUUCUCCAACCUCAUCCCAACAAACUGGUGUUCUACACGCUCUGUUGUACAACGCUUCGAAGGGAGCCAUCUAAAUGCUCUGAUGAUAGUCGUUUCUAUAGGUGAAUUCAACGAGAUGAAGCUGUUCCUCCUAGCUUCCCUUGAAAUCCAAUACGCAAGCUCGCAACAUGUCUUCGAGGGUUUGAAUUGUCCUCUCAAACUAGCCAUCCGUCUGAGGAUGAUAAGCCGUACUGUACUGCAGCUUCAUUCCUAAAACGAUCUACAGGCUCUUCCAAAAACAGCGAUAAACCUCGGGUCUCUAUUUGAUGUAAUCGUCACUGGCAUUCCAUGCAGAUGAAUGAUUUGACGCACACACAAUUAUGCAUGCUUGUCCAAAUCAAGGUCCUUUCGUACGGCAAUAAAGUGAGCCAACUUCGUCAGUCCGUCGACUAUACCCAACUGGGAAUCAUUCCUUCNNNNNNNNNNNNNNNNNNNNNNNNNNNNNNNNNNNNNNNNNNNNNNNNNNNNNNNNNNNNNNNNNNNNNNNNNNNNNNNNNNNNNNNNNNNNNNNNNNNNGGGAUAGAACGACGGAAGGAAAGAUUUCAUAUUUGAGGAUGAAUGCCUCCAACAUUUUGCUUCACAAGAUAGUGAUCAACUACCUCAAACCCAAAUCAACUUCAAAGACCGACGUUUCAAACUCGGAGGCAAAGCUGAUGUAUGCCAUUAACGCUGGCAAAAAGUUCUCUCUUCCACACACUAUUAUAUUCCACAUGUACAAAACAAUAGUGAAGGACAAGGACCAACUUCCUUACUCAACACUUGUCACCAAGUUAUUCAGACAUUUGAACAUUCAACUUCCCCGGAUUCUUUAUGUUCAAUUAUGCGAUCAAAUGGUGGUGGGACUGAAAAUGGUCUCUAAAAUGCGUCUAAAGGAACUUAACAAGGCUUUUGAGCAAUUCAAGGUUAAAACCCCUGUUAAGACUCACCCAGUCUCUUCGGCUGCAAAGCGGAAAGGGAAGGAGCCCAUGGUUGCUCCAUCCAAGAAAAAAAGAACACUCAUCUUGGAGGAUGAAGAGGAUGAGAAUGAUAUCACGAUUUUUGCUCUUGCAUUGAAGAACUUAAGUUGUUCUGUUCUAGAGACAAAGGAGAGACAGGAACAAGACAAGGACGAGAUCGAACAGAGGACUGGAGAGAGAGAAUCAUUGGAGAAAGAAGCAUAGGAAGAAAGGAUUGAGGAAGAAGAAGAAGAGGAAAGAGGAGAACAAGAAGAAGCAAAGCAUGAAGAGUACUUCUCACCGCCUGAAGGCAUUGAAACAAGGGGAGAUCCUGAGAAAAGAGGUACGUCCUCAAUUGUUGCCACUAGUGAAGGAGUAAGUCGUUCUCCAGCAGAUUCAGAAGACAUCUAUGCCUCUCAAUUUCUUGAGGAAGGCCAUGAGGUUUCAUCGCCCAAUCUGCAUGAUCGUGCUGACUUGCCAUCAUCUGCCAAUACACCAUCUGAUCGUGCAGAAGCCAGUACUCAAACUGAUAAUUCAGCAGACUUUCGCAGAGUGCUUGAUGUUCUCUUGAAGAUGCAAGGCCAAAUUUAUGCUCUGGGAUGCGAAGUACAGAACUUGCAAAAUGUAGGUCAAGCCUCUUCAGUUUCUUUGCAUGAUCAACUCCAUGCCCUUACUCUUCAAGUUCAAGCAAAUGCCAAGGGUGAAGAUGUGGCUCAACUAAAAGAGGAUUUGAAAAAGCUGGAAGGGAUUAUCUAGUCAUUAGGAGAUUUCUAGCUUGUUUGUGUUCCCAAGCAAUCAUAAUUCCAUUCUCUUUUCAUCUCUAUUUUUUUAAUGCUGACAAAAAAGGGGGAGAGAUGUGGUGCAGAUUUGAGAUUUAAACUUUUGAACUCUUGACUUUUGUGUUUGAUUGACUUUACUUUUGUGUUUGGUUGUUUGGCUAUGAUUGGAUUUGGAUUUGGACUGUUUAAACAUUUGUUUAUCUUAAGCACUAUUGGUAUUUCAUGGCAAAGAUAGUUGCUCAUUUACAAGACUAACCUACCUUCUGUGGAUGCAGAUUUUAAUAUUAUCUUUACUAAGCCAAUUAUCCUUUGUGAAAUAUCUAUGUUUGAUUGAGUAUUGUUUUACAGGUCAAAGUUAUCCAAAUCUGCAAGAAAGUUUUGUCACUAUCAAAAAGGGGGAGAUUGUUGGAGAAAAAUUCAUUAAGUGUUUUAAAGUUGACAAAACGUUUCCAUCAGUCUAGUCUGAAGACUUGCAGACUCUUCCAUCAAAGUCUUAAGACCUCCAGACUGCUAGACUCAAGACCCAAAGUCUAUCAUCAUUGACAGUUUCUAGACCGUCGAAGAAGGCUUAUCCAGAACUGAGUAUUUCAUUGAUGAUUUGAUUCUAUCAACUGAAGAAGAUCUCUUGGCUAGAUACAGCAUGUCGGAAUCCUUUAUUAAAAUUGAGAUUGAUUUAGGGAUUUUGAAUCCGUUGAUUGGCAAAGUAUAUUUGAAAGGUUCUAAUUAUGGAACCUAGAUCCUAAUUGUAUGGGGCNNNNNNNNNNNNNNNNNNNNNNNNNNNNNNNNNNNNNNNNNNNNNNNNNNNNNNNNNNNNNNNNNNNNNNNNNNNNNNNNNNNNNNNNNNNNNNNNNNNNNNNNNNNNNNNNNNNNNNNNNNNNNNNNNNNNNNNNNNNNNNNNNNNNNNNNNNNNNNNNNNNNNNNNNNNNNNNNNNNNNNNNNNNNNNNNNNNNNNNNNNNNNNNNNNNNNNNNNNNNNNNNNNNNNNNNNNNNNNNNNNNNNNNNNNNNNNNNNNNNNNNNNNNNNNNNNNNNNNNNNNNNNNNNNNNNNNNNNNNNNNNNNNNNNNNNNNNNNNNNNNNNNNNNNNNNNNNNNNNNNNNNNNNNNNNNNNNNNNNNNNNNNNNNNNNNNNNNNNNNNNNNNNNNNNNNNNNNNNNNNNNNNNNNNNNNNNNNNNNNNNNNNNNNNNNNNNNNNNNNNNNNNNNNNNNNNNNNNNNNNNNNNNNNNNNNNNNNNNNNNNNNNNNNNNNNNNNNNNNNNNNNNNNNNNNNNNNNNNNNNNNNNNNNNNNNNNNNNNNNNNNNNNNNNNNNNNNNNNNNNNNNNNNNNNNNNNNNNNNNNNNNNNNNNNNNNNNNNNNNNNNNNNNNNNNNNNNNNNNNNNNNNNNNNNNNNNNNNNNNNNNNNNNNNNNNNNNNNNNNNNNNNNNNNNNNNNNNNNNNNNNNNNNNNNNNNNNNNNNNNNNNNNNNNNNNNNNNNNNNNNNNNNNNNNNNNNNNNNNNNNNNNNNNNNNNNNNNNNNNNNNNNNNNNNNNNNNNNNNNNNNNNNNNNNNNNNNNNNNNNNNNNNNNNNNNNNNNNNNNNNNNNNNNNNNNNNNNNNNNNNNNNNNNNNNNNNNNNNNNNNNNNNNNNNNNNNNNNNNNNNNNNNNNNNNNNNNNNNNNNNNNNNNNNNNNNNNNNNNNNNNNNNNNNNNNNNNNNNNCAGUGUUGUGCCUUCACUUGCUGACAUGUCAAACACUUGACGACAUGCUUGGCAAUAUCCCGCUUCCAAACCAAACCACCCAUAGUGUUGACGCAAAUUUCUGAUACAUUUUCGUACUGUCGAGAUGAAUGUUGUAACUACUACACUGAGCUUCUGACAAGAUCUCUUCCUUAAGCACCUACAUCGUCAGGUACACAUAAUCGUCCUCAGAACCCUAGUGUUUCAUCAUCAGAAAUCUGAAAGUCAGGUUUCCUCUUUUCGGUAUCCUCUUGCAAGAUCUUCUGAAUCUCUGGAUCUGUCAACUGAAGCGUCUUGAUUCUGAUAUGCACUUCCAGCUCAAUUAUGAGGGUGGCCAUAAGAUUUGAAAGGUAGCCUACCUCAAAUUUGAAAAUCGAAUAUCGAGCCCUCUCAAGUAAGAUCCAUUCCUUGAGUACCAUCUACGCUACUAAAGAUUUCUGACUUAGCGUAUAUGCAACCUUGUUAGCCUUUCCAGGAUGAUAUAAAAUAUCACAAUCAUAGUCCUUCAAGAGUUUCAUUCAGCAACGCUAUCUCAUAUUCAACUCCUUCUGAGAGAAUAGAUACUUGAGACUUUGAUGGUCAGUGAAGAUCUGGAAUUUGUCUCCACACAAAUAAUGUCUCCAAAUCUUCAAAGCGAAAAUAAUUUAUAUGAGUUUUAAGUCAUGCGUCGAGUAAUUUAGUUCAUAAGGUCUCAAUUGAUAGGACACGUAUGCAACAACCCUACCAUGUUGCAUCAGCACACAACUCAGUCCUCUAAAUGACGCAUCACUAUAGAUCUCGUAUCCUCUAGGACCAGAUGGAAUCAUCAGCACGGGUGUGGUAGUCAACUUCUGCUUAAACUCUUGGAAACUAUGCUCGCACUUGUUUGUCCACAUGAAUUUCUCUUCCUUCUUCAGUAGUUGAGCCAACGAUGAGGCUAAAGCUGAAAAUCCUUCCACAAGCCUUCUGUAAUACCCUGCUAAACCUAGAAAGCUUCUGAUCUCUGUCACGGUUGUCGAUCUUGGCCAGUUGAUAACUACUUCGAUCUUGGACGGGUCCACGAAGAUUCCUUCGCCUGAAAUCACAUGCCCUAGGAAAGCAACACGAGUUAACCAAAACUCGCACUUGUUGAACUUGGCAUACAGCUCAUGAAUUCUCAAAGUUUGAAGUACCAUCCUCAAAUGCCUCUCGUGUUCCUCGGGACUUCUCGAGUACACCAGGAUAUUGUCAAUAAACACGAACACAAACUAAUCCAGAUACUCCUUGAACACUUGGUUCACCAGAUCCAUAAAUGUAGCUGAGGGUGUAUGAAUCCCUUAUCCAACAAUUUGCAUCUACACCUUCAGUUCUUUCAAUUUAGACAACACCAUCCGAUAAGGAGCCUUAGAGAUUGGCUCUGUCCCGAGUGCUAACUCAAUACGAACUCAAUCCCCUUUUCUAGCGGCAGACCUAGCGAUUCCUUUGGAAACACAUCUAGAAAUUCUUAUACUACUGAGAUGUCAUCAAUCUUUAGCUCCUCAAUUGUCGUAUCCACAACAGUUGCUAGGUACACCUUGGCAACCCCAGUCUAACAAACGAGUUGCCUCAAGCGACGNNNNNNNNNNNNNNNNNNNNNNNNNNNNNNNNNNNNNNNNNNNNNNNNNNNNNNNNNNNNNNNNNNNNNNNNNNNNNNNNNNNNNNNNNNNNNNNNNNNNACAAGCUGUUAUGUUAGCAUUUGGGUCUUGUUUAAGUUGUAUGACUUCAGCAUGUAGCAGGGUAGCUCAUCUUCCUUUUAUGACAUCGAUAAAACUUUACUGGUCGUUAAAAAAAAAAAAAACAAUUAAUCUAAAGUUGGUUCCACAGGUGAGUGCACAAAUGGAUGUCUUUAAUGGUGCCUACGAUAAAUUCCCCGAUUCAGAGACCCCGAGCAGUACUAACCAAAGUUAAGAAGGCAACGGCUUAAUUAGGUUGUUGAAUAAUAGAAUAAGGAGGUAAGAGAGACCGACAUGAAAGAAAAGGAACAAAAAGAAUAUUGUAUGAUCUUUUCAGAUCUUGUCAAAUUUAUAUGGACAAUUGAUCGCGUGCACCUGCACCACAACCAACAUAAACACGGUCGAAAAAUGGUCCUGGCCCACGCACUUUGUCACUUUUGCAAACUACGCUAAAAUAAAUAAAAGAUUGUAUAUUUGCUAAAGAAGCCCAUAGAUACCUCUCGAUUCGAGACGCGAACACCUCAAGUGGCAAAACUUGACACAUAUGAAUACAUAAGUACCACAACUUCCAAAAGAUAGACUUAAAUGUCAAAAUCAAAGAAGAAAUGAAUAUUUAAGCGCCAAUGAUGAGAAUUUCCAGCCAAACAACUAAUGUGGCUUUUUCUAGCAAAAUUUUUAACUGAUGUGACAAAUUUCUUUUUUUUUUAAAUCAUCCACAUGACGCUAACAUGAAUAGAUAAGCUUAAAACGAUAUCAUUUUAGUUCAAAUAUGAUAUUUAAUAUAAACAUUACAAAAUUAAAAAUUAAAAAAUAAUUUUAUAAAAAAGAAAAAAAAAGAAUUAAAUUUGGGGUCAUGGAGGCCCUUGCCACCACUGCCCCACCAUCGCUAGAAAGGGCCGGCAACGGUAGCCAACCCACGCCCUAUCCUCGGCAAAAAGGCCCCACUAUCACCAACCCUUUUUGGCCAGGGUGGGGCAACGACAACGAGGGUGAGGGCCUAGGUCUCCACGACCCCAAAUCUAAUUCCCUUUUUAAUAUAGUUUCUUAAAUUUAAUUUAAUUGAUAUUUAUGUUAAAAAUAAAAUUUCAGGGCAAAACAACAUUGUUUUGAGACAAGGAUGCUGAGUGGACAUUCCAGCAAGCCAUGUAAACUAGUAUUAAUGAAAUAAUACCACGAUGGAUUUUUGGCAAGUCUUACUGGAGUUGGUACUUAAGUGUCUAAUUUUUUUUUUUAAAAGUGACACUUAAGUGUACAUUUUGAAAGUUUUAACACUUAUGCAUCCACUCAUGCCAAGUUUAAACAGUUAUGGUAUACUUCUUCCAUCUUGAUUCACAUUCAAGAUCUAUCUAUACAUAAUCCAAAAGAAUCUACUGCACCUUUGGAUUUAAAUUUCUAAUCUGCUUUUGAACUUCUAAUCAAUAAAUUUAGUUUAGUAUGUUCUCCUUUUACUUUUCUGUGGCUGAUAUCAAUGAAGUUCUCUUUGGGACCAAUCAACUACAUACCAAAUGAAUGCGUCAACAAAUAAAAUUGAUACAGAUAAAGAAAAUCGGUUAAAGACCAUAGUUCAAUUUUUGUCCAUCAUCUUAGGUCAUUUCCAAGAGCGCAUUAACCUCUUACCUGACGAAAAGCUCUGACUUGUAAUGUACAUGAUUUAGUCCAAUUUUAAAAAUAAAUUAGGCUCUGAUCAUGCACAUAGUUCAUUUAUUGGUCCUAUCACCCAAGAAAAUGAAGGCAAAGGCAAUAAUUUGGUGAGAUUUUGUAGGAUCAUUACUAAUGUUCUAAGAGCUUAAACUAUUAUAUGACAGUGCGAUAUAAUAUUUGAAUGUUCUAACACCCCCUUCACACGUAGGUUGGACUUUGCCUAAGCCUAAAGCGUGGAAAUAUGGAAUUAAGGAAGCAAUUAGAGAGUUUGAAAAAAAUUGAACUCAGAACAUUACUGUGUGCCUCUUAAUGUUCAAGGUCAUUUUUUAAAUUGAGUGGAAAGAAUGUUUAUAUAGGCAUAGAUCUAGGGCUUUUCUGAAGAUGCCCCUUUCCAAAAUUGAAUCCAUGAAAUUAUGUGAUAGGUUCAAGAUAAGAAUUUGAGGCAUUUCUUUUUCCUAUCUCCACCAAACUUAAUUAUGUGAUAAUCUUUCCUAAUUUGCACUCCCCACGUGCAUCUUAUAUGCAAAUUUCGGCCACCUACGGUAUUCAAGGGGCUUGACUGAAUUUUAUACUCUUGCGGGCUUAGUCCAAUAAUUUAAUUAAUUUUAUAGCCCCUACUUAAACCCAUUAGAUCCGGUCCAAUUAGAAUUCAAUUUAUGCGGGCCUAUUACAAUAAAAAUAAAAUGUGCUACUGUGCAAAUGUAAAUUAAUAAUAUUUUUACUUAGGAAUCGACAUUGACUCCUAAUAUUCUUUGCAAUGAAUGGGCCAUCAAAAUUUAAUUGUUAACAACUGCUCUUCUUUAAAAGGAAGCUUGCAAAUGAUUCAUUCAAAGAUAAAUGAUACCUAAAAUUUAGCAAUGCAAAUGUAGUGUGAUGACUUUGUUUGUUGGAAAGAUAGAUCUCAAUGAGAAUGCAAUGACAUGUGAGAAAAUAUCGAUGUUAAUGCAGAGAUGGAAUACGUACAUGUAGAUUCGGAAAAGUAAAUUUUUAAAAGUCCUGACAAACACCUGGAAUUCACCUCAAACAUUUGAAAGAUUUGAAGAUUACUAAAUAGUUUUCAAACACCCUGAACUCGUCUCAAAUUCUCGAAAAAAAUUUAUCCAAUAAAUACCUAGAACUCACCUUAGACAAUUUAAAGGUUUCUUUACAAAAUAUCUGGAACUCAUCCCAGAUACUCGAACGGAUCUACCAGAAAAUACCAAGAACUCACCUUAAGUAUUUAAUGAUUUAGAUUGAAACAUUUGGAAGUCAUCACAGGAUUUGGUUUAAAGAUUUCUUAACUUAAUACUUAGAACUCUGCUUAGAUACUCUAAAAGAUUUAACUGAUAAACACCUAGAACUCACCUUAAGUAUUUAAUGAUUUAACUGAUAAGCACCCGAAAAUCAUCCCAGAAAUUGAAAAUUUUCUUAACGAAAAUUUUAGAAUCAUCUUGGAUAUUUGAAAAGGCUCUUUAACAAAUAUUUAGAACUCAUCUAGAAACUUGAAUAUUUAACCGAUAAACACCUAGAACUAUCCGUAAAUUUUUAGCGAUAUAUCUGCUAAACACUAGGAAAUCAUCCCAUGUGUUUAAAGAUUUAUUAACAAAAUAUCCAAAAUUCACCUUGAAUAUUAAAAAAAAAAGGGUUGGUCAAGAAACACCCGGAACUCACUCAAAAAGUUUAAAGAUUUCUUAACGAAAUAUCUACAAAUGACCGUAGAUAUUCCAAAUGGCCGUAGAUAUUCGAAAAGGUUUGGUAAAUAAACACCUGGAACUCUCUCUAGGAGCUUAAAGAUUUCACGAAAAAAUAUCUAGCACUCUAUAAUUAUUCAAAUCAGUUACCUGAACUCAUCUCAAAUUUUGUCGUUGGAUAAGAGAGGCACCUAGCGUUUUUCGUCUCAAAUAUUUGCAACUACUCAGAAUUUUCAAUCCUAAGACUUUGAAGUUACCUAGAGUUGUUCAUCUCAGUAGUUAGUAUGCUUAAGACUUUACACUUAGGACUUGAAACGUUUAAGGUUUGGUACUCAGGACCAGAAACAUGUAAGUUUUUGCACUUAGGAUAUGAAUUGUCUAAGGUUUUUCCUUUAGAACUUGAGAUGUCUAAGGUCUUUCACUUGGGACUCAAAUUGUCUAAAAUCUUCACUUAAGACUUGAGAUGUCUAAAGUUUUCUACUUACGAUUUGAAUUGUCCAAGGUUUUCCACUUAGGAUUUGGAAUACCUAAGGUUUUGCACUUAGGGCCAAAGGUUUUUCACUUAGGGUUUGGAAUACCUAUGGUUUUGCACUUACGGCUUCAACGAGUUUCUCAUGGUAAACCUCCUCAAGGAAAUCAAUUUCGAAAGUAAGUCCAAGGUAAUGAAGCACUUACAGGGCAUAAAGGACUUUUUGGUCUCUAAGGAAGUAUUUCCCAUCAAACACGACUAGAGCAAAUAGACGCGCAUUCAAAGAGAUAAAGGAGUUCAAGUUUAUCCUUGAAUGAGCACGCAUAUCUAGAAUCAAUCAUUUUCAUCAUUGAUUGCGGGUUAUGAAGAGGCAUUUUGCCAUAUCUACAUCACUAAAUUUCCACCGAGAGGAAUCAUCAUCAAGAUAAUUUUCACCACCGUGGCAUGGAUCUCUUGAAAAUACUAAAUAAGACUUUCAGUCUGAAAGGGCUUUUCACUUGCUCUCAUUUAGAAAGAUAUUUUAUCCCGGCUAUUGAUGCGGGAAAAAGAGAGACACUAGAUCUUGACAUUAUUAUAAUCUCAAUAAGAGUCUGAUUUUACUCACAAGUUGUAUGACCAUACCAAUCUAAAAGUGUUUAUGAUAUAACCGUAAUGUAGGCUUAGUCAACAGUUUAAAAUGGAUAAUUCAUGGCUCAUAAAGAAAUGUUAUUCAUUCAUUAUCUCUGGCGUUUUACAAAUCAAGAAACCUGCAAAAUGAGAUAAACUCUCUUACCCGCACUUCUUCGAGUAAAGCUUUUAACAUUUGAAACUCCUCCUUUAAUGUAAUUACCCUAAUUUGAAGAGACUCUAUAAGGGAUGUAACAUAAGCUCUUCGAGAGCAUGCAUGUCAGUGACUAAGUAUGUCAACCUGGAGAAUGCACAUGGGCUCGGUGAUUAGGCAGGUCAUCUUGGAAAAUCCACGUGGGCUAAGUGACUAAGUACAUUAACCUAGAGAAUGCACGUGAGCUCAAUGACUAGAUAUACCAUCUUGGAGAAUGCACGUGGACUCGGUGACUAAGUACAUUAACCUAAAGAAUGCACGUGGGCUCGAUGAAUAGAUAUACCAUCUUGGAGAAUAGAUAAUAUUGAAUGUACCGACUAGGGGAAAGGUCGUGAUGACAUGUAAUCGACUAAGUCGAUUGAUCGAUAAUUCAAUCUAAUUGAUGUGAUGUGAUGUGAUGUGAUGUGAUCGUGUAUAUUUGAUAUAUAUACUAACUUGCAAGAAUGAACUGGGGACAAGGUAAGUCCUCUGACCCGUGUUGUGCUUAGACAGCCUUUAGGACAUAUUGGCUUCCUAAUCGGGUCUUAAGAGGUAGAACUCGCUAAGACGUUGUCUCAUUAGUUAUUGUAUAACCAUUUUAGGUUCCUAGAUGGCCACUCUUGAGUUUUUGGGACGGCCUAAGAAGAUCACAGAGGAAACCUCUUACUUUCCAUUUCAUGGGUGCCCUAGGGGCUGAUCUUAUAAGCUAGUGAGGUCUAUAGUUAGGGUCGAUGCGGGUCUCACCCACAAGGUGCCCCAUCGAUAUAGAUCAUGGUACCACCGACCCAAGAUGGCCAGAGAGAGGGUCCCCUACUGGAGUCUAAGAUACCUUUGUGUGUUCUGGAGGCCGCCUUUGGAAAAGGCACCGCAAAUUCCCUUUUGGGCUCGAUCGUAGAUGCAGCAGAUUUGAAUUUUGAAGAUCUCGGAAGUUCGGUGCAAUAUGCUGAAGGCUCCAGUUGGAGUGUGGGGGAUGAUGAAGAGGAGGACGAGGACUCGUAGUUUGUGGAAUUCCCACCCCUACUUGUAGACCUUGUUUCUGAACUUGUUUAAGUUGAAUCUAACUUAGUAGUUCGCCUUAUAUAUAUGUGCACUGGUUUGCAAUGUAUAUAAGUGUGGUUGUUUUUUAAAGUUCGGAAUUUAAUCCUACUUUUCUAUCCCAUUACUUUAUUGUCUAAGGAUUAUUAUUAUAUUCUUCCGCAUGCAUAUUAAAACAAAAGGGUCGGCGAUGCGUCCUGGGACGUCGCUAUUAAUCGACUAGUUGAGGGAUGGGUGUACGCUCGAGAAUUGUGGCGUGACAGUUCAUAUCGUGGACAGAAAAGAACAAGUUCUGCAUACAAAGACCAUUCCAUUGGUCAAAGUGGUCUCACAACACCACGGUACUGAAGGAGCGACAUGGGAAACUUAAGAGUCGAUGAGACAAUUGUACCCCCACCUUCUUGCUUAAGUUUUGUAAUGAUUUAAAGUUCGAGGACGAAUUUUUUAUAAGAGGGGAAGAGUUGUGACAUCCUAGAUUUUCAAUCCUAUUUUCUAUUGAAUAAAUCGAGCAUUUCAUCAAUGCGCCUAUAAGGCUAUUCUCAGAGCUUAUCACUCUCGAGAUAUCUAGACUAUUUAGAGAAGCCAUUAAAGAAUUUUAAUACGAUAGAUUUGAGAAUUCAACCAAGAAUCGGCUUCUCAACCAUGCUCAUCUUUAGAGGCCAUUACGGCACAAUAUAAAAUUCAUUUGAAAUCAAAGAUAGACCAGUUCAACUGAGAUGUGUGGCUAAUUGUGGGUGACACCAUUAAAUUGGAAAAUUCUCGUUGGCCGGCACUAGAGUGAUUUUUCUAUCAUUUUGAUACCUUGUGUCCAAAUUUGAAUCCUUGAGAUUUUCAUGACAAUCGAAAGUCGCCAAUGCGUCGAGUGGGUUCAUUGUGGCUCGAAAAAAAUCAACCAAGGGUCAUUUGCUCUAAAAACUUCUAAAAACUACCCGGUAGUCUAGGUCACGCUAAAAACACACCAAAUUGAAAUUAACUACGAAAUUGAAUCUGAUUUCAGAAAUUGAAAGUUCCGUCAUGUCACAAUUAAUUCUAGGAGCGUCGACUCAGUCUCAGAAUAUUUUUCUACAACCCAAGACUUUUUAGGAAAAAGUCGGCUUAGAGCCGUUUUUUUCCAGAAAAAAGAUCGGGAUUGUUUUAGAUCGUGAAAUUGGGAAGUAAGUGGAUUGUAUGAGUGAAGAAAAAUGCCGAGAUGAUCGAUGAUGGGUUAAUUGGAUUUAUUGAUGCCAAAUUGGAUUUUUUGAAGCAAGAUUAAGUGUCCAUUUGACACUAAAACCCAUGAAAUGCGUAUGUCCCCCCAUUCCCACAACUUAUGGACCUCUUCAACCUUCUAGAUGAGUGCAUGGAUGGUUGAAUUGCAGCCAUAGAAGCCAGACUUGGCUAUGGGUGAUGUCAAGGAGACAUUUGAAUGGAAAAUAAGGCAAGUGGCCCCCUACAACCCCACCUUGUUCCCUCUCUCUCUCUCCAACCGGUCAGCAGCCUCCUUUCCCCUCCUCAUUGUGCCUUGCUCAAGCCCAACAAACCAGAGAAGCUGCCUAUCCAUGCUGCACGCCGUCGUGACCGUCGGAACGCCGUCCGCACGCCCCACCGCCCCACACGCAUGCCAUACCGCGCCACCGCCCAACCCGACGCCCCUGCUACUUCCAACCCUCUGUUCCACCAUCCCCGUAGCUUCCUCAGCUUGUGCCAGAGUCGUUUAGCCCACCUCCGACCUCCCAAACAAAGAAUUUGUGGGUGGGUUUCCAGCAAGCUUAUAGGCCCAUUUUGAGGUGGUUCUGAGCCUCGAAAGUUUGACCCACUUUGAGGAAAGUCGGUCCCCGUCGCAUUCCCAACAUUUUGAACUGAACGGAUCGCAAAACAAGUGAGUUGAACUCACUAAUCCUCAAUUAGUCAGUUAAUGAUGCUUAGAGUUUGAUUAUAUUAAUUAAGCAUGGUUUAGGUGGAUAGAUUAAAUUAGAUUAUAUUAGAUAAUUUAAUUAUCUGCCGAUGCAUGUCAGGUGGUUAGUUAGUGGCAUUAGCGAGUAGACUCGUGCUAUUAUUGGUUUAAUGAACCUUGAAAUUUUUCCGGGUCUGUUUCGAUGUCCAAUUAGGCAUUACGGGCCUAAGUUGGAUUUAUUGCAUUUAUUUAAUAAUUCCAUAAUUAUUUAUUUAUUUAUUUAUUUUUCGAAAAUUAGGCUGGAGUAGCCGACGAUCAGAAUUUUAUAUUGGUUAUUGUGGUACAGUCUGUUUAUUUAUUUGAGUUCGAAAUUGUGCCGAAUUGAUUUAAUUGUGAUUUUAGGAUUUUAUUCCUAAAAUAAUUAAAGUCGCUAAUUAAUUGGAAAAUUACCUAGCAUUGGUCUACAGCGCCAAAAAUCUAUUUUUGGAAUAUUAAAAAAAGUGUAAGAUUGAUAAUGAAAUUAUUAUAUUUUGGCUAAGGCUGAUCGUGUACCCACACACGAUUAUUUUAUCGAGAAUAAUAAAAAGAUGGAAUUGGUUGUAUGAUUGGAAUUAUAUACUAUAUCGGCCUACAGGGGAUAUGUCAAGUUAGCAGAAAGUAGUAUACCAAUAUACUAUAUCAGCCUACAGGCGAUAUGACAGCUUAGCAGAGAGCAGUAUACCUUAUCGGUUUUGAUUGAAUGUCGGUAUACUACAUCAGCCUAUGAGCGAUAUUACAGCUUAGCAGAAAGCAGUAUACCUUAUCAGCUUAGAUUGAACAAUGUCAAUAUACUAUAUCAGCCUAUGGGUGAUAUGGCAACUUAGCCGAGAGCAGUAUACCCGAUCAUCUCAGAAGUGAGCUAUAUUAUCUAUCUAUCAACUUAGUAGUGAGUAGUCUGAUAUGGAUAGAUUUAUAGAUAGUAUGAGAUGAGCCAACUAAGGAAGGGUCGAGAUGACAUGUAAUUGACCGAGUCGAUUGAUCAAUGAUUUGAUCUGAUGUUAUGAAUUGAUUGAUUGAUGUGAUUGGAGACAUCUGUAAAUGAUACUGCUUUGCAUGGUGGAACUAAGGCCAAGGUAAGUCCUCUAACUCGUGGUUGUGCUUAGGCAGCCCUUAGGGCGUAUUGGCUUCCUAAUUUGGCCUUAGGGGGUAGAACUUGCUGAGACAUUAUCUCACUGGUUAUUGUAUAAUCAGUUUCAAGUCCCUCGUUGACAGCGGGGGAGGACUUGAGGCCCGAAGUUUAGAAGGCGAAGCUCGGAGAAUCGGUGAGCAUGUCCGACUAGUUAGUCCUAGGACAUUUCUCUUUUGUUGAAAGCCGAUUCCUUUUUGCAUGCUUCCGUGUAUAAACCCGUGUGUUUAUAAAAAGGUAUUUUGUGAAAAAUUAGUCCUACUUUCCUAUUCCAUUGUUUUAUUGUUUGUGGAUUAUUUAUAUAUUUCCGCAUGCGUAUUGAAAAGAGAGGGUCGGCGAUGCAUCCUAGGACAUCUCUAUUUAAUCGACCAAGUGAGGGAUGUGUGCGUGCCUGAGGAUCAAGGCGUAACAUCCCCGUUUAAGUGGUAUCGGAGUAAUGGUUAGGGAUUGGAGUGAUAAGGUGCGAUGGACCAUAGGAUAGUGGUAGGAAAGACCUUUAAAUUCAUGUUGGUGCAUGUUUGUGGUAACUAAUUGAUAGACUUGCUUGUUAUUUAGAUCACUCUGUUUCUAAUUCGGCUUAGAAUUGGAAGCAGGCUUCAAUAAAGAAAGCUGAGCCAUGAGUGAUUAGGAGCCAAGAACUCCUGCCAAGAGGACUGCUAGGGCCAUAACUCAGGGUAGGAUGCUGACCAGGGUCGGUACACGAGGAGGCCGAGGUCGAGCGCCAGCACAGGCUAGCACUAGUGGCGUAGCACCACCUCCUGUUAGUGCUAGGGUUGCAGCCCCAAGUGAUCAAGGAACCAUUGGGAUCACCCAGGCUUUGGACACCAUGCGAGAAAUGAUGAGACAGCAGGCCUAGAAUCAAGCUGCCGCCUUAGAAGCCGCUGCCACUGCCUUUGCCAAUGCUGCCAUUGCUUCCGCAGCUAUUGCCGCAGCUGUUGCUGCACCUACCGCCACACCUGCUAAUGUUCCCAUUGAGAACAUAGAGGUGCAGAGAGAAAGACCAAUCCACAAGUUGGUUAUUGUCGUGCAAUCUGUUUAUUUAUUUGAAUUCUAAAUUGUGCCGAAUUGAUUUAAUUGUGAUUUUAGGAUUUUAUUCCUAAAUUAAUUAAAGUUGGUAAUUGACUGGAAAAUUAUCAGGUGUCGGUCUACAGCGCCAAAAAUAUAUUUUUCGACUAUCAAAAGAAGUGGGAGAUUGAAAGUGAAAUUAUUAUAUUUUGGCUAAGGCCGAUGGUGUACCCACACACAGCUAUUUUAUGGAGAAUGAUAAAAAUAUGUAAUUGAUUGUAUGAUUGGAAUUGUAUACUAUAUCGGCCUACGGACGAUAUGUCAACUUAACAAAGAGUAGUAUACCGAUAUACUAUAUCAGCCUAUGAGCGAUAUGGCAGCUUAGCAGAGAGCAGUAUACCUUAUCAGUUUUGAUUGAAUAUGUCGGUAUACUAUAUUAGCCUACAGGCAAUAUGGCAAUUUAACAGAGAUCAGUAUACCUUACCAGCUUAGAUUGAGUAAUGUCAAUAUACUAUAUCAGCCUACGGGCGAUAUGGCAGCUUAGCGAAGAGCAGUAUACCCGAUCAUCUCAGAAGCGAGGUAUACUAUAUAUCUAUCAACUUAGCAGUGAAUAGUCCUGAUACGGAUUGACUUAUAGAUAUUAUAAGAUAAGACGACAAAGAAAGAGUCGAGAUGACAUGUAAUCGACUAGGUCAGUUGAUCAAUGAUUUGAUUUGAUGUUAUGAAUUAAUUGAUUGAUGUGAUUGGAGACAUCUGUAAAUGAUACUGCUUUGCAGGGUGGAACUGAGGCCAAUGUAAGUUCUCUGACUCAUGAUUGUGCUUAGGUAGCCUUUAGGGCGUAUUGACUUCCUAAUCGGGUCUUAGGGGGUAGAACUUGUUGAGGUAUUGUCUCACUGAUUAUUGUAUAACUAUGUUCAGGUCCCUAGUUGACAGUGGUGGAGGACCUGAGGCCCGAAGUUUAGAAGGUUUUUGACACCUAAAUUUUGGUGAUCCAUUUAGUCAUUUAUCGCAUUAAAAAAUCAGGGAUUAAUUUUGACCCCUAAAAAAAUAAUAAUUUAAUUCCAAAACAUAUGGUCAUUAGAAGAAUAUUUCAUUUAAUUGCAUAUUUGUUAGGCCGGCGAUGAAUGGAUUUUGGUGAAUGGCUUUGAAUAUUGAAGCCAACAAGAGCAUUAAACUGUGGAUAAGUCGAUAAUUCCUCCAUGGUGAUUGAUAUUACAUGGGUGUCCUAAAUUGUUAAAAGUCAAUUAAGAAAUUUCCAGCUUAUUGGCACCAACAUAUUUGUGCAUUUAAGGGAAAGAAUGCAAAGGAAGGACAGCCUGUAAGCGGCCACCGAUUCGAACAUAGAGAAGCCCAUCCACGUGAAGGAAAAUUAUGCGCUUUCCCAUAAUUCGGUCAACGUGGGGAGCAAGAAAUUGACCAGCAUUAUUUUAAGAGGAAAGAUACGAGCAUAUGCACAAAGGAAAUUUGAAAGAUCAGCAUGAGAGGGGAAUGUUGGGCACGUUCUGCAUUGCGGGCAUGGAUUUGCAAAAAAUAUAUAUAUAUCGGCAUUCGAUCAAUAAAGAGGAAAGGAAAGAAAAUAUAUUUCAACGCAUGCACAGAAGGAAACAGAAUAUGCUUUCUUUCGUCAUUGGUUUACGCCCUUUCAAUAUAAAUUGACUCAUUACAGGACAAAAGCUGGGGGCAUUCUUCAUACGAGAGAAAAAACACGUGAGAAUCGAGAGUGGAGAGGGAGCUCUGCCAGAAGCUCUUCACGGCCGUGACUUUGCUGAGUUCGUGGCCGCACCUUGACACUGAUCUUGCUACCGAUCGUCUGUUGCAUUGACAACGACCAGCUUUCCAGUGAUCCUUCCCGAUGAUAGAGCAACAGCGUUCACUUCCAGUCAAGCCUUGAUCAACAACCACGAAGUUUUGGAGGCUACACAAUGGAAUACAAGGCCACGAAAGAGUGAGAGAGAAGGCUGCUUUCCUCGGUCAAAGACUUCGUUGGAUCCAAUUUGAAUUAUUUGCAGACACCUCAGUCCAUUCAAGCCAUCCCUGACGUUGAAGUCCCACGGCUAAAACAGCCAAAUUUGGUCAUCGCAAGUCCCUUGCACCAGGCGACUCCGCUAUUGUUGUGGCCUUGCUACACAACGGGGCUGCUUUUCUGGUCUCGCCGUGUGGACAACGAAGCUGCUGCUCCCCCCAUUUCGACGCGCCGCCCCUGCUUCAUCCUACCAUCGGUGGCGCUGCUGGGCUCGUGCCAAAUCAAAAGCCUCUUGGGCGCUCUUCGCAUUAAAUAUUUUUUUGGCCUUUGCAGGUUAAGAGGAGAGCUUCAAACGGGGGUCAAAGGAACUGUAUUGGGGGUUACAUUAAAAUAUAGAAAGGCUCCUAAGAGGAGACGAUCGGCAAAUAAGAAAGCCCACUUUUGGUUGUGUCCGAUAAUAUUGACGCAACCCUUACUAAGCCGAGAGCCCUCUCCACCGUUGAGUGCCGCGAGCGAUUCCCAAAACGUUAUUGUGAGCCAGCUACCGUGAAGCAAAGUUGAUCAUGACUCCUACGAUCCGAUACCCGUCCAAACUAGGAAGCAACAAUCAAGGUAGGUAAAAUUCCCAUCUAAAUUAAUUCUUGAAUAUUUCGUUUGCUCAAUUGAGGUAUUGCAUUCUUGAUUAAACCCCCCGAAUGAUGUUAUCUUGUCCCAUGUUUCCCGAAUAGUCUUUCAAAUUGGGAAAUCUUCCUAAUUUUGCAACGUACAUAUGAUUGACGGUCCGAUUUCACGCUCGAAAUAUGACCCGCAAUCGUACGGAAAAAUCACCAAUUCGAUCUCACGCUUGAGAUACGAUUCAUGAUUUUAUUUUAAAAUUGGCCAAUCCGAUCUCAUGCACGAGAUACAAUUCGUCAAUUUAUUUCCCAAAAUUAAAUGGACAUGGAUGAUAUCUUGCUUGAUUUGUUGCCGUAAUGUUGUUGAUGCCUUUAUUUGAUUGCUCCCGUAAAAGAAAACCCCAAAAAAUAUAAAUAUUUAGGUUAAUUGCAUAUUACGAUAGAUCGCAUGCUUAUUAGGGAAAUAAAAAUCAUGUGCACGUCAUAUAGAAUUAAGUUCAUACAAUGCAUGUCAUUUAGUAUUUUUGCUAGGCCCAUUUAAUUAGAAAUUACAUGUCAUUAGAAUUAGGUCAUUUAGUUAAUAUUGCAUAGCAUAUUGCAUGAUUUUCAUUAAUUAAGCGAAAAAAAAUAAAAAUUACAUGUUAAUUAUAAACCAUAUCUAGGGUUGUUGAUGUGGAUUUUAAUUUAACAUUGCAAAUGCUUUCGUUGCUAUGAGGUAAGUCCUGCAUUUUUCUAUUAUUUGCUUUCUUGGGUGUUAAAUGGGUGAUUUGUGCACCCGCAUGAUCACCUCACAUGUUAGGGGAGAUAGUUUAAAAUCAAUUCAAGCUGCCUGCAAAACCUUUUUUUCAAAAUAAAAGAAAUGGUACCGAAAGGGCGUUAGAGAAAUCUAGCGUAACCAAGUCCCCGUACCCAAAUCUCUAGUUCGUAGGAAUAAAGUAAAUCUCCCGUUACUUUACUUGGAUUUCUAAUCGACCCACCAAAAAUAGAUUAGUGGCGACUCAUAAUUUAAAAUCAAUUGCAUGUUAAGAACUUGAAUCUAAGUCGCGAAUUGGUAUGUGCUUGGGAAAGCCCGAGUUAAGUCUAGGCUUAACAAUCCAUUAGCCAAACCCUAGGUGGUUCACGCCUGAAAAAUUGGUCGCAACAAAGGUGAAGCCCGGAGAAUCAGUGAGCAUGCCCGACUAGUUAAUCUUAGGACAUUUCUCUUAUAUUGAAAGCCGAUUCCUUUUUGUAUGCUUCUAUGUAUAAACCGGUGUGUUUAUAAAACGGUCUUUUAUGAAAAAAAAAAAAAAAAAAAGGUCAUACUUUCCUAUCACAUUGUUUUAUUGUCUGUGGAUUAUUUAUAUGCUUCCGCAUGCGUAUUGAAAAGAAAGGGUCGAUGAUGCGUCCUAGGACGUCGCUAUUUAUUCAACCAAGUGAGGGAUUGGUGCAUGGCCAAGGAUCGGGGCAUGACAAUCACUCCAUAUGCAAUUAUCAUAGUACAUAUUAGUACCAAGGAUAGUUUUGGAAUCAUCAAGUUCUCAUUGGGAUGCUUUCUCAACUUGUAGCUGUAUUUUCUUUUCAACAAUUCAACAUUUUUGGACUUUGGUGGCCUUCAUCUUCAGUCGACACUCUGAACCAUGCUACUUCAUCAAGUCAACUCAUCAGCCUUGCCGCAAUAUGAGGAAUAAUCACCAACUAGGUUUAGAAAUGAAUUUGCAAGCUCAAAUGGGCUCUACAAGGAAUAAAAGUGUGUAUGAUAGAGAAAGAAAUGUUCUUCAUCACUUUAAGGCACCUAAAUUCUUGUUUGAGUUCAUCUGUAAUAAAGAUAGUCAAAGAUUAAUUCAAGUGAGGGCAAGAAAAGUUCUUUCAUUUUUCUCAACCUAUAAUGUCAACUUUACCUCAAUUCCGCCCCAGUGCGAGAACAAGGUUAAGUCGAAAGAAAAUUUUCCAAUCAUUCAAGCUCAAAAGGCUUAAACAAUAGUUUAACUACAAUGUUUAGGAUAAAGGAAUGAAUGGCCCCUCAUCAUUCAAUUUGCAUACCUUCCUCCAGAAACCAAUUACCUUGAGGACAUGAAAUUAUUCCACUCAUCUCAUAGUGUAUAAAUAAAGGACUAUAGGUAGGAUUAAGCUUGCAUUUCAUCAUUUUGAUGGAUGCUCUGAAUUUACUCUUCCCCCCUGCAAAACAAAGUGUACAGAGAUAUAAUGUAAGUAAUCAUAAGUACAAAUUGUGGCUUGGCUUAUGCAAAAUAUAGAUCCUCUAAGGAUCUCAUGAUUCAAGGCAUUAUACCUCUAUUAUCUCAUCAUGUAUUUUUUAAAGUCACAACAAGUUCUAUUUGCAAUGGAAAUAUUCCCGGGCCACAAUGCAAGGCGAUUACAAAAGGAACGAAGUGGCAAAUAGGUGCUUAAAACUUUUAUUUUCACUAAAUUUUGAGUGGAACAUAAGAAAGCCAGCCUUCAGAAUUAUCUCCUCGCCUCAUUUUUUAUUGGUAGGAUUUUAUAAUUAGGAUAGUUUGGUUUACUUCAACAUUCCAUCAAAAUAUGAAAAUUUUGAUGAACUUGCAUCUUAUUGAAUGAAAAUAAACAAAUUACAUUGUAUGGAAAAGGAAAUCCUAGUAAGCAAUCAAAUACAAAGAAUCAAGCACUAGAAAGCAUAAAUACUCCUAUACAAAUGAGUGUGUCAACAAUCAACGAUGCCCUAACUCUAGGUGAUUUGAACUCAUCCUAUCAUCCAGCCUUACAUCAAUGGCAAAGACUGCAUUUUCCAUUUGUGCAGAUAGCCUCAUUAUUUGACAGAUCAUCCCAACCAUUGGGCAUAAUGUCCUUGACAACAAGAUCAAUGCUUCGCAAUUUAGAGCAUAGCACAUAAUAGUCCUACUCGUUGCUUAAAUUGUUCCAUUGUACUAAAAGGCUCGAUGUUUGGAGGCAAGAGUAUAAAUUGGCCCAAAUCUCACACUCUCGCGAUUGGGUCGGGUGCUCUUGACACUAGCUCAAUCAAAAGGCCACCCUAUAGUCUUGCAAUCUCAAGUAUCAAGAAAGAAAGUUCAGGGUUUGAAAAGUGCAAUCCUUAGUCUCGUAGUUUUGUGGACAAGGUUGUAUUGUCUCAACACCAUCCUUUUUUUUCCUAAUAUGCAAUCUAGGUUCGAUUGCAGGAUUCAUGCAAAAGUUUAGUGUUAUGCACAACAGUUUAUAAUAUGCAUACAUCACUUCAAUAUUGAUCUAACGCAUACAUUCUCAACAUCUCUCUACAAAACAAAGUGUUAUAAUUCAUCCCUUAUAACUCUCAUAUGCAAGAACAUUUAACAUAAUUGUUAGUGGCACAUCUUAUCUCCAUACUGCUCAAACGAAAACAAGUUUUAAAAGAGAAAAUGCAGGCCUAAGUCAUUUGGAAUUGUCAAGUUGCUGGGACCUUUGCAGGAGUGAACCACCAAGGAAAAGAUAAUAGAUUACUGGGUAGGGUACGAAUGGUAACUCAUUAAAGAAGGUACCUUUGUCUAGCGCAGACUCUUCCGAGUCCAUACCAGUCACAACUUUGAGUUUUAAUUAAAUCAAUUAACUAUGUAAAUAAAUUCAUUUUGGGAUCACCACUAAUUUUUACAGGUUAAUUGGAAACCCAAGUAAAAUGCUCUUACAUUUUACUUCUACCGAUCAAAUAUUCAUGGAUUGGGAUUCGGUUAUGCAAGAUAAAUCUACCACCCUUUUGGUACAUUUUCUCUUUAUUUUAAACAUGUCUGGAAGCAGUUUAGAUCAUUUAAUCUUAAGCCACUAAUAUGCGAUGGGUGAUCAAGAGGGUGCACAAGGGUGAUCAAGAGGUCAAUGACUAUGUAAUGGGCACAAGGGUGCGCAAGCAAGAAUUUAACACUUAAUAUUCAAAGCAAUAAAUAAAUUGCUUAGGAAAGAGUAAAGAACCUCAGCACGUUAAGCAAACUUUAUUGUCGUCCAAUGCACAAAGUAUUCUGCAGUAUGUUAACUAAGAAUUAAACGACUAUGUAAUGCAUGCAUCUAGACAAGAUUUCAUCAUAUGAUUAUACAAUGCUAAUUAUUUCUAUCUACAAGAUGAGGUCAUUAAAAUCAAUCCUAAAAAUAUGUGACUCUCUAUAUGACGUGCAAUGUUGAAUGUCAUCAAUAUGAGAUAUGGAUGCAAUAUUUUUUGAGAUUUUCUUUAAAAGUAAAAAUAUGAAAUUAUUGUUUGGAAAAUCCCUUAUGAUGUUUUGAAGAUAACAAAAUAAAUCAAAGGCUACUAAGGUGUUUAAUGGUUGAGUAAUAGACUAUGCAGAUGAUAGAACAUAUAAAGGAUAUUGUCGAAGUCUAUACUUGGAAGAACCAUAAGACAGACUCUAUGAUGAAGCUAAACUUAUUCAGAUUGUGUCGAGACCUUAAGGCUAAAUAUGUUUAAAAGCAGAAUAUGUUCAGACUUAUGUCCAGAUUGUAAAGUCUAUUUCAAAUGGAAGACACUCAAACUUUACUUUCGACAUAACACUCUCAAACUUUACAUCUAGAACGAGACACAAGUCCAUAACGUGACAAGGUUUAGAAUGAGACACAAGUUCAGAAGGUAGUAGAUUCAGAACAAAACAUGUUCAGAACGAGACAACUUGACAGAACAAAACACAACCCCCAAACAUAUAACGGCUACUAAUCUGGUUUAGAUUCUACAUCAAGAUAGAUUUGAUUGACUCAAUCUAAUUUAUUGACAAUUGGAUCAUAAAGACAAGAAAUUUAUAAACGAAGAAGCUCUACUUAUGGAACCAAGAUUCUGUUUGUAUGGGCGAUCAGAAUCAAUUUGGGAUUCUACUUCUAUCACUCAAUGGCUAAUAAAUCUUCUUGAUACAGAUCUGUCCAAUGGGUAGAUUGGAAGAUGAUUCUCUAUAUACUAUCCAACAACUAGUUUGGAAGUGGAUAAGUAUUUAAGGAGACUAAGGACCGAUGAGCAAGUAAGAGACGAAGCGUAAAAUUUAUAAUUCCAAAGUCUAAGUGACCUUCGAUCAUAUACCUGUCUCUUAUGAGCUUAAACGUUUAUGAUCUUGUGAGCUUAAAAGUUUGUGAUCGUGAAAGAAAUACCAAAAGAGUGACUUAGUGAAAUGGCGUGAUCUAUCACUGAGUGUUUGCACUCAAAGUUGUAAUCUCUUGUUGAUUGCAUAGUGGAAUACAACCAAAAAGCUGUUAGCGUGGGAGAGUGAACGUAGGCUUGAUCUAAGCCGAACCACUAUAAAUUUCGUGUGCAACAUUCUCUUUCCUUAACUCUUUAUAUUUAAGUCUAUUAUAUACUUAUAUGUUAUUUCAGAAGUCUGUUCUAUCGUAUAACAGAUUCUAAACAUCUACCAGAAGUCUGGUGGCUCGCUUAUCAAACUUUGAUCCUUAUUCAGACUUUUCUCAAAAUUUAUUUUAUUAUGCAUUUAUUAGCCAAGAUUUAUUUUAAAUACUUAUUCACCUCCUCUAGGUGUUCGUACUAGCACUUUCAACUACCUAAUUCCACAUGAUGAAUUUAACCAAUAAGAAAAUUAAAUAUCAUUUUUAUGUGAUGCAUCUAAUCUAAUGAUAUGCAUAUCCUAAAGUUCUACAUGAUUAGUGAUUAAGUGACAAUGAAAUCACUAUAUUAUAUUAAUAAUUACUAAGGCUAACCUUAGAUUAUUAAAUAUCACUUCAUGAUAUGUACAUAAAAUGGGAAAGAUUUAAUUCGGUAUCCAAUCUUUAGUCUCAAAGAUUCGAUUUCCUAAUUUAUCCAACCGAAACAAAGAAUGGAAAUAUUUAAUUGAGGCUCCAAUCUUCGUGCCUAAAGAUUCAAUUUCACUGAUUAAACUUUUAUUUACAAAUCAAAAUAUUUAAAAUAGGAAACUAAAUAUUCUAACCCACCUUAAUACGCGAGGGAUAUACGCAAUAUCUAAUUACUAGUUCUAAUCGGGCGAGAUAGUGAUGACAUGAGCGGACAUGGAAGCUUAUCUGGAGCACCGAGAAACCUUCAAUGAAAGUGUCAAGCAACAGGGUUCAAGGAUGUGAUGACGGUGACAAGGGCUGGUGCUCGUUGAGAAUCACUCGGAUGCAUGCGAAGCUGCUCAGAGUCGGUCACAGACUGGUGCGGGUGUGCUGGUGCUUGCUGAAGCUGAGGUUGAGCGAUGGUGAUGCUGUGCACAGCGGUGGGAAACUUGUAGGAGAUGGUUAGAUCGAAGCGAAGCUCGGUAAGUUGGGCCGGUGCUUCUGCAUUGGUGCAAGUGGAGUGGCAAGGGGGAAACAGUGGUCGAGUGGCAAGGCACAGCGACCAAGUGGGGCUUGGCGGCUUUGAAAAAAUUCGGGACCUUCGUUAAACGUUCCCUCAAUUUUCUCGCUUUUGUAUGUGUGCCUCUUAGUUUCUAGCCCCUGUUUUGAAUUAGAAGGAAAGAAUACUUAUAUAGGUAUAGAUCUAGGGCUUUACUUAAGAUACCACCUUCCUAAAUUAAACAAAAGAGAUUAUGUGAUAUGUUCAAGAUAGAAUAUUGAGGUAUUCUCUUUCUUUUUUCCCCCAUAAUUAAAAUUUUCAAAAAUAAUGCUUUUAUUGCAUACAAACUUAAUUAGAUUAUUUUUACCCCAAAAAAAACUUAAUUAGAUUAUGCAAUUUUUCUUAAUUCGCACCUCCCAUGUCAUCUCAUAUGCAAAUUUUGGCCACUUAGGUUAUUCAAUAGACUUGGCCGAAUUUUUACUUUUGUAGACUUGUUCUAAUAAUUAAAUUAAGUUUAAAGCCCCUUACUUGAACCCAUUUGCUCCAGUUAAAUUAUAAUGCAAUUUAUGUGGGUCUAAUAUUUUUAUAAAAAUGCUCCUCAUUUGCAAAUGCAAAUUAAUAGUGCUUUUUUUUUUUAGGGGAUGAGAUAGUCUCCCAAUUUUCCAUACAUUGAAUGGGUCACCAUAAUUUAGGUGUCAACAGAAAAACUACAAGGCAUUCUUCUACAACCUUAAUGACUUUCAUUCUUUCCCCCAUUGCUUUUACUUUGUAACUCAUCUUCAAUUGAAAAGCAUGUCAGUUUCAAUUUGAGAAAAUUGUACAUACCUCCUUAAUCAUUUCACCGUGUUGGAAAUAUUAAUUACAUAUCAACACUAUUUGUCGUAAUCUGAAAAAAGCGAUAACAAAAUAAACAGGUGAUGAGGUACAACUAACUAAAUCUCUUUAAGGUAAUUAGUUCCUUCCAACAAUACUAAACAACUUCACGAAUUAUGUCUCCCAAGAUACAACAUGUCGAACAUGUUUGUAUCAACACUAUAUGAACAGAACUCUGUUGAGCACUUCUCAAAGCCGACACACUUAGACAAUGACUACCAAAAAAAUUAGUAAGUACUUUGAGGCAUUUUUUUUGUUAUUUUGAACUAAGAAGACAUGCCUAUUUAUAGAUGAGAGAAACAGCCGUAGAAAAUUGAAAGGAAAUUAACUCAAAAAUCAUGUCGGUUAUGCUUGUAUUAGUUUUUUUUGUUUUUUGGUCGGUAUGCUUGUAUUAGUUGAGUCAUUGACACUUAAUAACANNNNNNNNNNNNNNNNNNNNNNNNNNNNNNNNNNNNNNNNNNNNNNNNNNNNNNNNNNNNNNNNNNNNNNNNNNNNNNNNNNNNNNNNNNNNNNNNNNNNUAUGAUCGGUGUAUGCUUUAGAUCAUUCUUGUCUCCUUUCGCCAUCCCUAGUGGCGUCCUACCAACGGUAGUGGUGCUUAUCCCUGAACCUGCGCGGACAAUUCCUCACCCUGAUGGUCGUGUUGGCCCACAUUCAUAGCACGCUCCCGUGAUACCAAGACAUUGGGCUGAUCCAUACUUUCUUUCUACAAAUUUGGCACACAUUCGGUGAGUCCUCUACCUCUUGUCAUGUGACAGCACGCACCCUUUCUUGCACCGGAGACCUGUCCCAAUUACCCAACUGUGCAUUAUGCGGUGCAUUCUUCCUACUCUGGCUCAUCGGCGGCAGUGGCGGUAGCUAUUAUGGUUCCAUCUGCCCGAGCAGACAGUCCUUGAUCAAGUGGUUGUACUGGCAACACCCGUAACAAACCCUUGUCUUUUUAAAACACAAGGCGGAUCCAUGUCUUUUCCCACCGACAUGACACACGCCUUUCUGGUUGGGUGUUAGCUUUCCCAUUAUACUCCUUUGAGUGGGACGAUUGAAGUGCUUUCCUUCUGUCAUCAGUUUCUUCCCGAAUCAAUUGCUAACUCUAUCUGAACUAAACCACGACCUAAAUGUGGUGGCUCUCUCCCCAAUCACAAUUCCAGGUUGGGCCUCAACCAAUGCAGCAACAACAGCAGUUACGGCAUUGGCAGCGGCAGUGACAGCGACAACAGUGUCACGCCCCGAUCCUCAGGCACGCGCACAUCCCUUACCUUUGGUCGAUUUUAAAAUGCGAUAUCCCAGGACUAUGUAUCGCCGACCCUUUCAUUUAUAUAUGCACAUGCGAAAGCGGUUAUAAAUCCCCAGACAAUAAAACAAUGGGAUAGAUAAGUAGGACUAGAAAAUUGAACCUGAAAGUCAACACCCUUAUGUACAUCUAUAAUGACUCAGUCAUACAUCUACAUAUACAAACCAUGCUAAAAAGGUUGGUUUCUACUCAAUUAGAUUCUACAGCAAUAGUCAUCAGGAUCCUACUCUGGAUCAUCCCUUGGGGUUCUCUUUCAGAUACUCCUCUUUGAGUUCUUUCUCCUCACGGUUUUCCUCGUCAGGUUCCUCCUCCUUAAGCUCCUUAUCCGGGUCCUGAAAUGGUUAUUCAAUAACCACUGAGACAACGUCUCAGCAAGUUCUACCCCCUAAGACCCGAUUAGUAAACUAAUACACCUUAGGGCUGCCUAUACACAACAUGAGUUAGAGGACUUACCUUGGCCUUAGAUUCCACCUGCAUAUUAGCACAAAUCAAUAGGCACCCAAGUAAUCACAUCACAGAUCGAAGCAUCGAUCAAAUCGACCUAGUCGAUUACAUAUCAACAAGACCACUCACGGUCAUUUCCAUCCAAUCAACCAAUUCACAGCAUCAGAUCAAAACAAUGAUCAAUCGACCUAGUCGAUUACAUGUCAUUCGGACCACCUCUCGGUCACAUCAACACCAUACUUUAUAAUCUCCAUUCGGGUACAUAGUCACAGAGCCAGAUGAAUGCUCUCGGGCGUCUUUUUCGCCAAGGUGACGUACCAAUUACCGAUCACGAUAAUCUCCAGCAGUACACUUAGUCACAGAGCCUCAUUAAUGCUCUCGGGCGCUGCUUUCGCCAAGGUGACGUGUAUAAUGGGACAGCACUCGUGCGUUCUUUAAGGCGUCGUUUUCACCAGUGAUAUCUUCCAUCACCGAACCACGUAUGUCCAUACUGCUGCAUGUAAUAGACAGCACUCGUGCGUUCUUUAAGGCCGCCGUUUUCACAGUGAUAUCCUUUAAUCACGAACUACAGCAUUAUCGAUGCUAAAUAAUAACACUCGGCCAUCAACCAAUCAAUCAUUCAAUUUCAUCCAAUUUGGGAUAAAUCACUAAAAUUGCACAAUCAAAUCAAUUCCACGCAAUGUAGAGCUCAAAUAAAUAAACGGACUGCACCACGACAAUCAGCACGAAAUUCUGGUCACCGGCCAUCCCAGUUGAAUUUCCGGAAAAUAAAUAAUUAAAUAAUUAAUUUCGAAAAUUAAUAUUUAAUUCCUAAAAAUUCCAUCUAGGCCCGAUUUGCUGAAUUAACACCCGAUGAGGGACGGGAAAAAUCCCAAGAAGCAUCCAAUAAAUACUAUAGGCAAUUAUCUAUCUAAUUACACUAAUCACACAACUAAUAUGCAAAGUAAUUAACUAAUAAUCACUAAGCAAUUCUAAUCUAACCACAUAAUUACACUUAAUUAACACUAAUCAACAUUUAAGUAUAAUUAGUACACUAAGAAGGCACUAGUGAGUAAAACUCACUUGGUAAAGCGAAGAUCGAAAACCGCGACGGCGGCCGAAUUCCAAAGUUUCGGCGGCGACGAUAGACACUCGAGCCGGGCCUACAAGCCUCGCAAGCCCACAACAAAGGCUGGCCUUGGGCCGACUUGCUUCACGGGCCCAAGAUAGGCUGAACUUGCUGGGCCUUGCUGAAAUACAAAUGAUGUUGGACUCGACACUCGGGCUGAGAUGGGCUUGAAACAAAACUGAACUAGGCUUCAAGAUAUGGGCUGGACUUCAAUUGCUUUGCUGGAAAUUGGGCUUGGCCAAUUAACUCACGUGGACUGGGCUGGGCUGCAGCUGAAGUAAUUCGACUGGGCUUGAAAUGGCCCUCAGCUGGACUGAACUUUACUGGGCCCAAAUGAUUGAAAGUGUUGGGCUAAGGGCAGGCCGCUGGAGAAGACCGAAGACUGUUGGAGCUGGUGUCACGCGUGGGCUGGGCUGCUGCGGUUGGCCCACGAACUGGAGAAGCAGCUGCUGGCGUGCACUGGAAUCUUCGAGCUUCGCUGGCAACAAGGGGACAAGAUGCAGCUUCGCUCGGUGGGGGAUUUCUUCGGUCAAUCUUCAGCGGUUUUCAGCUGGGUCUUGACCGGUGAAAUGGACCGAAACGUGGCAGAGAUGGGGAGCAGCUGUUGGCGUCGAUGGACGUGGGAAGAAGACGCAACGUGGCUUCGCUGGGGUCUUCAAUUCGCUUAAGUCCACGGACGUGAGUCUUCUUCAGUGGAAGGCCUCGCGCGGCUGAAGAAGAAGAGGCGCGGAUGAAGAGUCUUCAGUGGAAGCUGCAGCUUCAUUGGACGUGGCUGCUUGAAGAUUGUCGGUGGACGUGGCAGCGGCAGGAAUUGCUCAGUCAACCAAGGAAUUCGGUGACUUGCUGGUUGACCGAGAGAGCGCAGACGUUGGACGGGUGGCAAGGAGAUUUCGGUGGAGAUGGGGGGCGUCCGUUGGCGUUGAUGCUGAGUCGUGGAUGAAGAAGCCGCUUGGGGUUUUGGUGAGUGGAGGUUUCACGGUCAACACCAGCUUCGCUGGUUGACCGAACUGAAUGAAUUAGUUCGGUGGGUGGAGCUACAGGGAAUCAUGGCCUAAAGUGGAGAAGCGGACGAAGGUGCGGCAGCUUGGGGGAGAAAACUCGGUGAACUUGUUUCGCGGCUUCAGUGGAGAAAGAUGGAGUCUUCGCUGGGGGGAGAGCUGAGACGACGGAGAGAGAGAUCUUCGGACGUGUGGCUGGUUUCUCUCGGUGGUAAAANNNNNNNNNNNNNNNNNNNNNNNNNNNNNNNNNNNNNNNNNNNNNNNNNNNNNNNNNNNNNNNNNNNNNNNNNNNNNNNNNNNNNNNNNNNNNNNNNNNNNNNNNNNNNNNNNNNNNNNNNNNNNNNNNNNNNNNNNNNNNNNNNNNNNNNNNNNNNNNNNNNNNNNNNNNNNNNNNNNNNNNNNNNNNNNNNNNNNNNNNNNNNNNNNNNNNNNNNNNNNNNNNNNNNNNNNNNNNNNNNNNNNNNNNNNNNNNNNNNNNNNNNNNNNNNNNNNNNNNNNNNNNNNNNNNNNNNNNNNNNNNNNNNNNNNNNNNNNNNNNNNNNNNNNNNNNNNNNNNNNNNNNNNNNNNNNNNNNNNNNNNNNNNNNNNNNNNNNNNNNNNNNNNNNNNNNNNNNNNNNNNNNNNNNNNNNNNNNNNNNNNNNNNNNNNNNNNNNNNNNNNNNNNNNNNNNNNNNNNNNNNNNNNNNNNNNNNNNNNNNNNNNNNNNNNNNNNNNNNNNNNNNNNNNNNNNNNNNNNNAUAAAUCAAUCGACGCUCAAUGUCUCAAUUACUAUUUUUCCUCAUCCAAUAAACCAUCGUGCAUCUCAAUUUUGUAACCAGAAUUGAUCCUCGGCUUCAACUGAACAAAAACAACCAUAUUUAUUCAGUUGAAAUUAGAACCCGAAAGUGACAGCUUGAUUCUAUGCUUGCUAACCCAAAAUGCUUCCCAAAGUCUCAAGCGCCUAAACGAUCCCAUCAAAUCUAGGAUCGCUCAGUGCUACUAAACUCACAGUACUGGCCUGCAACGGUACUCUUACACUCACAUUGGCCUGAGCCUGCGCUCUACCUCGGGUACCUCGAGUAUCAACCCUUGUCAACGUCCUACCCCGAGUUACAGUUCCUACUAACCUAUGCCUAGGAGUUCUCCGCUCAUGAUCACUCAUGCUACAGGAUCUUAUAGAAACAUGUUUCCAAUUCCAAUACCAUAUUAGAAUUUGAGUGAUCCCACAAACAAGCUACCAAUCAGCUAUCACUCGCAUACAUCAACAUAAUUAAAAGGCAUUUCCUACUAACUAUCCUAAGAACCCAUCGCACCUUAUCACUCCAACUAUUGACUAGCUCUAUUACCACUCCGGGCGGGGAUGUCAUGCCCCAAUCCUUGAGCGUGUGCCCAUCCCUCGGUGGUCAAUAAUAAAAAUGUGACUUCCCAAAACGAGUCACUGACCCUUUCAUUUUAUUGCAUAUUCGGAAGCGAAUAACAAAUCCCCUAACAGUAACCAUCUGGGAUAUAAAAGCAAGACAACAGAUUCACAAGCAAAACAUGUUUUUAUAAAUAUACUGAGUCAUGUACAAAGGUUUAUAACCAAAAGACUUCAAAAGACUGCCUCUCCAAAAAGAAAUUGUCAUAUUUGACCUACACCACGAAUCACCUCAGCUCGGCUCCAAGUCCUCCACCCUACGGUACUGAAAAGUUAAGCCCACGACGAGGUAAGAUAUAAAUUUCAACGAAUUCAUGCUCUAAACCCCGAUUAGGAGGGUAAUACGCCUAGAGGCGUCCUAACCACAUAACCACACAACUACAGAGACUUACCUUGUCUCAUAUCCUUCCUGCAUGUCAGCAAAGUUCAUACCACAGACAACACAAAAGCAUGAGCAGUAAACAAGCUCAUCAACUGGAACGCCACACUCAAAUUUCAAACAAGCACAGGGGUCCUGAUUAUAUCAAAUCGUUAUGACACAUCCCAUACAGUGCCACACAAUUUUAUCCCAUAAUUCGGCACAUCUAUCUCACUCAAUCAUGUGUUUUAAUUGAUUACUACUACCCGCACAAGCAGUUUUACCCAACACACAUCAGUCCUCUGGCAUAGCCAGGUUUCAUCUCACUCCUUUGAGCAAAACUACAUCCUCCGACACACAUCAGGGAUGGCAUUCCUUACGGCAUACCCGAAGGAGCUUUAAUCCAGAAUCUAUUGUGACCGGCUUCCCAUAUAGAGUUAACAUCCACUCAUACACACUGGGGACGGGUUCUCUUAACCAACACACGAUCAUUCAAUUAUGGCAAAAAACACUGUGCAUUACAUUCAAAUGUCCCAAUUAAAAUAAUGCACUUGGCUCAUUUUCUUCGUAUUAAAAACACCCGAUGAAAAUAGUCGUUUGUGGGUACACGAUCAGAUCAAAUCAAAAAAAAAAUUGAUAUCCUUCCUUUUAAAAUCCCACUAUUUUAUAUAGUAUAUAAAACAAUUUUCGGUGUCAAAAUCCGACACCUAGGAUUUUCUAAAUAAAUAUUGAAUUUCAAAAAAUUUCGAAUAAAUAACCAAAAUUCUAAUCAGUACUCAAUUUGCACAAAUUAACACCUAAUUGCAUAAACUAAACAUACCAUUGUAAUCAACACGAAAUUUUGGUCACCGACUAUCCCGGUCUAAUUUCCGAAAAAUAAUUAAUAAUAAAUAAUUAUGAAAAAUAAUUAAAUAAUGUAAAUUAAAUCAAUAAAUGCAAACUUAGGCUAAAAAUUGCUAAUCUAACCACCUGUUGAACUAAUUAAUUUAUACUAACCAUUCUAACUAUAAUGCCACAUAAUAAACUAACUAAUUACAAGUUCUAACCACCUAAUUCACUAAUCUAACUAACCUAAAUUAAUUAAACAAGCUAAUAACUAUCAUAAUAUAAUCUUAAUAUAAUCUAAACACCCCUUUAACAUCAUUAGCCUACUAAUUAGAGUUUAGUGCAUAAACUCGCUGAUUUAGCGCGAAAACCGGUUCACCGCAAUGGUGGCGCAACAGCAACCGAAACUUGAACUUUUGGCAACACCAAUGGAGACUUGGACUGGGUCAAAAAUAGCUCACAAACUAAUUGCUUGAGCUGAAAACCAAUUAUGCUCAAGAACUCGUCGCGAGCUUGGCUUAGCGGCUCGAGACUACAGCGUGUGAAGGUGAAGAGAGCAGUUGGAGGUGGCAGGUGGCGUCAACGCUAGUGGUCCACAAACCAGAUGAAGAAGCAGCUUCGAGCGGAGAGGAGCUGCUGGAGUCAAUGUUGGCGGAGAAGGCGUUGCUGGAGUUUGACUCGGUGAAUCAACACCACGCGAAGAUGGGUAAGGCGGCAGCGAAAUGGAGGUGGGACAGGCGAUGGUGGUGGAGUAGCUACAAGAUAGACUCGACAGAGGGAAAUGGAAGUAGGUGCUGGCGGAGAGAGAGAGAGAGAGAAACAACGGAGCUGCUUCGGUGAAGGAAUAAAUGAACGAAAGCAUAAGGUAGAGGGGUUGGUCAAACCGGCGUGCGCGAGAGAAAGGACCAAAGGAGAGGGGCAGCUUGGCGUAAGGAGGAAGCUGCAAUUUGGGGGAAAGAAGUCCACAAAAUUAUCCACUCAAUUAAAUGCUUGGUCUCACAAGCCUUCAAGUUAAUCCCCUUUGUCCCCCAAUCACUUUCAUGCAUCUAAAUCCCCACAAAUAACAAGUUUUGAUGCCAAAUGUUGCAGCCCCCUUCAAGCUUACGAAUUUCCCUCAAAUAGACUUCAAUUUCUUCACCAAUUGAUGUCCAAUUUUGCUGAGGAGGAAGCCCACACAAUUUCUACAAUUUCCCUUCACCAAGUAGCUCACUUUGGAGGCCAAAAAUCCCUUCAAUUUGGCACAUCCAAAUUUCCGUUCUUUUCCGAAUCGUCCGAAUUGAUUUUCCGUAAGAAUCUUGAACUCGCCGAAAAUUCUUCGAAAGAUGAGUCAACAUUCCUAAAAUAAAUCGUGACAUGAAAAAACUUUUAUUUUCUAAAAUCAAGUUCAACUUCACGGUUAAUUUCAAUCUGGUGCGAUUUUAGCGUGUCCUAACCUACCGGGUAGCGUUUAGAAAUUUUUAGCGCAUUUGACCUGUGCUCGAUUAUUUCGAGCCACAUUGUGCAUCUUCGACACAUUUGCAACUCUCAAUUGUUGUGAAAAUCUCAAGAUUUCAAAUACGGACACAGGGUACAAAAAUGAUAGAAAAAUCGGUCUAGUGCCGUUCAAUAGAAAUUUUGCAAUUAGGUGCAAUCACCCACACACUAAUCACAUACCUCUAUCGAAUCAACCUAUCUUCAAUUUCUAAUUAAUUUUGACGGUGCCGUAAUGACUCUUUCAGAUUAGCACAGUCGAGUUGGUUGAAUUCUCAAGUCUAUUGCAUUUAGAUUCCUUAAUAGCUUCACCUAAUAGGCCAGUUAUCCCGUGAGUGAUCAGCUCAGGGAAAAGAACUAUAGACGCAUCGAUGAAAAGCCCAACUUAUUAAAUUGAAAACAAAACUUGAAAUUCAAGAUGUCACUGUGGCACCCCUCGAACGGCCCCCGAUCCGUUAUGGUCGCCACAAUGCACUUACCUUUCUCUUGUCUUGACAAUAUAUCACUCUAAUAGCAUAGAAUCAUAAUAAGCCCAUAACUCCUGGGGGUUUAUAUCUUUUGAUCAGUCCCUACACAGAAAUAUGGCGGAAGCAUAUCCAACAACUCCCUUCCCUAUAUUUAGAAAAUGAUGCACACCAACUAAACAUUUAUAGAUAAAAGCCGAACACUUUUAUUUACUUAAACCAGACGGACAUCAUUCAUCGGUAUAUCAAAAUGCCAUAGUCUUCUAUAAUCGGCUAUACUUUAAAAGAUGACCGACAUCUUUUCCAACAAUCGUAUACUUAAAGUCCAUUAAUCAAUGUCAACGUCCAAAAGUUCCUUCCUUUGUUGUCCUCCUCCUCACAAUCAUAUCCAACCACUCGAUCCAUUUGCUAGUGGCGGUGAUAGUAGAGGCAUCUUAUCUAGUCUGAAAUGUUAGUCUCCAAAAUGGGUGAGUACAACCACUCAGCAGUAAAAGAUUCAUUAAGUUAUAUCAUGCAAUACCAUCAAUAUCUAGAUUCAUACAAGAUAGACAAGAUAGGCAAUCAAUGAAUAAGUAUGCAUCCAAACCAUAUAACUCUUCAAUGCAAUGAUCAGUGCAUUUCCAACCAAUAAGAUGCAUCAUGUCCAAUCACACAAGUCCUGAUCAUAGGGUCAAACUGUAAUGACACGUCUCAUUUCAUGCCAUACAAUUUAGUCCUAUAACCAGACCACACACACACUUAGUGGAACCAUCAGUUUUAACAUUCAAAAGGUUUCACCCCCCAGAGGACCAAUGUUUGUGUCCUUAUGGGCAAUCGCACCCAAUUCUAGCGUCGCGAAGUCCUCCGGUACACACCUCUGAACAUCUCGCAUCCCACCUGGCAUCACGAGGAAUUGCUGGGGCUCGCCAUAAAAAUUGGUUAUCCAUGCCUUCCGGGAAUUAUGUACCGACAUACCACCGGGCAUCCGGCACACACCUCCAAGCAUCUCUACUCCCGAGGAAAAUCCUCUGGGCAUGUAUUCAAAAUACAACUAGGCAUCCAAAGGGCAUCAACUCAUUCAAACCUUUGGGCAUUCUAACUCCCGGGGCAUCGUUGACCCGAGGGUCCAACGGCAAUAAUUAACAUCUUAAUUUCCAAAAACACUUUUCAAUGCAAUGACAAAAUGUCUCUUGAGUCUCAUCACAUCUCAAUAUUGCAUAAUAUGCCAAUGACAGUAUCAUCAUGUCACAUAACAACCCAAGAUGCAUUCACUUUUGAAAUCAGUUGAGCAAAGUCUGAGUAAAACAGCUUAAAAACCAAAAUGUGCAGCUUUAAUGAAAAUUUCGAAAUAACCCCUAAAUGAACUCAGAAAAUUAUGAAAUUUGGAUAUGUUGUAAAAAAGACCUAAAGGAAAAUGUUUCAUGAAGAACACUAAGUCAGAUUCACUGUAUAUCAAGAGCAAUAAUUUCGAUAUUCCCUACUAACACUCUGUAAUAAUUUCCAGAUUUAACAUUUACAAGAAAAAUCAUUUCACCGACCAAAACUUGUCCAUUUAUUCUCAAUUUUUGAGAUGUUAUUCCUACAGAUGUUCUCUCCAACUUUCAUUAAGUAUUCGAAGUUCAACUCUAUCUAGAUAAAUACAGAAAAUUCGUGGAAUCAUCAAAGGUCAGGCUGUUUUUCUACGGAACAGUUUUCUGUUUUAAAAUGAAUUGCUUCUAUCUACACAUUCUUGUAUUCAUAUAGCUAUAACUAUGAGUUAAACUCAAUCUAAUGGAUGUUAUAUUAAGUAAAAUGAUUAUAUUCCUUAUCUUCAUCUCUAGAAAUUAAAGCUACACAAUAUAAACGAUUUUCUAUCCAUGUUCAUCUAAGACAGAAAACAUCUAAUGCUUUUCUCUUCAUUUCCAGCUCAAUCAAACCGUUUGUUUUACUACAAAUUCAUCAUGUAGCAUCUCAACACACUUACACAGCAUCUAGGAGUAGUCAUAGUACAUUUUCACUCACCUAGAACCCUUCACAACUCGGUACAAAGCACGUACUCACAUCUUGGCUCAUGUAACUCAACAUGCAUCACCUUUUCUAAACUCAACACACACCAUUACACCUCACUCAACAAUCACAGCUCACUCACAAUUAGAUUUCGAGACAUGCAAGCCUCAAAUGCAACAUGCAAUGACUUAUAGCCUCGAUCUAGAACUUAUCUAGCUCAAUCCAACAUAAAAUAACAACUUCGCAUUCAAUCCUCCACAGAUUGGCAUUCAGUUUUUAUCUCAACCCUUCCUCAAGUCUAUUGCACUACACUAGAUAGCAACAGCACUACAUCACAUAGAUUGAUGAACUUCUACUUGCCUCUAAUUCCUUAGCUUGACAGCAAGUAAAACCGAAAGCUUGGGCUUGGCUCAACAGCGACAAAGACCGGCGGCGACAACGGUGGCAGCUCGAGCACGAGCACGGGUGAUCUCUUCUUCCUCACACUGUGCACUCACUCACUGCUUGCAUCUCUCUCUCUCUCACUUGCUCACUCGCUCGUUCGGUCUCUCUCUCUCUCUCUGCUCAAAAUUCUAUUCGGUUCACUCUCUUUCUUCACCAUCAAAACCGAGCUAAUAAUUCCCUCAAAAUUAAUUAGACUAAUGAUGAUAUUUGCAUGUAGGGGUUUCGAUGGAUGCAUGCAUGGAGGACAGGUGGGGGAGACAUGGCAAUUUUCUUUGGCCACUUGUAGACACGAACGAAGCAGCUGUUCCAAGCUCCUCCUUCGCUGGCCACCGAAAUGGAGAGCAACGUGGCUGCUGCUGGGUGCCCCUCGGUCAACCACCCACCUUGGUUGACUCCUCAACGUUCGUAUGGGCUGCAUGGGCGUGGGCUGUGGGCUCUUCAUUCCAACGUGAUUAUGGGCUGUAGACGUGGGCCAUAUACGUGAGCUUCAUGUUGCUGCAUGGGUCAACAAUCUUAUUUUGUUGACUGGUUGGACAACAAAGAAAGGCGCGGCUGCAAGUCUUGUACGUGCAUGGGAUAUUUGGGUUGGCAUGGUCCUCAUGCGUAAGAAGAAACGGCCAGCUCGAGGCGGCCGAUUUUUUUGGUGCUCCUCACCAACGUNNNNNNNNNNNNNNNNNNNNNNNNNNNNNNNNNNNNNNNNNNNNNNNNNNNNNNNNNNNNNNNNNNNNNNNNNNNNNNNNNNNNNNNNNNNNNNNNNNNNNNNNNNNNNNNNNNNNNNNNNNNNNNNNNNNNNNNNNNNNNNNNNNNNNNNNNNNNNNNNNNNNNNNNNNNNNNNNNNNNNNNNNNNNNNNNNNNNNNNNNNNNNNNNNNNNNNNNNNNNNNNNNNNNNNNNNNNNNNNNNNNNNNNNNNNNNNNNNNNNNNNNNNNNNNNNNNNNNNNNNNNNNNNNNNNNNNNNNNNNNNNNNNNNNNNNNNNNNNNNNNNNNNNNNNNNNNNNNNNNNNNNNNNNNNNNNNNNNNNNNNNNNNNNNNNNNNNNNNNNNNNNNNNNNNNNNNNNNNNNNNNNNNNNNNNNNNNNNNNNNNNNNNNNNNNNNNNNNNNNNNNNNNNNNNNNNNNNNNNNNNNNNNNNNNNNNNNNNNNNNNNNNNNNNNNNNNNNNNNNNNNNNNNNNNNNNNNNNNNNNNNNNNNNNNNNNNNNNNNNNNNNNNNNNNNNNNNNNNNNNNNNNNNNNNNNNNNNNNNNNNNNNNNNNNNNNNNNNNNNNNNNNNNNNNNNNNNNNNNNNNNNNNNNNNNNNNNNNNNNNNNNNNNNNNNNNNNNNNNNNNNNNNNNNNNNNNNNNNNNNNNNNNNNNNNNNNNNNNNNNNNNNNNNNNNNNNNNNNNNNNNNNNNNNNNNNNNNNNNNNNNNNNNNNNNNNNNNNNNNNNNNNNNNNNNNNNNNNNNNAAGGUGAUUAACGUUAAAGAGAAAACGAACAAGAAAAAACAAAACAAGAAGAGAUCAUUCACAUCAAGGUUUUUCUGUCUGCUCAAGCAUUUGGCUAAAGUACACUUCAAGUGCCAAAAGUUGGUAUAAAUGGACACUUAAGUGCAAAAAAUUACAAAAGUGACACUUAAGUGCCAAAAUUGGAAAGAAAUGGAUCACUUAAAUGCCAAUCUGGCCAAAAUCCGGCCAAAAUGCUGAUGUGCGCAAUUUUCGGCAAAGUAAGUGCAAAACGGCGUCAUUUUGCAUGCUGACGUGGCCAGAUAAUGAAAAAAUGACGUCAUUUUGGUGCUAACAUGGUAAAAAUUAAUAUAAAAAUUAAUUAAAUUUAAUUGAAAACUAAAUUUAUUUAAAAAUUUUGAAAAUACAAAUACAAAUAUUUUUUUAAAAAAAAAGGUGGGAGGGAGGCGGCGGCAGCUGAGGGCUCAACCCUCAGCUGCCUCCCUUUUUAAAUAUUUUAAAUAUUUUUAUUUUAUUUUAAAAAAUUUUAAAAAUUUUAAUUUUUAAUUUAAUUUAAUUUAAUUUUUAUAUUAAUUUUUUACCACAUUAGCACUAAAACAACGCCGUUUUGCACUCGUUUCGCCGGAAAAUUGACAUAUUAGCAUUUUGGCCGGAUUUUGGCCAAAUUAAUACUUAAGUGAUCCAUUUUGCUCUGUUUUUGGCACUUAAGUGUCCCUUUGUACCAACUUUUAGCACUCCAAGGGUCUUGGUGUCUAAGCAUUUUAUUUAUCAUUUUGAUAGUGUUACUUUCUUGUUUCCAUACUUGUAUGAUCAUCCAUCGCAUGUAAGUGGUUUAAGACCAAAUCAAUCAAGGCUACUUGCAAAACAUUUUGUGAAAUAAAGUGAAGGUGCCAAAGGGAGAUAGAUUUAUCUAGCAUAAUCAAGUCCCUUAUCCAUGAAAUCUCUAGUUCACAAAAAUAAAGUGUUCUCUCACAUUUUACUCGGGUUUUUAAUCAACCAUAGUAGACUAAUGGCAAUUCUUAAAUGAAUUGAAUUGGAUGUCUAAAUAAUUUAAUUAAAACCCCAAAGUUGUGAUUGUUGGGGGUUUGAGAGAACCCGCAUUAGACAAUGGUACCGUCUUUUUAAUGAGUUACCAUUUGUACUUGCAUGAUAAUCCAUUAACUUUCUCUUAGUGGUCCACCUCUAAGAAGGUCAUGACAAUUGGCAAUUAGAGAGUGGCAACUAAAUUAAAGAAGGAAAAGUGAGCUUGUUGAAUUAGAGACGAGUUGACCGAGCAACCGCAUGGAAACAAUGAAUACACACUCCUCAUUCAUCCGAUUGCACUAAAAUGUUGAGGGGAGUUAGUCAACAAGCGGACGAAGCUUGUGUAAAAUUUUUAGACCAAACGGAUAUUGAAAAUUUCAGUUUUGAAGGCUUGACAACAUUGUCUUUUUGUCCAGGCAUCUUGGUGCAAGAUCAUCCAACAUUCCUUGAAAAAAUGCAAAUUUAGGAACUAUUCUUGAAACUAGCAUGUGAGCCAUAUAUUGUUUGAAAAUAGAUGUAAAGACACUCGUCGUGAUACUUUUUUUUUCUCAAAAUUGUCAUGAUACUUAUCUUGCAAUUGUUUUGAGCUUGUUUGGGUCUUCAAUCAAUCAAGAGAAGUUGGGUAUAAAUUACUAGGAAGAAAAUUGAGUCCAAGUGUGAAUUGGUGCUGUUAUAGCUCUUUGGAGUGAUCAUAAUUUUUCCCGUAGAGCCUGAGGUUCUCAUACUACAUUGUCCCUAGUCGAAGAGUAUAGGAGAUUCCUAAUAUUCAUCAUAUGCACGGAUGACCUAUGUGAGCUGAAACCUUACUAUUAAUGAAAGAUCAUGCCUCUAGUUUAUAUGUGCAAAAGGAAUGCCACGAGAAAAAUGUAUGCAAUGUUGUAUAAACUGAUUGUUUUGUUUUUAUCAUGGGUCAAAUUUAUGAGAUGCAAAUGUAUGAUAAAUUCAUUAGUGAAAUUCAGGUGUCGACAUCAAAAGUCCUUUAAAUAGUGAAGAUUGGAAAUUUCGAUCAAAUUGAUGAUUGGACUUAUAUAUAUGAUGCUUUUGAAAAAGACAAGCCAUCUUACUAAGGCAAAAGUUGUUGGAGUUAUCCCACAUUGAUUAUGGAAUUUUUUAGUGGUUAGUUUAUAAAUAUGAGAGAAAGUCUCACCCUUUGGGUAAACGUUUGAGAUGAGAGAAGCGCAAGAUUACCAAACAUUGGUGUUAGAGCCAAUAGUAGAUUGGCGGCCCCCAAUCUGUUCAAGAUAUCUCAAGAAAAGGAAUCUAGUUACCAACAUAGUUUCUAGGCAAUGUGUGUUGUGGUAUAACACAAUCCCAAUGGUAGUCUUCAUGGUUCGAUUCAAAGAAAAAAAAACAUGGAUAAAGGUGAGGUGUUGGAGAUUCAAGUUAAGAUUAGUUAAAUAUAAAAAGAUACCUAAGUUAAGGGGAACAAACCUAACAAUGAGCUCAUAUGUAAUGGGGAGAUUGUUGAGAUAUACAUGUGAGUUAUCUCAAAGAAAGGAAUCUAGUGACUAACACAGUUUCCGGGCAGUGUGUGUUGUGGUGUUGCAACGCAAUCAAAUGGUAGUUUUCAUGGUUCGGUCCGAUGAAAAAGAAUAUGGAUGAAGGUGAAUGUUGGAGAUUCAAGUUGAGAUAAGUUAAUGUAGAAAGAUACCUGAAUUAAGGGGGAACAAACCUAACAUGGAGCUCACACGUGAUGGGGAAGAUUGUUGAGAUACAUAUGUAAGUAGGAAUUUAGCGACUAACACAGUUUUCAGGCAAUGUGUGUUGUGGUGUUGCAACGCAAUCCAAUGGCAGUUUUCAUGGUACGGUCUGAUGAAAAAGAACAUGGAUGAAAGUGAAUGUUGGAGAUUCAAGUUGAGAUAAGUUAAUAUAGAAAGAUACAUGAAUUAAGGGGGAACAAACUUAACAUUGAGCUCAUACAUGAUGGGGAGAUUGUUGAGAUACAUAUGUAAGUUGUGUUAGGAAAGUCCCACAGUGGAGAAUUGUAGUGCAAAGUAAUUAAUAUAUCUAGCUGGCUAAUAACUCAUUGCUUUAAGCUUUUGAAUGAAGAUAUGUAUAAUUAGAUAUGUUAAUUGGCUUAGACUUGGGCUCUUUCUUAGCAAUCUCCUAGGUUAAAGAUAUUGGACAUCUGUUAUACACUCUCAACAAAAGUAAACACAUAAUUAUCCGAUUUUGAUAGGACAAAUUAGUUGAUAAACCAAUUCGUGAAACCCAAGAAAGAACCAGACAUCAUAAUUUUGUGGUACCGAAGUAAAGUUGUAGGACUUAAAUGCACAAAUUAAAAGUUACGGAUUUGAUUGCAUAAUUCGUGUAAGUUGUUUGACCAAAAAUGAAAUUAUUCCAAUUAAAUAAGAAUCGAAUUUAACCUAAUACGAUGAAAUGGAUGGAUCACCGGACUUACGUGACCAACAUGUUCACUCCUAUCCAUAGCCAAAAGAUAUAUUAAUGUUUUCUCCUUUUUAUAUUGUGGACGCAAAUAAUAGCAUCUCCUGCUUUUUCUUUAUUGUUUUGGGUUGCUUUCUUGUGAACAGGAUAAGAGUGUAUAUUAAUNNNNNNNNNNNNNNNNNNNNNNNNNNNNNNNNNNNNNNNNNNNNNNNNNNNNNNNNNNNNNNNNNNNNNNNNNNNNNNNNNNNNNNNNNNNNNNNNNNNNNNNNNNNNNNNNNNNNNNNNNNNNNNNNNNNNNNNNNNNNNNNNNNNNNNNNNCCCCUCAGCCCCCCGCAUGGCCCGUGAUCGGCAAUAUCCUCGACCUCGGGACCAUGCCGCACCAGAACCUCCACAACUUCCGAGCCAAGCACGGGCCUGUGACGUGGUUGAAGCUCGGUUCCGUGAACACCAUGGUGAUUCAAUCAGCUCAGGCCGCGGCAGAGUUCUUCAAGGGCCAUGACUCCGCGUUCGCAGACCGCAAGUGUCCCCAUGCAUUGACAGCUCUCGGUUAUGACCAAGGCUCGCUCGCUAUAGGUCGUUACGGUAGCUACUGGCGCGUUCUCAGGCGUCUCUGCUCUGCUGAGCUCCUCGUGACCAAGCGCGUCAACGAGACAGCCCAUCUCAGGCAGAAGUGCGUCGACAACAUGGCCAUGUAUUUAGAGGAAGAAAUGGCGGCUAAACAAGUAACAACAGGUUAUUUCUUAAGUGCUUCGUGUUACUUUGGACGUUUGCGUUUCAUGUGUAACCUUGAAUGACCGAAAUAAUAGUUUUCUUCUUCAAAGGGAAAAAAAAAAAAAAGCAACAGAGAGAGAGAAAGGAACGUUUAAACUCCCUAUAAAAUAUCAAAAGAGGAUAUGUUGGGACUUCUGCACCGUUAGGAGUUAACGAUCCACGCUGUCAAAAGAAUCGUAUUUCAGUAAAGAACGCAACCUGCAACUAGAUCUACCUAAGAAAACAUUGGGCCUGCUUUUUACGGAUAAAGGAACCGGCAGUGUUUAUUUUUUGUAAAAUGUAUGAUUGAGUUCUAAAAUCUUCUUCUUCUUUUUUUCUUUUUUCUUUUUUCUACUAUUGAGUUCUUAAAUUAUACAUCUUUUAAUUUGAGUUGGCCCUCCUCUUAAAUAUGCUAAUGCAUUGGUUACGAUGAAUAUUGCAUCCCCACCAUAUGUUAGCACUGACUAGACUAACUAAUUAGGGAGACAUGAAUUCUUUUUUACGUGCCAAGAUGGGUAAGAAAGAUUAUAAAAAUAAAGAAAUCUAAAUCCAAGUAAACAUUCACCAACCCAAGCGUUGCCUCAAUUUAUUGCAUGACCCAACUCACCUCCAUCCUAGUUAUUCAAUUUGUCUAUGUCAUUCUAUUUUUAGGUUUUUUAAGAAUUCACUUAAGACACCAUGUUGGUUUUCAAUGAGGACGUAACCGCCAUGUCAACAUUUAUAUCUACUUCUUUAAUGGAAGGACUAAAUCAAAGAAGAAGUUAUACGGCUCGAGGAUCUAAUUGCACAACAAAUUUAGGAACCUAAUUAGAACUUUUUAUAAAAGUUUAGGGACUGCUGGUACUUUUAUCCCUUUGUUUUGUUGCGGUAAUUGACAAAUUCAACAAAAUAGAUACCAGUGUAAAUAAUUCAAGUUGCCCAAGAGCUACUGGUGUUUAAAGUGCUAUUUAGUCAAACUUGCUUUCAUUCUUCUCGAGUUUGAGUCGAACUAGAGUGGCUCUACAGUUGAAUUAUGCCAAGCUCGAGUAGCUUUACCAUUGAAUUGGGUCAAACUCCAGCAUGAUCAAGUAGUUGGGUUUUAUAUAUCUUCUGAUGCAUUGAUCAAGUAUAUCCCCAUUAUUAUGCAAGAGAAUGCAAAAGUAAACUUUCCACUUUAUUUUAUUUGUAGAAGCCAAGUUGGAGUUUUUAAGAGUUCAGAUGCUAAUUUAGUUUUGUUAGUGAAAAAUAUCCGAAAACAAGCUUAUCAAGAACUUUAUUAAGUUCGACUUGAGCUUGAAAAAUCCAACUUUUGUCUUGAACAUUGCAGCUUGGAGGUUGAUUCCUCCAUCCCUCCUUAAACUAGUUGCAAAACUUGGUGCAAUAAUUUUUUUUUUCAUGUCUAAUUCAUUACGUUCUGCUAUACAUUCUCUAAUUAAUCGUUCAAAAUUUCUAAUUUUUAUGAAGAGCAAGGAAUCGACUUAUCCCACUUCCUCUUUCUCAUGACAUUUAAUGUGGUGGGUAAUAUGGUACUCUCGCGGGAUCUGUUGGACCCAAAAUCAAAGGACGGGCCUGAGUUCUUUGAUGCCAUGAACUGGUUCAUGGAAUGGGCUGGCAAGCCCAACGUAGCCGACUUCCUGCCGUGGUUGAAAUGGCUGGACCCGCAGGGAAUCAAGGCAAGCAUGGCGAAGGACAUGGGUCGAGCCAUGAAGUUUGCUGAAGGUUUUGUAAAAGAGAGGUUGGAGGAGCGAAAGCUGAGGGGAGAGAUGAGAACGACAAAUGACUUCUUGGAUGCGGUAUUGGAUUAUGAGGGCGAUGGAAAAGAAGGCCCUCGCAAAAUCUCUUCCCCGAACGUCAUCAUAAUAAUUCUGGUAUCCUCUCUUCCACUCUUGGCAAAAAAGAAAUGAUUAACAUCUUAAGGAUAUUAGGUCCAGUUCAGUUUGUAAAGUGGGGUGGUAAACUUAAUUGACAAUUAACAAGCAGGUCAUAUCACGCGUCAUUCUCUACAAACGCGUGUUUUCGUAGAACAUUCUAGCACUAGAUUUUAUAAUAACUAGCCUUUUCCAAUCAACUAUCUAUGAAAACAUUUUACACUUUAAGUUUGUAGAGAACGUUGCAUAACAAAAAGCUACUGCUAUUAUAAAGAUGUUACCAUUCUUUACUGAUUUAGCCAAUCUGUGCUCAUUUUGUAAUAACUAGCUAAGAAUGUUCUACGAAAACAUAAGAUUGAUUUAUGGUUAUUUUUUAUAAAAAGAAAAUCUAGUGCUAGAAAGACACAUUGAAUUAUUUAUUAAAUUAAGUCGAUGUGAAUUUGACUGAUUAAUAGAACAUGUUGGAUAUCCACAAUGAAUGAGUGAAUAGUAUGUUGAUCAGAUGUGUGAUUUAAUAUUGACUAUAAAUAUAAUCGAUGCUCAAACACCAGCAUUGGUUAUAAGAAGCCAAUAAAAUUAAGUUGACAAGGCAUGAACAGUUUUUGUCCAUGGACUUAUAAAUGAAAGUCAAGUUAAUGUCGGUCGAGUCGAGAAGUAUUGACAUUGGCUCACAAAAUUUGGUCGAAUCAAACCGACUGCAAGGAUAAAACUAGCGCGAACAAUUAUUGUAGUCAAACUUCUAGGACGGAACAAUUUUUAAAGUUGUUGACCGGCAGUUGCAGUGAAGCAAUCGUUUAUAGCCGAGACUACAAAAAGAGCACAUCUUAAGGGAAAAAGACGCACAAACAUAAAAAGAACACACUUCACUUUCUUGCCAUUCAUUUUCAGCAACUUAAUUCUUGCCAUUCCAGUUGUUUAUUUCAUUUUUUCCAAUCAAACACCUGCUCUUGCCCUUUUAUAAAUAUUUCUGUUGUCAUUAGUGGAUUCAUUUCGUCAAUUUUAGGAUCCAAUCAUCAAAUUCUUGUUCCUUUCUUUAUGCGCAAUUGUCUGUCAAUUCGAAGCAUAGGAGCUGCUAUGUUUGACAAGGAUUGUAUCAGGUGAAGCAUGAUGAUUUUUACUAUUAAGCCCACGAUUUGAGGGAGUGAUUUUUGAGCGAACUGAAUAUCUUAAUUAUAGCAAAAGAAUCAACAUUGGUGGUAACCCUAGCAAGACAUGAUCUUGUACUAAAUGGGUCUAAUUGAUGGUGCAGGAAAUGUUUUUUGCUGGAUCAGAGACUACAAGCAGCACCAUCGAGUGGGCGAUGGCGGAGCUACUCCGCCAACCCGUGUCAAUGAAAAAAGCCAAAUAUGAGAUUAACCAGAUUGUGGGGUUGAACAGAAAACUCGAAGAAAGUGACACGGAAAAAAUGCCGUUUUUGCAAGCUGUGGUGAAGGAAACCCUAAGAUUGCAUCCACCAGUACCUUUGCUUCUCCCACGAAAUGCUAUAAAAGAAACCAAUUUCAUGGGCUUUGAUAUACCCAAAGAUACCCAGGUUUUCGUGAAUGCAUGGGGCAUUGGAAGAGACCCAGAUGCUUGGGAGGACCCAUCAGCAUUCAAACCAGAGAGGUUUCUAGGAUCUAAAAUUGACUACAAAGGUCAAAACUUUGAGCUAAUUCCAUUCGGAUCAGGCAGAAGAAUGUGCGUCGGACUUUCGUUGGCAGAUAGGGUGCUUCAUCUCGGUCUUGCGAAGUUGCUGUAUCAUUUCGAUUGGGAACUCGGUGAUGGUUUGACUCCAGAGACCCUCGACAUGAGAGAGCGGGUGGGAAUAACACUACGGAAGCUCCAUCCUUUAAAAGUGAUACCUAAAAAAUGUAGUGUGUGAGGUCUUUAGAAUAUAUUAAUGGUAACUAGUUAUAUUCCUUACUAGUUAAUAAGGAAAUGACAAGACGUGAUGUCAUGUAUCCAAAACAAGCAGAAGAUGUUAAGUUUCAUGAACAUAAUUUCAACAUAUUAUUACCCUAAGGUUGUUGGUGUUGAUGUUAUUGUGUCGAGGAUUAAUGAACCUACCCAAGGAAGACUUCUUAAGAAUGGUGUUUUUACUCCACAAACACCUCAAGGAAAAUUACCAAAAAGUUCUUAAACCUAUUAUAUUUUUUUUUUAUCAAUUUAGGAUGUGUUUGUUUCACGAAAAACGUAAUGUUUUUGGAAAAUGUUUUCCGGGAAACCAUUUUCCACGAAAAUGGUUAAUUUUCCUUCGUUUGGUGAUACGUGACUAAAAGUAUUUUCUAGUGUUUGGAUCGCAUUUGAAAAAUGAUUGAAUGGCAUUUGAUCUAACAAUUGACAACAGUGUGCCUCUUACUUCCAAAUUAAUUUGUUGGAUCCAUGUUACUUUAUAAAAGGAUUUUCUAAAAUAAUACAUAAUAUUUGUGUUGACCAGAAAAAUGAUUGAAUGACAUUUGUCCUAACGAUUGGGCAUGCUGAUAUCCUGGCCUCGAGCUUGAUUUAUCGAGCUUGAGCAUGGUCGACUUCACAAAGCUCGAAAUCGACCUCAAAUUCUUCAAAUUGCAAGACUAAGUACUACAUCAUGUAGCUAUUUGCAGCAUCUAUACAUGUAUCCAUACAAUCCUUGAUUACUUGAUUCGGCCUGUGAGUUAUUCGAGAGCAAUCUAAAAGCUGGAGAUUGAGUCAAGUAAACCAUUUUCAAUAGACGUACUUGCAUGAUUUCGGCAAUUCAUGUGGCUCCGGCGAGCUUGGGGCCAUCUCACAGACCAACGUGUCCCUCCAAUCCGCUGGCACCACCUUGAACAAAUUGAAAUCUGAGAAGUAGAGCACCUUCCUCCCCUUCUCGCUCAAGUACCACUCCCUCCUUCCCUCACUCUCAUGGAACCUCUGCACCCCUUGUGACAUCCUGAUUUUCUGAUUCUGUUUUCGAUUGAAUGAAUUAGGCUUUUUAUCGACACGCCUAUAGUUCUUUUUCCUGAGUUGAUCAUUCAUGAGAUAACUAGUCUAUCAGGUGAAGCUGUUAAGGAAUCUAAAUGCAAUAAACUGGAGAAUUCGACUAGAAAUCAACUGCUUGACCGUGCUAAUCUGCAAUGAUUAAUACGACACCGUCAAAAUCAAUUAGAGAUCAAAGAUAGGUCGAUUCGAAAGAGAUAUGUGAUUAGUGUGCGGGUGAUUCCAUCUAAUUUCAAAAUUUAUGUCGAACGGCACUAAACCAAUUUUUCUGUCAUUUCUGUACUCUGUGCCCGUAUUUGAAAUCUCAAGAUUUUCACGACAACCGAAAGUCACCAAUGUGUUGAAGAUGUAUAGUGUGGCUCGAAAAUAAUUGAUCUAGGGUCAAAUGCGCUAAAAAUUCUUAAAAGCUACCCGGUAUGUUAGGUCACGCUAAAAUCGUGCAUGAUUGAAAUUAACCGUGAAAUUGAACCCGAUUAAAUUCUGUCAUGUCACAAUUUAUUUUAGGAACAUCGAUUCAUCCUCUGAAAAUUUUUCGACUAAUUGGGAAUUUUGGCGAAAAAUCGAAGUUGGGCCGUUUUGGACCAGAAAAAUUAGAUGGCCAUUUUUUGUUGCGCUUUUGACUUUUAAGUUGGACUAAUUGGCAAGGAAAAAUGUGAAAUAUGAUGUGGGCACCUUGGCUGAAUUUAUGGGCAUCAAUUUGAGUCCAAUUGAAGAGAAAUUGAAGUAAAAUUGAAGAGGCAAAUGUCCAAAUUCGCAGCCACCAGGGGGGGUAGCAACUUUUGGACCCUUUGGAUGACUUCUAUGAGAAGCUUUGGUGUAGAAAUUGCUGCUGUGGAUAGGGCUGAUCAAGUGGGGGCCAAGCAAUGAGUGAAUGGGAUAUUUGUGAAUACUUUGUGGCCAUUUGGUAGCCCCCCUUCAAGCUAUAGCCUUCUUCUUCUUCCUUAGCCUUGCUUUCUCCGUUAGUGUUGUGUUUUGAGCUCAAGAAAACCAGAUAACCAGCUAGCCAGCCCCUCACACCGUCAACCACCCAUCCUAGCCAUCCGAGCACCACCGAGCACUGCCCGAGCUCCCGUACCUGCUGUCCCGCUCGCGCGCCUAUCUGCACAUCCCCACCGCUUGCGCUCGUCACCCAUGCCCUGCUCGUCGAUUGUUGGAGCUAAUCCAGCCACCUACCGUCACCGUCGAGCCCCUCCACCGCUCGUCCAAGCCGCCUAGUCCACUUUCUCGCCAUUCCAGCCCGUUUCAGCCGUGAAGCCCUUCAGUCCAACCCUUGGAUAGAACCGAAGGCCCAGCUCUAGCAGUGAGCUGUUGGGAUGUUUUUCGGGCCCUUUCGGACCUUCGUUGGUGUCGCUAUAGGCUAGGUUCUCGCCUGCCUUGGUGUCGCCGUCACUGUGAACUCAUCGGCCCUCAAAAUCAGUGAGUUUACUUGCUAAACUUUGCUUAGGGAGUUAAUUAUACUUGAGUGUUGAUUAGCUUAAGUUAAGUAUGGCUUAGGUGGUUAGUUUAAAUAAAUUAGUGAUUUAAUUGCUUAAUUAUAAUAAUUAUGUGGUUAGAUUAGAUUAGUUAAGGGUUAAUUAGAUUGUAUUAUUUAUUGAGCAUGGUGCAUUAUUUUUCUAGGCCCGUUUAGGUAGUUAGAUUAGCAUUAUUAGGCCUAAGUUGGUAUUUAUCUAUUUAAUUUGUAUUUAUUAAUUAAUUUUUUUAUUUAUUUAAUUAUUUAAUCUUUUCCAAAAAUUAUACCGGAAUAGUCGGUGACCGGAAUUUCGUGCUAAUUGCAGUGGUGCACUUAGUUUACGCAAUUGAUUGUUAAAUUGUCCAAUUGAGUGGUGAUUGUGAAUUUUGAGUAUUUAUUUCAAAAUUGUGAAAAUUUGGUAUUUAAUCAGAAAAUACCGAGCAUCGGUUUUUAACAUCAAAAAUGUUUUUAGGUACUAUAUUAAUUAGUGAGAUUUUUAAAAAGGAAGAUAUCGCAUUUUUGGCCCAAACUAACUAUGUACCCAUAUACAAUUAUUUUACUUUGUGUUUUUAAUAUGAAAAAAAAAAAAAUAGGUCAAGUUCAUUAUUUUAAUUGAAGCAUUUGAGUGCAAAGCACAAUGUCCUUGGCCGAGAUUGAUUGAUCGUAUGAUGGUUAAGUGAACCCGUCCCCGAUGUGCGUUGGUAAGACGUUGCCCCUAUAUAGGAUUCCCCUAGACAACGGAUACCAGUCGCAGUAGAUUCUAAACCAAUGCUCCUUCGAGAAUGCCGUCUCGAUGUGCGUCGGUGGAUGUUGCUAUGCUCAAGGGGGGAGACAAAGCCUGCCUACGCUAGAAGACCAAUGUGUGUCGGUAGAUUGUGUAUAUGCGGGCAAUAAUCAAUUGGAACGUAUGAUUAAUUGAAAUUGACGCACCGGAUUUUUAGAUAAGAUUGUGUGGCAUGGUAUAGGACAUGUCAUAAUGAUUUGGCCUUAUAAUCGGGACUCCUGUGAUCGAUUGAUAGGUUGAUUGAUUGAUUGAUUGAUUGAAAUGUGAAUUGAGACGUUCUAAAUGAUCGAGUGUUAUUACUAUACAUAUAUAAUAUAUGAAUUGUACUGACAUGCAAAAGGGAACUAAGGCGCCCAUCCUUGAGCGCGUGCCCAUCCAUCGGUGGUCGAUUAAAUUGCAAUGUCCUAGAACGCAUAGCCAACCCAUUCAUUUUAAUGCGCAUGUAGAAGCGAAUAAAUAAAUCCCCAGACAACACAAAGAUGGGAUAAAAAAGUAGGGCCAAAAUUUUGAAAACCACAACACACUUUUAUACACAGCAGACUAAGUCAUAUACAAUUCUAGUAUAUUAUUACAAGUCCUUUACGUGUUCGAACCCUCAACCAAAGACUCCGAGGUCUCUGGCUCCAGGGAACUCGGGUCUAUCACUACACCACCAGGAGGGUCAGCCGUACCCUUGCCAAAAGCGAUCUCUAGCACCGACAUAGGAAUCUCAAACUCUAAUAGGGGACCUUCUCUGGGUCCACCUCGCCCGUAACAAAACCACAAUUUGAAUUGAUGGGGUACCCUCUGGGGCAGACCCUCAUCAACCCAGAUAAUGAAUCUCACGAGUUCGUAGACCUAGGCUCCCAGGCUCCCAUGGAAGGAAAUCUGAGAGAUCUAUUCGGUGACCUUCUUCGGCUGGCCAAAACGCUCAAGAGGAGUAGUCAUCUAAGGACCUAAAAAUGUUGAGCCCACGAUGAGAUGAGACAAUGUCUUAGCAAGUUUACCCCCUAAACUCCGACUGGAAUGAAAUAUGCCUAAAGGCAGUCUAUGCACACACAAGAUAGAGGACUUACCUCGCCUUAGUUCAUUCCUGCAAGUUAGUAUAAUCCAUAUACUCAACCAAUCAAUUCAAUUCAGUUCAUCGAUCAGCUCAGUCAAAUUAUCCAACAAUCAAUCGAUUGACUCAAGUCGAUAUCAUCAGUACUAUUUAUCAAUUCGAUAUGACCACUGCUCACACAAACUAAAAUAGAUGGUCUUUGGUCUCACAAGUUGCAAUAUAUGGCCAUAAUUCUCAUAAGCUGAUAUAGAUAGAUAAUAGCUCACUCAAGCUGAUAAAUAUAAAUCAUGCUUCCACAAGCUAAUAAAACAAUCUUAUCUCACACAAGUAUAUAUAUAUAUAUCAUGCUCCCAUAAGCUGAUUAAACGAUCUUAACUCACACAAGCUGAUAUCACAAGCUGAAAUAUCGAGCUCAUAAGCUAAUAUAGUAUAUUGCUCUCGCAAGUUGACAUGCAAAAGGGACUCUCACAAAGCUAAUGAUAAAUAUGCUCGCACAAGCUCAAACUAAAUGGUCUCAUAAGCUAACAAAACACCGAGUUGAAAAUACCUGAUAAAGAUAAUCAUGUAUGGGUACACAGUCGGCUUGAGCCAAAAUUUCAAUAUAUUUCUUUUCAAAAAUCCCACUAUUUAUAAUUGUCCAUAAACACAUUUUUGGCAUUAUAAACUGACGCCCGGUAUUUUCUAAUUAAAUACCGAAAUUACUCAAAUUUGGGAUAAAUACCCAAAUUUACAAUUUCCACUCAAUUUGCACAAAUUAGCACUCAAUUAAAUAAAUCAAACAUACCAUUGUAAUCGGCAUGAAAUUCCGAUCACUGGCUAUCUUAGUAGAAUUUCCAGAAAAUAAUAAAUAAUUAAAUAAAUACUAAAAUUAAUUAAAUAAAUACAAUUAAAUACAAUAAAUAGGAACUUAGAUCGGAAAAGCCUAAUUAAACACUGAGACAGGCCCGGAAAAUUUCCGAACCAAUCUACAUAAAUAAUAUGAUCUAUCUAGUCUCUAAUUAAGUUGUUCUAACCACCUAACUUGCAUAAACGAAUAUUUAAAUCGCUAAUCCGUUCUAACUAACCACAUAAACCAUACUUAGCCUAAACUAAUUAACCCUUAAGAUCAUUAAUUCCCUAAGUAAAGUUUAGCAAGUAAACUCAUCGGUUUUGCGAUCCGGUGAGUCCACGAUGACGCAAUGCGGAGACGGGCAAUAAACUCCAAAGCGGCGACACCCGACAAGGCCUGGAAGUUUCCUAAAACGGGCCUUGAAGUCCACAGAAGCUUGCUGGCCUUCGAUUCUAGUUGAUGGGCCUAGAGGCUGCUCGAGUAGCCAAGAGCCGCAAGGAGUGACGGUGACGGUCCCAUGGGGCUAGCACGGGUUCGCACGAGGGCGCAACACAUGCGGAAGGCGAGCGGCGGUGACAAACAGUCUAGCGGUGGCUUGCAAUGGUAGGGGGUGGCUGGCUCGGUUUUCUAGUUCUUUGGAGCUUCAAGGUGCAGAGCUGGCAGAGCGGCCUGGGCGUCGCGGAGGGCUGCUUAGAAUGACGGUAACCGGCAGUAACGACAACGAGCUUUGUGCAGCAAGGGAGAUUGGCUGAUCAGGGGGCUGUUGCAGAGGUAGUGGCGCGGCAGCUAUGGACGAUGGCGAGCAGCGCGAAGGCAAAGGGCAACGCGGGCGCGGGCAAGGUGCGGUCGUUGGGCGUUAGGUACAGUUGCUGCAAGCGAGGCGGAGGCGGUGGGAUGUGGGCACGGUGGUGCGGCGCGGUUGAGGAAGAUCCGGCGGUCGGUUGCAGACGCGAGCAACGAGGGUGGAAGAGAUGAUGAAUAGUCCCCCAUUUACUGCGCUGCUUUCCCUUUCCUUUUCUCUCUCCCUCUCUUUGAUUUUUCUCACGAAAAUUCUCUACUCUCCGAAUUUUGCUCUCAAUUUUUUGAAAACCUACCUCCCUACACGAAAAUUAUGUCUCGCUUUUAUAGUGAUUUCCAGAUAGCCGCUUUCCAUGACAACUUUCAAGUAUCCAUCUUCUGUUGCAUUAAAUCAAAGCCUGGAAAUCAGAGCAUGAUUUCGCAAUCAGCUCGAUUUUGCUUUAUUCCUUCCAUUUUAUCGAAAUCUUUGCCCUUUAUUCACCUGAUUUUUCAAUUAUUUCUGCAUUUAUCAAAAUCUAAAUACUCAUCAGAAUUUCAAAUUUCGAUGCAUAAUAAAUCAAAUCAAUUUCCAAUUUUUUCCUUUUUUUUUCAUUUUUUUGUUAUGAUGCAUUUUUUUAGGGGUUAAAAUUAAUUCCUAAUUUUUAUGCAAAAAAUCAAUGACUAAGUCACCAAAAUGUAGGUCUCAACAAGGCAGCAGGCCCAGAAUCAAGCUACUGCCUUUGCCGCUGCCAUAGAAGCCGCCGCCACUGCUGCCAAUGCUGUUGUUGCUGCCGCAGCUGUUGCCGCACCUGUUGCUGCACCUACUACCGCGACUGCCGAUGUUCCAGUUGAGAACAUAGAGGUGUAGAGAGAAAGACCGAUCCACAAGCUAGUGAAGCAUUUUUUGAAACUGAGCCCUCCAAGAUUUAUGGGUACUGGAGACCUUGAUGCCGCUUCACUGUGGAUUCAGGAUUUGGAGAAAGCCUUUGUAAUCCUGAUGUGCACAAAAGCAGAGAAGGUAACCUUGGUAGUAUAUCAAUUGCAGGGCAAUGCCAACAUCUGGUGGAGAGCCGCCAGAGAGACAGUGUUUCUAGAAGGAGUGGUCUCGUUCAAAGAACAUUACUUUUCGAGGAACACCAAGGAGUAGAAAAUAGAAGAAUUCCUGCGACUCCGUCAGGGGUCAACGACUGUUGACCAAUAUGGGGUCAAGUUUGCAGAGCUAUCUCAGUAUGCUUCGAGACUGAUUAAAGAUCCUGAGGAGAAGGCUCAAAGGUUCAAGAAUGGCCUUCGACAAGAGUUGAAGCAGUCGUUGGUGCCAUUCAACUUAAUUGAUUACCGAGAAAUCUACCAUCGAGCACAGCUACUUGAAAGGAGCCUCACUGAGCAAGUCACCUCGCCUGGAUCAAGAUUUACUUCACACCGAGAAGGAAUUCAUCAGGGAAAGAGGCCCAUGCCUGGAAGUAGAUUCCAAAUCCUGCCCAACAGGAAGGGUGGAGUUAGCAAGUCUAGACCAAGACGAAUCGAGAUGUGUCGCCUUUGUGGAAGACCACAUGCUGUAAAUCAAUGCCCCUGAAGGAUGGGCACCUAUUUUGAAUUUGGCCAAUAGGGUCACAAGGCCAGAGAUUGUCCUAGUAGACCAAGAAGACAACCGCAAUUGCCGCCGCCGCCGCCGCCACCUAUGGGACAGAUCAGAGGAUAUGCGCCUCAAAACGCGCCGCAAGGAGGUCAACUGAGACCUCUAGUUCAGGGCACGGUGUAUGCCAUCACACAAGGUCAGGCAUAGCGCCUGACGUGAUCACAGGUAUGGUUUUGCUGAACGACCGUCCUACUUACACUUUAUUCCACUCAGGAGCAACUCAUCCCUUAUUGCCGAGCAAUAUGUUAAUUUGUUAAUAUUAAAGUCCUAUAUGUUGGAGUCGGCAAUUUGCAUAUCCACACCAUUUAAGGAUAAAGUUAUUGCUGCUUUGGGUUGUUCUCAUUGCAAGUUAACGAUUGGUGAGCGACUGGGGAAAAUAGACUUGUUAGUCCUAGCCAUGUAUGACUUUGAUUUGAUAAUUGGCAUGGACUGGCUCAACAAAACAAUGAGCUAUAAUGGACUGCUAUUACAAGGCAAUUCAAUUUGACCCGUUAAAGGAUGAGAGCUUCGAGUUUAUCGGAAAUCAAGGAGGACCCUCGAUUGUCCUGAUCUCGUUGCUAGAGGCAACUCGUCUGUUAGACGAGGGAGGUCAAGGUUACUUGGCAAUUAUUGUGGAUACAACAGUUGUGGAGCUAAAGAUGGAAGACAUUGUUGUGGUGUUAGAAUUUCCAGAUGUCUUUCCAAGGGAAUUGCCAGGAUUGCCACCAGAGAGAGAAAUUGAGUUCGUAAUCGAGCUAGCACCCGGAACAGAGCCAACCUCUAAGGCUCCUUACCGGAUGGCGUUUUCUGAGUUGAAGGAAUUGAAGGUGCAGAUGCAAGAGCUAUUGGAAAAAGGAUUCAUUUGUCCCAGUGUAAAGAAGAAACAUGGUUCGUUGCAUCUAUGUAUUGACUAUCGACAACUCAAUCAGGUAACGAUUAAGAACAAGUAUCCACUCUCGAGGAUUGAUGACUUGUUUAAUUAGUUGCAAGGAGCAUCGAAUUUUCAAAGAUCGACUUGAGGACAGGAUAUCAUUAGCUAAGAAUCAAGAAGGAGGACAUUCCAAAGUCAACAUUCCGUACUCAGUAUGGCUAUUACGAGUUCACGGUAAUGCCAUUCGGGUUGACGAAUGCUCCUGAUGCCUUCAUGAAUUUGAUGAACUGAAUAUUCAAAGAAUAUCUAGAUCAGUUUGUGAUCGUAUUUAUUGAUGAUAUUCUGGUGUAUUCAAGGAGUGAUGAAGAUCAUGAUAGUCAUCUGAGACUAGUGCUGCAGACACUAAGAGUCCAUCAGUUGUAAGCCAAGUUCAGCAAGUGUGAGUUUUGGUUGACUCAUGUUGCUUUCUUAGGUCACGUGAUUUUAGGCGAAGGAAUCUUUAUGGACUAGAGCAAGAUUGAAGCCAUGAUCAACUGGCCAAGACUGACUACAGUGACAGAGAUCAGAAGUUUUCUAGGUUUGGGAGGUUAUUACAGACGGUUUGUGGAAGACUUCUCAUCAUUAGCGUCGCCACUAACAAAACUCCUAAAGAAAGAAGAGAAAUUUGUGUGGACAGAUAAGUGCGAGAGUAGUUUCCAAGAGUUUAAGGAAAAGCUUACUACCGCACCUAUGCUGACCAUUCCAUCUGGCUCUGGAGGAUUUGAGAUCUAUAGUGAUGUGUCACUCAGAGGAUUAGGUUGCGUGCUGAUGCAACAUGGCAGAGUUGUUGCAUACGCCUCCCAUUAGUCGAGGCCUUAUGGAUAGCACUAUCCAACGCAUGACUUAGAACUCGUAGCGAUUAUUUUUGCCCUGAAGAUUUGGAGACAUUAUUUGUGCGGAGAAAAAUUCAAAAUCUUCACGGACCAUCAAAGUCUCAAGUACUUGUUCUCUCAGAAAGAGUUGAACAUAAGACAACGUCGAUGGAUGGAAUUACUGAAGGACUAUGAUUGUGAUAUUCUAUAUCACCUGGGAAAGGCAAACAAAGUUGUCGAUGCUUUGAGUCGAAAGUCUUCAGUUGCUCAUAAUUUGAUUAAAGAGUGGAACUUAAUCGAGAGAGCUCAAGAUUCAAUAUUUAAGUUUGAGGUAGGCCACCUUUCCAAUCUUAGGCCACCCUCAGAAUUGAACUGGAUGUCCAAAUCAGAAUUAAGCUACUCCAACCAACAGACCUAGAUGAGCAAAAGAUCCUUCAAGAGGACACUGAGAAAAGAAAGACUAACUUUCAGGUUUUUGAUGAUGGAACGCUGAGCUUCCGAGGACAAUUCGUUGUACUUGACGAUGUGGAGCUUAGAGAGAAUUUUCUAUUAGAAGCGCAUCGUAGCAGUUAUAGCAUCUAUCCCGGUAGUAUCAAGAUGUAUCCGAAUUUGCAUCUACACUAUUGGUAGUUUUGUAUGAAAGCGGACAUCGCCAAGCAUGUCGCCAAAUGUUUGACAUGUCAGCAGGUUAAAACUCAAUAUUGCAAGCCGAGAGAACUUCUGCAACCUCUCGAGAUCUCAGAAUGGAAAUGGGAGCAUAUCAUGAUGAAUUUCGUGACAGGACUACCAAGGAGUCAAAGAGGAAAUGAUUCGAUUUGGAUAGUGGUCGACAGACUGACGAAGUUGGCUCACUUCAUUGUAGUUCGAAAGGACCUCAGUUUGGAUAGACAUACAGAUCUAUACGUGCGUUAAGUGGUUCGGCUACAUGGAGUGCCGGUUACGAUAACUUCAGAUAGAAACCUGAGGUUUACCGCCACCUUUUGGAAGAGCUUACAGAGUGCCUUAGGUAUCAAGCUGUAAUACAGUACGGCAUAUCAUCCUCAAACGGAUGGCCAGUCUGAGAGGACAAUUCAAACCCUUGAGGACAUGUUGAGAGCUUGUGUACUAGACUUCAAAGGAAGUUGGAAAAAACAACUUCAUCUGGUGGAAUUUGCCUACAACAACAGUUAUCAGCAGAGCAUUCAGAUGACUCCUUUUGAAGUGUUGUAUGGCAAAGUAUGCAGAACAUCAGUGUGUUGGGAUGAAGUUGGGGAAAGAAAGAUUACAGGACCAGAGUUGGUUCAACAAUUAGUGGAUGCCGUGGCAGUGAUCAGAGGUAGAUUAAAGACCGCUCAGAGCAGACAGAAAAGUUACGCAGAUAAGCGUCGAAGGCUUUUGAAAUUCUAAGUUGGUGAUCACAUUUUUCUGAAGGUAUCACCAAUGAGGAGAACUUCGCGCUUUGGUAAGAAAGGAAAUCUGAGUUCGAAGUACGUAAGUCCGUUUGAAAUUCUUGAAAGAAUUGGGACCUUAGCAUAUCGUCUUGCAUUACCGCCAAGAUUAGCGCAAGUGCACGACGUCUUUUAUGUGUCGAUGUUGAGGAAGUACAAGCCUGACCCAACCCACAUGCUUAAUUUUGAAGAAUUAGAUGUGGAUAACCGUGUGUCAUACGUUGAAAGCCCGAUUUUUGUAACAUCCUAGAUUUUCAUUCUUGUUUUCUACUGAAUAAAUUGGGCAUUUCAUUAAUGUAAUAGACUUGAGAAUUCGAUCAGGGAUCAGUUACUCGAUCGUGCUCAUCUGCUGAGAUUAUUAUGGCAAGGUAUAAAAUCGAUUUCAGAUAAGAAAGAGGUCAGUUCGACUAAGAUGUGUGGUUAAUCGUGGGUGACACCACUAAAUUGGAAAAUUCUCAUCAACCGAUCCUAGACUGAUUCUUCUGUCGUUUUGGUACCCUGUGUCCGUAUUUGAAUCGUCAAGAUUUUCAUGAUAAUUGAGAGUCGCCAAUGUGUCAAGUGGGUUCAUUGUAGCUCGAAGAAAAUCGACCACGGGUCAUUUGCACUAAAAACCUCUGAAAACUACCUAGUAGCCUAAGUCUCGCUAAAAACGCGCCGAAUGAAAUUUAACCACAAAUUCGAGUCCGAUUUCAGAAAAUUGAAGAUUCUUUCAUGUCAUAAUAAAUUCUCGGAACGUCGACUCAGUCUCAGAAGAUUUUUCUGUGACCCGAGACUUUUUGAGAAAAAGUCGGCAUAGGACCAUUUUUGUUUAGAAAAAGGCCGGAGAUCGUUUUGAUAAGCAUGAUGGAUAUAUAGGUUAGGAAAAAUAUCGAUUUGAUCAAUGGAGGGUCAAUUGAAUUUAUUGAGGCCAAUUAAGAUUGAGUCGAGCAAAGAUCGGUGUCCAAUUGAAGCUAAUUGCUUGUAAAUUCGUAACUCCCCCCAUCCACCACCAUUUUGGACCAAUUCAAGGUUGAAAUGAGGAGCCCUGGUGGCUCAUGGACAGCCAAGGAAGAUGCUUGGCCAAGGAGGAGUCUUGGAGAACAAGUUAUGGAAAAAAUGGCCAUGGUGGCCCCCAAACCUUAUCCAUUGCCUUUCUUCCUCCACAAGCUGCCGUCCAAGCCUUACUGCUGUUCGACCACCAUAGCAACCGAAGAAGCAGCCGAAGCAAGCCCGUUGCCGCUAAGACUGCCCGCACUGUCGCCGAAAGCCGCCCUCCGCCCGCGCAAGUGCCACACGCACCACCGCACCUUGCCGUGCCUCAUGCCAUCGUUCCAGCUUGCUUCACCGCUCAGCAAGCCUUUUGGACGGCUGUGAGUUGCUGCCAACCGCCGUUCAAGCUCCACCAACCCCUGCCAAGGUCCGGUUUUGCUUCCUCAGGCCAUCCCCGCCUCAACUGAUCAAUCCCCUUGCCGUUUCAACCAUUAACCAGCCACAAUAGAAGCAAAAAGAAGUGCAUUUUCAGCCACCUUCAAGGUUCAUUUUGAGGUGUUUCCGAGCCUCAAAACCUAGGCCCACCUUGGAGAAAAGCGUCCCCCGCGCUAUUCUCGUCGGUAUGAUCCAACCCACGUGUUAAACAAGUAGUUUUGCUCACUAAUCCCUUAUUAGUAAGCUAAUGAUGCUUAGGGGUUGAUUAGAUUUAAUUAAGUGAAAUUAUGUGGAUAGAUUAGAUUAGAGUAAUUAAAUUAAGGACUUAUCAAUGCAUGUUAGGCAAAUGGUUUGGUGUAGUUAGCAAGGAAAUAGGUCAUAGUAUUUUUAUUGAGCGAGUCUCGGUAAUAUUUCCAAGUUCAUCUUGGCUUCCAAUUAGGUUAUAACGGGCCUAAAGUUGGAUUUANNNNNNNNNNNNNNNNNNNNNNNNNNNNNNNNNNNNNNNNNNNNNNNNNNNNNNNNNNNNNNNNNNNNNNNNNNNNNNNNNNNNNNNNNNNNNNNNNNNNNNNNNNNNNNNNNNNNNNNNNNNNNNNNNNNNNNNNNNNNNNNNNNNNNNNNNNNNNNNNNNNNNNNNNNNNNNNNNNNNNNNNNNNNNNNNNNNNNNNNNNNNNNNNNNNNNNNNNNNNNNNNNNNNNNNNNNNNNNNNNNNNNNNNNNNNNNNNNNNNNNNNNNNNNNNNNNNNNNNNNNNNNNNNNNNNNNNNNNNNNNNNNNNNNNNNNNNNNNNNNNNNNNNNNNNNNNNNNNNNNNNNNNNNNNNNNNNNNNNNNNNNNNNNNNNNNNNNNNNNNNNNNNNNNNNNNNNNNNNNNNNNNNNNNNNNNNNNNNNNNNNNNNNNNNNNNNNNNNNNNNNNNNNNNNNNNNNNNNNNNNNNNNNNNNNNNNNNNNNNNNNNNNNNNNNNNNNNNNNNNNNNNNNNNNNNNNNNNNNNNNNNNNNNNNNNNNNNNNNNNNNNNNNNNNNNNNNNNNNNNNNNNNNNNNNNNNNNNNNNNNNNNNNNNNNNNNNNNNNNNNNNNNNNNNNNNNNNNNNNNNNNNNNNNNNNNNNNNNNNNNNNNNNNNNNNNNNNNNNNNNNNNNNNNNNNNNNNNNNNNNNNNNNNNNNNNNNNNNNNNNNNNNNNNNNNNNNNNNNNNNNNNNNNNNNNNNNNNNNNNNNNNNNNNNNNNNNNNNNNNNNNNNNNNNNNNNNNNNNNNNNNNNNNNNNNNNNNNNNNNNNNNNNNNNNNNNNNNNNNNNNNNNNNNNNNNNNNNNNNNNNNNNNNNNNNNNNNNNNNNNNNNNNNNNNNNNNNNNNNNNNNNNNNNNNNNNNNNNNNNNNNNNNNNNNNNNNNNNNNNNNNNNNNNNNNNNNNNNNNNNNNNNNNNNNNNNNNNNNNNNNNNNNNNNNNNNNNNNNNNNNNNNNNNNNNNNNNNNNNNNNNNNNNNNNNNNNNNNNNNNNNNNNNNNNNNNNNNNNNNNNNNNNNNNNNNNNNNNNNNNNNNNNNNNNNNNNNNNNNNNNNNNNNNNNNNNNNNNNNNNNNNNNNNNNNNNNNNNNNNNNNNNNNNNNNNNNNNNNNNNNNNNNNNNNNNNNNNNNNNNNNNNNNNNNNNNNNNNNNNNNNNNNNNNNNNNNNNNNNNNNNNNNNNNNNNNNNNNNNNNNNNNNNNNNNNNNNNNNNNNNNNNNNNNNNNNNNNNNNNNNNNNNNNNNNNNNNNNNNNNNNNNNNNNNNNNNNNNNNNNNNNNNNNNNNNNNNNNNNNNNNNNNNNNNNNNNNNNNNNNNNNNNNNNNNNNNNNNNNNNNNNNNNNNNNNNNNNNNNNNNNNNNNNNNNNNNNNNNNNNNNNNNNNNNNNNNNNNNNNNNNNNNNNNNNNNNNNNNNNNNNNNNNNNNNNNNNNNNNNNNNNNNNNNNNNNNNNNNNNNNNNNNNNNNNNNNNNNNNNNNNNNNNNNNNNNNNNNNNNNNNNNNNNNNNNNNNNNNNNNNNNNNNNNNNNNNNNNNNNNNNNNNNNNNNNNNNNNNNNNNNNNNNNNNNNNNNNNNNNNNNNNNNNNNNNNNNNNNNNNNNNNNNNNNNNNNNNNNNNNNNNNNNNNNNNNNNNNNNNNNNNNNNNNNNNNNNNNNNNNNNNNNNNNNNNNNNNNNNNNNNNNNNNNNNNNNNNNNNNNNNNNNNNNNNNNNNNNNNNNNNNNNNNNNNNNNNNNNNNNNNNNNNNNNNNNNNNNNNNNNNNNNNNNNNNNNNNNNNNNNNNNNNNNNNNNNNNNNNNNNNNNNNNNNNNNNNNNNNNNNNNNNNNNNNNNNNNNNNNNNNNNNNNNNNNNNNNNNNNNNNNNNNNNNNNUUUUGGUAAUUGAUUGGAAAUCAACCGAGCGUCGUUACAGCGUCAAAAGUAUGUUAUGGUUGUUGAAAAUGGUGGGACUUGUGAAAAAUGAAAUUGUUAUAUUUUGGUUAAGGCCCAACCGUAUACCCACACACGGCUAUUUUAACGGGUAUGAUAGAAUGUGAGAAAGAAUGCCAUACUACGUCAGCUCGAUGGCUAAGGAUGUCAUCUCAAAGAAAGACAUCAUAUUUUGUUGGCUCAGCAAUUUGAUAUAUCAUCUUGGAAAAAGCACGUGGACUCAGUGACUAAAUAUGUCAACCUGGAGAAUGCACGUGGGCUCGGUAAUUAGGCAGGUCAUCUUGGAAAAUGCACAUGGGCUCGAUGACUAAGUACAUUAACCUAGAGAAUGCACGUGAGCUCGAUGACUAGAUAUACCAUCUUGGAGAAUGCACGUGGGCUCAGUGACUAAGUACAUUAACCCGGAGAAUGCAUGUGGGCUCGAUGAAUAGAUAUACCAUCUUGGAGAAUAGAUGAUAUUGAAUGUACCGACCAGGGGAAAGGUCGUGAUGACAUGUAAUCGACUAAGUCGAUUGAUCGAUAAUUCAAUUUGAUUGAUGUGAUGUGAUGCGAUCGUGUACAUUUGAUAUAUAUACUAACUUGCAAGAAUGAACUAAGGCCAAGGUAAGUCCUCUAACCCGUUUUAUGCUUAAGUAGCCUUUAGGGCAUAUUGGCUUCCUAAUCGGGUCUUAGGGGGUAAAACUCGCUAAGACGUUGUCUCAUUGGUUAUUGUAUAACAAUUUCAGGUUCCUAUAUGACCACUCUUGAGUUUUUGGGACGGCCUAAGAAGAUCAUAGAGCAGACCUCUUACUUUCCGUUUCAUGGGUGCCCUAGGGGCUGAACCUAUGAGCUGGUGAGGUCUAUUAGGUUGAUGCGGGUCUCACCCACAAGGUGCCCCAUCGAUAUAGAUCGUGGUACCGCCGGCUCAAAAUGGCUAGAGAGAGGGUCCCCUAUCGGAGUUUGAGAUACCUCUGUGUGUUUGGAGGCCGCCUUUGGAAAAGGCACCGCAAAUUCCCCUCCUGGCUCAGUCGUAGAUGCAACAGAUCUGAAUUUUGAAGAUCUCGGAAAUUCGGUGCAGUUUGCUGAAGGCUCCAGUUGGAGUGUGGAGGAUGAUGAAGAGGAGGACGAGGACCCGUAGUUUGUGGAAUCCCCACCCUUACUUGUAGACCUUGUUUCCGAACUUGUUAAGUUGAAUCUAACUUAGCAGUUUGCCUUAUAUAUAUGUGCACUAGUUUGCAAUGUAUAUAAGUAUGGUUGUUUUUGAAAGUUCGGAAUUUAGUCCUACUUUCCUAUCUCAUUACUUUAUGGUUUGGGGAUUAUUAUUAUAUGCUUCCGCAUGCAUAUUAAAAUGAAAGGGUCGGCGAUACGUUUUGGGACGUCGCUAUUAAUCGACCAGUUGAGAGAUGGGUGUGUGCUCAAGAAUUGGAGCGUGACAAUUCAGAUCGUGGACAGAAAAGAACAAGUUCUGCGUACAAAGACCAUUCAAUUGGUCAAAGUGGUCUCGUAACACCACAGUACUGAAGGAGCGUUAUGGGAAACUGAAGAGUCGAUGAGACAGUUAUACCCCCACCUUUUUGCUUAAGUUUUGUAAUGAUUUAAAGUUUAAGGAUAAAAAUUUUAUAAGAGAGGAAGAGUUGUAACAUCCCAAAUUUUCAAUCAUAUUUUCUAUUGAAUAAAUCGAGCAUUUCAUCAAUGCGCCUAUAAGGCUAUUCUCAGAGCUGAUCAUUCUCGAGAUAACUAGACUAUUCAAGGAAGCCAUUAAAGAAUUUUAAUACGAUAGACUUGAGAAUUUGACUAGGAAUCGGCUUCUCAACCGUGCUCAUCUUUAGAGGCUAUUACGGCACAGUAUAAAAUUGAUUUGAAAUCAAAGAUAGAUCGGUUCGACUGAGAUGUGUGACUAAUCGUGGGUGACAGCAUUAAAUUGGAAAAUUCUCGUUAGCCGGCACUAGACUGAUUUUUCUAUCGUUUUGAUACCCUGUGUCCAUAUUUGAAUCCUCGAGAUUUUUACGACAACCGAGAGUCACCAAUAUGUCGAGUGGGUUCAUUAUGGCUCAAACAAAAUCGACCAAGGGUCAUUUGCACUAAAAAUUUCUGAAAACUACCCAGUAGCUUAGGUCAUACUAAAAACGCGCCAGAUUGAAAUUAACUGCGAAAUUAAAUCCGAUUUCAAAAAUUGAAAGUUCCGUCAUGUCACAAUUAAUUUUAGGAGCGUUGACUCAGUCUUAGAAGAUUUUUCUGCAACCCAAGAUUUUUUAGGAAAAAGUUAGCUUAGGGCCGUUUUUUCCAGAAAAAGGUCGGGAUCGUUUUAGGUCGCAAAAUUGAGAAGUAAGUUGAUUGUAUGGGUGAAGGAAAAUGCCAAGAUGAUUGAUGAUGGGUUGAUUAGAUUUAUUGAGGCCAAAUUGGAUUGUUUGAAGCAAGAUUAAGUGUCCAUUUGAUGCCAAAACCCAUGAAAUUCAUAUGUCCCCCCAUUCCCACAACUUAUGGACCUCUUCAACCUUCUAGAUGAGUGCAUGGAUGGUUGAAUUGUAGCCAUAGAAGCCAGACUUGGCUGUGGGUGAAGUCAAUGAGACAUUUGAAUGGAAAAUAAGGCAAAUGGCCCCCUCCAACCCCAUAUUGUUCCCUCUCUCUCCAACCAGUCGGCAGCCUCUUUUCCCCUCCUCAUUGUGCCUUACUCGAGGCCGGCAAACCAGAGAAGCUGCCCAUCCACGCCGCACGCCGCCGUGACCGUCAGAACGCCGUCCGCAUGCCCCACCGCCCCGCACGAGUGCCCUACCGUGCCACCGCCCAACCCGACGCCCUUGUUGCUUCUAGCCCUCUGUUCCGCCAUCCUAGUAGCUUCCUUAGCUUGUGCCAGAGUCGUUUGGCCCACCUCCGACCUCCCAAACAGAGAGUUUGUGGGUGGGUUUCCAGCAAGCGUGUAGGCCUGUUUUGAGGUGGUUUUGGGCCUCAAAAGUUUGGCCCUCUUUGAGAAAAGUCGGUCACUGUUGCGUUCCCAACAUUUUGAACUGGACGAAUUGCGAAACAAGUGAGUUGAACUCACUAAUCCUCACUUAGUUGGUUAAUGAUGCUUAGAGGUUAAUUAGAUUAAUUAAGCAUGGUUUAGGUGGGAGGUUGGGAUACCUAGAGUGCCAUAACUUGACGCGGAGGGACACUUAAGUGCCAUAACUUUAAAAUUGUACACUUAAGUGCCAAUAUAGGAGUAAAAUGAAACACUUAAGUGUCAAUCUGGCCAAAAUCCGGCGAAAAUGCAAACGUGGCAUUUUCCGGCAACAAGCUUAACCGACGUGACAAUUUAUUAAAAAAAAAACACACGUAGAGGAGGAAAACGAUGUCGCCCCAUACUAUGCAUUUGGCCGAACUAAAUGACGUCAUUUUCCCUUAGUGCUAAACAACGUCGUUUUGCUUAUUUGGAUUUUACCCGUUCGUCGAUCGGUUCACACGGGAUCUGACGUCCUCUCCAUCGCCGUUCACAGCUCGUCGUUCGUAGGUCAUCGGUCACCGUCGUCGCUCGCCAUCAUCAAUUUGCUUAGGUUUUUUCUCUUCUUCCUCUCUCCCGUGGUGAAAUUAGGACUCCGACUCGUUUAUUAGGGCUCAGACUUGAAAUUUGGGGGUCGGCUAGUAUUAAUGUGAGAUUUAUAGCUCAGAUGUGGUACUACAAUCCUAUUAGGGGGUUCGAAUUGACAAUUUAGGAUCGGCCUCGAAAUGUAGGCUCAGUGUAGGGCUCGGCGGGGGGAAAAUUAGGGCUCAGUGUAGGGCUCGACGUCGCCUCAUCCACUGUGAUGUGUGAUUCAUUCAAGGUGUUGAAUUGUGAUGUGCGAAAGUAAUUUAUGGUGGUCGGAUGUGAAAUCUGCGAUGGUGAUUGGUGAUUGUUAGGGUUCAGAGUAUUGGACCUUGGACAUGUUCGAAUCGAAUCUCUUGUUGUCAUGGGGAUGGGGACUUCUGGGUAUUUUUUUAAUAAAUUGCAUUGUUGAGGACCCAUGCUGAGGGAUCUCUCUAUAUUUUAAAGGAAUGCGGCGACAUAUUCAAAGUAGUUGUCGGGUCUCAUCUCUAUUAUCCUUGUCCUAAGCUCUUUCAAGCCUCUUGUUUUCAAGUUGUAGCUGUCGUCUGACCCCAUCUUCCCUCUCUCUUUCUUCUUUUCUUUAUCUUUAAUAAAGACUAUGUUGCUGUCAUCGUUUACUAUGGUGGGGAUUUUGUGAUUGGGGAGGAUGAGUGGGAGUAUGAGGGGGGAAUGAGUGUACUAUCUUUGUAGAUACAAAGAAGGCAUCUUAUAUUAGAUUUGUUAGGGAUAUAGUGACAUUUUUUUCUUGUAGAGUACAAAAGUUACUGUACUGUGUUCCUGGGAAAGGCUUGAGAGAUGGUUUGAGAGUUUUGGAAGAUGAUAAUGGUUUUAGGGAUGUCUUAUAUCAUUAUCUUGAUGGUGAAGAUGCGAAAGUAUUUGUUGAAAACAAUAGUAAUAGUGAGGACGAAGAUGAUGAUAGAGAUAGCACCCAAGUAGGAGAAGGAGGAGAUGGUAUUCAAGCUAGUACUGAGGUUAGGGAUGAAGCAGGGCAUGAUGGACAGGACGGGGAGGAGAGGGGCACAGAUGCCAUUCACCGGAGCGAUUGUGACAUAGGUGAUGUCACCAUCACUGAAUUAGAUUGCGAAGUAGCUGAAUCCAGUGAUGGUGAUGAUGACGAUGACGAUGACGAUGACGAUGAAGGGUUGGCUGCUGAAGCUGAAAAUUUAUUAAUCUUAAGUGACGACAACGAUGAGAAGUUUACACGGUCAAGAAAAAAACAAAGAGACUUUUUGUCAGAUAGAUUUGCAACUUUGCAAGUAGCUAAUGAAGUUCCAAAUAGAGACGAAGGCCUUGUAGAUGUUGGUGUUGCUGGCUAGGAGACAGAUUAUGAAGAAAACAUCGAUAUCGCUACUUCCCAGGACAAACUUGAAGAAGAUCAACGAGCUGUGCGUAGAAAGGAAAAGUAAGUUUCCUUCCUAUGAUCCAUCAGUUGCCUCUCCUACUUUGUCAGUAGGUAUGAAAUUCCAUGAUGCGAUACAAUUUAAGAAAGCUAUACUGAAGAACUCCAUUGCUGCACAAAUAAAUAUUGAUUUCAUUAGAAAUACCAAGAAAUUUGUAAGAGCCAAGUGUUCGUAGCAAAACUGUACAUGGAAGAUUUAAGGCGCGUUUGUUAAGAAGAGUGGGUCUUUCUAGAUUAGAGCCUACCAAGAGGAACACACUUGUUCCAUUAAAUUUCAAAACAAAAGGAUAAUAAGUGCAUGGUUGUCCAAGCACUUCUUCGAUCUGAUCAAGCUGAUGCCCGAGAUGAAAAUUACUAACUUUAGGAUGCUGGUGAAUGAGCGUGUAGGCAUCAAUGUAUCUAGGAGUCAAUGCAAAAGAGCAAAGCAAAAGGUGAUAAAGAUACUUAUUGGUCAGUAUGCUAAGGAAUAUGGGCAGGUGUGGGAGUAUGCUUGGGAGUGUAGGCUGCAAAACCCUACAAGUAGAGUGUAUGUAGAGGUGGUUGAGAGACCACUUCCUGAUCAUGGGACCAAGUUCAAUAAGUUCUAUGUGUGCUUUGAUGCAUGCAGACGAGGAUUUUUAGCUAGUUGUAGACGGAUUAUAGGAUUGGACAGUUGUUUCUUGAAGGGCUUGUGCAAGGGAGAAUUGUUGGCGGUGAUUGGAAGAGAUACAAAUAAUCAAAUGUUCCCACUAACUUGGGCUAUUGUAAAGAUUGAGAACAAGAACAAUUGGUCCUGGUUCUUGAAAAAUCUGAUGGCUGACUUGGAGAUAACAAACGGGGAAGGGUGGGCGAUCAUGAGCGACCAACAAAAGUUAAUGCUUGCUUUUUGAAAAAUUUAGUCAGUAGUUUGCUUUGUAAUAUGAACAUGUAAUUUGCUCUAAUAUUUCUUACUUUGAAUUAUUGUAGGGAUUGGUUCCGGCAGUAGCCGAGUUGUUGCCCCAUGCUGAACAUCAAAUGUGUGCGCGGCACAUAUACGGAAAUUGGGCAAAGACCUACAAAUGGGAUAAGUUGCAAUUGCAAUUUUGGCAAUUAGCAAAGAGUGCAAACAUGACUGACUUUAGGAUAGCCAAAGAAUGACUACUUCAGUUGACAAAGGAAGGUUGUGCUACCCUAUUUCAACUAGAAUCGAAGCAUUGGUGCAGGACAUCCUUCAGUGAGGAGUUCAAGUGCGAUAACGUCGACAACAACAUUUGUGAAGUAUUUAAUUCGAAGAUAAUAGAUGCCAGAUGCAAACCAGUCAUCUUAAUGCUUGAAGAUAUACGAGUUGCAGUUAUGACUCGGCUGCAGAAACAAAGAGAUGAGGCUGCAAAGUGGACAAGACAAUAUGAUCCUAGGAUUGCCAAGAAAUUGGAUGAGAACUGGGCUGCAAGUAGGCAUUGUCAUCCCAUUUGGAAUGGAAAUGACGGAUAUGAGAUAAUGAAGGGUGCUGAUAAGUAUGUUGUCAAUCUAGGAAGUAGGAAGUGUUCAUGUAAAGCAUGGCAAGUAAGUGGAAUUCUAUGUGCCCAUGCCAUAUGUGCCAUCCAGUUGAAGAGCGACAAUACAGAUGAUUACAUCGAUGAUUGGUACCAUAAAUCAAAAUACCUUGCUUCCAAUCAGUUCAUGAUGCAGCCAAUUAAAAGUAGCAAGUUUUGGGAGCCCACGGAUCAUGAAGCACCUCAACCUUUGACACUGAAGAAGAAAAUUGGAAGGACAAAACGAAGAUGAAGAAUGGCGGAGGGAGAGGUCUCGAGUCAACAAAGAAUGAGCAAGCAGGGUGCAAAGAUAACGUGCUCUUAUUGUCACCUAGCAGGCCAUAAUAUUAAAGGUUGUCAAUUGAGGAAGCAACAACAACCGUUGAGGCAAGGUGAAGGGCCUAGUGAAGAGACAGUUGGAGAAAUGCAAACAACAGGGCCAAGUGAGUCGACUGUUCUUUAGUCAACAACUAGAACCCCGGUAAGUCAUGAAAUUUAUUUUAUGUUUAUGUUGCUUUGUCGUUUAUCAUAAAAAUGUACAUAAUAUCCUAUUUAGCCUUGUAUGUAAUGUGUUUGUUAGGUCACAAGAAGAACCCCAGUAGGUCACGAAACUGAACAGCCUGUUCGAAGAAGGCAAUGUAGAAGACGGCCAACUGAAGGAUUGGCCCAAGCAGCAUCACGGCCAACUGAAGGAUUGGCCCAAGCAGCAUCACGGCUAGCUGAAGGAUUAGCCCAAGCAGCAUCACGGCCAGUUUAAUCGAUUGUUCUUCAGCAGCGAAAGAAAUACCCAGUGGUAAAUUCAACCAUUUGUAUUCAGUUUUUCAUUUUCUUUACAUUAUUAUAUGUCUCAAUAUUAUAUUUAUGGUGUCAUUUGCCUCUUUCUCAGGUUCGAAGAAAGCAAGUUGGAACUCAACUGCCAACUGAAGAGCCAUCACAAGAGCCACCUCAAGGGUCAUCACAGGGGCCACCAGAAGAAUCACUACAAGGGGCACCACAAGUACCACCACUAGUACCACCAGAAGGCCCAACAGAAGGAGGUGUCACUGAAGUUGAAGGGCUACACAGAAGAACAACUAGAAGAAGGCCAGGUGAAGGGGCAGUUACACAAAGGCCAUCUAGAAGACGCCCAGCUGAAGAAUUGGUCGAAGAAGCCCUAGCUGUAGCUGAAGGGCCCAAGAAAGCAAGAAAAAGAGUCAACAAAUCACAAGUUCCUGAAAGUGACGCCCCUAUUCAAACAAGAGGGGCACUUGGGAAGAUGUUAAGACAAUAUGGUUAUGGCAUUUAUAUAGAUGAGCGUACUAAAACAGUUAUUCUCAAUGUAAGUUUUAUUGGCUGCAUUUAAUUUAAUUUAUGCUAUUGACUUUUGCUAACAAUUUAUUGUUUUUUUUUUUUUUUGUAGCCUAGAGAAGUUUAGAGGUUAUUAUUCUCAAGCCCAACUCAAGAAUCAACGGCUGCACCACAAAAAAGAAAACAUCAACUGUGCNNNNNNNNNNNNNNNNNNNNNNNNNNNNNNNNNNNNNNNNNNNNNNNNNNNNNNNNNNNNNNNNNNNNNNNNNNNNNNNNNNNNNNNNNNNNNNNNNNNNNNNNNNNNNNNNNNNNNNNNNNNNNNNNNNNNNNNNNNNNNNNNNNNNNNNNNNNNNNNNNNNNNNNNNNNNNNNNNNNNNNNNNNNNNNNNNNNNNNNNNNNNNNNNNNNNNNNNNNNUCGUGAGAUGAGACGUGAUAGAAUUUGUGGAGCUUAUGAGUCAAAUAGUUAUGUAAACGUUAACGUUAUAAUAACACUUGCUAUGGAUGGUUGUCUUUUUUUUUUCUUUCCUUUUCUUUAGUUUGUCAUUCAUUGAUAUUGUGAUACUUAAUUUCAAUAUCAAUGAAAAUGAAAUGAUCUUGCGCUGCUUGUCAAUUUUUGUUGUUUGUCAUGGAUUCUGCUUUUACUUGCUGCUGAUGCUGUUGGUGUUCCGUGGUCGUAGCUGGAGUGCUAGUGUGGCUCGUGGUGGUGGAUGGUAAUGUUUGGUGGUGGUGAGUUUGUUGUUGGGGUGCUAAUGUGGUGGCUGGGGUGCUGGUGUGGGUGGUGGUGAUGCUUGGUAAUUAUGGGUUUGUGGUGGAGGUUACAGGCUUAUGAUGCACUUACACCUGGUACAAGUGUGCAAUUUGCACAUCUUACACCAUGUGUACUGGUGCAAGCUAGUGCAAGGCUCAACUUGCUUGCACUAGUACCUUGUGUAGUAACACCACCAACAUGGUGGUGGCUGGAGUGCCUAGUGUGUAGUGUGGCUAGUGGUGAUGGUUGGUGGUGCAGCCGGUGGUGGUGGCUUGCGCAAUUUUUAGAGAAAACCCACAAAAAAAUUGGCACUUAACUAGUCAUAUUCUAAAAAACUUGGCACUUAACUGUUCACUUUUAACUACAAGUGACACUUAACUGAUCACUUUAAUAAUAACUUGACACUUAAGUGAUCAUUUUUUCAUCGCGACUAGCACUUAAGUGAUUAAUAAAUGCAACUUAUGGCACUCAGGUAAUCACUCAUGUUUGUCUUGUGUAUAUGUUGGUCUGCAUCAAAACAGAGAAGAUAAUGGUAAACUUAUGGCAACUCCAUAUGACAGCACAAACAACAACAACGCCACAAGGAUCUUGUGGAACAACACAAACUUCUUCGCAUCUUUCAAAAAGAAAAAAGCCUACAUUUAAUUCAGAACAACACCAUUUUUAACUAUGGCAGUCAGAGAAACUUUUUCUCAUUUUCAAGUAGUUUACAUUUCAUCAUAAAGUACAAUAGACAACAAAACAACACCAUAAUAAACGCUUGGUAACACUUUCGUUCAAUUUUCAUCAUUGAAACUUCAUUCUUGAAAGGUUUAGUUGAAGAUGUUUGAGCAUGCAUUAAGACUUCAUUCUUGAAAAGUUUAACUGAAGACGCUUGAGCUUGCAUUGAGUCAACAUCGUCCAAGUCGUCCACGAACACAGAAGGAGAUUGCUGUCUUUUAUGAAGUAGAUCCAAUAUCACCUCUGUGGCUCAAUCAGAGAACUUUGCAUCGACCCAUUUGAAGUAUUUGCACUUCGACGCUUCUUUAUAUCGGGCGCAUCCAUAAAAUUUUAUCCCAGGAUUGAUUCGAGUCCACGAUGUUCUUCUUGGACUCGGUAACCCACAAAAACAAAAACGCUGACCUUCUCCUUCGCUUCGGUGAGAGGAAAUUGAGGCGCUACUGCGAGUCCUGCUCUCCAUUUCCAAGAUUCGACGAAGGAAUCUUGGGCAAAUGAAAAUUAGGGUUCGAGACUUGGAUUCGAGCACUUUAAUAGGGAUUUUGGCCGAUUUAGGGUUUUAGAUUUGGGGCAUUUGGGGAGAUGACGUCGUUUUUGGAAGAUUUGGGGCUUUUAUUAUGCAGACGACGUAGUUUCUGGUGAGUUAGAGCCAACUCAGCUCUUUAGCGAGCCACGUACGCAAUAAAAAAUAAUAAAAUAUUGCCACGUAGGAUAUCCAGCAAGGGUCGCCGGAGGUGGCACUUAAGUGUCCCACUAGAAAAAGAAAGUGGCACUUAAGUGUACUGUUUUGAAGUUAUGGCACAUAAGUGUCCCCCCGUGCCAAGUAAAGGCACUUGGGCUGUUCUUCUGCCAUUUAGGUGGAUAGAUUAGAUUAGAUAAUUUAAUUAUCUGCCGAUGCAUGUUAGGUGGUUAGUUAGUGACAUUAGCGAGUAGACUUGUGCUAUUAUUGGUUUAACGAACCUUGAAAUUUUUCCGGGUCUAUUUCAGCGUCCAAUUAGGCAUUACAAGCCUAAGUUGGAUUUAUUGCAUUUAUUUAAUAAUUUCCAUAAUUAAUUACUUAUUUUCCAAAAAUUAGGCUGGGAUAGCCGACGAUCAUAAUUUUAUGCUGGUUAUUAUGGUGCAUUCUGUUUAUUUAUUUGAGUUCUAAAUUAUGCUGAAUUGAUUUAGUUGUGAUUUUAGGAUUUUAUUCCUAAAUUAAUUAAAGUUGGUAAUUAACUGGAAAAUUACCCGGCAUCGGUCUACAGAGCCAAAAAUAUAUUUUUGGACUAUUAAAAAAAGUGAGAGAUUGAAAGUUUUGGUUGUGUGAUUGGAAUGAUAUACUAUAUCAGCCUACGGGGGAUAUGUCAAGUUAGUAGAGAGCAGUAUACCGAUAUACUAUAUCAGCCUACAAGCGAUAUGACAGCUUAGUAGAGAGCAGUAUACAUUAUCGGUUUUAAUUAAAUAUGUCGGUAUACUAUAUCAGCGUACGAGCGAUAUUGCAGCUUAGCAGAGAGCAAUAUAUCUUAUCAGCUUAGAUUGAACAAUGUCGGUAUACUAUAUUGCCCUACGGGCGAUAUGGCAGCUUAACGGAGAGCAGUAUACCCGAUCAUCUCAAAAGUGCUCUAUAUUAUCUAUUUAUCAACUUAGCAAUGAGCAGUCCUGAUAUGGAUGGACUUAUAGAUAGUAUGAGAUCAAUCGACUAGGUCGAGAUGACAUGUAAUCGACUGGGUCAUUGAUCAAUGAUUUGAUCUGAUGUUAUGAAUUGAUUGAUUGAUGUGAUUGGAGAUAUCUGUAAAUGAUAUUGCUUUGUAGGGUGGAACUGAGGCCAAGGUAAGUCCUCUGACUCGUGGUUAUGCUUAGGCAACCCUUAGGGCGUAUUGGCUUCCUAAUUAGGCCUUAGAGGGUAGAACUUGCUAAGACAUUGUCUCACUGGUUAUUGUAUAACUAUUUUCAGGUCCCUAGUUAACAGCAGGGGAGGACCUGAAGCUCAAAGUUUAGAAGGUGAAGCCCGGAGAAUCGGCGAGCAUGUUCGACUAGUUAGUCCUAAGACAUUUCUCUUUUGUUGAAAGCCAAUUCCUUUUUGUAGGCUUCUGUGUAUAAACCUAUGUGUUUAUAAAAAGGUCUUUUGUAAAAAAUUGGCCCAUACUUUUAUAAACCUAUGGAUUAUUUAUAUACUUUUGCAUGCGUAUUGAAAAGAAGGGUCGGCGAUACGUCCUAGGACGUCUCUAUUUAAUCGACCAAGUGAGGGAUGGGUGCGUGCCCGAGUAUCAAGGCGUGACAUCCCCGUUUAAGUGGUAUCGAAGCAAUGGUUAGGGAUUGUAGUGAUAAAGUACGAUGGACCAUAGGAUAGUGGUAGGAAAGACCUUUAAAUUCAUGCUGGUGCAUGUCUGUGGUAACUGAUUGAUAGACUUGCUUAUUAUUUGGAUCACUCUAUUUCUAAUUCAGCUUAGAAUUGGAAGUAGGCUUCCGUAGAGAAAGCUAAGCCAUGAGUGAUCAGGAGCCAAGAACUCUUGCCAAGAUGACUGCUAGGGCCAUAACUCGGGGUAGGAUGCCGACCAGGGUCGGUACCCAAGGAGGCCGAGGUCGAACGCCAGCACAAGCUAGCGCUAGUGGCGUAGCACCACCUCCUAUUGGUGCUAGGGUUGCAACCCCAGGUGAUCAAGGAACCAUUGGGAUCACCCAGGCUUUGGACACCAUGCGAGAAAUGAUGGGACAAUAGGCCCAGAAUCAAGCUGCCGCCUUUGCCGCCGCCUUAGAAGCCACUGCCACUGCCUCUGCCAAUGCUGCCAUUGCUGCCGCACCUGUUGCUGCACCUGCCACCGCACCCGCCGAUGUUCCAGUUGAGAACAUAGAGGUGCAGAGAGAAAGACCGAUCCACGAGCUAGUUAUUGUGGUGUAGUCUAUUUAUUUAUUUGAAUUCUAAAUUGUGCUGAAUGAUUUAAUUGUGAUUUUAGGAUUUUAUUCCUAAAUUAAUUAAAGUUGGUAAUUGAUUGGAAAAUUACCGGGCGUCAGUUUACAACGCCAAAAAUCUAUUUUUGGACUAUUAAAAGAAGUGGGAGAUUGAAAGUGAAAUUAUCAUAUUUUGGCUAAGGCCGAUCGUGUAUCCACACACAGCUAUUUUAUGGAGAAUGAUAAAAAGAUGGAAUUGAUUGUAUGAUUAGAAUGGUAUACUAUAUCGGCCUACGGGCGAUAUGACAACUUAGCAGAGAGCAGUAUACCUUAUCAGUUUUGAUUGAAUAUGUCGAUAUACUAUAUCAGCCUACGAGCGAUAUGGCAAUUUAGUAGAGAGCAGUAUACCUUACCAGCUUAGAUUGAGUAAUGUCGGUAUACUAUAUCAGCCUAUGGGCGAUAUGGCAGCUUAGCGGAGAGUAGUAUACCCAAUCAUCUCAGAAGCAAGGUAUAUUAUCUAUCUAUCAACUUAGCAAUGAGUAGUCCUGAUACUGAUUGACUUAUAGAUAGUAUGAGAUAAGCCAACCAAGAAAGGGUCGAGUUGACAUGUAAUCGACUAGGUCGGUUGAUCAAUGAUUUGAUCUGAUGUCAUGAAUUGAUUGAUUGAUGUGAUUGGAGACAUCUGUAAAUGAUACCACUUUGUAGGGUGGAACUGAGGCCAAGGUAAGUUCUCUGACUCGUGGUUGUGCUUAGGCAACUCUUAGGGCGUAUUGGUUUCCUAACCGGGUCUUAGGGGGUAGAACUUGCUAAGACAUUAUCUCACUGAUUAUUGUAUAACAAUUUUCAGGUCCCUAGUUGACAGCGGUGGAAGACCUGAGGCCCAAAGUUUAGAAGGUGAAGCCCGGAGAAUCAGCGAGCAUGUCCGACUAGUUAAUCCUAGGACAUUUCUCUUUUGUUGAAAGCCGAUUCCUUUUUGUAGACUUCCGUGUAUAAACCUGUGUGUUUAUAAAAGGGUCUUUUAUGAAAAAUCGGUCUUACUUUCCUAUCUCAUUGUUUUAUUGUCUGAGAAUUAUUUAUAUACUCUCGCAUGCGAAUUGAAAAGAAAGGGUCGAUGAUGCAUCCUGGGACAUUGCUAUUUAAUCGACCAAGUGAGGGAUGGGUGCAUGCCCGAGGAUCGAGGUGUGACGAUCACUCCAUCUACAGUUAUCAUAGUAGAUAUUAGUACCAAGGAUAGUUUUGGAAUCAUCAAGUUCUCAUUGGGAUGCUUUCUCAACUUGUAGCUGUAUUUUCUUUUCCACGAUUUGACAUUUUUGGACUUUGGUGGCCUUCAUCUUCAGUUGAUGCUCUGAACCAUGCUACUUCAUCAAGUCAACUCAUCUGCCUUGCCGCAAUAUGAGGAAUAAUCACCAACUAGGUUUAGAAAUGAAUUUGCAGGCUCAAAUGGGCUCUACAAGGAAUAAAAGUGUGUAUGAUAGAGAAAGAAAUGCUCUUCAUCACUUUAAGGCACCUAAAUUCUUGUUUGAGUUCAUCUGUAAUAAAGAUAGUCAAAGAUUAAUUCAAGUGAGGGCAAGAAAAGUUCUUUCAUUUUUCUGAACCUAUAAUGUCAACUUUACCUCAAUUCUGCCCCAGUGUGAGAUGGUUCUUAACAAGGUUAAGUCGAAAGAAAAUUUUCCAAUCAUUCAAGCUCAAAAGGCUUAAACAAUAGUUUAACUACAAUGUUUAGGAUAAAGGAAUGAAUGGCCCCUCAUCAUUCAAUUUGCAUACCUUCCUCCAGAAACCAAUUACCUUGAGGACAUGAAAUUAUUCCACUCAUCUCAUAGUGUAUAAAUAAAGGACUAUAGGUAGGAUUAAGCUUGCAUUUCAUCAUUUUGAUGGAUGCUCUGAAUUUACUCUUCCCCCCUGCAAAACAAAGUGUUACAGAGAUAUAAUGUAGUAAUCAUAAGUACAAAUUGUGGCUUGGCUUUAUGCAAAAUAUAGAUCCUCUAAGGAUCUCAUGAUUCAAGGCAUUAUACCUCUAUUUAUCUCAUCAUGUAUUUUUUAAAGUCACAACAAGUUCUAUUUGAAAUGGAAAUAUUCCUGGGCCACAAUGCAAGGCGAUUACAAAAGGAACGAAGUGGCAAAUAGGUGCUUAAAACUUUUAUUUUCACUAAAUUUUGAGUGGAACAUAAGAAAGCCAGCCUUUAGAAUUAUCUCCUCGCCUCAUUUUUAUUGGUAGGAUUUUAUCAUUAGGAUAGUUUGGUUUACUUCAACAUUCCAUCAAAAUAUGAAAAUUUUGAUGAACUUGCAUCUUAUUGUGUGGCAUCCCAAAAUUCAUGGCGACCUCCAGAUACAUUAAGGCCUAUGAAUAGGUGAUGGAAGUACCAUCAAGUUGUAUUGUAGCCAUUUGAUCCAUGAUUUGCAAUAAGAUUUAUGGCCAAGCUUUUAAUGAAUAAUUAUUUGAUAGGAAAGAAAAUUCUAUUCUUGGCUAUGUGGUUUAUAGGCUGGAAUUUAUUAAUUUAUGUUGCAAGCUUUAUGGCCAAGUGAAUAAGUGUAAUUAGGUAAUUAUAUGAUGGGUAAUUAGGUGAUGAUUAAAGGGAAAAAUUAGAAGAGUGGGUUGAAUUUUAUUGGCCCAAGAUCAGCCCCACCAUUCGGCCCUUUUGGCCUGGCCCGCGAAGCCCAAAGGAAAGGGUUGCCAUCCGACCGGCCCAAGGAGCCCAAUGGGCUGUCGACCAAAGGGGAGAGGCCAGCCCAACCAGCCCAUCCUCUUGCAUGGAAAUUACCAAGUGGCUUAGGGGACUUACCAAGUGUCAUCUGCAUGCAAAGAAAUGAUUACAUGCUAAUCACGAGGGGGAAGAAAGAAGAAGGGGCGGAUUGAGAAAGGGGGGGUGUCACACGAAGAGAAAGGAGGAAAGAGAGAGAGUGACCAUCCAAGAGAAAGAGAGAAGAGAGAAAGGGAAAAAGCGAGCGAGCGAGAGAAGAAGGGGAAGAGGGAGGCCAAUUUGCUGCCAUUCGUCACCGCCACCGAGUCCCGCCUUGCCUCGCCAUCUUUGCUUGUUAUUUUGUGCUCGGAUUAGAGGCAAGUAGAGUCCUAAAACCUACCCUUUGUUUGCUGUGAUAUGUAUUGUAAGGGAUGAAAAACUUUGGUUGUGAUAGAAGUAAAAAAAAUUGAAGCUCUAGGGAAAAAUAAGGUAGCCUUGCAUUCUGUUUUCUAGAGAGGCAGUCCAACCUUUGAUGAAUUUGUGAGCUGCAUGCGACUUUUUGUUGGAAUCUCACUUCGACUUCUUGAAGAAAGUUGUAUAGAACUUCUUGUAGAGUAACAUAUCAAAAUUUUAGAAGAAAUGAACAAGUAUAGACCGGUGAAACUAUUUUUCUUUGAAGAAGUUAGAUCUGGAAAUCGUAAUGCUGACCUAGUGUGAUUCUGUGAAUUUUAUAAACUUCUCCGGUCGAAAUUUGAUCUCAUGUUCUGAAUGAAAGUUGAAGAUGACAUGUUAAGGAGUAACAUACUAAAAUUUUAGAGGAAAUGGAUGAGUUUAGGUUGAUGAAACGAUUUUAUCCGAAAUGGUCAGAUCUGAGAAUUUUUGCUGAGGGUUAGAAACGGCUACGGUGAUUAUAGUUUUUAAUCUAUCAUAAAUCCGAUUUCGAGUUCUUCAUGAAAUAUUUACUUCUGGAUCUCUUCUAUAAUAUAUAAAAAAUUUCAGAAUUUUUGGAGUUGAUUUAAGAUUUUUACUGAAUUUGUGAAUAAAACUGUGUAUGGCAAUAUUCCGAAAUUAUAAAGACUGUGAUAUGUGGACUGUAACAAAUUGUAUGAUGUUCUUUUGAUAUGGUGUUCUUCACAGAAUAUUUUCCUCUAGAUCUUGUAUAUAACAUGUCAAAUUUUUAUAAUUUAUUAAGGCUGUUUACUAAAUUUUCAAGAAUUAUGACCAAAGGAGUGCAAUCUCUUUUUAUCCAAAAUUGUUGUAUUUUCAAAAAUAAAUGAAAUUGCUCCAUGGGAUAUAAUGUCUUGAGUGGUUGAUUAUGGCAUGUUAUAUGACAUCAAAAACUGGUUGAGACCCUUGAUAUUGUUGCAUCAAAUGCCAUGUUGAAAUUGAGAUACAUGUGUGAAUAUAAAUUGAGAUAAUAACGAGACCGUCGGAGGUGUGAGCCGACGAUGCCCUGGGAGUAUUGGGAUGCCCAGAGUGUGGGUGCCGGAUGCCCAGGGAGUGUUGGGAUGCCCGGAGGUGUGUGCCGGGGGGAUUCCUCGUGAUGCUAGUUGGGGUACGAGAUGCACGGAGGUGCGUGCCAGAUGCCCGGAGGUGUGUGCCAGAGGCUCCUCACGAUGCUAGGUUCGAUGCGAGCGAUAAAUUGUGAGAUGCAAACAUUGGUCCCUGGGAAGAAAAUGAUGUGAUCUAAUUGAAAGAUAAAGAUCGAGAAAUUGAAUCAUAUGGCAUGGGAUGAAUCUCAUGGGAAUGCAAGCAUGUAGUACAUUAUGGUACAUGCACGUUGCAUGGUGAUAUAUGCAUGGCUGCUUGGUGAUACAUGUAUAAGUGCAUGGUGGUAUAUGCACGUUGCAUGGUGUUAUGCAUGGCUGCUCGAUGAUAUAGUACAAGUGCAUGGUGAUUUAUGCAUGUUGUAUGGUGAUAUAUGCAUGGUUGUAAGGUAAGGUAUGCUUGAAUGCAUGAAUGAUAUGUGUUUUAUUCUUGAUACCUUGAUUGUUCUGUUUGACACAUUGUGUAGUUUGGUGGAUCUUUACUGCUGAAUGGUUGUACUCACCCCUUUUGGGGAUUAACAUUUUAGAUUAGAAAGAUGUCUUUGCUACCAGUUGCACGCGGUACUUAUUAUGGAUUGCCAUCUGAUGUCGAGGUAGAGUGCACGGAGAAUUUUGUGUUAGUGUGCCUGGUCUGGUGUUUAUUCGAGUCACUGUCUUAGUGAUGUACGAUGUGGGUCUUGCUGAUGACCUGGUUAUCCAGGAGUUUUUGUCUGUUCAUGUCCGGCGUGGUGAGUGAUGCUAAGGAUGCUGCCGCCGCCACCACCGCCCGAUGCACUGAGUUGGGUGUGAUGGCACGUAUAGCUGGUGGGAGCUGACACUUUUUGGGGAUAGCUGACGCUUGUUUAUGGAGGGGUGUACAUGUUUGAUGUGGGGUCGAGUUCUCUUUUGAGUUAUAGCCAAGUAUAGUUAAAAAUCUUGGCCUUUUGCUGUACCGACCCGAGAUGUCCAUCGUGAAAAUGUAAAUAAAAAGCGACUCGGCUUUAUCGUUUUAUAUGGUGAAUAAUUGAUGUGCAAUUACAUUAUUGUUAUUGUAGUGAGGGAUGGUGAGAUACGUUUAUGCUUCCGCUAAUGAACUCCGCAGGGACUUUUACAAAAAAAAUGGAAAAAAAUUCUAUUGAUCAACCCCUAUAAGCUAUGGUUUCACUUUAAUUAAAAAGUUACCUUACUAGUAUGUAGUAGGAUGAGUGACAAGUACCUGUGGUGACCCUAACGGAUCGGGGGCCGUCGAGGGUUGCCACAGCGAUUGGUACAGAGCAAUGGUUAUAGUUGGAGUAAUAAGGAGCCUCAUUUGGAAAUUGAGGAAUAUGAUGACAAUGCACACUAUAGGAUAUUAACUGGAAUAGUUGAGUAACUUUGAAUAACAGGUGAAGGGUAUUCACUCGUAGAUCUCUAGUAGUUAGUAUGAGUUGCUUUUAGGUGCCAGUAACAUGUUUAUGUUACUUAUAUAGUUAUAGUUACUUUCUAAUGGAGACAAUGAGUCUCAGAUUAUUCCUGAGGCAAAUGCUUGGAAACUGCAGGAAAGUCAUGGUGCGAGCUGGAAGUGCUCAUCCAUCAAGGGUUGAAGCCUUUGCUACAAGGGCUGAAUCUCGAAUGGAAGAUAUCCUGCAGGCAUUGGCCAAUAUUGGAAAUCUGAUGGAAAUGCAAGCGCAGCAACAACUCGAAGUGGAACGUCGCCCUCAAGGACUGGUGGAAAAAUUUCUGAAGCUGAAGCCACCUAAGUUUAGUGGAAUAAGAAGUCCUGAAGAGGCGGAACAUUGGAUUGAUGGGAUUGAACAUAUUUUCCGGUUGUUGGACUGUAGUGAUGCUGAGAAAAUAGUUUUGGCAGAGUACCAGCUGGAAGGAAAUGCAAAGUUUUGGUGGAAAGCUUCGAAGGAUAUGAUCUUUCCACUAAAUACCAAUGUGAACUGCGAUGAGUUUGUUAGAGCUUUUAAUAUGAAGCAUUUCUCUAACUGUGCUAAGGAUAAGAAGAUCAAUGAAUUUGUUCAGUUGGAACAAAGGGAGCUAACAGUGGAUCAAUAUAAGGCAAAAUUUUCUGAAUUGUCUAGGUAUGCUCCCAGAUUGAUUGAGGAUCAUGAGGAAAAAGCUAAGAGAUUUCUGAAAGGGUUGAGGACUGAUAUUAGGAAACAACUGGUGCCUUUGAAUAUAAGGAAUUAUCAUGAGAUUUAUGAAAGGGUACAGUUAGUGGAGCAAGAGCUGGUAAAAGAGCGAUCAGAGUCUAAGAGAUAGUGGAGCUUUAGUGAUAUCAUAAGAGGUAAGAGACCGUAUCCUGGUCAAGGUCAGACGUGGGAUGCGAAGAAAAAGAGCAAUUUUGGAAAUUUUGGAAGAGCUAGGGAUGGCCUGAAUAUAGGGAAAGCACUAGGGGUGUGCAACUAGACUGGGUCAACUCGAUUCCCGAAUUGGCCCACCCGGAAAACAGGGUCGGGAACCGAUUCUAAUUGAAACCGGUCCGGGAACCAAUUCCCAAAAUGUAGAACCGGUUUGAACCAGUCCGGGAACCGAUUCCAAGGGAUUACCCACCUGGGAACCGGAUCGACCGAACCGGUUUGGGAACGGGUUUGAGAACCAACCCAAAAAGACCAAAACCCUAAAUUAUUUCUAUCUGCUCUCACACCCGCAAACUUCCCCAAGCUCACAACCUCCACCGAUUCCCUGCACCGCCUAUCCCCUGCAACGCUGGCCUCCGAGCAGCAACGCCACACCACUCUCACUACCGCCUCACCAGCGAGCCCGCGCCUACCUCUCCGCCCAAGCGCUGAUUCGCGCUCGUCCUCACAUCUGCUAUCGCUGCACCAUAGAAGAGCCUGACGCCAACAGAUUUGAGCCAAUCGCCAUGACGCUCGCGCCUCCGAUCUCCUUUCCUGACGCUCCCCACAACAGCUCAACCCAGCACCAUCGCGCUUUGCCUCACCCGCAAGCCCACCGCCUCUGCUCGAGCCUCCACCCGCGACGCUCCUGCUUCGACACCCAUCAAAUCUACCCUGGACCCACGAAGCCGUCGUUGUCCCAUCUCGCCGAAACUCUCACCUGCGAGCACGCAUCCCUGCACUGCGCCACACCACCGUGCUUGCCUUGCUCCGCUCCUGCAGCUAGAUCCGACCACCGCGACCUCCGAUCAGUGACCCGACACCACAGAUCCAGCGAUUCGACAACCCGGCGUUGCCCUCUACUCUGUUCAUUUCUGCCAAUGACUGACGCCAGCAAACCCUAAUUUGUUCCAUCCGAGCACUGACGCUGCUUCCGCUCGUCCACCGUCGCCUUCCUCCUGCGACACCUGUAGCCCGUGAGAUCCUGACGUCACCACUCCGCCUCUCCCUGCUCCGCACCCUCCAAAAUCGCGAUGCCGCCUCUAUCAACCCGGUUCCUAGCUACUCGCCAACCUUGCAAAACAGGUUCCAGUAUAAAACAAGGUUAACCUUGUUCCUGGACCGGAAAAAUAGGGUGGGUUGGGAACAGGGUCCAUUGCAAACAAGGUCAAGAACAAGGUCCAAAAAAAGAGAACUAGUUAUAACAGGGUCGAGUACAGGGUCCAGGUCUAAAUCCUACCCACCUUGGACCCGAUCACCCCUAGAAAGCACCCUAUCAGCCUGAUGUUUGUCGAAGGUGUGAUGGGCGGCAUUGCCCAGGACCUUACAAUGGACGGCUAAGAUGUUAUGAUUGUGGACGAGUAGGUUACCUUAAGAAAGACUGCCCACAAGAGAGGUCGCAAAUGAGUGUUGGCUCGGUGCGACAGGCAUAGCAGAGUGCUGUUAGACUAAACUUACCAAGGAAUCCUCAGAGGCCACCGCACAAGGAAGGGUGUAUGUGGUCACCCAAGAGGAAGCGGAAGCUUCCAUAAAUGUUAUAUCAGGUACGAAUUUUAUAAAUGGCAAGAAGGCAUAUGCAUUAUUUGACACGAGUGCUACGCAUUCAUUUAUAUCUGAAAGAUAUAGGCAAUUGAGUGAAAUAGAAGUUACGCCUCUUGAGACGCCUCUUUGUGUUUCCAUGCCUUUAAAGAAUAUGGUAUUAUCUACAAUGAUGUGUGCAAAAUGUAAGAUAUCAAUAGGAGGAAGGGAUAUGGAAAUAAACCUAGUCGUAAUGGCUAUGUAUGACUUUGAUGUUAUCAUAGAAAUGGACUGGCUCCAUAAGCAUAAGGCUACGGUGGAUUGCUAUAGGAAAGUGAUCCAGUUCAUGUUGCUUGAUCAAUUUAGUUUCAAAUUUUUCGGAGGUUAGACAAACCCCUCUAUAGCCAUUAUCUCAAUGGUAGAAGCUUGUGAACUACUUGAUGAAGGAUGUCAAGGAUACCUAGCAGUGGUAAGAGAUCUUACUAAGAAAGAGGCUGAAAUCAGUGAGAUUCAAGUAGUCAGAGAAAUUUAGGAUGUGUUUCCUGAGGAGUUGCCUGGAUUACGACUAGAGUGAGAGAUUGAGUUUGAAAUUAAACUAAUGCCUGGAACAGGACCGAUAUCGAAAGCCCUGUAUAGGAUGGCCUUAGUUAAGUUGAAGGAAUUGAAGGUGCAACUACAAGAGUUGCUUGAUAAAGGAUUUACUAGGCCAAGUGCUUCACCUUGGGGUGCACCAGUUCUAUUUGUGAAAAAGAAAGACAGGUCGAUGCGUCUAUGUAUUGAUUACAGACAGCUGAAUCAAGUGACUAUAAAAAAUAAGUAUCAUUUACCUAGAAUUGAUAAUUUAUUCGACCAACUACAAGGAAGUUCAGUCUUUUCUAAGAUUGACUUGAGAUUGGGAUACCAUCAGUUAAGGAUUAAGAAAGAAGACGUUCCUAAGACUGCAUUUAGGACUCAUUGUGGACAUUAUUAGUUCUUAGUUAUGCCUUUUGGAUUGACGAAUGCACCAGCUGCAUUCAUGGAUUUAAUGAAUAGGAUAUUUAAGCCUUAUCUGGAUUAGUUUGUGAUUGUUUUCCUCAAUGAUAUCCCGGUAUAUGCUAGAGGACUUGAAGAGCACGAGCAACACUUGAGCAUAAUUUUGCAAACUCUGAGAAAUCAUAAGUUGUAUGCCAAAUUCAGCAAGUGUGAAUAUUGGCUAGACCGGAUAAUAUUUUUAGGACACGUGGUGUCAGGAGGAGGAAUUGCAGUGGACCCGGCAAAAGUUGAGAUGGUAAUAAAUUGGCCGAGAACGACAACACCCACUGAGAUCAAAAGUUUCUUAGGACUGGCUAGUUAUUAUAGAACAUUUAUUGAAGGAAUUUCACGACUGGCAGGCCCCUUAACAAAAUUAACGCGGAAGAAUGUAAAGUUUGAAUGGAAUGGAGAAUGUGAAAGGAGCUUUUAGGAACUUAAAAAGAAAAUUGACCACGGCUCCAAUCUUGACUAUACCAUCUGGGUCUGAUGGUUUUACAGUAUAGAGUGAUGCAUCUCACAAAGGACUGGGAUGUGUUUUGAUGCAACAUGGCAAUGUCAUAGCUUAUGCAUCAAGGCAAUUGAAACCCCAUGAAUUGAAUUACCCAACACAUGAUUUAGAAUUGGCAGCUAUAGUGUUUCCUUUGAAGAUAUGGAGACACUAUCUGUAUGGAGAGAAGUUUGAAAUCUAUAGAUCAUAAGAGCCUGAAGUAUUUGUUUUCGCAAAAAGAGUUGAACAUGAGACAAAGGAGGUGGAUGGAGUUAUUGAAAAAUUAUGACAGUGAGAUACGAUACCAUCCAGAAAAGGCAAAUAAGGUGGCAGAUGCCCUUAGUCGAAAGUCAGCUAUGGACAUGGCUAGUCUAAGAAUAACAGAGUGGAAUAUGUUAAAGUCUAUUGUGGAUUCAGACUUCAAGUUGGAAAUGGAGUAUGCUUACUACAUUAAGGAUUGAGCUUGAAAUCAUUCGGAAAGUUAAGAUUUUACAAAAAUCUGACCCGGAGAUUUUGAAGAUACAAAACGCUGUGUCUUUAGGAAAAGACCAGAAUUUCAAGUCUUUGAAGAUGGAGUGGUAAGAUGCCAAUGAUGACUUUGUGUUCCCGACGAUGAAGAAGUGAAGAGGGAAAUUCUAUCGGAGGCACAUAGGAGUAAUUAUAGUAUUCAUCCGGGUAGUACAAAGAUGUACAGGAAUUUGCGUCGGCAAUUUUCGUGGAAUGGCAUGAAAGUAGAUACGGCUAAACACGUUUCUCAAUGUGUAAUAUGCCAACAAGUGAAGGUAGAACAUCGCAAACCUGCAAGACUAUUGAGACCGUUAGACAUACUAGAAUGGAAAUGGGAGCAUGUAACGAUGGACUUUGUACAAGGACUACCAAGGACAUCAAAUGGUCACGAUUCGAUUUGGGUGAUAGUGGAUCGCUUGACUAAGUCUGCUCAUUUCCUAAUUGUCCGCAUAAACUAUUCAAUGAAUAAACUUGCUGAGAUGUAUGUAAGCCAGGUAAUACGCUUACAUGGUAUUCCUGUAACGAUCACCUCUGAUCGAGACUCUAGGUUUACUUCAAAUUUUUGGCGAAGCCUCCAAAAUGCCUUAGGGACAAAGCUUCAAUUUAGUACUGCAUUUCAUCCUCAAACAGAUGGACAAACAUAAAAAGUGAUCUAGACUCUAGAAGAUAUGCUGAGAGCCUGUGUUAUUGACUUUAGAGGAAAUUGGGAUGAAAAUUUGCACCUAAUAGAGUUCGCAUAUACUAAUAGUUUUCAGAAAAGUAUAGGCAUGGCUCCAUAUGAUAUGGAAGAAGAUGCAGAACCCCUAUCUGUUGGAAUGAAGUAGGUGAAGGAAAACUAACAGGACCCGAGCUAGUGCAAGUUACUACAGAAGCGAUCGAGAUAAUCAUGAAAAGACUUAAGACAGCCCAGAACCGACAAAGAGACUAUGCAUAUAGGCGUAGAAGGCCUUUAGAGUUUAAUGUGGGAGAUCAUGUAUUUCUUAAAGUAUCCCCUAUGAAAGGGCGGAUUGAACAAGAGGGGGCGUGUUGCACGAAGAGAGAGGAGGAAAGAGAGAGAGAGAGUGACUAUCCGAGAGAAAGAGAGAAGAAAGAAAGGGAAAGAGCAAGCGAGCGAGAGAAGAAGGGGAAGAGGGAGGCCAAUUUGCUGCCGUUCGUCACCGCCGCCGAGUCCCGCCUUGCCUCGCCAUAUUUGCUUGCUGUUUUGUGCUCGGAUUAGAGGCGAGUAGAGUCCUAAAACCUACCCUUUGUUUGCUGUGAUAUGUAUUGUAAGGGAUGAUAAACUUUGGUUGUGGUAGAAGUAAAAAAAUCGAAGCUCUAGGGAAAAAUAAGGUAGCCUUGCAUUCUGUUUUCUAGAGAGGCAGUCCGACCUUUGAUGAAUUUGUGAGCUGCAUGCCACUUUUUAGUUGAAAUCUCACUUCGACUUCUUGACGAAAGUUGUAGAGAACUUCUUCGAGAGUAACAUAUCAAAAUUUCAAAAGAAAUGAACAAGUAUAGACCGGUGAAACUAUUUUUCUUUGAAGAAGUUAGAUCUGGAAAUCGUAAUGCUGACCUAGUGUGAUUCUGUGAAUUUUAUAAAAUUCUCUGGUUGAAUUUUGAUCUCAUGUUCUGAAUGAAAGUUGAAUAUGACAUAUUAAUGAGUAACAUACUAAAAUUUUAGAGGAAAUAGAUGAGUUUAGGUUGGUGAAACGAUUUUAUCCGAAAUGGUCAGAUCUGGGAAUUUUUGCUGAGGGUUCGAAACGGCUACGGUGAUUAUAGUUUUUAACCUAUCAUAAAACCGAUUUCGAGUUCUUCAUGAAAUAUUUACUUCUGAAUCUCAUCUAUAAUAUAUAAAAAUUUCAGAAUUUUUGGAGUUCAUUUAGGAUUUUUACUGAAUUUGUGAAUGAAACUGUGUAUGGCAAUAUUCCGAAAUUAUAAAGACUGUGAUAUGUGGACUGUACCGAAUUGUAUGAUGUUCUUUUGAUAUGGUGUCCUUCACGGAAUAUGUUCCUCUAGAUCUUUUAUAUAACAUGUCAAGUUUUUAGAAUUUAUUAAGGCUUUUUACUAAAUUUUCAAGAAUUAUGACCAAAGGAGUGCAAUCUCUUUUUAUCCGAAAUUGCUGUAUUUUCAAAAUUAAAUGAAAUUGCUCCAUGGGAUAUAAUGUCUUGAGUGGUUGAUUAUGCUGCAUAUGUGGUGACAUAUAGCAUGUUAUAUGAUGUCAAAAACUAGUUGAGACCCUUGAUAUUGUUGCAUCAAAUGCCAUGUUGAAAUUGAGAUACAUGUGUGAAUAUAAAUUGAGAUAAUAACGAGACCGUCGGAGGUGUGAGCCAACGAUGCCCCGGGAGUAUUGGGAUGCCCGGAGUGUGUAUUGGGAUGCCCGGAGUGUGUGUGCCGGAUGCCUUGGGAGUGUUGGGAUGCUCGGAGGUGUGUGCCGGGGGGAUUCCUCGUGAUGCUAGUUGGGGUACAAGAUGCCCAGAGGUGCGUGCCGGAUUACCGAAGGUGUGUGCUGGAGGCUCCUCGCGAUGCCAAGUUAGAUGCGAGCGAUAAAUUGUGGGAUGCAAACAUUGGUCCCUGGGAAGAAAAUGAUGUGAUCUAAUUGAAAGAUAAAGAUCGAGAAAUUGAAUCAUAUGGCAUGGGAUGAACCUCAUGGGAAUGCAAGCAUGGAGUGCAUGGUGGUAUAUGCACGUUACAUGGUGAUAUAUGCAUGGCUGCUUGAUGAUACAUGUAUAAGUGCAUGGUGGUAUAUACACGUUGCAUGGUGUUAUGCAUGGCUACUCGAUGAUAUAAGUACAAGUGCAUGGUGAUUUAUGCAUGUUGUAUGGUGAUAUAUGCUUGGCUAUAAGGUGAGGUAUGCUUGAAUGCAUGAAUGAUAUGUGUUUUAUUUUUGAUACCUUGAUUGUUCUAUUUGACGCAUUGUGUAGUUUGGUGGAUCUUUACUGCUGAGUGGUUGUACUCAAUCCUUUUGGGGAUUAACAUUUCAGAUUAGAAAAAUGCCUUUGCUACCAGUUGCACGCGGUACUUAUUAUGGAUUGCCAUCUGAUGUCGAGGUGGAGUGGACGGAGCAUUCCUGUGUUAGUGUGCCUGGUCUGGUGUUUGUUCAAGUCUGUGUCUUAGUGAUGUACGAUGUGGGUCUUGCUAAUGGCCUGGUUGUCCAAGAGUUUUUGUCUGUUCAUGUCCGACGUGGUGGAGUGAUGCUAGGGAUGCUGCCGCCACCGUCGCCCAAUGCACCGAAUUGGGUGUGAUGGCACAUAUAGCUGGUGGGAGCUGACACUUUUCGGGGAUAGCCGCCGCUUGUUGAUGGAGGGGUGUACAUGUUUGAUGUGGGGUUGAGUUCUCUUUUGAGUUAUAGCCAAGUAUAGUUAAAAAUCUUGGCCUUUUGUUGUACCGACCCGAGAUGUCCAUCGUGAAAAUGUAAACAAAAAGCGACUCGGCUUUAUCAUUUUAUAUGGUGAAUAGUUGGUGUGCAAUUGCAUUAUUGUUAUUGGAGUGAGGGAUGGUGAGAUAUGUUUAUGCUUCCGCUGAUGAACUGCGCUGGGACCUUUACAAAAAAAAAUGGAAAAGAAUUCUAUUGAUCAAUCCCUAUGAACUAUGGUUUCACUUUAAUUAAAAAGUUACCUUAUUGGUAUGUAGUAGGAUGAGUGACAAGUACCUGUGGUGACCUUAACGGAUCGGGAGCCGUCGAGGGGUUCCACAUAUUGAAUAGAAAUAAACAAAUUACAUUGUAUGGAAAUGGAAAUCCUAGAAAACAAUCAAAUACAAAGAAUCAAGCACUAGAAAGCAUAAAUACUCCUAUACAAAUGAGUGUGUCAACAAUCAAAGAUGCCCUAACUCUAGGUGAUUUGAACUCAUCCUAUCAUCCAGCCUUACAUCAAUGGCAAAGACUGCUUUUUCCAUUUGUGCAGAUAGCCUCAUUAUUUGAUAGAUCAUCCCAACCAGUGGGCAUAAUGUCCUUGACAACAAGAUCAAUGCUUCGCAAUUUAGAGCAUAGCACAUAAUAGUCCUACUCGUUGCUUAAAUUGUUCCAUUGUACUAAAAGGCUCGAUGUUUGGAGGCAAGAGUAUAAAUUGGCCCAAAUCUCACACUCUCGCGAUUGGGUCGGGUGCUCUUGACACUAGCUCAAUCAAAAGGCUACCCUGUAGUCUUGCAAUCUCAAGUAUCAAGAAAGAAAGUUCAGGGUUUGAAAAGUGCAAUCCUUAGUCUCGUAGUUUUGUGGACAAGGUUGUAUCAUCUCAACACCAUCCUUUUUUUUUCCAAAUAUGCAAUCUAGGUUUGAUCGCAGGAUUCAUGCAAAAGUUUAGUGUUAGAUCAAAGUAAAACAUGCAUAACAGUUUAUAAUAUGCAUACAUCACUUCAAAAUAUUGAUCUAACACAUACAUUCUCAACAUCUCUCUACAAAACAAAGUGUUAUGAUUCAUCCCUUAUAACUUUCAUAUGCAAGAACAUUUAACAUAACUAUUAGUGGCACACCUUAUCUCCAUACUACUCAAACGAAAACAAUUUUUAAAAGAGAAAAUUCAGGCCUAAGUCAUUUGGAAUUGUCAAGUUGUUGGGACCUUUCCAGGAGUGAACCACCAAGGAAAAGAUAAUAGAUUACUAGGUAGGGUACGAAUGGUAACUCAUUAAAGAAGGUACAUUUGUCUAGUGUAGACUCUCCCGAACCCAUACCAGUCAUAACUUUGAGUUUUAAUUAAAUCAAUUAACUAUGUAAAAUCACCACUAAUUUUUACAGGUUAAUUGGAAACCCAAGUAAAACAUAAGAGAACAUUUUACUUCUACCGAUUAAAGAUUCAUGGAUAUUGGGAUUCGGUUAUGCAAGAUAAAUCUACCACCCUUUUGGUACAUUCUCUCUUUAUUUUAAACAUGUCUGGAAGCAGUUUAGAUCAUUUAAUCCUAAGCUACUAAUAUGCGAUGGGUGAUCAAGAGGGUGCACAAGGGUGAUCAAGAGGUAAACGACUAUGUAAUGCGCACAAGGGUGCGCAAGCAAGAAUUUAACACUUAAUAUUCAAAGCGAUAAAUAAACUGCUUAGGAAAGAGUAAAGAACCUCAGCACGUUAAGCAAACUUUAUUGUCAUCCAAUGCACAAAGUAUUCUGCAGUAUGUUAACUAAGAAUUAAACGACUAUGUAAUGCAUGCAUCUAGACAAGAUUUCUACAUAUGAUUAUACAAUGCUAAUUAUUUCUAUCUACAAGAUGAUGUCAUUAAAAUCAAUCCUAAAAAUAUGUGACUCUCCAUAUGACGUGCAAUGUUGAAUGUCAUCAAUAUGAGAUAUGGAUGCAAUAUUUUUUGAGAUUUUCUUUAAAAGUAAAAAUAGGAAACUACUAUUCGAGAAAUGCCUUAUGAUGUUUUGAAGAUGACAAAAUAAAUCAAAGGUUACUAACGUGUUUAAUGGUUGAGUAAUAGACUAUGCAGAUGAUAGAACAUGUAAAGGAUAUUGUCGAAGUCUAUACUUGGAAGAACCAAAAAACAGACUCUAUGCUGAAGCUGAACUUAUUCAAACUGUGUCCAAACCUUAAGGCUAAAUAUGUUCAGACUUACGUCUAGAUUGUAAAGUCUAUUUCAGAUGGAAGACACUCAAACUUUACUUUCAACAAACUUUACUUUCAACAGAACACUCUUAGACUUUACAUCUAAAACGAGACACAAGUCCAUAACGUGACAAGGUCCAGAACGAGACACAAGUUCAGAAAGUAGUAGAUUCAGAACAAAACAUGUUCAGAACGAGACAACUUGACAGAACGUAACACAACCCCCAAACAUAUAACGGCUAGUGAUUUGGUUUGGAUUCUACAUCAAGAUAGAUUUGAUUGACUCAAUCUAAUUGAUUGACAAUUAGAUCAUGAAGACAAGAACUUUCUAAAUGAAGAAGCUCUACAUAUGGAAACCAAGAUUUUGUUUGUAUGGGCGAUUAGAAUCAAUUUGGAAUUCUACUUCUAUCACUCAACGGCUAAUAAAUCUUCUUGAUACAGAUCUGUCCAAUGGGUAGAUUGGAAGACGAUUCUCUAGAUAUUAUCCAACAGCUAGUUUGAAAGUGGAGGAGUAUUUAAGGAGACUAAGAACCGAUGAGCAAGUAAGAGAUGAAGCGUAGAAUUUAUAAUUUCAAAGUCUAAGUGACCUUCGAUCAUACACUUGUCUCUUGUGAGCUUAAACGUUUGUGAUCGUGAGAGAAAUACCAAAAGAGUGACUUAGUGAGAUAGUGUGAUCUAUCACUGAGUAUUUGCACUCAAAGUUGUAAUCUCUUGUUGAUCGCAUAGUGGAAUCCAGCCAAAAGGCUGUUAGUAUAGUAGAGUGGACGUAGGCUUGAUCUAAGCCGAACCACUAUAAAUUUCUUGUGCAACAUUCUCUUUCCGUAACUCUUUAUAUUUAAGUCUAUUGCAUACUUAUAUGUUAUUUCAGAAGUUUGUUCCAUUGUAUAACAUAUUCUAAACAUCAACCAAAAGUCUGGUGGCUAGCUUAUCAGACUUUGAUCCUUAUUCAGACUUUUCUCAAAAUUUAUUUUAUUAUGCAUUUAUUAGCCAAGAUUUAUUUUAAAUACUUAUUCACCUCCUCUAGGUGUUCGUACUAGCACUUUCAACUACCUAAUUCCACAUGAUGAAUUUAACCAAUAAGAAAAUUAAAUAUCAUUUUUAUGUGAUGCAUCUAAUCUAAUGAUAUGCAUAUCCUAAAGUUCUACAUGAUUAGUGAUUAAGUGACAAUGAAAUCACUAUAUUAUAUUAAUAAUUACUAAGGCUAACCUUAGAUUAUUAAAUAUCACUUCAUGAUAUGUACAUAAAAUGGGAAAGAUUUAAUUCGGUAUCCAAUCUUUAGUCUCAAAGAUUCGAUUUCCUAAUUUAUCCAACCGAAACAAAGAAUGAAAAUAUUUAAUUGAGGCUCCAAUCUUCGCGCUUAAAGAUUCGAUUUCCCCGAUUAAACUUUUCUUUACAAAUCAAAAUAUUUAAAAUAGGAAACUAAAUAUUCUAACUUAUCUUAAUACGCGAGGGAUAUACGCAAUAUCUAAUUACUAGUUCUAAUCGGGCGAGAUUGUGAUGACAUGAGCGGACAAAAUGAACAUCAGACCGAUUGACUAGCGCUAAGAGGUUACUCGAGUUGCCGUAGAGUAGCUGUGAAACGUUGGAGUGCCACCGGUACAGCUAGGUGGCUAGGAACUCGCCUGAAGAUUUUCGGGUAAUGGCUAGACAUUAUAGUGAUGCUAGCUGCGUCGGAAGCUUAUCUGGAGCACCGAGAAACCUUCAAUAAAAGUGUCAAGCAACAGGGUUCAAGGAUGUGAUGACGGUGACAAGGGCUGGUGCUCGUUGAGAAUCACUCGGAUGCAUGCGAAGCUGCUCAGAGUCGGUCACAGACUGGUGCGGGUGUGCUGGUGCUUGCUGAAGCUGAGGUUGAGCGAUGGUGAUGCUGAGCACAGCGGUGGGAAACUUGUAGGAGAUGGUUAGAUCGAAGCGAAGCUCGGUAAGUUGGGCCGGUGCUUCUGCAUUGGUGCAAGUGGAGUGGCAAGGGAAAAACAGUGAGUCGAGUGGCAAGGGACAGCGACCAAGUGGGGCUUGGCGGCCUUGAAAAAAUUCGGGACCUUCGUUAAACGUUCCCUCAAUUUUCUCGCUUUUGUAUGUGUGCCUCUUAGUUUCUAGCCCCUGUUUUGAAUUAGAAGGAAAGAAUACUUAUAUAGGUAUAGAUCUAGGGCUUUACAUAAGAUACCACUUUCCUAAAUUAAACAAAAGAGAUUAUGUGAUAUGUUCAAGAUAGAAUAUUGAGGUAUUCUCUUUCUUUUUUCCCCCAUAAUUAAAAUUUACAAAAAUAAUGCUUUUAUUGCAUACAAACUUAAUUAGAUUAUUUUUACCCAAAAAAAAACUUAAUUAGAUUAUGCAAUUUUUCUUAAUUCGCACCUCCCAUGUCAUCUCAUAUGCAAAUUUUGGCCACUUAGGUUAUUCAAUAGACUUGGCCGAAUUUUUACUUUUGUAGACUUAUUCUAAUAAUUAAAUUAAGUUUAAAGCCCCUUACUUGAACCCAUUUGCUCCAGUUAAAUUAUAAUGCAAUUUAUGUGGGUCUAAUAUUUUUAUAAAAAUGCUCCUCAUUUGCAAAUGCAAAUUAAUAGUGUUUUUUUUUUUUAGGGGAUGAGACAGUCUCCCAAUUUUCCAUACAUUGAAUGGGUUACCAAAAUUUAGAUGUCAACAGAAAAACUACAAGGCACUCUUCUACAACCUUAAUGACUUCCAUUCUUUCCCCCACUGCUUUUACUUUGUAACUCAUCUUCAAUUGAAAAGCAUGUCAGUUUCAAUUUGAGAAAAUUGUACAUACCUCCGUAAUCAUUUCACCGUGUUGGAAAUAUUAAUUACAUAUCAACACUAUUUGUCGUAAUAUGAAAAAAGCGAUAACAAAAUAAACAGGUGAUGAGGUGCAACUAACUGAAUCUCUUUAAGGUGAUUAGUUCCUUCCAACAAUACUAAACAACUUCACGAAUUAUGUCUCCCAAGAUACAACAUGUCGAACAUGUUUGUAUCAACACUAUAUGAACAGAACUCUGUUGAGCACUUCUCAAAACUGACACACUUAGACAAUGACUACCGAAAAAAUUAGAUAAGUACUUUGAGGCAUUUUUGUUGUUAUUUUGAACUAAGAAGACAUGCCUAUUUAUAGAUGAGAGAAACAGCCGUAGAAAAUUGAAAGGAAAUGAACUCAAAAAUCAUGUCGGUUAUGCUUGUAUUAGUUUUUUUGUUUUUUGGUCGGUAUGCUUGUAUUAGUUGAGUCAUUGACACUUAAUAACAACAAUAUUAAAUUCAAAAACCAUAGCGAAGAGUCAUUAAACCGUAAUUGCAACAAUUAGGGCAUAAUUUGAAGGGACAUAAUGGUUACACGUGAAUUGAAGUGACAUCUCACUAAUGUUGAGCCAUUAAAACCUAUAAUUACAACAAUAAUUACAACAAUCUUCCCCAUCAAAGACUCUACAGAACUUUGACUCAAAGAAAUCCAAAGGUGCAUGUGGAAAAUAAACUGCAUCAAGAGAGGUAACUUCGCUUUGAACCUUCUUUAGUGAAAGUCUACCGGACUUACCUAACCAAUCAAUGGAUUAAGCCUUGAAUCACUAGUUGUUGGUAUAAGCGCAAACAAUAGACCUCACAUAGAGUAUCUCUGAAUCAAUAUUGGUUCUCGAUUAUGUUUAUUCUUUCAGGCAUGAACCUCUUGUGAUUCAUGCAUGCUUUAGAAAAUCUAGCCUUUGAAGAUUUUCAAAGAUUUUCAUAGAGUCGGCCAGCCCCACACAAAUAGGCGCAUUCUUAUCAAAGGCAUGCUACCAUACUUUACUAGGAUAUUGGAAUCCAAGCUAUAUGAAUCAUUAAACGCAUAGCAUACCCUAAAGACAAUAUAGGCACUGUUGCAUCAUAGGAAUGUGACACAAUGUGCACGCUAAAGUUUCCAAAAUGUGUGGUUUUUGAACCUAGUCUAUGGGAUCUCCAAUCACUAGGUUAGGUUUCCACCUCAUAACCUCUUUAAUAAUAAAAACUUUUAACCCCAUUCCUUUUGAUGUGCAGUUUACUUACCCUCUCGACAAACCUUUUGUCAACGGAUCCACAAUGUUUUCCAUUGACUUCAUAAAGUCCAAAGAAAUUAUUAUGUUCAAGUGCAAUUGUCUCACAAUAUUAUAUCUAUGAUGAUUGUGUCUAGACUUACCAUUAUAUAUCACAUUUUGUGCCCUUGCAGUCACUUCUUAAUUGUCAUAGUGAAUGCAUAUCAGAGACACGGGUUUUGGCCACAAUAGAACAUAUUCUUAAAAUUGCCAAAGCCACUCUACUUCUUCUAUCACGACCCGAACCCCAUCUCCAGGGUUGCAAGCGACAAGGGUUAUUUUUCCAAGCCCACCAAUAUCAAUAAUCAGAAGGAUGGGAACGUGCUCUUUCAUGUUCGCAUCUAGUAAGAAUUCCAUAAUUGUCUUCUUAUCAUCAUCUCUCCCUAUAAUAUCUCCCUCUCGUAUAAAGGGAUGCGUCUCUUCUCUCUUCCUCCACUCUCUCUUGGGGCGCUCAUCCAAGUGGAAUCCCCUAUUAGCCUUAAUGGCUUCUAUUCUCUUCACACUGCUCUUACUUUUUUACUCCACUUCAGUUUAAAAGCAAGUUGGUUUGAACUUUGAGAAAAAUAUCUUUACCUUCUUGAUCAUUUCAUUAUGGCCCCUUAAUUCACGUCACAUGACUUCUAUGUUGAAUUCUUCAAGCACAUCGCAUCAUAAAAAGCGUCUUUCAGUUUCUCGAGCCAAACUUGGAUUUGGCGAAUCUGGUGGUAUUGCUCUUCUGCAUCGUCCAGAAUAGCGUGAAUUGUGGAGACUGUGUCUUUGAGCUUCGCCAGUUCGUGCUUGACGCCCCCAAUAACUCUCCCACUUUUUCUAUUGCUUGAGGAACCAGCUUUGCAAUGAUAUCUCCAGCAAUGUUCCCAAUGACAGCUUCCGCCAUUUUGUUCUCUCUAUCUCUCUGUGUCAGUCUCUCUGGCUCUAUCAGUGGAGCAGAAGAUAUUACUACAGUCGUUUAUAAGGCUAGAGACUUCCAAGACAUGUACAACAAGUUCAUGUUAAAGAUGGGAAUUCUCCUCAGCCACGCGUAAUAGAAAGAUGACGCUGUCAAUAAUGCAUAUGGGACCCACCUAGGUUAGGUCCAAGGUUUUGGCCUGUCUAAAGACUUUGCGUCCAUCUAGUAUUUAGUAGUCUAGCAUGCUUGCGUGGGCAAUGACAAUGCUGGCAUUGAAGUGACAGAGAUAUUUAUUGAUUAGUUUGUUUUUAUCUAACAGUUUCCGUGGCCCAUAAGCAAAUGGAAAAGAGAGGAAUAUUUAAAUGUCAAUAAUGAGAAAUUCUUAUCAGAAUAUUGACAUAGCAUUUUUCAACAAUAUUUUUUUUAUUGAAAUGGCAAUUAGUUCAAAAAAAAAAUAUUCAUGUAAAGUUGAUGUGACUAUUCUAUCCUAAAACGACGUCAUUUUACCUCAAAAUUUGAUUUUUAAUAUAAAUAUUAAUUAAGUUAAAUUUUAAAAAAAAAUGGUUAUGGCAAUGCAAUGAGGGCUCACUACUACUGCCACCCCACCAUCACUAGAAAGGUCCAAUGACAAUGGAGCAAAGGUCGGUCGAGGUUCUCAAGCCUCAACCAAUGGUCGAUGACCCUGGCCAACUAGUGGCAAGAGUCGCCGACCAUCGGCCAAAGGUGCCAAGGAUCGUCACUAACUGUGGCAUGGCUAGAUGACCCUUCCCCAGCCAGCGGCAACCUUGGCUGAAAUGGGUGAGGGCCGACGACCCUCAUUGGAUUUGGGGGAGGGUUGCGAGCCAUUGCCAACAAUAGGCUAGGGCCAGGGCUCGGCACUAGUCAAUCCUCACCCCACAAUCAUCGACCCUUUCGAUGGUGGCAGAGGCGGCGGCGGCAACAGCGGCAACAACAGUGGCGAGGCGCUUACUACUUUGCUAAAACCUUUUUUUUUUAAUAAAUUUAGUUUUUUAAUUUAACUUAUUUAAUUUUUAUAUUAAAAAUCAAUUUUGGGGCAAAACAACGUCAUUUUGCACUUUUAUUGCUGAGUAGGGAACUCCGAUGAGCCACUUAGACCACAUUUAUUCUUUUAAAAAAAAUGUAACAUCGGAUUUCUAACUAUCAUCAUCGAAGUUGGCACUUAAUUGUCCCAAUUUUCAAAAAAGAAGAAGAAGUGAUACUUAAGUAUAUUUUUUGGAAGUUUUGACAUUUAAGUGUCUAUUUGUGCUAGGUUUCAAUACUUACAAUAUACUUUUGUGUGGCACCCCUCGACGGCCCCCGAUCCGAUUUGGGUCGCCACAGUUUGCUUACCAUUUACUUUCCUAAUAACAUGUCACUCUGAUACCAUUUCAAUUGCAGCGGGUCCAUACAACCAUGGGGGUUUACAUCUUUUAUUAACGGUCCCUUGCGCAAUUUACAUAACGGAAGCAUAUCCAACAAUUCCCUUCCCUACAUUCAGAAAUCGAUGCACACCAACUAAACAUUUAUAGGUAAAAGCCGUACACUUUUGUUUACAUAACUUGAUGAACAUCAUUAGUCGAUACAUCAAAAUUGCCACAGUCUUUCUAUACUUGGCUAUAUUUUAAAAGAUGACCGACAUCUUCUCCCACAAUCGUAUGCUUAAGGUCCAUCAACUAGUGUCGGCGUCCAAAGGUUCCCUCCUUUGCUAUUCUUCUCCUCACGGUCAUAUCCAACCGCUCAAACCAUCUACUAAUCUAAAAUGUUGGUCAACAAAAGGGGUGAGUACAACCACUUAGCAGGUAAAGGAAUCCAAUAACAACUCGAUGCAUCAUACAAAUCAUACAUGCAUUACAAGCGUAACUUACCUUGCAGCCAUGCAUAUUACUAUCAUGCAUCAUCAUGNNNNNNNNNNNNNNNNNNNNNNNNNNNNNNNNNNNNNNNNNNNNNNNNNNNNNNNNNNNNNNNNNNNNNNNNNNNNNNNNNNNNNNNNNNNNNNNNNNNNNNNNNNNNNNNNNNNNNNNNNNNNNNNNNNNNNNNNNNNNNNNNNNNNNNNNNNNNNNNNNNNNNNNNNNNNNNNNNNNNNNNNNNNNNNNNNNNNNNNNNNNNNNNNNNNNNNNNNNNNNNNNNNNNNNNNNNNNNNNNNNNNNNNNNNNNNNNNNNNNNNNNNNNNNNNNNNNNNNNNNNNNNNNNNNNNNNNNNNNNNNNNNNNNNNNNNNNNNNNNNNNNNNNNNNNNNNNNNNNNNNNNNNNUCAUGCAUAUCAUACCAUGGGUGAUCAUCAUGUCACAUCACAUAUCAUCACCAUCAUCAUGCAUAUCAUACCAUGGGUGAUCAUCAUAUCACAUCACAUAUCAUCACCAUCAUCAUGCAUAUCAUCAUGCAUAUCAUACCAUGGGUGAUCAUCAUAUCAUAUCAUCACCAUCAUCAUGUAUAUCAUACCAUAUCAUGCCAUGAGUUAAUUUUCAUCUUUAUCUUUAAAUUUGAUCACCACAUCACCCUUCCUCGAUUCAUCAAUUUCAUCCCAUAUUUUACACUCGCAUCCCAUGCGAGAAAAACCUCCGGGCAUGUAUCCAAGAUACAACCGGGCAUCCGGCCCCCCACAUUCCGGGCAUCUCGCAUCCCAACUAGCAUCACGAGGAACCUCCGGGCAUGUAUCCAAGAUACAACCGGACAUCCGGCCUUUACCCUUCUAGCCGGGCAUCUCGCACCCAAAUCCUGGCAUCGCGAGGCAUUCCCUUCGGGCAAAGACCUCCGACAGGGCUUCCGGAAUUAUGUACCAACAUACCACCAGGCCUCCCCUGGAAUUACGUACCGUAUACCACCGGGCAUCCCGACACUCCCGAGGAAUCUCCGGAAUUACGCCACUAGGCCACCGAGCAUCAUCAUCCACCACAACCACUUCCUCACUUAUCAUUAUCCACAUUUACCAUUAUUUUGAUCUCAAUUUAACAUGGCAUAUGAUUCACACAUGCAUCACAAUUCAUGGCCAUACAUACACCAAUGUCUUAUCAUACAUGCAACAAUGCAUAAUUAUUUAUUAAUAAAUUCAACGGAAUUUAUGGCCAAUAAAAUAAUCCAUUUUAUUAUUAUUAUUAUUAUUAUUAUUAUUAUUUUAUUAUUAUUUUAUUUAUUUUUAUUAUCAUAUUUAUUUAUUUCCAUAAAUAAAUAUUAAAUUCAAUAUCUAUGAUUUUCCCAAAAUCAUAAAAUUCAAGCAAUCAUUAAAUCAAACCAAUAGGAUGACAAUUGCAUGAAAAAUUCAUGGCCAACUUGAAUUUCACACAAUUUCACAAUUUCCACUAAAUAGCACAUAAUAUUCGGAUAAUGACCAGAAUACACAGUUUCCGAAGAAAUUCGAUUAAAAUAUCCAUACGGUCUCCAAAAAUUACGAAAUUUUACAGAGUGAUAGCCAAGACAUUUUCGUACAACUUUCAUGAAGAACUCCAAGCCAGAUUAUUUUUAUAUUAUUUUAUACAACCUCACGAAGCUUCUGGAUCUACUACCGCAUCGUCCAGUGCACAUAUCACCGAAAUAUUAAGAUUUGACCUACCUAUUCUCUUUCGUUUCCUCUGAAAUUUAGAUAUGUUAUACAUCAAGGUGUCCUAUACAAGUUUCAUGAAGAGAUCUAAGUCAAAUAACCAGAGUAGAGUUAUCAUUUAGGUCCUUGAAUUCUCGGAUAUCUCAAAAUACAUCACCAGAAUCAUCUCCUUCAAGAUCUAGUCGAUUCACUAGGGUAUACUUGUUCAUUUAACUUAAAAUUUAAGUAUGUUGUAUUUUAAGAUGUUACCUACAACUUUCAUGAAGACAUCAAAGUCAAAUAUUCAACAUAAAUCAACAUGCAAACAAGAAUCCAACAAGAAGUCAGUGAAAACUUCACAGAUCUAGGGUCUCCGUAUAAUAGAACUUUAACCCCUCAUAUCUUCAUCAUUUUCCACGAAAUUUCCGUAUGUUGUAGUUCAAGAUGUUAUCUACAACUCUCAUGAAGAUAUCACAGCCAAAAUCGAACUCUAAACAUGCAUUCAAGCUCUCACAACAUUCUGACUCAAACAGUUCAUACGAAAAUAUUCCAGAUCUAGCAUCCCCGUAGGAUGAGAGUUUGACCCCUCAAAUCUCAAUCAUUUUCCACGAAAUGUUAUUAUGUUGUAUUAAAAGAUGUUAGCUACAACUUUCAUGAAGAAAUCGAAACAAAAAUCGGACUCUAAACACACAUGCAAGCUCAAACAAGUUUCUGACUCCAAACAGUUCAUGCGAAAACAUUGGUGCAAGAGUAGAAAGUGGAUUCCCAACUUGCCUCUAGACCUCACGAACAGCACGAGCGGACGGCACACGGCGGCGAACGGGCUCCUUUCUCUCCCUCUCGGCUUCCUCUCUCUCUUGCACGAUUCUCUCUCUCUCUCCCUCACUUGGCCGAAUGGCUAACCAGCCAUUCUCUUUCCUCUUCUUCCCUUUUAUAUUGCAUGCACUCUAGGUUUGCAUGAGGGACAAGUGUAAUUGUGGAGGAAGACAAGUGUCCACCAUGCUUCACCUCCUCCAUGCCACUUGUCCUAUUGCAUGCAUCAUGGGCCGGCCACCUCUUCCUUUGGGCCUUAAUGGGCCGGUCGAACUCCCUCUUGGGCCGACUAGCUUGGCCCAUCAAGCUUAGGCCAAAUGGGCUUAAGGCCCAUUCGAAAAUUAACCCAUUUUUCCCUUCUUUUCUUUUGAAUUCCUUCUAUAAAUAUUUUUAAAUUUCCAUUUUCAUCUUGGCCAAAGUCUUGGGACAUUUUGUUCAUUGAAAUUUAAUUUAUAAAGUACAUGGCCAAGCAUAAAUUAUUAAUCUAUCAAAUCUAAAUUUUCACAAUCAUAUGCACAAAUCAUCUAAUUAAAGACUAAUGGCUAAAGCAUAAGCCAUGGAAAUUUUUAUCACUUGAUUAGGAACUUUAACACACCUCAUGGCUUGGCUUUGAAUUUUGGGAUGCCACAUUUUGUCCAUUUUCCAAGGUAUUGUCAUCCUCUAUUCACCAUCCUAAAAAGUCGUAACCAAAUUGUAAAUGCAAUAUCAAUCAAUCCUCCAAAGUUUUUUUGUCGUUACUCAAGAAUUAAACCUAUUUAAUAGGUAUAGUUAUUGGUGCAUAAUUUCCUAAUUAAAUUAAAUUUCCCUGCAUGUCUCUUUUUCUAAGAAGAAUGUGGCCUUAUUCAUCUUGCUAUGUUUCUUUAAGCUUAUUCGGAAGCAGUUUCAAAAAUUAUUCCACCACUCAGAUCAAUUUGAUAGCGACUCUCCCAAAUUUUUAAAUAUCGCAUUAAUUUUCAUCUUUUGGUUUUAAUACACGUGGAGAGCGAUUUUGAGGGUAUUAAUUACUUUCUACUUUUUGAUUAAUUCAUGGCUCACUGGAUAUUGUUAUAACUAUUAUUUAAUGAAAGGUUUUGCGUAGUCAAUACAUUUAUUUAAAAUUAUUGUUUUUGGUUAAAGGCUCCGUCCUUUAUAUUUUCCAAAGGAUAGCUAGUCAUUUUCUAAAUCUUGGGAUGCAUUUGCGAUAUGACAAAGCUGAUAUUAGAACUUAAGUUAUGAACUUAGGGAAUAUUAGUUAGCUUUUAUGGGGAUCUAUGAGGUGUGAGCUGCAAUUUAUCAGUUACUCAUAUAUAUGUAUGUAUAUUUACACAUAUGCAGUCCAUGUUGGGAUGGAGAUUCUUUUCGUGAAAAUAGAAAUUUCUAUAUGCUUAGAUAACAUGGUUGAUUUAUUAAAAUUCAGAUGAGAUCUCUAUAUCUCUCAAUUCAUAUUCAAAACACUUCUUCUUAUUAUCACAUAACAUUCUCACUAUCAUUUUACUAGAAAAUUGCAGCUUGAUUAGCGAACUUUGCUCUCCUUACUAAUUUCUCAAAUUUAUUCGCUUCCUAUGACUAAUGCUUCUACGUUAUUGCUUUAUUUAUUUAUUUUUAUUCUCUAAUUAAAUAAAAAAAAAUUCAUUAAGAUCUCUUCCUAUAUUGGGCAAUACCAAAAGCUGCGCAUUUAUGCCAUGUAAAACCCUAUAAUUAGACAUUUCAUCAUUUUCAUGCAUGUCACUCACCUUUCUAGCACACACACUUUGUGUACAAUCUCUUACUAGUUCAACUUCCGGUGGCAAUUAUCGAUUAGUGAUGCCUGAAUUUUUGUCGACUGGUAAAGUAUGCAUUUUUGCAAAAAUAAAAAAUGAAUACAACAAAAAAAGAGAAAAACAAAUAAAUAAAUGGAUGAGAGAGAGUCCAAUUGGGAUAUUAUAGCUUGCAAGGAACCAAAGCCGGCCCAUCAUAUCAGCCCAUCCGGCCAUUUGAUUUCGACCCAGUCCAUCAGCGUUACCUCACAAGUCAAGCCGACCAACUCACCUUCCUAGCAAUAGACCCGUUAAACGGGUGGGUCGGGUCGAGUUUGGGUCGGAUCAUAAAUGGUCCAACUCAAAUCGACCAAUUUAACCCAUCUAUGACCAAUUUAUUGCAAUGCAAAAUUUUUGACUCAUACACAACCCUUACCCGACCCAUUUAACUAAACUUAAGGAAGCUUAUUAUAUAUAUGGUAUUACUAAAAUAUUUUUAUACAACACAAAUUAAUGGAAAAUUUUUAUAAUUUUAAUAGAAUUUUAAUUAUUUUUAUUUUUAUUUAUAAAAUAUAUUUUUCUUUUUUCUUUUUUCUUUUUUUAUUCUUCUUCUUCUUUGGCUAGCUGCCGACCACGACGACAGCUAGCCACAGGCGCCUGGCUUGUUAACGCUGGCGAGCUCGAGGCUCACCGACACUGACGAGGCCUCCGCCUUGCCAGAUUCGGCGAGCUAGAGGCUCACCAGGGUCGGGCGAGCUUGAGCUCGCCCCUCACCAGAUUUGGCUAGGCUUGAGCAUCGCCGGACGUCAGCGAGGCUCGAGCCUCACUGAACGUCAGCAAGGCCUCUGCCUCACCAGCCCCUCGCCAGAUUUGGCAAGGCUCGAGCCUUGCCAGACACCGGCGAGUUCAAGUCUUGCCAAAUCGGCGAGGCUCAAGCCUAGCCUAGCGUCGGCGAGGCCUCCGCCUCGCCCAACACCAACAAGCUCGAGGCUCACCUGGCCAGUCGCUAGCCAUCGCCGUGCCGGCGACCGGAGGAAGAAGAAAGAAAAAAAAAGAAAAUUAAAUAAUAAUUAUAAUUAUAAUUAUAAUUUCAGUUUUUAUAAAAAAAAAAAAAAAUUUUGUAAAGUUAAAGAGAGAAUAGAGAGAUUGUGAGGUUUUGGGUGAAAAUGGAUUCUAAAUCCAACCCAUUUAAGACCCACUUAAAACCCACCUAUCAAAGUCUUUAAUAUUGAACCCAUUUAACUACUUUUUUCUCAAAAAACAAGUGACCCAUAUAUGACCAAUUUAUGAUUUAAAUGGGUCAUAUAUGGAUCUAAGACCCAUUUUGUCACUUCUACCUGGCAGCCCAUUUCACACUCAGCUUCAAGUAGGCUCAUAUCCAUGUCUGAUUCGCUUGAGGAAAAUCCGACCCGUAGAGCUGGCUUCGGAAGCCCAUCGGAGAGAAAGGCCUUUGACUUCAAAAUAUCUCUCUCUCUCUCUCUCAUUUUAACUAAACUAGAUCAUCUGUGGAUUCUAAAAUAUAUCUAAUAAAAAGAAAAGACAAGCAUUACGCGAUCCUUGAAGAACAAUGCAAAAGUUGAUAAAAGGGAUAAUUAGAAUUUACUAAAAUGAUACAUAUUCUAUUAACAUUUAUGGAGCCAGUGAGAGAAGCAUGAGUAAAAUGACCCAGCUACUUUUACCAGGGCUUUUUGGGAUAGAAAUACCAAGGCUCGUGAUCAUGCCUUGAUCCCCAACAGCUGGGCUCGAAUUCCUUGGUGGGGCCCUUGAUGUCGAGUCUGGUGUUCAAGAUUUCAGAAAUGCUUCGAAAGGUGCUCGACCCUCAUGGGCUUGGUAAAGCAUACUAAUAGGAAGGGAUUCGAUUGAAGAACACAUGCAAUGGUCUAUGGGGGAUGGAACUCUUAUUAACAUUCGACAAGAUAGAUGGUUGGCUUCCGGAAUCAUAGGGGGACCAGCUCCUAGAGGAGAACCAGAAAAGCUUGUAGAUUUAAUGGUCCCAAACAGCAAUGAGUGGAAUAUUUCCCUUCUAAGACAUCAUUUUGAUUGUCAUACAGUAGCAGAGAUUAUGUCUAUCCCAAUUUGGCCACAACAUACAAAGGAUAGACUUAUCUAGAGAGGCAAGCCAAAUGGAUCUUUCAUAGUAAAGAGCUGUUAUAAUAUCCUAAGGAAGCAACAAGUCAAUCACAACCCAAAUCAAGCAUCCUCCUCUUUUCAGAUACCUCGCAGACUGUGGAAUGCAUUAUGGAACAUGAAAUCAUCACCAAAAAUACGUUCUUUCCUAUGGUCAGUAUGUCAUAACGCUUUGCCUACUCAAGAAAACCUUCAUCAUCGACACAUUAUAAAAGAUCUCAUAUGCAGUUUAUGCGAAGAUCAGGCUAUUGAAUCACCAGAACAUUUGUUCUUAUUCUGCCCUUGGACACAACAUAUAUGGGAACAUCCAGAAAUCAACAUCCAGCAGCAUAUCGGAGGAGUAAAUCGGAUAGAAGCAUGGCUGGUCAGCUUAACAGAACACAAAGGUGACUUACCUGACUUGGAAACGAUCGCAUCCAUCCUCUGGCACAUUUGGAAGGCCCGCAAUAACUACAUAUUUCGCCAGUAGCAACCCCAACCGCACCACAUAGUGCAGACAGCCUUAGCCAAUGCCAUCGCAAAUCGGAAUCCAUCUUGGCAGAAACAGAGACAAGGAACGCAACAAACAGAUCAGCAUUUGUUUUGGCAUCUGCCAGAUCAAGGAGAAAUGAAACUCAAUAUUGAUGCAGCUUACUAGCCUCGUAGCGGAGAAGCAUCGAUCGCCUAUGUUUGUCAAAGCUCAUCAGGCCUUUUAAUCGAUGGCUUUGCUCAAUCGGUGGCCGUUUCCUCGGCCCUGCAAGCAAAGGCAACGGCGUUAAACCACACGCUCCACUUCUUGCUGAACAUGGGCAAAAACUCAGAUCGGAUGACCUUGGAAACUGAUUGCUCAGUUCUUGUUGAGGCGAUGUGUAACCAUGAACUGCCGCCUUGGGAGAUCAGAUCUUUGCUCGAAGACUGCACGGUGCUGCUUCAAUGUUGCCCUAAUCUUCGGAUCGUCCAUUGCAGGAGGGAAAUGAACAAGGUUGUUGACCGGGCCGCGAAGGCCCAUCAAGCCAGUUCGCUACCUGCAGAUUGGGUCUUUAAUCCUCCUUUGUUUUUGCGUGAAAUGUUGUCCUUCGAUAUUAUGCAAAAUGCUCCUUCUACUUUUCGGUAGUAAUAAUAUUAUUACCUUUCUGACAAAAAAAAAAAAAAGACUUUGUGCUUAAAGAUUUUCUUUUAUUUUGAAAUUCAUGAUUUUGCUAUGGCAAACAUUGAAAAAUCACUUCCAUGUAGAGUAGAAGUCUUGUUUGCAUCGCAACUCAUUUAGGACGUGAAAGCAUUAGUUGGCAUCGGUACACAGCACGGUUCUCUCAAGUGUAUCAUGAGAGCGUAAAAUGAAGAGGGUUGUACUUUGCGGGGGAUUUCUAUUGUCCUUAGUUUACCCAAAACGAUUACAGUCCUCUGUCUCAAUCCGAUGCAAGUACCUGCAAGAAUUUAUGGUUUUUGGUCGCGGGUCGACGUUCCUUAACUACUACUAUUCUCCGUAUGCGUCACUGACGAUUUAUUUUUUAUAGAACAAUGACAUAGUAUGGAGUUUUUCUUCAAAAGUUGUGCUGAGAAUCCACUAUUGGAUUGAAGGAGACAUUUGAAGAAUGAUAACUCACUGUUAAUGGAAGAGACUCUUGAGUGAUUCAUAAGCAAACUGUAUUCCUUAAAUAUGUCUUGUGUGGUUAGGGGGAUACUCUUUUUGAACACGUGAACCUCAUGGAACACAUCGAAUUGCUACAUUGAGUAUUGGAGUAGGACCCCCUUCAAUAGAUGGGUGAUUCUUAGAUGGACUAAGCCAUACCAAGUGAGAGAGCUCAGACAACAUAUGAGUCUUAAUAGACUUGUAAGAUGGCAAAGAUAAUAGAAAUGAACUAGACCACACAUAAUAUAUGGGCAAUAUCACGAUACGAGCCAACAUUAAAAAGGACUCCAGGUCAUUAAAUUGAAGGGAAUUUGUAAUGUUUUAGAGUCUCACAUCAAUGAGAGAUGCUCUACAUUGUGUGGUUACUCAAAAUACUCCUUUGGAUAACUUGGCUUAUGUGAAAUAGAGCAAGUGGUUAUAAAUCACAAAAUAUAUAUAUAUUCAAACAUACCUAUAGAGUAUUCCUUCCAGAAGACUUGUAACUAUGUAUGUAAAUGACUCUAAUUAGCUUAUGUUUUAGAAAUCGAGGGUCUCCUUGAAUGAUGGCCAUAAUUAACUCUUUCGUGAUAUCACUCGGAUAAUUUAGGUUGUAAUUACAAAUAGUUUGCAGACAACAACAUGAAUUGUCAUUCCUACUUCCAGACAUCGCAGCACUCCGGCGCAUAAUCACGUCAUUUUCCCAUCACUGUAGAAGAAGAAGAACGACGACAACAACAACAAAAAGCUUUUGUUUAUUAAACAUUUUCCGAAGGACCGCUAAAGUCAACUCACGGCCACACAUUCGCAUGCUUUCUUCAUGUUUUGGUGACUUCAUUUUGGUUCAACCUACGUAUUUUAACACCAAUAAAAGAUCCCUAAAAGAAAACAUGACUUCUUAGCACACCGAACACCACUGUCCAAGACAAGCAAUCCUACACAUAAGUCAACCUUUUUCUGGACCACAAUCAUCGUUGGCUCGACCUUUCUGUUCUUCAGACGUUCGUUUACUUGUUAUUUCCUCAUAGGUUGUGUUUUCCUUAGAAGGAUCAUAAACUGAGGGACAGCUCAGACAUUCGUUUACUUGUUUUCUCAAGUCUAUUGCGUUUAGAUUCCUUAACGAAUUCACCUGAUAGGCUAAUUAUUCCGUGAGUGAUCAGUUCAGGGAAAAAAACUAUAGGCGUGUUGAUGAAAAGUCCAACUUAUUAAAUUGAAAACAGAACCUAAAAUUCAAGAUGUCACAACUCUUCCCCUUUUAUAAAAAUUUAAUCCUCGAAAUUUAGACCAUACAAAUCUUUAAACAAAAAGGUGAUGGUACAGUCAUCUCAUCGAAUCUUCACUUUCUUAGGUUGCUCCCUCUGUGCCAUGGUGUUGCCAGACCACUUCAACCAAUGGGAUCAUCUUAGUGCGCAGAAUCUGCUCUUUUCGAUCCACGAUCUAAAUCGGGAUUUCCAUGUACGACACUCUGCCGUCCACGUCUAAUUCCUCAAAAUUCAGCAUGUGAAUCGGGUCAGGCUUAUACUUCCUCAACAUUGACACGUGGAAGACAUCAUGCACUUACGCCAACCUCAGUGGUAAUGCAAGACAAUACGCUAAAGUCCCUAUUCUUUCUAAAAUCUCAAAGGGACCUACGUACCUCGAACUCAGCUUCCCUUUCUUGCCAAAUCACGAAGUACCUCUCAUUGGUGACACUUUUAGAAAGACGUGCUCACCAACUUGGAAUUCCAACGGUCUCCGACGCUUAUCAACAUAGCUUUUCUGGCAGCUCUGAGCGGUCUAUAAUCUGUCCCUGAUGACAGCAACUGCAUCCACUAAUUGCUGAACCAACUUUGGGCCUGUGAUCUUUCGUUCUCCAACCUCAUCCCAACAAACUGGUGUUCUACACACUCUGUUGUACAACGCUUCGAAGGGAGCCAUCUAAAUGCUCUGCUAAUAGUUGUUUCUGUAGGCGAAUUCAACAAGAUGAAGUUGUUCCUCCUAGCUUCCCUUGAAAUCCAAUACGCAAGCUCGCAACAUAUCUUCGAGGGUUUGAAUUGUCCUCUCAAACUAGCCAUCCGUCUGAGGAUGAUAAGCCGUACUAUACUGCAGCUUCAUUCCUAAAACGAUCUGCAGGCUCUUCCAAAAAACGGCAAUAAAUCUUGGGUCUCUAUCUGAUGUAAUCGUCACUGGCACUCCAUGCAGGCGAACGAUUUGACGCACACACAAUUAUGCAUGCCUGUCCAAAUCAAGGUCCUUUCGUACGGCAAUAAAGUGAGCCGACUUCGUCAGUCCAUCGACUAUUACCCAAAUGGAAUCAUUCCUUCUCUGACUCCUUAGUAAACAUGUCACAAAAUCCAUUGUGAUGUGUUCCCAUUUCCACUCGAGAAUCUUGAGAGGUUACAAAAGUCCCCUCGGCUUACAGUGUUGUGCCUUCACUUACUGACAUGUCAAACACUUGACGGCAUGCUUGGCAAUAUCCGCCUUCAAACCAAACCACCAAUAGUAUUGACGCAGAUUCUGAUACAUUUUCGUAUUGUCAGGAUGAAUGUUGUAACUGCUACAAUGAGCUUCUGAUAAGAUCUCUUCCUUAAGCACUACAUCGUCAGGUACACAUAAUCGUCCUCAGAACCCUAGUGUUUCAUCAUCAAAAAUCUGAAAGUCAGGUUUGCUCUUUUCGGUAUCCUCUUGCAAGAUCUUCUGAAUCUCUGGAUCUGUCAACUAAAGCGUCUUGAUUCUAAUAUGCACUUCCAGCUCAAUUAUGAGGGUGGCCAUAAGAUUUGAAAGGUAGCCUACCUCAAAUUUGAAAACCGAAUAUCGAGCCCUCUCAAGUAAGAUCCAUUCCUUGAGUACCAUCUACACUACUGAAGAUUUCCGACUUAGCGUAUAUGCAACCUUGUUAGCCUUUCCAGGGUGAUACAAAAUAUCACAAUCAUAGUUCUUCAAGAGUUCCAUUCAGCAACGCUGUCUCAUAUUCAACUCCUUCUGAGAGAAUAGAUACUUGAGACUUUGAUGGUUAGCGAAGAUCUGGAAUAUUUCUCCGCACAAAUAAUGUCUCCAAAUCUUCAAAGUGAAAAUAAUUGCUAUGAGUUUUAAGUCAUGCGUCAAGUAAUUCAGUUCAUAAGGUCUCAAUUGACAGGACGCGUAUGCAACAACCCUACCAUGUUGCAUCAGCACACAACUCAGUCCUCUAAAUGACGCAUCACUAUAGAUCUCGUAUCCUCUAGGGCCAAAUGGAAUCGUCAGCAUAGGUGCGGUAGUCAGCUUCUACUUAAACUCUUGGAAACUAUGCUCGCACUUGUCUGUCCACACGAAUUUCUCUUCCUUCUUCAGUAGUUGAGUCAACAAUGAGGCUAAAGCUGAAAAUCCUUCCAUAAGCCUUCUGUAAUACCCUGCUAAACCUAAAAAGCUUCUGAUCUCUGUCACGGUUGUCGAUCUUGGCCAGUUGAUAACUACUUCGAUCUUGGACGGGUCCACGGAGAUUCCUUCGCCUGAAAUCAUGUGCCCUAGGAAAGCAACACGAGUUAACCAAAACUCACACUUGCUGAACUUGGCAUACAGCUCAUGAAUUCUCAAAGUCUGAAGUACCAUCCUCAAAUGCCUCUCGUGUUCCUCGGGACUUCUCGAGUACACCAGGAUAUUGUCAAUAAACACGAACACAAACUGAUCCAGAUACUCCUUAAACACUCGGUUCAUCAGAUCCAUAAAAGUAGCUGGGGGUGUAUGAAUCCCUUAUCCAACAAUUCCUGCAUCUGCACCUUCAGUUCUUUCAAUUUAGACAACGCCAUCUGGUAAGGAGCCUUAGAGAUUGGCUCUGUCCCGGGUGCUAACUCAAUACGAACUCAAUCUCCUUUUUCUAGCGGCAGACCUAGCGAUUCCUUUGGAAACACAUCUAGAAAUUCUUAUACUACUGAGAUGUCAUCAAUCUUCAGCUCCUCAAUUGUCGUAUCCACAACAGUCGCUAGGUAACCUUGGCAACCCCCGUCUAACAAACGAGUUGCCUCAAGCGAGGUGAUUAAAGGGAUCGAGGGUCCUCCUCAACUUUCGAUAAAUUCGAAGCUUUCACCUACUAACGGUUUAAACUGGAUCACCUUAUGACAACAAUUCAUUACAACAAAAAGCUCCUCGAGCCACACCUUUUUUAUAUAUGACAUCAAAGUUAUACAUAAGCAAACUAGUCAAGUACAACUCUAGCUAGUAAUUCUUCUUUCUACAACUUUAUUACAACAAACUGAAAUUCUCCAAACUUAACCACAACUUUGCUACGUUACAUUGAUAACAUCACCCCAAAAGCAUUUUUCCUCUGAUCGGUGUAUGCUUUAGUUCAUUCUCAUCUCCUUCACCAUCCUAGUGGCGACCUACUGGCGGUAGUGGUGCUUAUCAUGAACCUGCGCGAACAGUUCCUCACCUGAUGGCCGUGUUGGCCACAUUCAUAGCACGCUCCUGUGAUACCAAGACAUUGGGCUGAUCCAUGCUUUCUUCUACAAAUUUGGCACACAUUCGGUGAGUCCUCUACCUCCUGUCAGGUGACAGCACACACCCUUUCUUGCAUCGGAGACCUAUCCCAAUUACCCAACUGUGCGUUCUGCAGCGCAUUCUUCCUACUCUGGCUCAUCGGCGGCGGUGGCGGUAGCUGUUAUGGUUCCAUCUGCCUGAGCAGACAGUCCUUGAUCAGGUGGUUGUACUGGCAACACCCGUAACAAACCCUUGUCUCUUUAAAACACAAGGCAGAUCCAUGUCUUUUCCCACCGACACGACACACGCCCUUCUGGUUGGGUGUUAGCUUUCCCAUUAUACUCCUUUGAGUGGGACGAUUGAAGUGCUUUCCUUCUGUCAUCGGUUUCUUCCCGAAUCGAUUGCUAACUCUAUCUGAACUAAACCAUGACCUAAAUGUGGCAGCUCUCUCCUCAAUCACAAUUCCAAGUUGGGCCUCAACCAGUGCGGCAACAACAGCAGUUACAGCAUUGGCAGCGGUAGUGACAGUAGCAACAGCGACAGCUUGAUUCUAUGCUUGCUGACCCAAAAUGCUUCCCAAAGUCUCAAGCGCCUGAACGAUCCCGUCAAAUCUAGGAUCGCUCAGUGCUACUACACUCACAGUACCGGCCUGCAACAGUACUCUUACACUCACGCUGGCCUGAGCCUGUGCUCUACCUCGGGUACCUCGGGUAUCAACCCUUGUCAACGUCCUACCCCGAGUUACAGUUCCUACUAACCUCUGCCUAGGAGUUCUCCACUCCUGAUCACUCAUGCUACAGGAUCUUAUAGAAACCUAUUUUCCAAUUCCAAUACCAUAUUAGAAUUUGAGUGAUCCCACAAACAAGCUACCAAUCAGCUAUCACUCGCAUACAUCAGCAUAAUUAAAAGGCAUUUCCUACUAACUAUCCCAAGAACCCAUCGCACCUUAUCACUCCAACUAUUGACUAGCUCUGAUACCACUUCGAGCGGGGAUGUCAUGCCCCAAUCCUUGAACGCAUGCUCAUCCCUCGGUGGUCAAUAAUAAAAAUGUGACUUCCCAGAACGAGUCACCUACCCUUUCAUUUUAUUGCACAUUCGGAAGCAAAUAACAAAUCCCCUAACAGUAACCAUCCGGGAUAUAAAAGCAAGACAACAGAUUCACAAGCAAAACAUGCUUUUAUAAGUAUACUGAGUCAUGUACAAAGGUCUAUAACCAGAAGACUUUAAAAGACUACCUCUCCAAAAAGAAAUUGUCCUAUUUGACCUACACCACGAAUCACCUCAGCUCAGCUCUAGGUCCUCCACCCUACGAUCCUAAAAAGUUAAGCCCACGACGGGGUAAGAUAUAAAUUUCAGCGAGUUCAUGCUCUAAACCCCGAUUAUGAGGGUAAUACGCCUAGAGGCGUCCUAACCACAUAACCACACAACUACAGAGACUUACCUUGUCUCAUAUCCUCCCUGCAUGUCAGCAAAGUUCAUACCACAGACAACACAAAAGCAUGAGCAGUAAUCAAUUUCAUCAACUGGAACGCCACACUCAAAUUUCAAACAAGCACAGGGGUCCUGAUUAUAGGGUCAAAUCGUUAUGACACGUCCCAUACAGUGCCACACAAUUUUAUCUCAUAAUUCGUCACAUCUAUCUCACUUAAUCAUGCAUUCUAAUUGAUUAUUACUACCCGCACAAGCAGUUUUACCCAACACACAUCGGUCCUCUGGCAUAGCCAGGUUUCAUCUCACUCCUUUAAGCAAAACUACAUCCUCUGACACACAUCAGGGAUGGCAUUCCUUACGGCAUACCUGAAGGAGCUUCAGUACAGAAUCUACUGUGACCGGCUUCCCAUAUAGGGUUAACGUCCACUCAUACACACUGGGGACGGGUUCUCUUAACUAGCACACGAUCAUUCAAUUAUGGCCAAAGACACUGUGCAUUGCAUUCAAAUGUCCCAAUUAAAAUAAUGCACUUGGCUCAUUUUCUUCGUAUUAACACUCAAUGAAAAUAGUCGUGUGUGGGUACACGAUCAGAUCAAAUCAAAAAAACUGAUAUCCUUCCUUUUAAAAUCCCACUAUUUUACAUAUUAUAUAAAACCAUUUUCGGUGUCAAAAUUCGACACCUGGGAUUUUCUAAAUAAAUAUUGAAUUUCACAAAUUUUCGAAUAAAUAACCAAAAUUCUAAUCAAUACUCAAUUUGCACAAAUUAACACCUAAUUGCAUAAACUGAACACACCAUUGUAAUCAACACGAAAUUCUGGUCACCGACUAUCCCAAUCUAAUUUCCGAAAAAUAAUUAUCAAUUAAAUAAUUAUGAAAAUUAAUUAAAUAAUGUAAAUUAAAUCAAUAAAUGCAAACUUAGGCUAAAAUUUGCUAAUCUAACCACCUGUUGAACUAAUUAAUUUAUACUAACCAUUCUAACUAUAAUGCCACAUAAUAAACUAACUAAUUACAAGUUCUAACCACCUAAUUCACUAAUCUAACUAACCUAAAUUAAUUAAACAAGCUAAUAACUAUCCUAAUAUAAUCUUAAUAUAAUCUAAACACCCCUUAAACAUCAUUAGCCUACUAAUUAGAGUUUAGUGCAUAAACUCACUGGUUUAGCGCGAAAACCGAUUCACCGCAAUGGUGGCGCGACAGCAACCGAAACUUGAACUUUUUGCAACACCAACGGAGACUUAGAUCGGGUCGAAAACAGCUCACAAACUCAUUGCUUGAGCUGAAAACCAAUUUUGCUAAUGAACUCGUCGCGGGCUUGGCUUAGCGGCUCGAGACUGCAGCGUGUGGAGGUGAAGAGAGCAGUUGGACGUGGCAGGUGGCGUCGACGCUAGUGGUCCACAAACCAGAUGAAGAAGCAGCUUCGAGCGGAGAGGAGCUGCUGGAGUCAAUGUUGGCGGAGAAGGCGUUGCUGGAGUUUAACUCGGUGAAUCAACACCACGUGAAGAUGGGUAAGGCGGCAGCAAAAUGGAGGUGGGACAGGCGAUGGUGGUGGAGUAGCUACAAGAUAGACUCAACGGAGGGAAAUGGAAAGCAGGUGCUCACGGAGAGAGAGAGAGAGAGAGAGAGAGAGAGAGAGAGAGAGAGAACAACGGAGCUGCUUCGGUGAAGGAAUAAAUGAACGAAAGCAUAAGGCAGAGGGGUUGGUCAAACCGGCGUGCGCGAGAGAAAGACUGAAGGAGAGGGGCAGCUUGGCGUAAGGAGGAAGCUGCAGUUUGGGGGAAAGAAGUCCACAAAAUUAUCCACUCGAUUAAAUGCUUGGUCUCACAAGCCUUCAAGUUAAUCCCCUUUGUCCCCCAAUCACUUUCAUGCAUCUAAAUCCCCACAAAUAACAAGUUUUGAUGCCAAAUGUUGCAGCCCCCUUCAAGCUUACGAAUUUCCCUCAAAUAGACUUCAAUUUCUUCACCAAUUGAUGUCCAAUUUUGCUGAGGAGGAAGCCCACACAAUUUCUACAAUUUCCCUUCACCAAGUAGCUCACUUUGGAGGCCAAAAAUCCCUUCAAUUUGGCACAUCCAAAUUUCCGUUCUUUUCCGAAUCGUCCGAAUUGAUUUUCCGUAAGAAUCUCGAACUCGCCGAAAAUUCUUCGAAGGAUGAGUCGAUGUUCCUAAAAUAAAUCGUGACAUGACAAAACUUUUAUUUUCUGAAAUCAAGUUCAACUUCACAGUUAAUUUCAAUCUGGUGCGAUUUUAGCGUGUCCUAACCUACCGGGUAGCUUUUAGGAAUUUUUAGCGCAUUUGACCUGUGGUCGAUUAUUUUCAAGCCACAUUGUGCAUCUUCAACACAUUGGCGACUCUCAAUUGUUGUGAAAAUCUCGAGAUUUCAAAUACGGACACAGGGUACGAAAAUGGUAGAAAAAUCGAUGUAGUGUUGUUCAACAGAAAUUUUGCAAUUAGGUGGAAUCACCCACACACUAAUCACAUACAUUUAUCGAAUCGACCUAUCUUCAAUUUCUGAUCGAUUUUGACGGUGCCGUAAUGUGACACCCCGAACCCUUCAAGGGUCGCCACAGGCACCAACGUUACACCUUACUACCUCUCUAUAGAAGAAGCGUCGUAAUUCAUAGACUUUUUUUUUAAAUGGUCCCAGCGCGACUCAUUAGCGAAAGCAAAAUAAAACAUCACCAUCUCUCCCCCUACCAACCAUGAUACAAAUACACACCACUAAUCACCAUGAUUAAUAGACAAGCCACGACACUUUAUUUACAUAUAUUUUCAAGAUGGGAUUUCUUUAGGUCGAUACAUCAAAAGGAAAAGCCAGGACUCAGCCAUGUUCGGCCUAAAACCCCAAAAAGAACCCUCGACCCGCUACAACUCUCGUGCAACAAUCCCCAUCAUCAGUGUCGGCUAACUAUCCCCAAAAAGAUCCGGCUCCUACUCAUCACGCAUGGGCCCUCACACCCAACCUGGUGCAUCAGGCGGUGGCGGCGGCAACAUCCCUCGCAUCACCCCAUCGCGACAAAUGUGGACAGAGAUGAACUCCUGGACAACCGGGCCCCCAGCCAGGCCUACGUCGUACAUGACUAAACAGCGCACUCGAAUAUACGUCAAUCCAAGAACAGAAGGACAGCCAAACUCCUUGCACUCAACCUCGACAUCGGAUGGUAGACCGUAAAACACACCCCGCGUGACGGCAGGGAGCGGCAUGCUGCUAAUAUGAAAUGUUGGUCCCCAAAAGGGGUGAGUACAACCACUCAACAGGUAAAGGAAUCUAAUAACCACUCAAUGCAUCAAACAAAUCAUACAUGCAUUCCAGGCAUUACUUACCUUGAAGCCAUGCGUAUACUAUCAUGCAUCAUCACCACAAUCAUAACACAUACAUGUAUAUCAUCAUGUCAUACUCAUAUCAUCGUCAUCAUGACAUCAUCAUAUCAUAUCAUGUAUCAUCAUCAUUAUCAUGCCAUAGGUGAUCAUCAUCAUAUCACAUCAUACAUCAUCAUCAUCAUCAUCAUCAUCAUCAUCAUCAUCAUAUCAUGUCAUAUCAUAUCAUCGUCAUCAUCGUCAUCAUGCCAUAGGUGAUCAUCAUAUCAUAUCAUAUCAUAUCAUAUCAUCAUCAUCAUCAUCAUCAUCAUAUCAUGUCAUAUAAUAUCAUCAUCAUCAUCGUCAUCAUGCCAUAGGUGAUCAGCAUCAUCAUAUUAUACACAUGUCGUCAUCAUCAUGCCAUAGGUGAUCAUUAUCACAUCACAUCAUACAUCAUCAUCAUCAUGCAUAUCAUCAUGCCAUGGGUGAUCAUCAUCAUGUCAUAUCAUAUCAUCAUCAUCAUGCAUAUCAUCAUGCCAUGGGUGAUCAUCAUCAUGUCAUAUCAUAUCAUGCAUGGUUCAAUUUCCACUUUUAACUUUCAAUUUGAUCACCACAUCACCCUUCCUCGGAUCACCACUUUCAUCUCAUAAUUUACACUCACAUCCCAUGCGAGAAAAAUCUCCGGCAUUCAGCCAUUCAAGGCCACCGGGCAUCCGGCCCCCCACAUUCCGGGCAUCUCGCACCUCAACUGGCAUCACGAGGCAUCCUCUCGGGCAAAGACCUCCAAUGAGGCUUCCGGCACUUACACUCCCUGGCCGGGCAUCCCGCACCCCUACUGGCAUCGCGAGGCAUCCUCUCGGGCAAAGACCUCCGACGAGGCUUCCGACACCCCCAACUUUCCGGGCAUCCUAAAACUCCCAGGGCCAUCUGGCAAUGUAUCUCUAUACAUUCCGGGCAUUAUCAUCCGCCACAACAAUCUCCUCAUUUAACAUUAUUCAUGUUCACCAAUUUCGGUCUCAAUUUAGCAUGGCAUAUGAUGCAAUGGCAACCAAAAAUCAUGUUCAACAUUGAAUUCACACAUGCCUCUCAAUUCAUUGUCAUGCAUACAUCAAGACCACAUUAUACAUGCAACAUGGUACAAUUAUUCAUAAAAUAAAAUUUAUGGAAUUUAUGCCAAUUAAAAUAAUCCAUUUAUCAUGCCCUUUUUUACAUUUAUUUAAAUUCCAGCUUGUGCCACUUUCAAAAAUAUUAAAUUUAAAUAUCUAUAUAAUUCUCAAAAAUCAUAAAAAUUAGGGCAAGUAAUAAACAAGACAAUAGGAUAAUGAUUUCAUGCAAAAUACAUGGCCAAAUAGAAUUCCACACAAAUCCAUAAUUCUCACAAAACAGCAUAUAAUUUUCGGAUAAAAUCAGAAUGCACAGUUUCCGAAAUAAUUUGAUUAAAAUAUCCAUAUGACCUCCAAAAAUUACGAAAUUUUACCGAGUUAUAGCCAAGAUACUAAAGUAAAUUUUUCAUGCAGACUUCCAAGCCAAAUUCGUUUUAUAUUAUUUUCUAAAGUCACACGAAGCUUCUGGAUCCAACUCCGAAACGUCCAGUGCAUGCUUCUCCGAAAUACUGAGUUUUCACCUACCUACCCUUCUUCGUUUCCUCUGAAAUUUGGAUAUGUUUUACAUUAAGAUGUUUUAUACAAGUUUCAUGAAGAUAUAUAAGUCAAAUAGCCAGAGUAUAGUCGUUGUUUAGGUCCAUGAAGUCUCGGGUGUCUUGUAAUACAUCUCCAGAAUUACCGUCUUCAAGAUCUAGUUGAUUUACUAAGUUAUAAUUGUUCAUUUUACUUCAUAUUUUAGUAUGUUGUAGUUUAAGAUGUCCCCUACAACUUUCAUGAAGAAAUUGAAGAGAUAUUAUUAGGACAACUCAAUAUACAACCACAAAUCCAUCAAGAGGUCAGUGAAAUCUUUCCAGAUCUGAGGUCUCCGUAGGAUGAGAGUUUAACCCCUCAAAUCUCCAUCAUGUUUCACCAAAUUUUAGUAUGUUGUAUUUUAAGAUGUUAGCUACAACUUUAAUGAAGAUAUCGAAGCCCAAAUCAGACUCUAAACAUGAAUGCAAGCUCUCACAACAUUCUGACUCCAGCGGAUUCAAACGAAAACAGCAACCUUGCUCAAGAACAAGUCAUCCAAACUUCGGUUUUCCUCUCCUAAUCACCCAAAAUUCGACAUACAUGUAACACACACACAUGCAAGAGCAGCAAGAGGACCCCAACUUGCCUCUAGACCGAACGGACGACGGCACACUGCGGCAAGCACAGCGGACGGACGGCGACGACUCCUCCUCGGCUUCUCCUCCCUCUCGGCCACUCUCCCUCUCUCUCUCUCUCGCGCGAAAUCUCUCUCUCUCUCUCCCUCACUUGGCCGAAUAAAGCAACCGUCCACCUCUCUCUCUCUCUUCCCUUUUAUUUCCCCUAAACCUCAUCAUUAGUAAUCAUUGUUUGCCUUUCAAUUGACCAAUGCAUGCCAUCCUUCUCUAAGCCAAUGCAUGAAGACCUCUUGCCACUUGUCUUCAUAAUGGACUUGGGCUUUUUGGGCUUGGGCCGGCCACUCUUGGACCUCCUCUUGGGCUGGUCGACAGCCCCCUUUUGUGGGCCUAAUUGGGCCGACUAGCUUGGCCCAUCAAGGCUUUGGCCAAUGGGCCUAAGGCCCAACCUAAUAAAAAAUUAAAUUUUCCUUUUUAUAAUUUCCUUCUAUGAAUUUUAAAUUUUAAAUUCCACAUGGCCAAAGUCUUAUGACAUUUUGUUUAUAGGAAUUUAAUUUAUAAGAUGCAUGGCCAAGCAUAGAUUAUUAUCAUUAAUCUAUCAAAUUUAAAAUCUCAUAAUCACAAGCACAAAUCACCUAAUCUUAAAAGAAAACUAAUGGCUAAAGCAUUAAACCAUAGGUAAUUUCAUUACCUAAUUAGAGGCUUUAACACACCUUAUAACUUGACUUUGAAUUUUGGGAUGCCACACGUAAUGACCCUUUCAGAUUAGCACAGUCGAGCAGUUGACUCCCGGUUGAAUUCUCAAGUCUAUUGCAUUUAGAUUCAUUAACGGCUUCACCUAAUAGGCUAGUUAUCUCGUGAGUGAUCAGCUCAGAUAAAAGAACUAUAGACGCGUCGAUGAAAAGCCCAGCUUAUUAAAUUGAAAACAAAACUUGAAAUUCAAGAUGUUGCUAUGGCACCCCUCGAACGGCCCCCGAUCCGUUGGGGUCGCCACAAUGCACUUACCUUUCUCUUGUCUUGACAAUAUAUCACUCUAAUCGCAUAGAAUCAUAAUAGGCCCAUAACUCCUGGGGGUUUAUAUCUUUUGAUCAGUCCCUGCACAGAAAUAUGGCGGAAGCGUAUCCAACAACUCCCUUCCCUAUAUUUAGAAAAUGAUGCACACCAACUAAACAUUUAUAGGUAAAAGCCGAACAAUGUUAUUUACUUAAACCAGAUGGACAUCAUUCAUCGGUACAUCAAAAUGCCGUAGUCUUCUAUAAUCGGCUAUACUUCAAAAGAUGACCGACAUCUUUUCCAACAAUCGUAUACUUAAAGUCCAUUAAUCAAUGUCAACGUCCAAAAGUUCCUUCCUUUGUUGUCCUCCUCCUCACAAUCAUAUCCAACCACUCGGUCCAUUUGCUGGUGGCGGUGAUAGCAGAGGCAUCUUAUCUAGUCUGAAAUGUUAGUCUCCAAAAUGGGUGAGUACAACCACUCAGCAGUAAAAGAUUCAUUAAGCUAUAUCACGCAAUACCAUCAAUAUCUAGAUUCAUACAAAGAUAGACAAGAUAGGCAAUCAAUGAAUGAGUAUGCAUCCAAACCAUAUAACUCUUCAAUGCAAUGAUCAGUGCAUUUCCAACCAAUAAGAUGCAUCAUGUCCAAUCACACAAGUCCCGAUCAUAGGGUCAAACUGUAAUGACACGUCUCAUUCCAUGCCAUACAAUUUAGUCCUAUAACCAAACCACACACACACUUAGUGGAACCAUCAGUUUUAACAUUCAAAAGGUUUCACCCCCCAGAGGACCAAUGUUUGUGUCCUUCUGGGCAUUUGCACCCAAUCCUAGCAUCGCGAAGCCCUCCGGUACACACCUCCGAACGUCUCGCAUCCCACCUGGUAUCACGAGGAAUUGCCAGGGCUCGCCAUAAAAAUAGUUACCCUUGCCUUCCGAAAUUACGUACCGACAUACCACCGGGCAUCCGGCACACACCUUCGGGCAUCUCAACUCCCGAGGAAAAUCCUCUGGGCAUGUAUUCAAAAUACAACUAGGCAUCCAAAGGGCAUCGACUCAUUCGAACCUCUGGGCAUUUCGACUCCCGGGGCAUCGUUGACCCGAGGGUCCAACGACAAUAAUUAACAUCUUAAUUUCCAAAAACACUUUUCAAUGCAAUGAAAAAAUGUCUCUUGAGUCUCAUCACAUCUCAAUAUUGCAUAAUAUGCCAAUGCCAGUAUCAUCAUGUCACAUAACAACCCAAGAUGCAUUCACUUUUGAAAUCAGUUGAGCAAAGUCGGAGUAAAACAACUUAAAAACCAAAAUGUGCAGCUUUAAUGAAAAUUUCGAAAUAACCCCUAAAUGAACUCAGAAAAUUAUGAAAUUUGGAUAUGUUGUAAAAAAGACCUAAAGGAAAAUGUUUCAUGAAGAACACUAAGUCAGAUUCACUGUAUAUCAAGAGCAAUAAUUUCGAUAUUCCCUACUAACACUCUGUAAUAAUUUCCAGAUUUAACAUUUACAAGAAAAAUCAUUUCACCGACCAAAACUUGUCCAUUUAUUAUCAAUUUUUGAGAUGUUAUUCCUACAGAUGUGCUCUCCAACUUUCAUUAAGUAUUCGAAGUUCAACUCUAUCCGGAUAAAUACAGAAAAUUCGUGGAAUCAUCAAAGGUCAGGCUGUUUUUCUACGGAACGGUUUUUCUGUUUUAAAAUGAAUUGCUUCUAUCUACACAUUCUUGUAUUCAUAUAGCUAUAACUAUGAGUUAAACUCAAUCUAAUGGAUGUUAUAUUAAGUAAAAUGAUUAUAUUCCUUAUCUUCAUCUCUAGAAAUUAAAGCUACACAAUAUAAACGAUUUUCUAUCCAUGUUCAUCUAAGACAGAAAACAUCUAAUUCUUUUCUCUUCAUUUCCAGCUCAAUCAAACCAUUUGUUUUACUACAAAUUCAUCAUGUAGUAUCUCAACACACUUACACAGCAUCUAGGAGUAGUCAUAGUACAUUUUCACUCACCUAGAACCCUUCACAACUUGGUACAAAGCACAUACCCACAUCUUGGCUCAUGUAACUCAACAUGCAUCACCUUUUCUAAACUCAACACACACCAUUACACCUCACUCAACAAUCACAGCUCACUCACAAUUAGAUUUCGAGACAUGCAAGCCUCAAAUGCAACAUGCAAUGACUUAUAGCCUCGAUCUAGAACUUAUCUAGCUCAAUCCAACAUAAAAUAACAACUUCGCAUUCAAUCCUCCACAGAUUGGCAUUCAGUUUUCAUCUCAACCCUUCCUCAAGUCUAUUGCACUACACUAGACAGCAACAGCACUACAUCACAUAGAUUGAUGAACUUCUACUUGCCUGUAAUUCCUUAGCUUGACAGCAAGUAAAACCGAAAGCUCGGGCUUGGCUCAACGGCGACGAAGACCGGCGGCGACGGCGGCGGCAGCUCGAGCACGAGCACGGGCGAUCUCUUCUUCCUCACACCGUGCACUCACUCACUGCUUGCAUCUCUCUCUCACUUGCUCACUCGCUCGUUCGGUCUCUCUCUCUCUCUACUCAAAAUUCUAUUCGGUUCACUCUCUUUCUUCACCAUCAAAACCGAGCUAAUAAUUCCCUCAAAAUUAAUUAGACUAAUGAUGAUAUUUGCAUGUAGGGGUUUCGAUGGAUGCAUGCAUGGAGGACAGGUGGGGGAGACAUGGCAAUUUUCUUUGGCCACUUGUAGACACGAACGAAGCAGCUGUUCCAAGCUCCUCCUUCGCUGGCCACCGAAAUGGAGAGCAACGUGGCUGCUGCUGGGUGCCCCUCGGUCAACCACCCACCUUGGUUGACUCCUCAACGUUCGUAUGGGCUGCAUGGGCGUGGGCUGUGGGCUCUUCAUUCCAACGUGAUUAUGGGCUGUAGACGUGGGCCAUAUACGUGAGCUUUAUGUUGCUGCAUGGGUCGACAAUCUUAUUUUGUUGACUGGUUGGACAACAAAGAAAGGCGCGGCUGCAAGUCUUGUACGUGCAUGGGAUAUUUGGGUUGGCAUGGUCCUCAUGCGUAAGAAGAAACGGCCAGCUCGAGGCGGCCGAUUUUUUUGGUGCUCCUUCACCAACGUAUUCGGGUCAGCGUGUUAGGAACUCGGGCAUGAUCGAGAAUCGGCGCGAAAAUAGGGGACUCCUCGACGAUUUCUGUUAUCAACUUCCAUGUACAAAGAGGUCAAAAACAACUGGCAUGUAAGGCUCAUUUAGCAAGGUGCAAAUGCGGGUGAGGUUGGUCUCGCAAGUGGCCUUACCUAAGGGAAUUUUUUUUUUUUUUGACGAGACUAUGGCUUACUUGGCAAUUACACCAUCGCUAAAAGAAAUGCAUUGGUCCAACAAUAAUAUGAGCCAAUGAUCGUGUAUAGCACCAACGGCAUAAUUUGAUGAUACUUUCGUCAUUUAAUCACGAACCGCCGCGCAUCCAAGGGCUGUCGAAAUUUUCGGCUGCCACAGUCACAUUUAUGAUGGGCUGUGUUUGAGUAGCCCCUCUACCAUUCAACAAAGAGUAAAUGCUUUUCAAAUUGAAAAGGGAAGGUCUUGUUUUUCUUUAGUCAAAGAACAUUAGUUCGUAAGAAGCAAGGACUUCAUGUCUUUGUCUCAUUUGUUGUUCAUGUGUUUUUUCUUCACUUUGUGGAGUUUCUUGUUUUCUAUUUGAUGUUAGUUAACCUAUGCACACAUCUAACCACUUUAAAAGGUUGUGGACUUCAGAUCUGUAGUUAUACAGAAGCGAAGAGCAUUUUCAUUUCCAUUAUUUCUCUCUCUAGUCUUCAUUUGUGCCUUGUUCCAAACUUCCAAAAGUUGUCAUAUUCUUUUUGGUUCCACCAUCACUAUGGGAGGGAUCAUCAACUAUAAAUCUUUCUUGCAUUCAAUUUCUGGGUGCGCAUAAUCUACAUACUGGCCAAAGCCGUUUCCUACUCGAGCCUCUCUAGAGUCGCCAUCGAUAAAAAAUUUAGCUGUCAAUUUCUCUCUCGCAUUGGGAGGGAUCAUCAACUAUUAAUCUCUCUCGCAUUCAAUUUCUGGGUGCGCAUAAUCUACAUACUGGCCGCUGUCAAGCCCGCUGUUCUCAUGCUACUUCAUCCCUAGUUGAAGAGUGUAGGAGAUUCCUAAUCUCCAUGAGAUAAAUGGAUAACUCACGUGAAUUGACACCUAAUUAUUAAUAACCUAUCAUGCCUCUAGUUUAUAUGUGCAGGAGGAACGCCACGAGAAAAAUGAAUUCAAGUUCAUAUAAACUACACCUAAUUAUUAAUAGACUAUCGUGCCUCUAAUUUAUAUGUGCAGGAGGAACGCCACGAGAAAAAUUAAUUCAAGUUCAUAUUAACUACACCUAAUUAUUAAUAAACUAUCGUGCCUCUAGUUUAUAUGUGCAGGAGGAACGCCACGAGAAAAAUGAAUUCAUGUUCAUAUAAACUAACUGUUUUUUGAUCAAGGGUAAAUUCCAGCCAUUAUCUUGGAGUUUGAUUGCUGAAAUGAUUUUCUUUGAUAAUCCAUGAUGAAUUCAUUGGUGAAAUUCAUGUUUCACCAUCAAGUAGUCCUUUGGAGAGUUGAGAUUAGAAAUUUCGAUCAAAUUGAUGAUCGGAUUAUAUAUAUAUAUAUUAUUUUUGAUAAAUAACAUGCCAUCUUACCAAGGCAAAAGUAAGUAUAUAACUAUAUGAUUUUGGCAAGACAAAUAAAUUGAUCAAGCAAUCCGCGAAAUCCAAGGAAGAACAAGACAUCAAUAUAUUGAAUAUUGAAUUAAAGUUAUAGGGCUUGAUUGCACAAAUUAAUAGUUAGAAGAUUACAUUGCAUAAUUUACGUAAGUUUUUGGACCAAAAAGGAAAUUAUUAUGAUGAUGUAAGAAUCGAGUUUUACCUAUUUCGAUGAAAUGGAUGGAUCACGAGAAUCAACGUGACCAGCAUGUUUACCCCUUUUCAUUGCCAAAAGACAAAAUUAAUGUUUUCUCCUGUAUUUCCUUUUAUUUAUUGUUUUGGGUUGUGUGAACAGGAUAAGAGUGUCUAUUUAUAUCGUGUUUCCCGUACAAUAAUCGCAGAAGCGUAAGGUGAGAAAUAGCUCAAAGCUUAGCCAAUGGAGUCCUACCCUAUUUCGCUCUUUUGGCUCGGCCUCCUCCUCCCGGCACUUCUAGUUUUCCUUCACAACCGUCGGAAGCGCACCAAGCUUCCCCCUCAGCCCCCAGCAUGGCCCGUGAUCGGCAACAUCCUCGACCUCGGGACCAUGGCGCACCAGAACCUCCACAACCUCCGAGCCAAGCAUGGGCCUGUCUUGUGGUUGAAGCUCGGUUCCGUGAACACCGUGGCGAUCCAAUCAGCUCAAGCGGCCAUGGAGUUAUUCAAGGGCCAUGACUUCGUGUUCGCGGACCGCAAAUGUCCCCAUGCGCUUACUGCUCUUGGCUAUGACCAAGGCUCGCUCGCUGUUGGUCGUUAUGGUGACUACUGGCGCGCUCUCCGGCGUCUCUGCUCCGCGGAGCUCUUCGUGAACAAGCGCGUCAACGAUGCGGCCCACCUCAGGCAAAAAUGUGUCGACAGCAUGAUCAUGUAUAUAGAGGAAGAAAUGGCAGUCAAACAAGCAAC